RNAcentral lists this long non-coding RNA (189189 nucleotides) under Setaria viridis. Its description in RNAcentral is "long non-coding RNA (SVIR_LNC011109)". The record is from RNAcentral. Lineage: Eukaryota; Viridiplantae; Streptophyta; Magnoliopsida; Poales; Poaceae.
AGACGGUGAUAAUCACCGACAUGAACUACUACCCCGUCGCCAAGUACCACUUCGACCUCAGCGGCACGGCCUUCGGCGCCAUGGCCAAGCCAGGCCGCAACGAUGAGCUCCGCCAUGCCGGCAUCAUCGACAUCCAAUUCAAGAGGUGGGUACCAUGCAUUGCUGCUCGUUGCACAGAGCCGCAGAACAGAAUCAUUAGCUCGACCGUCUAGCUUACCUGUUCUGUGGAGCCCUUGUACUUUUGCUCAACCGAUUUUGACGACACGACAGCCAGUUUUAAAUGGGGGGCUGGGGCCCACGUAGAUUCGCAGAAAUAUUUAGUACCAGUACUUCCAAUUCACUCCGAAUUUGGAGUCUGCAUGCACUGUGGAUCGACAAAGGUUGCUUAAUUUGAAGCCUAAUCCAUGUCCAAACGCACCACAUGGCUUGUUCCUGCAGGGUGCCCUGCAACUACCCCGGCCAGAAGGUGACGUUCCACGUCGAGGAGGGCUCGAACGCCGUCUACUUGGCGGUGCUCGUCGAGUUCGAAGACGGCGACGGCGAUGUGGUGCAGGUGGACCUCAUGGAAGCCAACUCUGGGUCAUGGACUCCGAUGCGCGAGUCCUGGGGAUCCAUCUGGAGGCUGGACUCCAACCACCGGCUGCAGGCGCCCUUCUCAGUGCGCAUCACCAACGAGUCCGGCAGGAUGCUGGUGGCCAACCAGGUCAUCCCGGCCAACUGGGUGCCCAACACCUAUUACCGCUCCAUCAUCCAGUACUAGCUCAUGCAUGAUCUGGUUCUGCCAACAAUAAUUCGGUCACUGAUAGAUUUUCGAUUCAUUUGGUACUAUUUCGUUGUUCCAUUGGAUUGAGGUGCCUUAAUUAGUUAGUAGGUGAGGUAUCAGGAGUCCGGCUAUGCUGGCAUCAGUAGGAGUUGUUUGUGUCUGUAAGAGAUUGACGUGUGGGAAAUAGAGGAGGCAAGUUUGCAUGUGCUUUCCCGGCCCACUGUCUAUGAAUGUAAUGGUGUGAUCAAGGUUUUAAAUUAUAAACACUGUUUUGUGCACCAUUAAGUAAAGGCACCUGCUAAGCUUCGGUUGUAUGGAAACGCGAGACCUCACUGGCGACGGACAUUUCAGCACAAUGUGAUGGUCUUGUUCGUGUGUGCACGAAUGGGGUUCUGUUCGUGCUUGGGGUUCCCUUCCUGCUCCCGCUGGACUCAGAGGAUAUGCACGAAAAAACAGAGGUUGAAGAUAAGGCUGUUCGAAAAGCUAGGGUCGUGAGCUGCUCGUGUUUGGUUCAUCUUAGGCUUGUUUUGAGAUCGGUCCUAAUUCUAAACAAGCUAAGCUCGAGCUUGAUCUCGAGAUCGAAAAGCUCCAUUAAGCUUGUGUAUUACUAUCAGUUAUGACUCUGAAAUAUGCAUACAUGUAUCUAAUUUUCUUUCCCAAUUGCAUUUUCCAAAUUGCCAAAGUCUACAAACAAGACAAUGGCUCAAGUCUAAUUACUAUAUGAUUAACUAAGUUUGUAACUGAUAAAAUCUCAAGGAUCGUGAACUAUUGGUGUUUGACUCCCUUAAAGCUCGACUCCAGAUUGGCUUGAAAUGAUCCAAGCUUGAGCCUAGCUAUAGGCUCGAACGGUUCUGAGGCUCGGAUCAAGCUCGGCUCGACGCUCUUAAAAGCUCAUGCUUGAAGCGAUAAGCUCGAGGUUGGCUCAUUUACAACCCUUGUUGAAGUCUAUCUCAUAUCAUUUGGAUUGAGAUCCGUUGGUGGCAAAGCAUCACUAAAGGCAAUUUUCAAGCAUGUCCUUUUGCUAAUCAGUAUGACACUUUACUUUUCAUUUUCUUGUGUUGAUUAUCUGGCUGGACUUCAUAUUUUUUUCAGUUAUUCAGUCAUAUACCCCACCUCCAAUUACAAAUAAUUAAUGUUUGGACACCAGAAUGAUCUAAUAUAAAAAACACAGAUUUAACUAGUACUUUUGGAUUACUCAUAUCAUACCCCAAAAUUAACACAUAAAAUGCAAUAUAUAACUAGAAUUUGAAACGGUUGACUACCCACAAGUAGAUAGGGGUACAAAUAAUAUGGAUAUUUUCCGACUAUUCUGAUCGACCAAGGAGGGUCGGAUACUGGUUCGGAUAUAAAUUUAGAUAGUCUUGUUGGAUGUCGGCUACAAAUACAGGAAGGGUGAUAUCUGUAGAUAUUGGAUACCAAAUCCUGACGUGUAGGCUCAACUAAAGGCCCAAGAGGGUAAGUGAACAAUAGUUUCUUGUUUUUUCUUUGUAAAGUAUUUUUAACUUAAAAAUAGUUUCUUGUUUUCUCUUUGUAAAGUGUUUUUAACUUAAAAAGGAAUUAUAUUCAAAUUCUAACUUCACUAAUAUUUAAGUAAAUUAAAAUAAAUCUAAAAAAUAAUACGUCAAUAUAACAACUUUGUUCUUAUAAAAGUUGUUAAUCUGAGGAAAAAAUCAGUGUUUGAGAAACAUGUAAGUACAUGUUUUUAUUUUGGUAGAAAUUGUAAAGUUUUAAAUUAUAGUGAGUUUGUUGAAAAGCUCAACUUAAUUGAAAUGCAAAGUGCUACAAUAGUUGGCUCAUUGCAAUGCCUUUGUAUUAUCAAUUUUUCUAUGUAAUUAACGUGUCAGAAUGUAGAAUGUUGUGUACUCGAGCAUCCAUAAGAAACAAGCUACUUAUCUACCCCAUGUAUCUAUGCAACAACGGUAAAUUACUAUUUUGCUUCUUUAAGCACAAUUUAGUUGGAAUUUGGACUUGUGGAAUGCUCAAAUGAUUAGAGCACUUGUGGUAUAUAUGAUUGCUUUUACUCAAUGCCUGAGAAAAUAUUCGUGAUCGACUCAUUCCGUAUUAGAUACACAUUUAUUCGUAACCAAGUCAAUCCACAUUCGUAUCCAUCUCUGAACAACAUAUGUGUGCGACUUUGACUUCGAAGAAAAACAUGGAUAUGAAUAUAGGGUCAGUCAUAUCCGUUCAUAUACGAUCUGAUCGCAGAACAUCAUUUAUUUUGUGACUUUGAAGAAAAAUAUGAAUAUGAAUAUAAAUAUGGGGUCAGUCAUAUCCGUUCAUAUACGAUCUGAUCGCAGAACAUCAUUUAUUUUGUGACCGGAUGGACGACUAUCAUUGAUAUCUAUUUGAAAGGUAAGAGUCGUCUUCAUUCUACGGAAAUCAAUUUGUUCCCUGUGAAAUUCUUGUGUUCUGAAUAGUCCCACGCAGAAUUGCUUUGUGUGUCCUGCGAAAGUCUUCUUUCCCAAAUAGUCCCUAAACCUCACCUUUCCCCCCCUUUUGCGUUUUCUGGAUCUUCCAAUAUUCAGUCUAGGCGCCAAGAAUGCACCAGUGCAGUGGCGGACCUAGAGGUUUUGUACAGCAUGGGCAGAGGCUGCAGCCUGGGGACGUGCUUUGGCCCUUGUCCUUGCUGUGUGCCUUUGCCCAGUUGCCGAUGCAUCACGCUGAAGGUAUUUUUUGCUAGCUUAAUUGUUCAUUCAGUGGACUACUGCUCAAUGAGCCCGGGCAGAUGGUCAGGGUGGCCGGGCCUUGGGUCCGCCCCUGCACCAGAGGAAAUCGGAUCCUGACUUUGUAACCAACAGCAAUUCUGCCUUCGGAAGAUUUCUGAGUUCCGGGUCAGAAGAUUUGGAUGUUCCGAGGGGGCAGCAUUUCAGUGCAGACGUUCUGAAUUAGCGUAGACCACCUUUCCGACUGUAAAGGCGAAAAAACACUUGGAGCGACAGUUCGGAGGGAUGCGAGUGCAUAGCAAAGGUUUCUUUCCUGAUGAGGCCUUUUGCUUAUGGUACUCCAUUCCAACGAGAUACGGCAAUCCUGCAAAGGAACAGCAUCAUUGUCCAUGCACCGGCCAAAGCAUGCAGUACAACGAACAAGGUAUGAGUACUUAACGACCAGUGCGUUGGUCGAACGCAAAGGAUGCUGAUUGUAUAACCAUAUAUCAUAGAAUCAUUCGUCGCUUUUCACUACUGUGAGAGCCGGCCAAGUCAACCUUUUAGAGUGAGCUAAUAAACCGAAUUCAUGCCGUAAUUACUGGCGUCAAACUCUCGCUUCAGUCACUUGCAAUGACCGCACUAAAUCAAGGAGAGCUACAGGGUACAUGACGGCAUGAGCUUCAUAUAUAGGCAUUUUGUGGGUGUUUUACAGGAUUUUGCUGUCUAAAUUGUGGCAUCCGCAACCAGGUUUCCUGAAAAAAGGGUCAAAUGAUGCUUCUCAAAGCAUCACUGCGCUUGGUGGACAACAAGAACAGUGUGCUCUGUUGGUCCAGCAGUUCAGCUGUCGACAGCAUUUCUUUUUCCGUUGCAUAAAGACCCGAGAGCCAAGGUGACCGACGCAUUUUAUUUUCGCCCGUCCAAACAGUAUCCCCGGAAAGAGACGAAGUAACUGAUGCACGACGAAUCCAGGCGCAUGUGCGCGCGCGAGGGAUCGGAUGCCGACGGCCGCGCUGCAUGCUUGCAUGUGAGGUGCGGGCCGCCGGCGGCGGCGGCCGGGCCCGUGCUGUCCAUCGAACCAGCGGCCGGCAAGCGGAACGCAGCGAUCAGCCGAUUGAUCACCACCCACCCGGGACAUCAGUAAAAAUCUCAGAUGGCAAUAGAAUUAAUGAUGAGAGAGAGGAAAAUUCCUAGACGCCAUUUCUCAACUGAGAAAUCAAAUCGGCUCGGCAACCAACGUGCGAAGACACGACCGAUAUCGCGGCCUGCCUCCAAACUCCCAACUUUAACACUAUGCAAAAAAAAUUCCCCAUCACAUCAAACUUGCGGUACAUGUAAGGAGUACUAAAUGUAGACGAAAUUAAAAAUUAAUUGUACAGUUUUGUUGUACUUUGCGAGACGAAUCUUUUGAGCCUAAUUAAUCAAUAUUUGGACAAUAAUUCACAAAUACAAACGAAACGCUACAGUUGCGCAUUUAUGACAAAAUGCCAAUUUUGCUACUUCCAAAUUGGGAACUAAACAAGGCCCGCGUUGGGCACUUCGGUGUUCUCCCCACACCAUCUAUUAUCUUGACACAAUAAUAUUAAAAGAAGCUACUUGGCUUCAAGAGGUCUAAAAAUUACCACAUUAAUUGAAAAAAGAGAAAAAUAUACACCGUUAGAUCUUAUGAAGAUCCAACGGCCUAGGUCAGCCAAAAAGUCAAUAUCCAAUACAACUAUAAUAAUUAAUUUCGGAAUUAAAAUAUGAAGAAUAAGUAGUUUGAUUCCUAUAUAUGUCUUAACUUAAAGUAUGUGUUGAAUACAAACAAUAAAUAAUAAAGAAAAAUAUUCAGAAUAAAAAGGAAUUAACACAGACCAAGGGAUUAUUCCUUUAUAUAUAAGAAAAUACAUCUUUCCAUGUACCAUACACGAUGUCAAGAACUAUUUCCUUUAUUUAUACGACUGGAAAGGAGAGAAAAUUAAUCGAUCCUAUUUGUUGCCGUCAGAGCAAGCUAUAGAACGAAGCAUGGAGUAGAAAAUAACAUAAGCAUCCAUGAUGAAAACAGAGCUGUAAUAUCGUGUUCACACAUUCAACCCCCUAGAUACAGCAUCAUGUGCGACCAUAGUGCCGGCAGCGUUGUCAAGCCAUGCAUGCGUGUUUUGAGCCUUGGCGUUCAUAGCCGCAUAUAGCAGCUAUUUGCGAUGCUAAUGAGUUGGAUUUAGCCUGCACAUCGGUUAAGUCUUUCCAUGUGGUCGUCGAUAGAUCGAUGCUUGGCUCUUUCUAUAACAAGUGAAAAUUUGUUUCAUUGGAACCAUGAGUCAAAUUACUUUGGUUACAUGAAAGAUUUAGUGAUUUUUUUGUUGGUCAAGCAUUACAUAAGGAGCAACGUCAUUUGUGCAUCAAUGGACAUCCAAUCGGUGCAGCCAUUGCUUACUGGGGCUGACAUCCAAUCGGUACAGCCAUUACGGACGAUUAUGAAUCUAUGGCAAGAAUUCUUAUCUACGCAAUAUGCCAUGAUAGAGCAAGCAACUGAUCGACUUCGAUCUAUGGUUUGAUUUUUGAUGAUCUAAUGGAGCGUUUGAUUUUUGAUGAUCUAAUGGACAAGAUUUCAACUACAAAAAGUCCAGCUAUAUAUUUGAUUUCUUUUCAUCUCAUCCAUAUCUCUUGCGCUCCAUUGCUAGAAGUUUUAUUAGGAAAAAACGAUUAAAGACGAGAAGCCCUAGAAAUAAUAGCACAAAAUAGUUCUAGCUUCCUAUUUCCAAUGAGUCCGUGGUUUGCAUUGGAAGCACAAAAUUUUCCUCUCGAAUUCCCCAUUGUUUCAGCUGCUACAGAGCUUUGAGUAGACGGACUCCUGGUCUGCGAGGAGUUCACGAAGUUCAUCCAGAAGUAGACUGUAGACUCCCUUUACUCCACCAGCCUGAAGCUUGACAAUACUGUCUGUCACGCCCGUGCUGGCGAUGGCGACCAAGCGGAUGACUGAGGGCGUCCUCGGCAUGGGCAAGGUGUUAGGAACGAACGGCGUAUGGAAUAAGAAGUAAAGAAUCAAACCGCAAGGAGACACACGAUUUACGUGGAAAACCCCUUCAAUGUGAAGGGGAAAAACCACGGGCACCAGCCGGCAACAAUCUUACUAUAUCAAGAGUUUUGGGUUACACGCCUAUGGCGGCUUACAAGAGAAUCUGAUAAUCUAUCUCUCUUCUCUCUUCUGUCUCGGUACAAAACCCUAGCAAGGGUGCUAGUAUAUAUAGUACCGACACCCCAGACAGGGGGUAUUGAGCGGUACGGACUCUUGGUCCCGUAGGAGGAUGGAACUCCUCCUUGCCCGACCUUUGAGUCCUUCGUCCUGGAGUCGGAUGCGCCUGGGACUUCGCCUCGUCCGACCCCAAGCCUGGGGUCGGAUGCGUCUGACCCCUUGAGGGUCGAUCUCCGAUUCGCCCGACCCCGAGUCCUGGGGUCGGGAGAUGCUCCGACUCGCCCGACCCCAAAGUCCAGGGGUCGGAAGACGCUCCGCCUCGCCCGGCCCCGAGUCCCGGGGUCGGGAGAUUCUCCGCCUCGCCCGACCCUGAGUGUUAAGGGUCGGGAAGGUCGGCCUUUAUCCUGGAGUGAAUUUGGAACAACUCCAACAAACUCCACCUUGAGACAAAUUCAUCUUGUAUCAUCAACCCUUCAUCCUGAACAGAACAAAGACAGGAAAAACCACUGGUGCCAAUAAUAGUCUCUUGGACUAUCCAAUUAAACCAACUAAGCCUGAGCACAGCUCAAACUUAGUAACAGGAACAGGCUUUGUCAUCAUGUCGGCAGGAUUAUCAUGAGUACUGAUCUUGCAUACCUUCAGCUUACCUUCUUCGAUCACAUCACGCACAAAAUGAUACUUGAUGUCAAUGUGCUUAGUUCUUUCAUGGAACAUUUGAUCUUUAGUGAGGUAAAUUGCACUUUGGCUGUCACAGUGCAAACUUAUGCAAGCUUCAACUCCACAAAGCUCGGCGUACAAACCUUUCAGCCAAAUCAGUUCUUUGCACGCUUCACAAAUCGCCAUAUAUUCUGCUUCAGUAGUAGACAAAGCAACAACUGACUGUAAAGUAGCCUUCCAACUCACAGCACAACUGCCAACAGUAAACACAUAACCCGUGAGUGAUCUUCGCCUGUCCAGAUCAGCAGCAUAAUCUGAGUCCACAUAGCCAACAAGACCCUCAUCAGUUCUUCCAAACUUUAAACAGGAAUUUGCUGUGCCUUUGAGGUAUCUGAAAAUCCACUGAACUGCCCUCCAAUGUUCUUUGCCGGGAUUAGACAUAUAUCUACUAACAAGACUCAUAGCAUAUGACAAAUCUGGGCGAGAGCAAACCAUGGCAUACAUCAAGGACCCAACAGCACUAGAAUAAGGAAUCUUUGACAUGUCUUUGACCUCUGCAUCUGUACUAGGACACUGAGCAGCUGACAACUUGAAGUGAGGUGCAAUAGGAGUACUUACAGCCUUAGCAUCUUGCAUGUUGAAACGCUGAAGAACUUUCUUGAUAUAAUUCUGUUGACUAAGAAAUAGCAAACCAGAAUUUCGGUCUCUACUAAUUUCCAUACCAAGAAUUUUCUUAGCACUACCAAGAUCUUUCAUAUCAAAACCACUACUCAAUAGUUUCUUUAACUUAUUGAUUUCAUUCUUACUCUUGGCAGCAAUCAGCAUAUCAUCAACAUAUAUCAGCAAGUAUAUAGGUGAUCCAUUAACAUGCUUGAUAUAAACACAGCUAUCAUACUUAGAUCUUUUAAAACUGUGUGAUAACAUAAAUGAAUCAAACCUCUUGUUCCACUGUCGAGGGGACUGUUUCAAACCAUACAAGGAUCUCUUCAACUUGCACACAUAUUUCUCCUUGCCAGGCACUAUGAAACCUUCUGGUUGGUCCAUGUAUAUGUCCUCCUCAAGCUCUCCAUGCAAAAACGCAGUCUUCACAUCUAACUGCUCAAGCUCGAGAUCAUGUGAAGCAACAACACUAAGGAAAGUGCGAAUUGAACUGUGUUUUACCACUGGAGAGAAAACAUCAUUGUAGUCAACACCCGGAAUUUGGCUGUAGCCUUUAGCAACUAACCUUGCCUUAUAUUUUGGAGGCUCUCUUGGAGAUAAACCCUCCUUUCUCUUGAAGAUCCACUUGCAGCGGAUGGCCUUCUUUUUCUUAGGCAAAGGUACAAGUUCCCAUGUACUGUUCUUCUCAAGAGAUUGCAUCUCCUCAUGCAUAGCCGAAAUCCAGUUUUCAGUAUCAUCACAAUGAAUAGCUUCUUUAUAGGUUGCUGGCUCAUGAACAUUCUCCACCUGUUCAGCACAACUCAAAGCAUGGUAAGACAAGUUACAUUCUUCAAUUAGACGGUUAGGAGGGACAACAGUCCUUUUGGACUUGCGUUUAGCAAUGGGUAGAUCCUCCUCUGGAGUUUGCUGGACAUCAUCAUGAGCAUCAGCCGACCCCGAGACUGAGGGGUCUGGCGCAUCAGCAACAGCCGACCCCAGAGCCAAGGGGUCUGGCGCAGCAACAUCCGACCCCGGAGCCAAGGGGUCUGGUGCUUGAGCAUCAGCCGACCCUGGAGCCAAGGGGUCUGGCGCAUCCGACCCCGAGACCAAGGGGUCGGGGUUAUCAGCAUCAUCGCGAGCUUGCUCCACCUGCAUGCGCAUACGCUGCAGGUCUUUGUCUGGAACUUGAUCUGAGGGCAAGCUAUCGGUAAACAUCACAGAUUCAUUGAAAAUAACGCUUCUGCUCAGAAAGGUCUUUCCAGUUUCCGGGUUCCACAAUUUAUAACCUUUGACACCCGAACCAUAACCAAGGAAAAGACAUUUAACAGCUCUAGGCUCCAAUUUUCCAUUAUCAACAUGAGCAUAUGCAGUGCAUCCAAAAACUUUCAACUGUGAGUAAUCAGCAGGCGUACCAGACCAUACCUCAAUAGGAGUUCUUUUAUUUAGUGGAAUAGAAGGCGACCUGUUGAUCAAGUAACAGGCAGUAUUAGCAGCUUCAGCCCAAAAACGCUUGCUCAUCCUGGCAUUAGACAGCAUGCAACGGGCCUUGGAUAUGAUGGAUCUGUUCAUGCGUUCGGCCACACCAUUCUGUUGUGGAGUAUGGGGUAUGGUGUGAUGCCUUACAAUGCCUUCUGAUCUGCAAUAAUCAUUAAAUUCACGCGAACAAAACUCUCCACCAUUAUCAGUGCGAAGCAAUUUCACCUUCCUUUCAGUUUGCCUUUCAAUCAUGACUUUCCAGUCCUUAAAAGCAGCAAAGGUAUCAUCUUUUCGUUUCAGAAAAUAAGGCCAAACCCUUCUAGAGUAAUCAUCAAUAAUUGUGAGCAUGUAACGAGCACCACCAAGCGAGGGCUUACGAGAAGGUCCCCAUAAGUCAGCAUGUAUAUAAUCAAGAGUACCUUUUGUGGUGUGAACAGAAGUGUUGAAACGUACCCUUUUAUGCUUCCCGAAAACACAGUGCUCACAAAACUUCAUUUUACUCGAAGUGCAGCCAUCCAGUAGGUUUCUCCUCAUCAAUUCAGCCAUACCAAGGUGACUCAUAUGUCCCAGACGCAUAUGCCAAAGGUUAGUUUUACUAGGUUCCUCAUUAGUAACAGCAGCAACAGCGGAAUCAGAACCAGGUAAAGUACACCCUCUAAGGACAUAUAAUUUAGCAGAAUUGAGAUCACCUUUUAAGCAGACGAGAUUACCUCUUGAUACCUUCAGAACACCAUCCGAACCGGAAUAUUUGUAACCUUUUGCAUCAAGCGUGCUCAAUGAAAUAAGAUUUCUGGACAUCCCUGGUAUGUACCUGACGUUUUUCAGAGUGCGUGUCAUGCCAUCAUGAGUCUUGAUCUGAACUGAUCCAAUCCCCACAAUAUCACACGGGCUAUUAUCUCCCAUCCGCACAACAUCCCCUUUCGGCAUAGCCUUGUAAGAGCUAAACCAAUUUCUGUUAAUGCAAAUAUGAAAUGAACAUGCGGAAUCAAGGAUCCACUCAUCAUGACCAGCAACACAACCGGCAAAUACAACCAGACUAUCUCCAGAUUCUUCAUCAGACACGGCAGCAGCAACAGAGACCUUACCAGCCGACUUGUUUUUCUUCUUCUCCUUAUUCUGUACUUUUCUGCAAUCCUCAACAUUGUGAUUUGUUAGCUUGCAAUAAACACAGAAUUUUUUGUUACCAUGCGGCUUGGACUUUGAACGGCCUCGUCUUUCAUAGUUUUUUCUUCCAUCAUCAUUGGAGGAUCUGUUAUCAGUUCUGCCUCUCACAAGCAAAGCAUCGCCUCUGGAGGACGACGUCCUGUCAUUCUGCACCAUACCUUUCAUCUUCUCCCUUGAUUGGAGAGCCUCAUAAACUUCCUUUAAGGUUAGUUCAUCACGGCUCAAGAGUAUGGUGUCACGAAAAUUUGUAUACGAAGUUGGCAAAGAACAUAACAGUAAAAGACCUAAGUCCUCAUCAUCAUACUUCACCUCCAUUGAUACUAGAUCGGCGACGAUCUUCUUAAAUUCAGCGAUGUGGUUUAUCACUGAAUCUUCUUCCUUCAUCUUCAGGGUGAACAGCUUCAUCUUCAUCUGCAUCUUACUGGUUAGAUCCUUGGACAUACAGAUCGAUUCCAGUUUCAGCCAUAGUUCUGCAGCAGUUUUUUCUUUCAGACACUCCUGCAAAAUAUCAUUAUGAAGAUGCAACUGUAUUAAGGCGAGAGCCUUCUGAUCCUUGCGGAUCUCUUCUUGAGUCCACUCGGCCUUCGUCUUCUUCCCGAAGCUAUCCAGCGCCUCAUCAUAAUCGUGAGUUUGCGCCAGAAUUCCCCUCAUCUUGACUUGCCAUAGCGAGAACCGCGUGUCGUAGUUUAGCAGCGGUAGAUCAAACUUCAUCGACGUCGACAUGAAAUCCAAACAGCAACCAAAGCUCUGGUACCACUUGUUAGGAACGAACGGCGUAUGGAAUAAGAAGUAAAGAAUCAAACCGCAAGGAGACACACGAUUUACGUGGAAAACCCCUUCAAUGUGAAGGGGAAAAACCACGGGCACCAGCCGGCAACAAUCUCACUAUAUCAAGAGUUUUGGGUUACACGCCUAUGGCGGCUUACAAGAGAAUCUGAUAAUCUAUCUCUCUUCUCUCUUCUGUCUCGGUACAAAACCCUAGCAAGGGUGCUAGUAUAUAUAGUACCGACACCCCAGACAGGGGGUAUUGAGCGGUACGGACUCUUGGUCCCGUAGGAGGAUGGAACUCCUCCUUGCCCGACCUUUGAGUCCUUCGUCCUGGAGUCGGAUGCGCCUGGGACUUCGCCUCGUCCGACCCCAAGCCUGGGGUCGGAUGCGUCUGACCCCUUGAGGGUCGAUCUCCGAUUCGCCCGACCCCGAGUCCUGGGGUCGGGAGAUGCUCCGACUCGCCCGACCCCAAAGUCCAGGGGUCGGAAGACGCUCCGCCUCGCCCGGCCCCGAGUCCCGGGGUCGGGAGAUUCUCCGCCUCGCCCGACCCUGAGUGUUAAGGGUCGGGAAGGUCGGCCUUUAUCCUGGAGUGAAUUUGGAACAACUCCAACACAAGGUGGUCAGCAAGCCAUCACUUUGAGCGUUGUACUGGUGCAAAAUUUCAUCGAUGGCAUCGAGUGACUUGAAAGCCGAAUUAACUGCGAAGUGCUAAUAUAUGCAUGCCACCACAAAUAAACAGCAACCUCAAAAUGGAGCAUUGUGCUUUGAUGGAAGAUGGUGCGAGCUUUGGAACUAGAAGUUAAAAGAACGGAUCAAGCAAGAUGAAGAACCUUAGUAGUCGCUUGACAUGGUCGAAUGUUACUCUGACCAACAGCCCGUCCAACCAUAUUGUGGCUCGAUCGGUGGCUUGGUCAGAAGCGUUGUGCAGCUUGCCUGGGUGGCCGGUCAUGGCAGUCGUGGCCAGCGUUUGUGUUUGUGGCUACAACAAGCAGGAUUAUACGAAGGCAAAGCAAUACGAAUAGAGUCUAAAAGAGAUUUCAAGACAAGCAAAUGUGCCUUAAGCCGCUUGCCAUAAUUUUGUUUGGAUUUUGCUUCAAAAUAGCAAUUGGCCAUGGCAAGCAGUGCCACAGCAGAUUUGGCAAAGAUUCAAUCUCAAAUUUUGCUAUUGUAUUUUACAACAGAUUCCUCUCUUCAUAAAUAACACAAUUGUUCCAACAAAUAAAUUAUUCUCCUGUUUACGAUUUUUACUAAUUGCUUUUACCAGGACAUCCCUGUGAGAUCCUUGCUUCCAAUAUUUACAGAUCCAAAGGAAAAUAAAAACAGAUUGGCAAUACACACAAUGAGAUUAUACGGAAACUUUAUGCAAAUAUAAAAUGGUGCAUUUACCAUCCUGGCUUGAAGGCAUGCAAGAUAAUUUCAUUCAUGUCUAUAGGAUGCCACAAAAUAUGGAUGGGCCAAUCUCUAGCUGGAUGGGAAGCAUGAUGCCGCUAACAAAGUAACGACAGACUAAACCUCGGCAACAAGAUGGGCCAUGUAAAUUGCACCAAAUACCCUGUCAGAGAAGAUGAUGAUGUUGAAAGUGUCAUCAGAGAAGAGGAAAAGUAGACAAGAUUGAAAACUCAAACCAGACCUAUUAGACUCUCCAUGGGAGCUCCAAAAAAACUUACAGUACUAAAGAUGCAGGGCAGCUUAGUUACCGAAGAAGGAAGAAGAAUCCAAGGAGAAAAAUAGAGAAAAUGAUGGAUAAAUCUUUGGGCCUAGGUUUUUUUUACCGUAAUCAGCAAGGAAGCCCCUAUGUAUUUUUUAUAGUUUUUUUUAUUUCAAACUCGUUUAAUUCGUUCCCACGGGGAGUCGAACCCGGACCUGCUAGGUGCUACUCAAGUGCUUUAACCACUACGCUACAUGCCCUUUUGCAUCUUUGGGCCUAGGUUAAUGGACCAAAAUAACAAUAUUGGAGAGAAUAAAAAAAGUUAUUUGACUACUCAUUUAAAAUUUACUAAACGUAUCACUACUAAAUAUAUUACAUAAUCUUUCCUAAAAUAAUAUAGUACAGUUACAACUAGAAUCUGACCGAAUCUCGCUGGGUUAGGGAAAGAAGAGGGGGAGGAGGAAGCCGAAUGGAGAGGGAAAAGAAAGGUACCAGCUCACUGGUGGUUAAUUAUCACAAAAAUUUAAUGGACAUUUUGGUAAAAGAUCAUAUUAUAAUAUGAAAUAAGUUGGUAUGGAUAGCUUAUAGGAUUAUCAGGAACUUAGAUUAUAUAAUCAAGAUUAUAAUUUGGAGUAUUUUUUACCACUUGAGAUUAUAUAAGCUCGAUUAUACAAUCUAGGGUAUAAAAAAAGACAUAAUUCAUAACAUACAACCAUUUGCGGCGGAGCAGGGGUCGGAGCACUGCACGAGCCACGAUUGGGAGAUACACUUGAAGUGGCAAAGCAAGUGAUAGGGUACACACAUUAGGACAUUGGCGAUGAGGAUGCCGGAGAGGUUGGGCGCGAAGAAUCUUUGUGUGUAUCUUCUUCAUUUGCGGUAAGGGCGGUGGCGUGGGAACUGAUCUGCAAGUGUGGAGGGAUUUGACGGAGUCACAGAUAAGAUGAUAGGUUUGGUGAAAUGGAAGUGUAGAUGAAAUCAUAGAAUUUAACAAGGUCAACCCCUCAACACCACAUCACCUACACAAAAAGUGAAGACGCAACGCUGUUGUUGCUGGAAGGGUAGAUUGAUCAACUUGAAAAUGAAUUCAUUCACCAAUACAAAAUCAAAGACAUAAGUAAAUAUAUGUGUGUAUGUGCGCGUCUAAUUGACUACAUCUAUAUUGUUAUUCGCAAAAAAAAAUACUAUGAGCUAGUCCACUUAGAUUUAACAACUGAAAGGGCUAGGUGUAUUCGCCAGCUCCUCCGAAAAACGGACUAUACAUAAAAACUACUAAUUCGGCCAUAGCUCCGAACAAAUUUUUAUGAUAUUUCUUUCACCGUGAAUAUAUAUUUUACGCCACAAAAUAUGAUGAUAAAAGAAGUUGAUAAAUUGUCUAAUUACAAUGAGAAUUAAAAAGUAAAAAUAAGAUCAAAUAAAUUCACUUCUAAGUAUAAAAAAAACUAACUACCCGCCCUAUUUGUGCGGGGGCAGACGACCCCACUGCUGGAGACUGCCGCACUGAGCCAGGGAGCUUGACGCUGCCGCCCGCGCUAGAGAGCUUGGUGCUCGCAGUCGUCGGAGGCCGCCGCCCGCGCUGGAGAUCUCGGCGCCCGGACUCGCCGGAGGCCGCGACUCGCGCACGGCUGCUCUGGCUCACCGCCGCGAAACGCUCACGUGCGUCCUGCCCACGUCCGCCCCGGCCGGCCCCGACGGCACAAAGCUCCUCACCCGUUGCCUUGAUGCUGGCCGUUCGUGCCCGCAGCGUAGCGCCGCCCGUCCGCUCGCCCGUGUCCUACCACCGCCUGCGGGGACGUCGGAGCUGGCCGGCCACCGAAUUAAUCUUCUUGCGGCUAGGAACGUGUCCUCAAUCUAAGGAAUAACAACAGAAUCAGCGAGUUCCACCUCAAUCUUGCGCUCCUCUGUUUCUUUGGGGUGAAGUGUGAUGGUACCUGGACUCACUGGACCAUGGAGCCUGCCGCUAGCCCCGCAGCGGCUGCCUGCGCUCCAACAGGCUGCAGCCCGCCAUUGACUAAAUUGGGGAAGGUAGGAAGGAAGUGGUUUAAUUUGAGCAGAGAAGAUCGAUGGAGAGGGGGCUGCAGGAUGGCUGGUGGUUGGGAGCUGCAGCUUCGUGUUUUGCAUGUUGAAAAUGAGAGUAGAGAGGGGAAGGAGAGGAGGAAGGGAUAGAGAGAGAAAGGAUAAGCAGAGAAUCUAAAGAAAUCUGGAGGGGUGGUUUUUAAGGUAUUCUUAAUGGAAGUUUCAUGGAUAAUAAAUGAGCGGCUACGUAGAUAAUUUUGAUGACAUGACACACUAUUUAUAAGGUGAAAGAAAAAAAUAAUUUUAUGAGGAUGAAACUAUAUGUACACUAUUUCUAAGAUCUUUAUGUCAUGUAGUUUUGGAAACACCAAAAGAUGAAACUAUACAUUGUGUGAGCUAUUUCAUCUAUGAACUAAAUACAUUCCUGCUUAUGUGACAUUCUUGGAAAUAUAAAUUUAUGAAACUUUACAUUAACAAUGAGUUAAGAAAGAUGUCUCGCUUAGUGGCAACGUACAUAGACUUUACCUAUAAAAACUAAAAAAACUAUGGCUCCGCACCAGAUUUCCGGAACCCGCGCCGUCGCCGCGCCUAGCGUUGUUGCCGCGCGCGCAGGUUUCAGCGCUCACUGCGUGCCCCGGCCCCCCGGCCCCGGGUCUCGUCGGCUCUGUGGCGUCUCGGUUGCGGGCGGACGGGCGACUUCUGGAGCCGGUGGCCUUGUGGGUAUGUUCUCGGUUGUGCACGCACGGCGGCAUGGGCUCCCUGUUUGUCAGCUGCGUGACGUAUUAUAAGCAGAUAAAAACUAUCCACUUCCGCUAUGAUGUGAGAUUGUAUUAUUUGUACAGGGACCCUGUGCAUUCAGCACGACAGUUUUGUAUUUGUAGAGAUGAUCGAUCAGAUGAAUUACCGGUCAAAACUCCACCCGUUCAAUCUGAAACAGCCCAAAUUGCUGCCUUUUCUUCUGAGGUUGAUUCCGUGGACUCUGCUUUCUUGCGUUCGCCGGUGUACCGUGUACGAAAUGUUUUAACAGCUUAAACGUGAAACGGGUUGUGCGCAAGUGUUAGGCCGACAGCACGUACCACCACUAGCUCAAUGAUCUUCAGAAAACGCGCGCACCACGCACGCGAGGCAUAUGUCAUGCGUGAAGGAAAAGGAAUCAACGCAACGCCACCCAAGUUCGAUCCUGCACGCAGGCCGCAGCCACAUGCUAGUUUGGACUUUGGAAGUGGCGGAGAUCAUGCCAGCCAGUACAACGGUAUGGAGCAGACGGACUAGCUGCACGGUCGUCGCACAGUGUACGUGUGCCGCAUCUGAAGGAGCACUCAACGAUCCCGCAGGUACAAGGAAAGUCGUAUACCAGCAACGCUUUUGCGCCUUGCUAAAAUUAGGUUAAAAUCCCAUGGCCCAAAUUAUCCCCAAAUCAUACCCUCAGUCGCUAACAAACUUGCAAGUUUAGAAAACACCUGCAAGCUACAAUAGUCUUCAACAUUAAAUACUCACAUAUGCAAAUCACUUCCUUACGGUCUAGAUAGCACUUGCAAUUUUUAUGUUUUUUCAAAUACCCUCGUAUGCCUGUUGACCAAGCGAUAUACUUGUUGCAUAGCCUAUGGGUGAAUUGUCUUGUCGCUAAUAAGCUUGCCAAAUAGUUUUAUGAGAGUUUGGCUAAUGAGAGGCCAAAUGACGGUUACACGCCGGUCAAAAGUCUCCACGGUGCUAGUGAGGAAAUCACAAGUUUCAAACAUAUUCAAUUUAACUGCAAAAACUAUUUAGCCUUGGCAAAUCGCAAACACCACCGAAUGUCACAAAAAAAAUUAUAGUUUCAAAAAAAUGUCACCAAAAACCACGCUAGAUUUGAGCCAAGGUUGAAAAGACAACAGUUUUAAUAGUUUAGGGUUAAAAGGUAAAUAGUUUUAUAGUUGAGGGUUGAAAAACUAUACUCUAGGGAUAGUUGAAGCUUGUACUCCCUCCAUACUGGUAUUAGGAGUCGUUCUGGCGUUUGGAUGGAAACGAGUAAAAGAAGUCGUUCUGGCGUGGUUAGGCAAAAUUUGACGCUGCUGCCCCUCCGCUUGGGCUCCAGCGCCGCUAUUAACGCGUCGUUCGCCUCCCACGACUCGCUGCCGCGUUAAUCGCUAUUAAUAGCGCCGCAUGCCGCUCGCGUCGUCCACUCGCCUGCUUGCCUCUUGCCUCGUCUACUCGCUGCUCGCGCUCGCUGCUAGACGCGCGUACGCUCGCCGCUCGCCCAAGUCAUGGAGUCCAAGCCGGCGUCCGAGGAGAUCGUCGUGCCGGAGGAGAUCGCGCCGGCGUCCGAGGAGAUCGUCGCGCUGGAGUCCGAGGAGAUCGCCGCGCUGGAGUCGGAGGAGAUCGUCGCGCCGGAGUCCGAGGAGAUCAUUGCGCCGGAGUUGGAGGAGAUCGUGCCUGAGUCGGAGGUAGAUACCAUCCCCUCGCCGGAGUUGCAGGAGCUCGCGCCAGACUCGGCGAUGGUGCCGGAUUCUUUGCCGCCGGACGCUUUUAUUUGCCGCCACUGUCAAGUCGUUCAUGAAAACCGCGAAGCAUGGGAUCGUGUGCACAGUGGGCGCUAUCCAUGCUCUCACUGUGGUCUCAAGCACGCAGACUACAUGAUCUUCGCCGUUAUUCAUGGCUUCUACGAAUUCGAGUGUGAGUUUUUCAUUCCAGAUGUCGACAAUAUCGUGUUUGAUGGCGAUCAAAUCGUGCUGCCUCCAGACAUGCUCAAGACGGUCAAAGAGGAGGCUAAGGAGAGGCGCGAGCGUAAGCUCGCUGCCAAGAAGGCUAUGGAGGACGCCAAAGCAGCGGUAAGAUCAUUAACAUUGAAUUCUAAUUAACUGAUAAUUAACAAGAUUUGUCUCCAUUACUAAAACUAACAACCAUCAAUCUACUUGUUUCAUGCAGCAAGAGUAGCCUCGGCUUCAUCCAGUAAAGAUGGAUCACAAGGGAUACAAGAUGGCAGCCGACCUUGUCUUUCCAAUGUUCCUAUUUUCAUGUGAGGUAUCUUGAAGUUGUUGCAACCUUUCUUCUUCAUAGCUUCCACGAAAACACCUUGUAGUGUUAGAAACAUUCGGUUUGCAAGGCGUGGUGAGUACUCCAUGAAUGCCUACAUAACAAGUGUGAACAAUUGUUGUGGAAGUUUAAUUCGGUUUGCAAAUUGUUGUGGAAGAAAACAUCUAAACAUGUGUGAACAAUUGUUGAGCAAAUUACCUCUUGCACGGCUGGAAGUAGAGCCUCCAUUGUUUUUGCAUUCUUCUCAUAUUGAAUUGCUUGUAUAGCUUGAAAAAAACCCAAGUCGAGAAUGUUGAAAUCUGGAGAGUUUGGUGGCUGACAUAUUAGGCGAAUAUCAAAUCCUCCUAGCUUAGCGGCCUCACAAAAUUGUGGGUCAUCCAAUUUCAAGUGAGAAGGUGCAUUGUCCUGUUGAAUGAAUAUUGGUCUACCCACAUCUUCUCUUGGCCACUUAGCAACACUUUGUUGAUCAUAAAACCUCUAAUCACUUCUCUAGUGAUCGAAGUUAUGGGCUUCAUAACCAAGUCUCCACGGACACGGCCUGUCCUCUCAUUACCUCUUUGAGCCGCUUCAUACUGAACAAGUGGAAAACAACCAAUCCUACCAUCAAAAAUACAAUUCACAUCCCUAAACCUUGGCCGAGCGCAAACACACAAGAAUAUGAGCCUAGGGAUGUAGUUCUUAUUCUUACAAGUCCGAUGGGGUUCAUCUUCUUCGGGUAGCAAAUAAUAUCUUUCAGAUUUUUGAUGUAGGUAGAACCAUUUCUCAUCAAUGAACACAAAGUCAUACAACUCCUUAAACCUUGGAUCAUCAAGCAACUCCCUAUUAACCAUGUCAACACACCAUUGUAACCUAGACUUCUUGUUAGCUUGAGUGAGAUAUGGUUUGAUGCUACUAGAGUGGCGCCUAAUCAAUCCUAGUUUCAAACACCUUUGAACCCUCCAUUUGCUCAUGUUUAGUUUGGCGCACACAUCCUCUAUAGUCAUUCUUUCCUUUAGAGGAAUGUUUCGCAAUGCUUCCAAAUCAAAAGGUAUUGCUUUACGUCCAACUCUACCCUUCUUUAGACUACAAACCACAACCGGAACACUGCUUCUAAGUUGUAUUUUACCUCAGUUCCAAACACGCUGAGCUGUCCGUAUAUGAAUGUCAAAUUGAGCAGCAACAAAUGCAGUGUCUUCCUUGUGUAGUGUACCAUCGUUGCUUCUAGCUAACAAAGCUUGGUAAACUCAUUUUCGGAGAGCUGCAGUCAUUUCCUUCCUUCGGUGGGGUAAUCCUCCAUGAACUGCUUCCACGUUGGGGUUCUGGACAGCAUGUUCUAUUACAAGAAAAAAGAAUCACGUUCGUAGCUCUAAUUAUAGGGAAAAACCUUAUUCACGGCAUGUUUAUACUACUUAUUCAUGGCAUGUUCUAAUUAUAGGGAAAAAACAAACACUUUCAUGCAUGAUCUAGUAGAAGAAUGUGAUUGUGACAAAAAAAAAUUACCAGCAAGAUUUUGUACAAAGUCCAAAUCAACUGCACCGAACUCAUCUACUGGUAAGUUUAAAUCCAGUACUGUAAAAAAAACAAUAAUGAGAACCGAAAUAAUAUGAACAAGCAAUGAACGGAUAGAUCGAAGCGAUGCAUUUACCGUCGUCUUGUUGCUCUUGGAGAUCAAACACGCCGCCGUCGGCAUCAUUAGCGCCGUCGUAUUCUGGCUCGUCGAAAUCAAGCACGUCGUUGGGGUUGGGGCCGUCAUCUUCUUAUACGGGAAAGUUGAGAUCACCUCACGUUAAUGCUGUGAAUAUAAAAAAAGGAAAGAAAAAAUGAGUAAGAAUGAGCACGUUACCAUUGUUGUUGUGGUCCUCCAGUAUAGGCUCGUUGAGAUUGAAGGGAUGAUUGCCGUCGUCAUCUUCCUCCAUACGAACGUUCAAAUCGAAGCCAUGGAGGACAUGAGCCAUCACGCCGUACAGAUUGCUGUGGAAGGAGCAGGUAGAAAGCUAGAGAAGAAGCUAAGCCAUGGCUAGAUGAACAAGCAAGUGAAGAACAGUCAAGGCAAGGCAGUAGUACUGCACGCACUCGAGUCUUAAUACCGCAGGCACUCCAACCGUCGGACCUGCUGAGCUGUGAGCGCCAAACGAACGAAAUUAACGCGUCGAACCGAAAAAACGAGUGAACGAAAAAAAAAGCGCCCAGACGAUAGCCAGCGCAUAGCGCCAUGCAAAAUCCACGUCCAAAAAAAUAGUGUGUCACUAGGGGUUCGAACACUUGACCACCAACCUCGGGAACAGGGGUGCUCACCACUUGGUCUAUGAAGAAUUGUUGUAUAAGGGACACCCGCAGCGCUAUUUAAUAAGGGCAAAGAAGGAAAACUUCCCUUAACUAGUUACUCUUGGUAAGCGCAAUCAUGUCUCAAACGACUUCUAAUACCAGUAUGGAGGGAGUAUUUUUUGUAAAAUAAAUUGAAGAAUUGACACAUGCCCUACCAAUCUUAGGGCAGUAUCUGGCUUUCUGCAUUCACUUCGCAAGGUAUCUCAACGAACAAGGAUUUCGUCCUAAGUGGCUAAGUAUAUAUAUAAUCAUUGUUGCUCAACAUAUCAUUGUAGCUUUACUAUAUCUCAUCGAUAAGGGCAUAUAGUAUCACUUUGCUUACAGGAAACUGAAACGGAUUAGGUACCUAUCUUCCAACGCAGCUUCCAACGAUUAACUGAUUCAGUACACAGAAUCGUGACAAAUUAAUGAUGUCCGUGUAUUGGUCGUAAACCUGCCGUUAGUUUCUUCUAUUUCCGUUCGUUUACGCGCAUCAUCGUAGAGAACUGUGCAUCACUAAAGAGAAGAGUAUAUAUUAAUAAACUUUCACAAGAAUCCGUAUACAGGUACUAUGUCCUUUUCAUACUACAAAACCUGCGAAUAUGCGAUAACCGCCAAGGAACCGUUACUUUGUAAAAUAGUGCACGCAUGACCUGAAGGCUCCAUCCCUGAUCCCUCCCAUGAUUUGCUCCAUAGCCAUGUGACCCCUACCAAAGGGCGUCGGGUGCAACGGCCGUUGAUGGCGAUCGCGGCGCACUGCGUUCGUUUCGAUUCUUUUUCCCGCCUAUAAAUACCCCGGCAAUGUGCUUCUCCCGACCAUCGAAACACAGAGCUUCCUGUCUGCCCAGUACUAGCAACUAACGAGCUAGGCAUCGACGAUGAUCGCCUCGUUCAAGGUGGUUGCACUUGGUGCACUGGUCUUCUCCCUCCUUGUCUCGUACGGCUCGUGCGCUAGGCCGGUGAGCUUUAACGCCUCUGCCUUCACCGCCGACCCCAACUGGGAGGCUGCCAGGGCCACCUGGUACGGCGCGCCCACCGGCGCCGGCCCCGACGACGACGGUACGUCUAUGAACGCCGGUGCAUGGCGUCGCCAGAUCGUAUAUGCUGCGUGUAAUGGUGUUGGACGAGAUCUGUAAGCUUUCGUGCAUGCAGGUGGCGCCUGCGGGUUCAAGAACGUGAACCUGCCGCCGUUCUCGGCCAUGACGUCGUGCGGCAACGAGCCGCUGUUCAAGGACGGCAAGGGUUGCGGCUCCUGCUAUCAGGUAGUGCGUUACUUGGUCAGAGAUCCUAUUUCCAGGACGACACGUGUCGUUUGCCCUCGUGGAAACGGAAAUGGAGAUGGACCGAGAGAAAAACUAGAUUAUUAGGCACAGUUUUGCCUAACCAUGCAUCCUUGUUGCUGACCUUUUUUCAGAUACGAUGCGUCAACAACCCUGCGUGCUCCGGCAACCCGGAGACGGUGAUAAUCACCGACAUGAACUACUACCCGGUCGCCAAGUACCACUUCGACCUGAGCGGCACGGCGUUCGGCGCCAUGGCCAAGCCCGGCCGCAACGACGAGCUCCGUCACGCCGGCAUCAUCGACAUCCAGUUCCAGAGGUCGGUAAACAUUUGCACCGCUCGUUGCAACACAGAACCACUGACCGACCAAAUAAUCUGAAGGCCCUACACACACGAACAGAAUCAUAUCUUGACCGUCUAGCUACUUUUGUUGUGGAGCCUUUGUACUUUUGCUCAAUCAACAUUUAACGACAACGACCGGUUUAAGUAGAUUCGCACAAAUAUUAGUAGCGUACUUCCACUUUACAAUUUGGCGUUUUUUGCAUGCCUGGCGACAAAUCCUUAACCCAAAUUAAACAUACCACAUGGCAUGUUCAUGUAGGGUGCCCUGCAACUACCCGGGCCAGAAGGUGACGUUCCACGUCGAGGAGGGCUCCAACCCCGUCUACCUCGCGGUGCUCGUCGAGUUCGAAGACGGCGACGGCGACGUGGUGCAGGUGGACCUCAUGGAGGCCAACUCCGGCUCGUGGACUCCGAUGCGCGAGUCCUGGGGUUCCAUCUGGAGGCUGGACUCCAACCACCGGCUGCAGGCGCCCUUCUCGCUGCGCAUCACCAACGAGUCCGGCAAGACGCUGGUGGCAAACCAGGUCAUCCCGGCAAACUGGGUGCCCAACACCUACUACCGCUCCAUCGUCCAGUACUAGCAACCAAUGGUCUCUGCUGCUGGACACGGCAGUGGACACGAUAAUUCGGCAUCAUUGGCUCGAUUAGCUUGGUACUGCAUCGUUUCCAUGGGAUUGAGGUGCCUUAUUAGUUACUACUGAUUAAUUAGCCGGUGAAUAUGCCGGGUGUCCUUGUAUGCUUUAGGUGGUGUUGUGUACGUGUCUUCGGAGAUUUGACGACUGGGAAAUGGAGGAGGCAAAGUUUGCAUGUGCUUUCCCGCCCAUCAUUGUCGAUACGCUUGUACCAGUGUGAUCAAGAUUAUAAAUUAUUAACAGUAUUUUGUGUGCUACAUAGUAUAAGUAUGCUUCUAUCUUUUUCUUAUUAUAGCUUUUUUCAGCAUAUAAGGUUGUGAUUCUCCAAGGUCCUAUUUAAAUUUUAAACUUGAGAAUUAUUUUCUAGGAAAUCAAAAUAUUUUUUUAUGAAAUUCAUGCAUAAUAAAUGGUCUAUAAGCCUCUCACUAUUUCAUUAUUUAGAUGCACUAGAGGAGUCUAUUGAAAAGGCACAAUUGCCGUGGUGGUCGAACCAUGGGUACAUGACUCCGCCUUCCAGGGUUCAAAUCUAGUUGUCCAUCUAUUUACAAUUUUACAUGCUGUAAAUACUCCGUAGCUGUUUGCAUGUCUGAUGGAACCAUGGAGGCCGGAGGUUGUACUUUCUUCUGGGAAAAAAAUAGAGGGGCUGAUCCUGACUUGCUAACCAACAACGGUGGUACCUUACUACCUGUGGAAAGAGUCCUUGACUUGUGACUUCAGAGUUAGACGAUUAAAAUUUGGUCCUAAAAGGAAGACAAUUAAAAUUUGGUGGUUAUAUGGGAUGUGUUUAAUACGUAGUCCAAAUCGAAGGUUCUGCGGCUGACCUAGCAGGUACCCCCUUUUCUGAAUUGAACUGAAACCCUGCAAGCGACAACUCCAGCCCAUCGAGGUUAUUUUCUUUCAUGCCGAAUGCUGAAGCCUUUUGCUCUUUUUCUGAUGGCACUCCAUUCCCGCAGAUUUGGCAAUCCUGAAAAGGACCGUCACCAUAAUUCUAGCAACGGCCAAAGCAGUACUCCCUCCGUCUUAAAUUGUAGAUCGUUUUAAUUUUUUUAGGUUCAUAGUUUUUACUAUGCAUCUAAAUAUAGUGUAUGUCUAGAUACAUACAAGUAUCUAUGAACCUAGAAAAAUCAAAACGACCUACAAUUUGAAACGGAAAGAGUACUAUUGCGUUGGUUGAACGCAAAGGAUGCUAACCCUCCAACACAAGUCUCUUUCAGUCCAAAGCCCUUUGAUUUCCCCGUCACAAAAGUAGUAUAAUCUACCGUGUGUGACAACGAUCCGUCGCUUUUCCACUAUUGUGAUGAGAGCCGGCCGGCAAAGUCGCCGGCCGCUUAAAGGGGCCGGCCUGACUGAACUGGAUUCUUGCCGUAAUUACUGGAGUCAAACUGCCCUCCAGUCACUUCCAAUGGCCGUACCAAAUUACGGGAAGCUAUACAGGGAACAGGAUGCAGACACUUCCUCCGAUCCUAUAGGCUUCUGAUGAUUAACCUUGCUGCAUCAGCAUGCUGCAUGCAGGUUCGCGGUAGCCUGUAGGUGUUCAACAAAGACCACUAUACUAAAACGAGGCAUCAGCAUGUAGGUUCUAGAUUCACUUCGAAAAAUGGAAGAUGCUCCUGAAAUAAAAGAAAACAAUGUUUUGUGUCCAGCAGUUCAGCUGUCGAUUUCAUUUUUUCCUUUUCAGUUGCAUAAAGUGGUACUAACAUGCAUAUGACAGCGUGAGAAAACGAGAGACCUCAAUGAUCCAUUUCCUUUUGGGCUCGUCAAAACAAUUUAGCCCACCGGAAAGAGACCAAUAAUGGGCUCCAGGCGCAUGACAGCCUUCUGCAUCUGAUAGGUGCGGGCCGCCAUGGCGGAAAAGAAAGGCAACCGCCGCCGGGCCCGAGAGCGAGCCAACGGCCCGCAUAGAACGUCAACAUCGCCGCCGAACGCCGCCCGGAGGUCUCGCGCCGGAUUUCUGCGGCCUACGAGGUCGUCGGCCCUCGCGCUCUCGUAACCUUUAAGGGGCCGGCAAACCGCCCACUCUCAACUUCGGCUGAGCUGACAGCUGAGCUUUUAGCGGUCCCGGUGUGGCAAGCAAGCAUCUUUGCUGCUGGCGGAAUCGCAGGCGGCUGCGAUAGAUAGUUUGUGGAGGCCUUGUGUACUGUUUUCUGAAAACUAGCUACUCCUUCUGAAGAUUCCUUAAACUGGUUUUUUACCCUAAUUUAUAGAAAGUUUUGUUUCUUUACUCUAACUAGGGUGGAUCCAAGACUUGAAGAAUGGGAGGUCUGAUUUUUCCCCUUCUUUCAUCCCCUUUCCUUUUUUUUUCUUCCUCUUCUUCAUCUAUAGCUAAAAUUUUUAGAGGAGCUCCGUGAACUGCGCAGGGAUCUACCCCUGCUACCUUCGGACAAGUAGUACCAUCAUGAAAUCGGAAUUUCGAGAUUUAUCAAAAUCAAUUAUUUCUUUUUUUUAAUAAAAAAUCAGUUCAAUAAGUCCUUGUUUCAACCUCAACAACGGACAUCACAUCGAGAAGGACUCCACAAACUAUGGGGAAGCAUACAUUGGCCCAUGAUAUUGAAAGAAAAAUUAUAAACUACUCGAUUUUUCUUCUCCUCUCCACAUCUUCAUCCAACCAUCUCCAACAAGAUUAGGGGAUAUGGGUUCUCUUACGAGGUUAGGAAGGAGGUGGGUCUCCAGCAAGCUUUUGGAGGUACUGCAGCGAAUUGUUUGGAAGCUAGGGUUCACCAAAAUGCUCCUGCUUUAGAGGCAUGCUAAGGGUAACAGGUUUGCCGAGCAAAGAUGGCGCGGCAAGGGAGCGGAGGCACCGUGGGCCACGACAAAAAAAUAUGUGGGCUAGGAUGGGGUUGGGAGGGUGAAGCGAGAAGUAUACUGUGGCAGCAGGUUGUAGCGGUGGACACAACAAGUCAGCAACGGCAAGAUGAAGGCAGUACGGACUACUCAAAACUGAUUUUUCAAAAACUACUAAGGCAUGUACACAUUGGGAUGACAUUAGCUGUCUAGGAGAGGUGCCAUGUAGGUUUUUUAUAUGACGUGGAGGGGAGAGGAAGAGGAGAGAAAAAGUUGUCAUCUAGUAAUUAAUGAAUGGGCUGGAUGAACCGAGCUGUAUCUCACUGGUAAGGACGUAAAGUUCCUUGUGGUGGAACCUGUCCACUCAGAUUUGAGUCUUCCACUCGCUACAGUGUUUGUAGUUUUUUAGAUUUAUUUUAGGAUUUAAUCGUUAUUAUUCUUUCAGUAGUAGGCGAUGUGCCCGUCGACAGAGGGGCACAUGUAGUGACUUCGUCAAUCUCGAAAUCCGUUAGUUCAGUCUUGCGGAGGUGCUCAUAGAAGUAGAGUUACAUACUUAUAUUUAUAGGAUUGAGCGUGUGAAUGCGUGUAUAUAAACAUCUGUAUUUGUAUUUGUAUUUGUACUUUAUUUUUGGGGAAAAAAUAAUCUAGAACAGCAUAAGAGAAACUCUUAACGACAACAUUUUACCCGUUAUAAAGAUGAUGUACGUUACUUGUGUCCACAGCUCCACAUAUCACUCAACUAUUUUUCUUUUGAACGAACGUGCACUGAAUGUGUCUAUUUCAUUGAUAAUGGAGUGAAACAACCGGGAGACCCGGGGAAAAACAAAAAACUUUUGUACCCAUAUCACUCAACUAUGAGGUGUCAUUCAGACUCUCUACACACAACCCAUACAAUGUAUUGCAUACACCAACCUUCUGUACCAUGGUACACAUCCUCGUAAAACUUAUUCUGUGAGAAGUAGUUUAUUUUCUACAGAUACAGACAAACCGCUCAAUCUGGCGCACGUUUUGGGGCCUCUUCUAGCCUUGUCCAGAUAAAUUGAAGUCCAACUCCAUGCGUUCAUUCUGGGUCAAACAAACCAAGUUUCGCUGCCCUUUUUCCGGUGGCGCUUCAGUGCUCCUCUGCUUCCUUUUGCCGGUGGACGAUAAAUGUUUUGACCGGCCAAAUGAGCACGAGCUGACGAGCUGCGCUGUGCAAGUGCCAGUCUCUGAUCGAUCAGAUGAGAGACAUAAGGACGGGCGCCAAGCACAUGUCAUGCGUGAAGAAAAAGGAGAAGCAACGUCACGUUCUCUCCUGGUUGCGGCUGUUGCGGCACAUUAUUGCCAAUUUGCAAAUGGCAAGCUGGUGGAGGAGGACUACGAACGAGAUCGCAACUAUACGUGCAAUCGGUGGGAGACUGCUGCACAGCACCGCACGUACAGUACGUGCGACAACGCCCCGUUCCGCUGGGUGCCGAACGUAUACGCUACGCAUUAUCGUUGAUCGACUACACAUAGAUAACGAAAAUAAUAGCGCCGGCCUUCACCUCCUUUUAAUUUGCGCAGGUAAGAUCAGGGCCGUCGUCGUCGCCUAUAUGGGAUCAUGGGGUCUCCGAUUCCUUUUGCAAUUUGCCAACCUUUUUUCCCGUGUUGCGAAAUGGAAUUGAAUGCUCCGCUAAAUAAAAAAUCCUGAUAAGUACAGAUCGAUGUUGACGAGAUGCAAAGUCUCCGAUCUGGCGCUAAAGUAAUCCACUGAUCAUAAAAUAUGCAUGGUGGCCGAUAAGCAGAACAUGCAUGCUCAAGGAUUGAGGGUCAGAUGUUUCAAUGCAAGGCGUCGAUGAGAAAGUCAGCUGCGCGGUUGUGUCUCGCAUGGCUACAGUAGUUACAGAGUGCGACUCUCCAUUCACAUUUGCAUGUGGAAGUUGUACACACACAUUACAUGCGUAUGAAACCAUCAAAAGACAAAAAAAAAAAGUCAUCCCACAAAAAGGAAAAUCUAAAGUCAAAUGAUAGGCCGGCAAGUGGUAACGAUCGAUGAAUCUGUAUUCGGAGAUAGUAGAACAAACGAUAGAUCGAUUGUUUUGAUGCAUGAUUGCCUCCCAGUGUUCGGAGAUUAACGUCCAGGUGUAGUUUAACCCACCAGCAGUUCGUUUUUCAGUUGCUUGUGAGUUGUGACCGAACGAAUCUCCCGAUUAUUGCUAGGCCAACGCGUCAGCCGUCAGGUGUCAAUCUAAUCUACAAUUAGAUCGAAAAGAUUUCGGUUAGCUUGCCAUACUUAAUUGGCAUCCCGAUGCGUGGUGCAGUCAGGAUCAACGGUGAUCGCAGGCAGCACGGUAUAGCUACUAGGAGUGUAGGGCCCACCGUCACCAGAUUCGUGGUCCCGGUCCCGAUCCGACGGUUCAGAUUCCACGACGGUUGUUGAGAGGAAAGUUGGUCCGCUGAGAUGGCUGCGCGGGAUGAGUUGGGAAUCAUUGGCUCAUUGGCUGGCUGGCACCGCCACACCGGCGUACGGUAGGGGAGAGCUGCGCGUACGACGACCAUGUGGGUAACUGCCAAAGAGCGCGUUUAAUUUGUAAUGGCAGACUGGCUCGCGGACCGAGUACUCCAUUUCCACCAUGAUUAGCUCGGAUCGGUACGGUGGCCAUGUGACCCUGUACCUCCAAACACGGCACGUCCGAUGUGGCGACGACCACCGAUGCCCAACUGCUCGAGCUCCUUUGCCUACCUACUUGUUGUCCGUCUAUAAGUACACCGGCAGUCUCGCCCCUUACACCAUCACCAAACUACAACACAUAAGCCAACAAGUACACAGACAGAAGGUUCUUCUUGGCUUACAAGCUGAGAUAGAUGGCCGCCCGGGCAGCUGCACUCGUCGUCGCCCUCCUCGCCGUGCUUGUCGCCCAUGGCGUCCGAGCACACCCGGAGUUGAACCACACCUCCUCCGCCGCCCGCCAACUCCGCGGCUCCGGAGGCUGGCUCCCGGCCAAGGCCACAUGGUACGGCGCGCCCAACGGCGCCGGCCCCGACGACAACGGUAUGUAUGCGUUCGUUGCCGCUAAUUAGCGCUGUCGUGUUAACAUGAUGUUGCAUUGGUUUCGCAUGCCGUGUGCCGUGGUGGCUGACAUUGUGUCGUGCAUCCCCCGAUGGUUUCUGCAGGUGGCGCGUGCGGGUUCAAGCACACGAACCAGUACCCGUUCAUGUCCAUGACGUCGUGCGGCAACCAGCCCCUGUUCAAGGACGGCCAGGGCUGCGGAGCAUGCUACCAGGUAUCUCCGUUUUAAAUUAUAAAUUAUUUUAAUUUUUUUGAAAGUCAAAUCAUUUUAUAUUUGACUUAAAUCAUAUGGCAUCAAAUAGAUAUACUAUAAAAAUAUAUUUAAUGAAGAAACUAAUAGUAUUUAUUUGGUAUCUUAAUAUUUUAUUAUAUAAAUUUAGUCAAAGAUGAUAUUUUGGUUGAGGAGUAGCGGUUAAAUUACCCGGAUCAUUUAAUUCAUAAGAUCGCUCGGUCAAAUGUACAGACCUACACUGCCAGAGUAGUAGGAGUAGUAUAUUUUUUCCUCGAAGUUAACGACAUUUUUUAGUAGCCACUAGACUGAGGACUACUAGAAUUAAUUCUCGAAGUCAAACUAAAACAUGCAAAGCGCAUCUUUUCACGUUCUCUGCUAACUUAAUUACUAAACUCCAGAUAAAGUGCACCAACAAGAACAACCCCGCCUGCUCCGGCCAGCCCAAGACGGUGAUGAUCACGGACAUGAACUACUACCCGGUGGCCAAGUACCACUUCGACCUGAGCGGCACUGCGUUCGGCGCGCUGGCGCGGCCGGGCCUGAACGACCUGCUCCGGCACGCCGGCAUCAUCGACAUCGAGUUCCGGCGGGUGUCCUGCGACAACCGGGGCCUGACCAUCAACUUCCACGUGGAGCAGGGGUCCAACCCCGUGUACCUCGCCGUGCUGGUCCAGUACGCCAACAAGGAAGGCACCGUGUCGCAGAUGGACCUCCUCGAGUCCGGCUCCCGCUACUGGACGCCGAUGCGCCGCUCCUGGGGCUCCGUCUGGCGCCUCGACUCCAACCACCCGCUGCGCGCGCCCUUUUCCCUGCGCAUCCGCGGCGAGUCACGCAGGACGCUCGUCGCCUACAACGUCAUCCCGGCCAACUGGAGGCCCAACACCGACUACCGCUCCUACGUCCAGUACUAAUCAGCUUGGUGGGUUCGGUUGUUGAUUUUAUUUUGGUACCGUACCGUGUGAUUAUUGCAAAUUUUCAUUUUGCAAUGGGUUUGGCGAUUUUUCAGUAACGUGUGUGUGUCCUUGUGUGUGUGCGCGCGCGCGCACUUGGGGCGCGUGGGAAAUGGAGGAGGCAAAGUGUGUUAUACAUGUGUGCUAGCUCUCCCGCCCACCGGCGAAAGUGCGUACAACUAGUGUGCGUUCCAUGACUAGAGUGAUAUACAGCGUGUAACCAAAUCGCGGGGGUUAUGCCUCGUCAAUGGAUCAUUAAUAACUACUUUGUCGAUCACAUGAUUCCGAUUAUAUAUUCUAGUAGAUGCGGAUCCACAGCACACUUUAUUAUGAGCUUUUCAGAUCAGAGAUCACCGUAGAAACCGCAUUGCACUGUUUUUACAUUAGCAGAUGUACUGUGACCCCACGUUGCCAUGUGGUAGUGGGACGUGUAUUCAUGUUUUUUGUUUGAGGACUGGCAUCUCAUGUCUUCUUUUAAUUUUAAAAUUUUUCUUAACUCUUUUAUACAUGAUGUUUUAUUUUUAAUCUGCUCCAGCGAUAAUUUUAAAAUAGCCUAUUUGGUCAUUCUCAUGACGUAACAUAAACACUCUAUGAAGCCUUAUGCAUAAGGCGUGACAUAGUGUUUUUGUCAUGCCGUGUAGCCUGGUGUGAUAAAAAAAGGCUAGUUUAGAAAAUAUCAUCUCGAAUGGGUCCAAAACUAAAAUAUUUAUUUAAAUGGAUUGCAAUAAAAAUAGAACUACCCUCGUUCAUAACGAGAUAGUAUGUCAUGAGUUGAUCCUAUGAACUUUGGCAGGGCCGUCGAUGAGGGAGUGCGAGGUGAGCGACCGAAUAGGGCCACCAAAUUGUUAAUAUGUGAUUAAGUAUGGAUUUAAUCAGGAAGGGAAAAGGAAAAGGCCCAUUGCAUGUCCAUUCGUGGCCAUCACUGCUAGACAGUAUCCAGAAGAAUGAAUGCAUCAUGUAUGCCAUCACUGCUAUACAGCAUGCAUGACAAGCCUCUUGGUGAGUGUGUCGAUCGAUCAACUAAUGAUGAAAUUCAGCAAUUAUUUUAGUGUUUGAUUACUUCUAUAAUUGCUUUGCCGUAGAAGGUUAAAACUUCGGAUAGGAAGUUUUUUUUUUAAGAGUAAAGUGCAUGACCGGUUCUUAAACUUGUCCAGCUGUUAUCGGUAUUUUAGACCGACAACCCGCCUAGGGAGUUCCCAAGGUGGUGUUUUGUGCGUGGUGUCGUCGAGAAUCAAGGAGUCGAUGGUGACGCAAGGAACACGAUUUAGAUAGGUUCAGGCCGCUAGAUCGCGUAAUACCUUAUGUCCUGUGUGUUGAUUGUAUUGAUCUUGUUCUUCGUUGUUUUGGAGGGGGUCCCUGCCCGCCCUUAUAUAGUCGGGGGAGCAGGGUUACAAGGCGGAUUAUGUAUAAGAGUCCUAGUCGAGUAUGUUACAGAGUCCUACUCUAACUCGGUAGAGUAGUUUCCUUUUGAUCCGACUAGUCUUCGGGGAGUCCAUGAAGCCUACGCGCCCUGCAGGGUAGUCUUCAUGUCCAAGUAGGUUUUGGGUACGUUCCUUUGAGUGGAUCCGUACAAGUCUUCUGGUGGGCCCGAGGGUGCCCAACCAACAAGCCCCUGAGUACUUUGUAGUUGAGAGGAACAGUUCCGAGUACUUGAAGAACAUUGCCCGAGUCUCCUGGUGCUCCCCGAGUACUUCUUACUGCGGUCAACCUUUGAGUACUGAACCUGUACGUGACUGGAAGGUACUCUUAGCAGUUCCCGACGUUUGCUUCGAGUAACCUUUGUCUUGAAACUUUUCAUAUGGUAGUGUGAUGACAAUCGCACUCCAUAUGGAGUAGCCCCGAGCCUUAGGUUGAAUCGAAGAAUCAGGCUGAGGGUCAAACUUGUAAUUUUGCUUCGACUUAUCUUAGUCUUCAGAAAAAGAAAACUUUAUCCAACGGGUAAGGUACACGCAGCCCCCGAGCACUUGGUCGAUUACUUGUAGUCGGAGAAGGGAUCAAUGUCUUGGUCUGAGUAGCCGUCGGAUACUAUAUGGUGGUAAAUCUGAGUCGUAUCUGACCAUUGCUUGAUUAAUGGUUGGAAUCCGAAAAUGUUGCUGAUAUAAUAGGAGGGCCCAACGCUAAUUAUUGGCACGCCUGUUGUAGCAGAUCUGCAAUUUGCAUCCUUUUUGCAACCCUAGUGCCGCUGCUCCUGUUUGCGCUGCUGCUUCCAUUAUUGCCCUACCCAAUCUUUUGAAGAGAGAUCACUGCAGCCUUCUUCACCCCCUUUUUUCCUCAAGAUUAGUUGAUGCAUACCAAGAAGAUGGGCAAGAAACCUGAGAAGAUCUAGGGGGAGGCCACGACCACCAGCAAGUUGAGAUCUAGAUCCAAGAAGGGCAAGGAGCCUGAGUUGCCGGUGCCCAAGUGUGGCUCGACGAACCAGACUGCGCCACCGCCUCUUGGGGCCACCUGCAGCAUUCUGUGAUGAAGGAACCGGUGGUUCAGGCCUUGGUUGAUGCGAAGCUGCUCCAACCAAAGGUGGAGCUUGAGUGGAGGCCUGCAUAUGGAAAUACGUGGAAAUUCAAAGAGCACCCCAAGGAGACAGUGAUGCUGGCUCACGUUAUCGAGAGAGGCCUAGCGGUGCCUACCUCUAACUUCUUCAGAGGUAUUCUCGAGUAUUAUAGUCUUCAGCUAGUCCAUUUGAAUUCGAAUGGCGUGCUGCAUAUGGCUAUCUUUGUACACUUGUGCGAAGUGUACUUGGGUGUUUUGCCUAGUCUGGACUUGUUUAGGAAAUUGUUCUGGUGUAAACCACAACCCAGCACGACUAGGACAUAAGUCUUUGGAGGAGUUGGGUUUCAGUUGAGAAACUCGGGUGCGUAUCUUGAGUACGACCUGCCUAAUUCUCAUGACGAUUGGAAAAAGAGGUGGUUUUAUAUUGGGAACCAUGAUCCUGUCUUACCAGUAGUCACCGGCCAUGCUCUGAAACAUGCAGACAACUGGGUAACGGAGCCUGAGGAUACCCAUGAGAUCACCGACUUGUUGGUGCAGAUUUCCAAGUUGAGAACUUUAGGGUUGACUGGGGUCCAUGUAGCCGCCAAUUUCCUCAAAUGCAGAGUUCACCCCUGCAACAGCGUGCUCAUUGGGGUUUCGAGUACACGGGUUUUAAUGACCCGUCGCGUAUGUCCCCUGAAGACGUAUCCGACGAUGAUGUGGAGGCGUUGUUGGGUAAGUUCUUCAAGAACUAUCAAGGAGUGCCAGUACUCCUAGGAGUCCUCUGAUAGUUUGACGGUUGGUAUGGACCCACAGAGGUAUUUUUGCUUCUCUUUGUUCAUUUUGUGUAGUCGAAGAUGUAGUCGGUUGAUUUUGUUGACAAGUAGUACUUUCCGAGUAACAAUGUUGUCUUUUGUAGUCCCGGGUGCUGGUUGGUUUCUUGACCACGCCUUCCGAGGAUAAGGAGGUAGCCGAGGGUAAAACUGAAGAUGCGCCUUCUGCUCCUCCGGCUAAGAGACGCGGAGUAGUGCGGAAGAAACCCGCUACUCAGCAUACUGCGACUGCUUCGGACUUGACCCCUGAUGGGUCACGAGGUACCAAGGUAUGUAGUCGUGAGUUGUAACUAUUUGAGUACUUUGAGUUUCUUGUUGACUUAGUCGUAUUACUUCCAGAAUACUGACGAUAUUAGUCUGUAUGUUGAAAAGGCCGCCAACUUGACUUUUGGUGAUCACGAGGCUACUUCUGCUGAAGUAGUCAUGAUUGCCAUAGAUGCAGCUGCCGGUGUCGCGGUUGUUGAAGAGCUUUCUGUGGAGGAGGUGUUGUCAAACUUAGGGUCAGCAGCCCCCGAGCGUGUAGCCCCCGAGCCGAUAGCCCCCGAGCUGAGAGCCCCCGGGCAGGCUACUUACCCAGUAGGUGAUGAGGCCACGGCAUCUGUGGUGGCGGAUGCUGUGAAGACACCGGAAGUAGCUGCUGAUGCUUCGUUGUCUGAGGAUGUUACUGGUGGUGAGUACGUGAUCUGUUCUGGUAGUCGUGUGUACGUAGUCUCAACCUUGGUUCUUUUCAGGACUUAGCGAAAGAGUGGAGGACUUUCCUCUUAUGGCCCCUGUGGAGCCAGUGCCAAGUAUCUAGUCGGUGGUAGUCGAAAAGAGGCAUGUUCGUUUGCCACCGCGAUCAGCCUAGUAAGGAUUUUUGUAGUCUUUUCCUUUGUUUGAUGAUUUUUGUACUUUGUAGCCGGAUGAUAAUCUUGUAACUUGAUCGAUCCAGGGAUGCUGAAGACAUUAUUUCCGUCGAGGUGGAGGCGGAGGUUGAGGUUGGCCCGUCAACUACCGUUUCUAAGCCCAUAGUCGACUUGACUAUGGAUGCUGCUCUUGAGAUCGAAGACGCAAGUCUUGUGGGUGCUACCAUGAAUAUGCUACAGGAGGUCAUCCGCUCAGUGGAGGGCCUUACGGUCCUUGAGAGUUCUGGAGAUGUGCCGCCUACAGCGGCUGAAGUUGCGUUGACUGUGAGCGCGACUGGUGCUGAUGCCUUGGCACUGGUUGUUGCGAUAGGAGUAGGCGAAGUCGGCGCAACAGGUAUGUUACUGGAGUAGGUAUGCUUUUGAAAGGGAGCUCCCUUAUACCCAGUAGCUAACCUUGAUUUUUUCUUGUCAGGGUCUGUUGUGAGUAAAGUGCCGAAGCCUCAAGUCGCCAAGAGCACUGGGGAUUCGGUACUCGAGCUUCCAUCGGAGUCGGAGAUCAAGAGAGCUAUCCAGAGCUUUCAGGUGUGUAUGGCCCAUUUUCUCUGACUAAUUGUAUUUUGACAAGUCUUGAUGCUUGUGUUGUGGUGUUGUAGGAUCUGUAUGAUAAGGCCCAGAAAAAUACUCGGGCUCUUCAAGAGCACAGUGAAGUCGCACAGCGGGUAGCGCAAUUGGAGCAAGAGUGUCUCCGCCUUACAGAUUCCUUGAGAGUUCAUGAGGAGGCCGCAAAAUCUUUUGCGAUUGAGAGGAGUGAUCAUGAAGUCCUUCAGGAGUGACUGGAGAAUCGCUAUAGAUCUUUGAAUCAGAGAAUAUCAGGGUGAGUACUCGUGGUUGUUGAGUAUGUUUUAAUCGUAGUCGUAGAUUUUUCUCUGAUUUCUGUGUUGCUUGACGCAGAGCUCAAAGGCAAAGAGGCUGCUACAAGUAGCCAAGUACUUGACUGGAGAAAUGCUCACGACCGGGUAGCCGAUGAGGCCGUCCACCUUAGGGCGUCACUAGCGGAAACUCGGGCAGCUUACGAGCGCGAGAAGGAGAGGAAACAUCGGAUGGGAAUGAUGCUGGCAUUGGCUAUGGUGUCCUAUAGAGGCCAUGCUAAAACUGCGGAGAAACUGGAGGGUGUUCUUCAAGAGUUGACUAGUGCUGCUCAGGACACAGUCAAUGCUAUUGCUCCAACCGAAGAUGAUGCUGAGCCUUUCUCGCUAGUCGAGAGACUGAGAGCUGCCCCGGGUAGAGUCGCUGGACUGUGCAAGACUAUCUGCAAGCAAGUCCACGCAGUUGUCAAGUCAUAUUACCCGAGGGCGAACUUGUCAGCGGCUGGAGAUGGUAUUGCCCGGAACUGCACAGAGGACGCUUAUGCACAGUAUCUUGAAGAGGCUGAGCCCAUUGCAGCGAGGAUGACCGAGUUUAUAUCCUUGGAGGAACCCUUGUCGUUUGAACUCGUGUUGUAUUUUUUGCCGAACACUUGUGACUGUACUUAAACAAUUGUAUUGUAAAUCUUGCUCUGUCGAGAAAUUUAAAUUCUGAUUAUGAACGAUGAUCUUUGUUGGUUGACCUCGUAGUCAGGAAACAAAUCCGAGUAAUCGAGUAGUCGUAGUAUUUGGUGUGGUCUUCAAUUAUUGAAGUUGCUGGUAAGGGUAUUGUAGCUAUUAUUGCCUUGUACUUGAGAGGGUGCAUGGGUACACUGUUCACUUUUGUCCGUUGUGCUCAGUGUGGUCACAUGCAUGGAGUUAAGUCGUUUUUCUGACCUUUGUCAGUGUCUCAGGUUAUUCGUCACGAGCGAGCAGUAACUGCGAGUAGUUGGCAGUUGCAGCCCUUCAGCUAUAAGUGAGCCUCUGGGUACUUAAUCAGGAUUAUGCCCUUCAGUAUAGUGAUAGCUUGCUUCAGGUUGCUGUUGUUUGAUAGUAGAGAGCUUCAAAUGAGUGUCCCAGUGCUAGAAGAUUCCUCAUAGAUUAGAGCCACCUUCCUUUCACAGACUCUUACGCUCGUAGGGAUAGCCGCGAUGCUAGAAGAAUCCUCGUAGUAGGGUUUGCCGCGUGCCUCAUCUUGCAACUCGUGAUCCAGCUUAGUUCAUGCUGGAACUUGCGAGUGAAGGAUGAUGAGCUCCGCGGUCUUUAUCCGGCUCCUUGAUUAGAGGUGGAGGUGUGGCAUACGGUAAGGACUUGUGCGCUGAAGCUGUCCAGGGAGCAGCUUCGGGGAGUGCACUUCGUCUCCCUAGUGCUUUUCUUCCUGAUCCCACGUCGGGUAUUCAUCCUGUCGCCGUCGAGGGAGCGACGGUGAAGGAGUACCUGGUGUUCCGGUUGUCAGGGGGAGGAACCAGGGUACAACUACCUAUUGCAUAGCUUCCUUGUGUGCAGGUCCUGCCUUUUGACACGGCUUACACCUUGGUAGUUGAGUAGUCACCAGGCUUGUGUAUCCUUGUGAUAUAGUAAAAGCCUGGGACUUCUGUUCUAACUGCCAGUAGGUAGUUGCUUGUGAAAGUAAUAGAGAUUACGUAGAAUGCGUGGGAUAUAUUGCUUGAGCCCCUGGUGGAUGUGAUCGAAGCCAUGGAGGAGGGCGCGGGUCCGAAGCGUCAGCGAAGGCUCUCGAAUACACAAAAGCAGCAGCUUCUUGUCAACAGGGUUAGCAGGACGAUGAGCCAAGCGUGAUGGUAGAUGGUGCAGCUAAAGAGCGCAAUUGCAUCUUCCUUCAGCAGAGUCGAUGGCGGUGUCCGCGAGCGUGCAGCAAUAGGUGCAGACUCGGACCGAGAGCCAGCGUGAUGAGGACCAGAAGCAUGGGUGGUGCCACCGCCUGAAAAGGUGGCGUCGCCGACGAGGAUGGCGUGAUCACGAGCGUCGCCACAGCAGCCUGAAGGGCGCAACAACAACCUCGUCUUCGGGAGUGUCGACGAUGAAGUGACGACGGGAUGGUAGGGCGACGCAACUCGAUCUAUGAUCGGGAAAUGGAAAAAUAGCAGCAGCAGGAAGAGGCCCACAGAGAACCAGUCCGACCGGCGAAGGCCGGCGGAGGACCGGCGUCGCCGACCGCGCUGGUCGGUGCGGUCAGAUGUGCUGAUCGGAGGUGCCGAUGGAGCGGUCGGGGUGGUCGGAUGCGCCGGUCGGAGGUGCCGGCCGGGGGCGGCGCUAGGUUGCGCCUGAAGGGGCGCCCGCUGCCACCAGGGUGGUCGGGAGUUGUCAGGACGGCCGUAUGCGCUGGUUGGACUGGUCAGGGGGUGGCACCAGGAUGCGUUUAGACGGGCGCCCGCCACCACCGGGUGCCGUUGCGGCCUAGAGGGGCGCCUGCACCGGUCGGCGGCAGCGCCAGGAUGCGCUGUUCUGGUCGGAGCAGUCAGGGGCUGCCGGCUGGUGCGGUCAGAUGCGCCGGUCGGAGGUGCUGAGGGAUCAGUCGGGAGCGGUCGAGGUAGCCGGAUGCACCAGUCGGGGGACUUGCAGGCACGGUCGGGCACUUGCUGUUGCGGUCGGAGCGCUCGCCCACGCGGUCGGGUGCUUGUCGGAGGGCGCCCGCCGCUGGGUUCCACUGCGACCUGGAGGGGCGCCCGCUGCCGCCGAGGCGGUCGGGGUGGCCGGAGGUAGCGUCAAGUUGCGCCUAGAGGGGUGCCCGCCGCCGCCGGGUGCUGCUACGUCCUGGAGGGGUGCCCGCCACCGCCGGGGUGGUCGGGGGCAAUCACCAGUCGGAGCGGUUGGGGGUGGCGCACGAUGCACCUGGCCUAGAGGGGCGCCCACCACCGCCGGGUGCCGCUGCGGCAUGGAGAAGUGGAGGGCCGCCCGCCGGCGCCGCCGGGGGCCGCCGCGGCCUGGAGGAGUGGAGGGGCGAUCUGCUUGCUGCUUGACCAUGAUCGGCACGGUGGAUCAGAGGGAUCGGCCACGGAUCCUAUGAGGGCGCUGCCCCUGGCGGAGAUUGAUCUCCCCGGGGGCGGCGCUUGGGCAGCAGAAGUCGGAGGCCUAGGGUUUGUAACCUAGACUCGUGAUACCAUGAAAGUAAUAGAGAUUACGUAUAAUGCGUGGGAUAUAUUGCUUGAGCCCCUUGGGCUGAUUAUAUAGGAGUACAUGGCUUGGAGGGCAAGUGGCCUCUCCUAGAGAUAAGAAAUGUUAUCCCGAGAUUACAAUCAAUUCUAAAGUAACCAUAUCCAGAGUUGCCUAAUAUACUCUAACAACUUACAGUCGUUGUUGCGCAAUUGUGUUGUAUUUUGUAUACCCCGACUUCAUUGGGUAGUCGAUUGUAAUCCUGCGGAGUUUCGUUAAUGCAAAAAAUGCAAGUGUGAAGUGAGUUUGAGUACUCCUUGACUGAUGGUUGCGGCAAUCUUGUGCCUUUGAAGAACGAAUGACUAGCGCCGUAGCCGUGGCUUGUUAUCAUGGAGCAUUGUACCACAGUGAGUCGUGGCUUUGUGAAACCACUUAGUCUUGUAGAGACGAGUCGGCGAGAGAGCAUUAAAACUCGUAGAGCUGAAGAGCUUGAGUGGCUGUGAAUAGCCAACGAGUUGUGAUAACUCGAAGAGACUUGAUGAAAACAAGUCGAGGGCGGAGCGAUGGGGCUCGCUGAGCUGAAGAGCUCGAGUGACUGUGAAUAGCCGAUGAGUUGUGAUAACUUGAAGAGACUUGAUGAAAACAAGUCGAGGGCAGAGUGCUGGGGCUCGCAGAGCUGAAGAGCUCGAGUGGCUAUGAAUAGCCGAUGGGUUGUGAUAACUCAAAGAGACUUGAUGAAAACAAGUCGAGUGCGGAACGCUGGGGUUCGCAGAGCUGAAGAGCUCGAGUGGUUGUAAAUAGCCGACGAGUUGUGAUAACUCCAAGAGUCUUGAUGAAAACAAGUCGAGAGCGGAGCGCUGGGGCUCAUAGAGCUGAAGAGCUCGAGUGGCUGUGAAUAGCCGACGAGUUGUGAUAACUCAAAGAGACUUGACGGAAUCAAGUCGAAGGCGGAGCGCUGGGGCUCGCGGAGCUGAAGAGCUCGAGUGGCUGUGAAUAGUCGAGCGGAGGCAAAGAUAGGUAGUGUUUGCCAAAGAAAUUUGUUGUUUAAUAAACUGUGGGUGAAGACCCGAGUACACGUCCUGUAGUCUGCUAUGGGUAGUAGCGACACAGAUGCUCUAUAUUCCAAGAGUUUGGUACUUCUUCACCUGAGAGUUCCUGUAGUCGGUACGAUUCAGGCCCUAUGACCUUGGAUACGACAUAAGUACCUUCCCAUGAUGAGUUGAGUUUGUGCAGCCCUGAUGUGUCUUGAAUGCAUUUGAGGACCAUGUCACCCACAUUAAAGGAACGUUCCUUGACAUUACGGUCGUGAUAGCGUCGUAGCCUAUCGAGAUUCUGGCUGACGGAACUAGUGCUGCACAUCUUGUUUCUUCUAGAUUGUCCAGGUCUAGGCGUCUUGUUUCCUCUAACACUCCUUCGUCAUACUGCUCAACUGCGGGAGAUUGCCACAUGACGUCGGUAGGGAGGAUGGCCUCUGACCCAUAUAUGAGGAAGUAGGGAGAGUGCCCAGUAGGCUUGCAUGGUUGAGUGCGUAAUCCCCAAAGAACAUUGGGUAGUUCUUUGAGUCAUUUGCCUCCUUUCGUGUUACCGAUGUCAUGCAGUCUUUACUUGAGAGCUUCAAGUAACAUGCUGUGGGCAUGCUCAAGUUGGCCGUUGGCCCUUGGGUGAGCGAUGGAGACGUAUCGUACAUCAAUUCCGCUGUUUUCGCAGUAUUCCCAGAAGUCGUGGUUGUUGAAGUUGGAUCCCAAAUCAGUGAUGAUCCUGUUGGGGAAACCGUAGCGAUGUACGAUCUCGUCCAGGAAGUUAAGGACUCGGUCGGCCUUAGGGCAAGUGACAGGUUUGACUUUGAUCCACUUGGUGAAGUUGUCAAUGGCCAUGAGUACUCGAUUGAACCCUCCUAGCGCAAUUGGGAGUGGACCAAUCAUGUCAAGCCCCCAGCAUGCAAAGGACCAUAUUGGAGGUAUUGUGAUGAGUAGGUAGGCGAGGACAUGUUGUUGCUUGGCGAAGAAUUGGCAGCCUUAGCAUCUGUGGACUAGAUGUUUUGUGUUGGCUAGUGCCAUGGGCCAGUAGAAGCCUGCUCUGAAAGCUUUGCCUACAAUCGUUCGUGAAGAGGCAUGAUUACCACAUAUUCCUUUGUGUAUUUCUUCCAAGAUUUCUUAACCUUCUUCUCGGGUGACACAUUUCAUGAGUAUUUCUGAAGAUGCGCUCCUUCUGUAGAGCUUGUCUCCGACUAAAACAUAGCUCUUUCCUCAUCGCGAGACUUGUUCAGCUUGGUUCUUGUCAGAGGGUAGUUUUUGUUCUUUGAUGUAGUCGAUGAACGGUGAUCUCCAGUCAACUUUGAUCAUCAUGAUCCCUUGGUUGGGUGCUGGAGGUUUUGUGUUGGUAGUUGCUGGAGUGGCUUGUUCUUAUAUGGAAGGCUUACGAAGCUCGUGUACAAAAAUGCUUGCUGGAACUUCUGCAGGAAUUGAGCCCAUUUUUUAUAACACAUCAGCAGCUACGUUGUUGUCGUGUACGACAUGGUGAAACUUAAGGCCUGAGAACUUGUUCUCUAGCUUGCGGACUUCCUUGCAGUAGGCAUCCAUGUUUUUCUUGUUGUGAUCCCACUCAUCAUUGAUUUGGUUAAUGAUGACUAGCGAGUCACCAUAUACUAGUAAUUGCUUGAUACCGAGUGGUAUUGCGAGACGAAGGCCAUGUAGAAUUGCUUCGUACUCGGCUUCAUUGUUUGAUACUUCCCAAAAGAUCUAGAGAACGUAUUUGAGUUGUUCACCUUUUGGAGAGAUCAAGAGUACUACUGCACCGGUGCCUUCAAGCUUGAGGGAAUCGUCGAAGUACAUAACCCAAUGUUUUGACCUUUCAACUGGUGUUGGUACCUAGUUUUCCCUCCAUUCCGCCAUGAAGUUGAUUAGAGCUUGGGAUUUGAUAGCUGUUCUAGGUUUGAAAUCUAGAGACAGAGCUUCGAGUUCUACUGCCCACUUGGAGAUUCUACCCGUUGCAUCCCUGUUAAGAAGGAUUUCAUCGAGUGGAAAGUCGGUGAUGACGGAUAUGCUGUGUUCUUAAAAGUAGUGUCGUAGUUUCCGUGAGGUAAGUAGGAUCACGUAGAGUAGCUUCUGCACCGGUGGGUACCGAGUUUUGGAGUCCGAGAGUACUUCACUGACGAAGUAGAUGGGUCUCUGGACUUUGUAUACGUGGCCUGGUUCAGACCUUUCGACUACUACUGCUAUGCUGACAACAUGAGUAGCAGCAGCUAUGCAUAGGAGCAAGUCCUCGUUUGGAGAUGGAUCCGUAAGGAUUGGUGGUUUUGACAGGAAGUCCUUAAGCUAUGUGAAGGCUUUGUCUGCCUCUUCUGUGCAUUGAAACUUGUUUUGUCAUUUGAGUAGCUUGAAGAAGGGUAAUCCGCGUUCUCCAAGUCUUGAGAUGAAUCUAUUGAUGGCUGCCAUGCAGCCUGUAAGCUUCUGCACAUCUUUGAUGCCGGUUGGAGCUUGCAUAUUUGUGAUGGCAAAUAUUUUCUCCGAGUUGGCCACAAUGCCAUGGUAGCUAAUGAUGAAUCCGAGUAAUUUUCUUGAGGGUACACCGAAAAUGCAUUUUGUAGGGUUGAGUUUCCACUAAAAUGCUCCUAGACUUGCAAUGGUUUCCUCUAAGUCCGCGACUAGAUCGUCUGGAUUUCUUGUUUUGACGACUACGUCGUCCACAUAAGCUUCUACAUUGCGGUGUAGUUGCUUUUUGAAACACAUAUGGAUGGCACGUUGAUAGGUCGCACCUGCGUUUUUUAGCUCGAAAGACAUUGUUUUGUAGCAAAAUGCUCCAAAUGGGGUGAUGAAAUCUGUUUUGGCUUGAUCUUCUUUUUUGAGGGCUAUUUAAUGAUAGCCUGAGUAGCAGUCGAGAAAUCAUAGCAAAGCACACCCAGGUAUGGAGUCGACUACUUGGUCGAUCCUGGGUAGUCCAAAGGGGUCCUUUGGGCAAUGGUUGUUGAGGUCUGUGUAGUCGACUCACAUCCUCCACUCAUUCUUCUUCUUGCGAACGAGUACAGGGUUGGCUAGCCAAUCAGGGUGGAAAACCUCCUUGAUAAACCCUGCUGCAAGUAGUUUGGCUAGCUCUUUUUUUAUUGCAUCUCUUCUGUCCUGGACGAACCUUCGUAGUCGUUGUAUUUUUGGGGUAGCUUUGGGGUCGACAUUUAAUGAAUGCUCAAUCAGCUCCUUGGACACACCGGGCAUGUCAGCUGGCUUCCUAGCAAAGAUGUUGUGGUUAGCCCAAAGAAAACUGACGAGCGCGCUUUCCUAUUUAGGGUCUAAUCCUGUUCCAAUCAGGGUUGUCUUGGAUGAGUCACCAGUUUGGAGAUUGGCGGUUUUGAAGUCCUUCUCGCUUGCUGGUUUCACCUUAGUCGAUCCCGACUUGUUUUCUGGGAUCUUGAGUUCAGUGGGGCUGAGUUUCUUUGAAACUGUGAAGACUUGUUGCAUGGGAUUGGGUGCUUGAGAUGUCGCUGCAAUCUCGACAGCUUUCAUGUCGCACUCGUACGAUCGCCUCAAGUAUCGACAUAGUGUUAACUCACCCAUAGGUUCUGGCAUCUUGUGUACUAGGUACAUGUAGUGUGGUAUGGCGAUAAACUUGGCCAGGGCUGGUCUUCCGAGUAUGGUGUGGUAAGAAGUUUCGAAGUUGGCAACCUCAAACCUGAUGUACUCGGUUCGGUAAUGUUUGUUGGUGCCGAAAGUGAUUGGUAGGACAACUUGUCCUAAAGGUAUGGCAGCAUUUCCUGGGACAAUUUCGUAAAAUGGUGAGUCUGUUGGAGUAAGCAUGUCUGUGAUGUCGAAGCGCAUUUUCCUUAGUGUCUUGGCGAAAAAUGACAUUGAGGCCGCUUUCGCCAUCGAUGAGUACUUUGGUAAGUCUUGAGCCUGCGAUGAUAGGGUCGAGUACUAGAGGGAAUCAGCCUAGUUCUGAGAAACUUGUCCAUUGGUCCUUUCUGCUGAAAGUUAUGGGUACUUCAGACCAUUUGAGUGAUGUAGGAGUUGUUGGCUCGAUAGCCAUAAUCUCUCUAAGUACUAGCUUAUUGGACCACUUGGAUGCGGUACCUGGGAUUCCACCAAAAUUGACGUUGACCGUUUUAGAGGCAGUUUGGAACUCACCUUCACCUUCGUUAGCUUCGUCGACCUUGCCUUUGCGCUUGUCCUUCUUCUGACCAAUGUCUUCAAGAGGGGGUGGUGCGGGUAAUUCUUGCAUUACUCGCCGCAUGCUGUAGCAAUCAAUCGCUGAGUGUUUGCUGUUUGGAUUCCAUGGGCAUUGCUUCUUGAGUAACUCGGUGAAGGAGGCCCUGUCAUUGCGUUUGGGUGGCCCUUUUUUUCCUGAGUUGGAGAUAGCCGCGACGGUGUUGUCAGGUUUGCGCUUGCGGUUUUGAUUACCCGAGUAGUUGUUUCGAGUAUCAUUGUUACGUUUCUGUCUUGAUUAUGAUUGUUGUUAUUAUUGUCGCGAUCACAGUUGUGAUGAGAGCUAAAUCUCUCACGCUAUUUAUCUUUUUUGUCUACCCAUUGUUGCACCAUGAUUUUGAGAUCUUUGACAGUGGCUGGUCGACGCCUGCCAAAGUCUUGGUAUGUUCGACGAUCAUAGAGGCUAUUUUGAAAGCACUCGAUGAUGUCCCCCUCUGAAAUGUCGACUAUUGUAGCCUUCUUUUCAAAGAAACGACGUAGGUAGUCGCGAAGUGUCUUGUUUUCCUUUUGUUUGACUUGGCUCAGGUCAAUUUUGUUGCCUGGGUGAGACAUGGAGCCCGCAUAAUUAUUAGUGAAAGCCUUCGUCAAGUUUUCCUAGGAAUCGAUUGACUUGGGCUUGAGUGACUCGAGCCAUGUUAGUGGCGCGGGUUCCAUGCAUAUGGGGAUGUGAAUAACCUUUGUAGCAUCGUAGCUAGUGAGUAGCAUCGUAGCCAUUGGACUGUGUUGACGCAAAAAAUCGGACAGUGGCCCUGACUCUUGCAUCGGACACACGAACCGGGAGAAUCCGCUUAGCACCUGUUCGGGUUAUCGCCCUGAUGCAGUUCACGCGGCGUGCCAGUCAAUUUGACCUGUUGAUUGACAAGAGAGAAAAGAUAUCAAAUUCUAGAGAUUUGAUCGCCUGAAUUUCCGAUCUAUUCCAAACGAUCUAUCCACGGAUUGGCCGAUUUAAUGUAAAGAUGACCGGCUAUGAAACAGCCGAUGAUCAUGUGGCAAUUGUAAAAGAAACUACUGGAGUAACCUAAACAAUGCUACAGAGACAACACUUGGAACAGAUCUAAUCGGCUCUAUGAUAAUAAACAAAAUAUUGAUAUAGCCGACAGUUCAUGCUGCAAGCUGGAUAACUGGUGAUAAAAACUAAAAUAACAGGUAAAACCUAUAAUUCUAGUAAAUAUCGAUAACUAGUGAAUAAAUCUAAAAGAAACAACAGCGAUGCACUCGAAGUUAAAGCUUAGAUAUUACUCGAUACGCGGAACUUACAAAUUGGCCGGAGGUCGUGUUGAUGCAGCACUGCCAACUCGUACGAACUCGUGAAAAGAAAAAGGGUUUGGCGAAGUCGCCAACUUGAAAGUAAAGUUGCGUGAAAAAGUAGAUUUUGUAUUGAUGAUUGUUCGUUGUUCUACAAGCCUCACAAGGCACCUAUUUAUACCCUAUUACAACUGAUUUCCUAACCGACUAUGAUUUUAUCUCUUGUUCAAAAUAACAAAUAUUUACAUACAGAUACAACUCGCAUCGGAGUCGAGGACCAAUCAAUCCUCUAUGGGCCAACUCUGUCUUUAGUUUGUUACCGCCUUGGCCCAUUCAGGUGCAUAUCGGCCGAGCUGCUCUAGCUUCCAAUCGGCUAGUUUCCAUCGACUUCAUCUGCUAAUCGGCCAAAACACUGUAGUUUUAUCGGUCGAUUUCCCUAGCGACAGCCUCCUAUUUGACUUCAUUGGCCAUUCUUUUCUCUCCCUGACGCCGACCCUAACAUGUGUAAAAAACCGGUGUCAACACAUGCCCCACAGUUUUGGAGUGAAACAUAUCUUUUGCUCCGAAAUUUUCUCAACUCUGAUUCCUUCCUUCUGAAGAGAUGCAACAAUAGAUGCGGCAAAACCCUUUUUUCUCCUGAAAUCUUCUCCCUAAUGAUUACAUUUUUCUGAACAUAGCGCCCACAGGAAACCGCCCUUUUUUUAAAUUAGCACAGACGGUGUGGUAAAAAUCCCAUAUUUAUCCCUCUCUCGAGCCAUUCCCAAACACUCAUCUCUUCCACCGCUUCUUCUUCCUCUGGGCGAAAAGGGUUUCCUUCCCAGCGAAUUGUCUCCCAACACACUCCGACGCCCCCGCUUGUUCCACCUCCAGGUGCAUUCCAGUGCACUCCGGUGACUUUCUCCCGUUCUUCAUCGAUCGUGCCGGCUUCCAAGUCCCAAUGGCAGGCCCCACAGCCACCAUGGCCUUCAUCCCGGAGGUAAAGUCUUCUGAGCCCCCAUUUUUACCUAUUCGCGAUUUCUAGAUCUGUUCUUAGUCUUUCUUCACAUUUGCUCAGGAACUUAGGCAGAGAAUUACCAUCCCCAUGGCUGACACCCCUGGACUCAUCGGUCUUGGUCCUAUGGGAGAUCCUGACCCAACUGAUCUGAUUAGCCUGGAAACUCAUAGGAUUCCAUUUAAACAAUCCACUAUGAAUUUGGACAAUUGGACGAACACCUUCAAGUCUUGGCCGAAUCAGACUCCCGGUUGGAGAGAGUGUUUUUUCAGGAUGCCGAAUUCCAAGAGAGUCUUCUGGGAUGAGCGGAAAAUCGACCACUGCAUAAAUUUGUCCCUAUCUCAUAUGGAAAGGAAUGACUCUCUACUCAUCACGGCAUCUUAUUUCGAGUCCGACGCUCUCAAUGCGUUUCUUUUCGGCCACGGACCAAUGACUCCAACCUUGGCCGAUGUUCUAAUGCUGACUGGCCUCGAUAUCUCCUCAGUUGAUAGACUUUUCGAUCUUUUAAUCAAACCCACCGAUUGGCUGGAAAUGAAAGCCAUCGACGGAUGGAAAUGCUUUAUCGAGAAGAACACGAAGACCGGACCUAUCACGAAAAAGGUGCACACAACCUCCUUGAUGAUGUGUCUAGAAAAACAUCUUUUCUUUGGCAAAUUAGCCGGUCCUACCUCCAACACGCAAGCUUUGGCCGAAGCACUAGUAAGAGGUGCCGCCGUCCCUCUGGGAAAACACUUGCUAGGGUCAGUGUACUGCAUGUUGCAUCAAGUUGCCGUGAAGCUAUCAUCUGGGGUACCCAUCGGGAACCCUGGUGGUCCUUGGUGGUUUAUCAAUCUCUAGCUCAAUUUAUACAUGAGCAAAAUCUUCAAAGAGCGGAUCGAGACUAAGACCUUCCCCAAUAUAGAAUCAGAGACUAACCCAUCGGCAAGACGCCGCUGCACCUCUUUCGGAGAAGCUGUAUCUUCUUUCCUGGGCAGCAAGCUUGCUCCCUCAAGAAUAGCCGAGCACUUCAGAUGCUUUUACAAUGGCUUCAAAGAAGAAGUAACGAACUGGUAUCCAUAUCAAAUAGAAGAUCCAACUUUUGAGAAUCCUGACUGCUUUGACUCGCGUACCAAUACUUUUGAUGAGAGAAUCAUGGACAUCCGGAUUAAACCUAGAAUUCUGUCGGUGAACUUCUUUUCUUGGAAGGACUCCCCAACAUAUGAGUUCUACAACCCAUCGGUGGCAGCCAGAUAAUUCGGCUUGGGAUAAAUGCCAAUCGGAGUCCACUUCGUUGGCCGAGUGAAAUUUCGAGAACUGGUUUCAAGAGGAUUUGAAUACAACAGAUUAUGCAGUUUGACACGGAACUCCAACACCAUUGAUCUGAGCACUUGGCUGGUGGCACCCUUCUCUACUUAGCAAUUCAAAUUAUGGUGGGCCGAGUGGAAACAACACCUCUUCUGUGUGGUUCCUGCGGUGUAUUGCAAUCAACUGGACCCCACUCAUGCCGAUCCAAACGCAAAGGUAACAAUAUUUUUCCUGCCGAUUCCUUGCUUUCAUUCUUUCAUGCCAAAGAACUUUUUCAUCACUGUCCAUUCUUCUCCGUGCAGGUCGAUAGCCAAGUGCCUCCAACGCACAGUCGGAGCGGCAGGCUGAUAGAGACCCACCAUCCAUACACGUCGUACCCUCUUAUUGGCUAUCAUGCUCCAUCAAUGGAAGAUAUAGCCACCGGCCGAUUGAAACACAAGAUCAAAAUGUCUACCACAAAGAAAACGAGCCGCAGGGUACGAGCUCAUAUUGAAUCGGCGACAGCUCGGACAGUCGACCAAUCGGCAGCAACGUCGGCCGAGCCCUCAGCCGCACCAAUCCAAGUAGGUGUCUUGCCAACAAUUCAAGACAUUGAUCCUCUGGUGGCAUUAGAAGCUGGGUCGGCGGUUGCAUCUCUCCUAGUGGAGGUCAUAGAGGUAAUCUUACUGCUCUAACUUCUUCAUAUGUAUCACCAAUACUAAAUUCGUUCCUUCUUAAGAGGCCGCACAACUCAUUCCGGAGCAGACUGUUCCUCAAUCGGUCGAUCUCUGAGCCGAAACUGUGCCACUAGCAAAUCUUCAGAUUGAGGUAAAGAACACGCUCUUCACUUAAUCUCCAUCACUCCUUCAACUAAAAUCGGAUGAUUCCUAGCACAGGAUGCUCUAGACACAUCGGUCGUCCCCCGUUGAGUGCCCAUCGGCCGCACGACUCCUAGAGGUAAGAAAACCAAGACCCACAUUUAGAUCUAGUAUCCUUUUUAUACUGACAAAUUCUUUCCUUUCCCUUCUUCAGGAGGUUGGUCCAAGCACAUUACUGGCUAUUACCAGAGAGCCGAUUAUCAUCGAUUCUUCUCCCUCUGAUGAACUACCUCCACCGAUUCCUGAGACAAGAGUAGCAAUUCUGCCAACCCAAGCAGAAGAUAUCUAUUUUGAGGAGGUAAGAACCUUCCAUUUUUGUCAGCCAAUUUUUUCAUUUCUGUCAGCUAAAAUGCUUCUCCUCCAUCUCUGCAGGAAUAGGAUUCACCAAACAACAGCCUCUUCUCUUUUGCUGUCGCGGUCUCUCACGAUGAGGAAGUUGCAUCACGCCAGAUAACCUUGAGCUUAAUACCAGAAGACGUCCACGCCAAGUUCCAAAACAUGUGAGCCCUUCUCCAGGAAAAUGUUGGCCGAUUGGUGGAGGAUGUUGAACCAAUACAUCGAAUAUUCAACGAGAUCAAAGGGUAAGUCCCAGAAGAUGCAGAAGAGGCUUUUACACCCGCGGCAUACAUCGAAACCAUGCGGGUCCUAGUGUUUAGAGCCUUGCGACACAUGGCUGAUCGUGCUAAACUGGAGAAGGUGCGUCAAGAAGAAGAAUCUUACAAGCAUCGUGCGCAAGAGGUACACCAACGGAUCGGCAUCCUUGAGACCUCCCGUCCAAGCAUCAUCAGCGCAAUACAUCAGCUUAAACGGCGCAGAGCGGAACUCGCCAAAGAGAUGGAACAGUUCGUGAAAGCUAUCGCCGCCGAAGAAAAGAAGCUUGAAGAUCUUCCGACUGUCAUCGCCGAUCUGAAACAAGAAAGGCAGACCCUUGCUCAUGAGGCCAUUCGUCUCCAUCGUAACGUGCUAGAAAUCCUAGGAUCGGCCGAUGACGAUCGGCGAGUGCUGGAUGCGGCCGACCAGGUUCGCCUAUGAGCAAUCGAGGCCUUAAACAAUCUCCUCGGAUAAUUGUAAUGAACUCAAACAGCCCUUGAAAGUUUCGUAUAACAUUGAUAUUUUUGACGUUUCUAUCUUGAAUGCGAAUCUAAACGGCCUUUUCCGCAGCCUUUUGACUCAACGGUCACUUGCUUUAAAUGCUCUCCUUUUACUAACCAUUGACUGUCACCAUCUUUUUUUUAUAAAUACGAGUCCUUCGCAGCCCCUCCAAAAGCACUCGCACAGCACCUUGUAGACACUGCCAAGUCUCAGAUCAAGCGACCAAGAUGGCUUCCUCCUCUUCUGCCAAUCAGGUACAAAGUUAACCUCUCCCUCUUUGAUUGAUUUUUUCUUUCAAUUGAUCAUCUAUUACUCUCACAGCCAAACCACCUCAGCCCCGGUCUUGAAUGAGCCAUUGAAAUCAUGCACUCCGAUGAACCAUUGACCCAGGCUGACAAAGAUCUGAUCCAAACUCAUUGCGAGGAACUCAAGGAUCACCUUCCUACACACAUCAAGAGGAUUAUAGAUGACAUCGAGGCCAAAGCUUCUAGAAGACCAACUCAGCAACCAGUCGAAAGGAGCCCUUAACCGCCUCGUCAAGUUGCCCUCGAAGAUGACAUGGCAGAAGUGGAUGAAAAGAACGCCCAUCUUUAGAUCGAAUUAAAUCGACUUCAAAAAGAGAUUGACAUGAAUAAAGCUCGACUGGAACGCCAUUGAAUUAUUGUAACUUAUGAGUAUGUUGGUACUUUUUAUCUGAGGGCGACUUGUACCAUGUCGGCCAUGUAUCCAGUUGAUGUACCGAAUAAUGAUCGGUUUAUUCAUAUAAAUCCUUUCAUCUUAAGGUGAUGUCUCUCGUAUCGGCUAUAUGAACACGACUCAAUACGCGUCAGUCGUGAAAGCCCGAUAUGCCAUAUUAUCGACUAAGCGUCUACCCAUGUACUGGGGUAGUACCUUUUCAAAUAUCUUCCAUUCAGAGCCCUUGUAAAUUCCUCUCCCUCAAAAGUCUCCAGUAUGUAUGCGUUGCCUGGAGCACAUUGGCUAAUCCGGUACGGCCCUUCAUAGGUAGGCGACCAUUUUCCAUACUUGGGAUCUUUAGAUCCUAUCGGCAGGACCAACUUCCAGACUAAAUCCCCUUGGGAAAAUUGCUUGACCUUAACCUUCUUGUCAUACCAUCCAUCGACUCUUUUCUUAUUUUCCUCAAUACUAAUCAAAGCCCUUAGCUGCUAAUUUGCCAAAUCUUCCAGUUCUCCUCUCAUGAGGGUGGAAUAGUUAUCGGCUGACAACUGAUCCAGAAGUGGCACACGUCUAGACCCAGCCUUCAAUUCCCAAGGUAAUACCGCUUCAUGUCCAUAUACCAACUGGUAAGGGGACACCUUGGUGACACCAUGACAAGCCAUCCGAUAAUCCCACAAGGACUCAUUCAGCGUCGUAUGCUACCAUCUUGGUUGUUCUUAAAUCUUCCUCUUAAUCAGCUUAAUAACCCCUUUGUUUGAUGACUCGGCCUGACCAUUAGCCUGAGCGUAAUACGGAGAAGAAUUCCACAACUUAACCCCCAUACUGGCAGUGAACUCCUUGAACUCCCCUGAAGUAAACAUUGACCCCUGAUCAGUCGUGAUAGUCUGAGGAAUACCAAAUCGAUAAAUAAUAUGCUCCUUCACGAAUUCAAUCAUGUUGGCCGACAUCACGACUUUCAAAGGGACUACCCCAAUGCACUUGGUGAAGUAGUCGGUCACCACCAAUAUGAACUUAUGCCCUUUGCUUGAUGGUGGAUAAACCUGUCCGAUAAGAUCAAUUCCUCAGCCUCUAAAUGGCCACAGCUUUAUUAUCGGGUUCAUAGCCGAGGCCGGAGCUCAUUGCACGUGGCCAAAUUUUUGAUAAUCCUGACAGCCUUUAUAAUAUUUAAAACAAUCUUCAAGUAUUGUCGGCUAGUAGUACCCAUUGUUUCUGAUCAUCCAUUUCAUCUUGAAGGCCAAUUGAUGGGCCCCACAAACACAUUCGUGGAUCUCACCCAUCAAGAUUUUUGCUUCCUCCACGCCGAGGCAUUUGAGUAAUACUCCAUCAAUCGUUCGAUAAAACAAAUCAUCUUCAUGUAACACAUACUUUGUGGCUUGGAAGCAUAUCCACCGAUCAACUUUCUUGGAUGGAUCCCUUAGAUAGUUGGCGAUCUCUCUCCUCCAGUCGUCGGGUGCCAACUCUAGAGCCAAAGCGCCAUGAAUCGGCUGGUAACCAGAAGCGUGCUGGGCAAGUCUAUUGGCUUCUUCGUUGUAAUCUCUGGGGAUAUGUUCAAUAACUACAGUCUUGAACUCUUUCAGUAACUGAAGGCAUUCUUCAUAAUAAAUCCUCAGAAUAUCAUCCUUGCACUCACAUUUUCGAGUCAACUGAUCUACGAUAAGCAUGGAAUCCCCAAAUAUUUCCACCGCGUCAGCCUUGACCUCUCUCAACAGUUGGAUGCCCUUUAAGAUAGCCCGAUACUCUUCUUGAUUAUUAGUGGCAGAAGCCUCAAUCAGUAGAGACAAAUCAUAACUUGCCGAUCAAGGCGAUAUGAGGAUGAUGUCGAUUCCUAAUCCAACCCCACAUGAAGAUCCAUCAAAGUAUAAAGUCCACAGAGCUGGUUCGACGACAGUAAUUUUUGGUCCAUAGUGUUGGGCUACGAAAUCAGCCAUCACUUGACCCUUGAUAGCCUUGGCCGAUUUGUACCUCAAAUCGAAUUCUGAGAGGGCCAGAAUCCACUUUCCAAUCCAACCCUUUAAAAUUGGCAGUGAUAACAUGUACUUGACGACAUCAUCUUUACACACGACUACACAUUCCGUCGACAAUAGGUAGUGCCUGAGUUUAGUGCAAGAGAAAUAUAAGCCAAGGCACAACCUCUCCACUGGAGAAUACCUGGUUUCAGCGUCCAAGAGUCUUCUGCUGACGUAAUAAAUUACCCUUUCUUUACCUUCAAACUCCUGGACCAGCGUCGAACCGAUAGCCCGUUCAUCAACUGAUAGAUAUAAUCUGAAAGGCUUAUCAGCCUGAGGAACCAACACGUGAGGGGACACCAGAUAUCGUUUGAUGUCACCUAACGCUUUCUGUUGUUCUUCAACCCAAACAAAUUCUUGGUUGGGCUUCAAUCUCAACAAUGGGCUGAAAGCUUGAAUCCGUCCAGACAAGUUUGAUAUGAAUCUCCGGAUGAAGUUGAUCUUGCCGAUUAAGGACUGCAACUUAAUCCUGUCUUGUUGGGCCACAACUUUGUUGAUGGCGGUUAUGAUCUUCUGGUUGAUCUCGAUGCCGCGCUCGUGGACAAAAAACCCAAAAACUGACCAGCCAAAACGACAAAAGCACACUUGUUCGGAUUCAGUUUCAACCCAUACUUCCUCGUGCACUCCAUCACUUUGCACAAAUCGGCCAAAUGCUGUCGAUGUCCCUUUGACUUGACAACAACAUCAUCGAUGUAAAUUUCUACCAGAACACCGAUAAGCUUGUGGAAUGUAUAAUUCAUGGCCCUCUGAUAUGUAGCUCCAGCAUUAUUCAAACCGAAAGUCAUGACUACCCACUCGAACAAACCGAGAUGACCAGGACACCUGAAGGCCGUUUUGGAGAUAUCUUCUUCGGCCAUUAAUACUUGAUUAUAUUCGGUGUUACCGUCCAUAAAGCUGAUGACCCUGUGUCCCGCGGUGGCAUCUAUCAAAACAUUGGCCGUCGGCAUCGGCUAUCCAUCCAUCGGCGUAGCUUGGUUAAGAUUUCUGAAAUCAAUGCAAACAUGUAGUUUUCCAUUUUUCUUAUAUACAGGAACAAUAUUAGAAAUCCAAACGGCAUAUCGACACUGCCGAAUGAACCCUGCUUCAAUUAACCUCAUGAUUUCAGCCUUUAUAUCAGGUAAAAUUUUUGGGUAACAAUGUCGUGUGGGUUGCUGAUAUGGCCGGUAACCCUGGUUUUAUGGGCAAACGGUGUUCGACAAUCGACCGGUCUAGACCAGGCAUUUCAUGAUACUCCCAAGCAAAGCAAUCUUUAAAUUCCCUUAACAAAUCCACUAACUCAUGCUUAUACUCAGGAUCUAACUUGGCACUAAUAUACGUCGGCCUUGGCUUGCUACCAUCUCUAAGGUCUACCAUCUCUAACGAAUUGGCCGACGUAAACCCAUGCCCAAGCUUCCCAUCCUCUCGGACGUACUCAUCCAUCAAAACGAUGCUUCUGAGCCGACUGCUUAGAUCGACUUUAGACCGAAAUCGGACACCUUCAAGAAAUCAGUGUCCCAGGUCCUGCCAGAUAUGCAUCUGACGUGCUCGUAACUCCACUAUUGCGUGUCGGCUGUGGCAACGCUGUAAGAAGAGUCGGCGGUGACCACUUCAAUCGUGUCGCCGAUCCACUGUACAAGGCAUUGGUGCAUUGUAGACGAGAUGCAACAGUUUGCGUGGAUCCAGUCUCACCCAAGCAGCAUAUUAUAGGACCCUUUACAUUAAUGACAAAGAAAGUGGUGGGUAGGGUCUUACUGCCAAUGGUGAGGUCGACGCAGAGUACCCCCCAGGCUGGAGAUAUGUUGCCUUCGAAGUCCUUGAGCAUCAUGUCCAUCUUGAUCAAGUCUCCUUCCCCUUUGCCAAGUUUUCAGAACAUGGCAUAUGGCAUGAUGUUCACCACCGUGCCUCCAUCUACCAACAGCUUGGUGACUGGUCAUCCGUCAACAUGCCCCUUGAGGAACAAAGGCUUGAGAUGUUGGUGUUUUUCAUCUUCGGGUUUUUUAAAAGUGGUGGUCAUUGGCUCCAUAGCCAAUUGAUCCAUCCGCUCUUCUACCUCUGUUGCAUUAUCGCGGUUAGCGGGAGCCAUGAACUCCAUUGGUAAGAUGAACACCAUGUUAAUGUCAGCAGCCGAACCCUGAUUGUCAUUUUCUUCAUCAGCUUUUCUUCUAGGGCGCCAAACUUGAGAUUUGACUUCUUUUUUCUCCAGCGCUUGCCUUUGCUCUUCCUCCUAUUGUUCCCAUUGGCGUAAGCGUUGGACCCUUCUCUUUUAGGAUUUGGUUAAACCAUCUGGGCACCAUGUGGGGUUCACUAGUUUACCCGACGGCUUCGUACGUUCCCUACCCGGUUCUGGCCCAGAGGAUUUUCGUUAGAGACUUUUGCGUCGGCCAUCUCUCCCAGCCCAUUAUAUGCGUUAGCUCUGCCCCCCGGCUGAUUAUACUCAUUUAUUCUGCCCCUCAGCUGAUCUCGCACUGAAACGCGCCUGUCUUCUUGUUCGAGCCUUUCUGCUGAUCGGCUCCUAUCCUCGAUCUCCGGAGCGUGACCUCUUAAACGGACGGCCGUCGAGGUACUGGCCGUUGCACUUAGGGCAGUUGUCGGCCGAUGGCAAUCUGAGAUUAUUUUCCCAACAGUGGAUGAAGAACGGACAUCUCCAGUGGUCCUUGUGCCGGCGCAUCAUCUUGUCCUGGCGUCUCGCGUCUUCCUUUUGCCUUUGGUACUUGGUGACUAAGUCCCGAGAUGUGAUAGGCCAACGGGGCCUCUCCAAGUUCUCAUCCUCUGUUUCUACUCGGCCUUUACCUUUAACAUCACCGGCCGAGACCUGAUUCCUAGGGUCCACGGCCCCGCUCCUUCUGGCCGAUUCUGACGUCAGCACCUUGGUCUGGAGUGCGUUCUUUCCGCCGACAUCGACCAUGUUGGCUGGGAAGGGAUGCUAGUCGAUUUUCAUCUGUUUUGUUGGUUUUGUGGGGACUUCGAAUUUAAGUCUCCCUUGCUUGAAGGCCAACUUUAUUUGCUGACGAAAGACUUUGCACUCAUUGGUGUUGUGAGAUGUGGCAUUGUGCCACUUGCAGUACUUCAUCUUCUUAAGCUGUUCGGCUGACGGGAUUGUGUGGUAGGAUGAGAGCUUGAUCUGUCCCUCCUGUAGCAAUAAGUCGAAGAUUUUAUCAGCCUUAGAUGUAUCAAAGCCGAACGUCUUUGGUUCCUUUUUUCCAAAUGGGCACGAGAUUGGCAUUUUGCCUUUGACCCAUUCUGCCAAGCCGAUUUCUGCCUCCUCUUUUGAAUCGGACCCUCCCACGUAUGCCACCUUUUUUGGAAAUUUCUUCGUUGGUCAAAGAGGUGCACCUCCUGGCCGGACAGCCGGUGUACUAUCUGGCUCAAACUCUCGAACUCCUGGGAAGCAUAUUUUUCUUUGAUGUGCUGUAGGAGCCCUUGAAAAGCGGUAUCGGCCAGCUGGCCAUCAGUCAAAACCAGACUGUAGCUUUUGUUCCUCACCUCUUUGAACCUCUGUAUAUAUAACUGGCCACCAACUCGUCGCUUCUUUUCUUGAGGCUAGUUAGAUCUGACAGCUUCAUCUCGUGGACCCCCGCAAAGAAGUACUUAUGGAAUUGUUUCUCCAAAUCGGCCCAAGUGACGAUGGAGUUGGGCGGCAGCGUAGUGAACCAUUGAAAGGCCGACUUGGACAAGGAUGAUGAGAACAACUGUACCCUUAGAGCGUCUUGUGCAGCAGUUUCUCCGCACUGGAUGAUGAAUCUGUUGACGUGCUCCACCGUGGACAUGUCAUCUUGACUCGAGAAUUUAGUGAAGUCGGGCACCUUGUACCGAUGAGGGAACGGAAAUAGGUCGUAGGCGGCUGGGUACGGCAUUCUGUAUGUGUAGGUUUGUAUCUUUGGCUUCAAUCCGAACUGGUCUUGUAUUAUAUCAGCUAUUCUUGCGGUCCAAUCCACCUGCUGCUGCUACUGAUGUGCAAUCCGCUGAGCCAUUGGCAUAUGCUGUUGAACUUGCGGCACCAUGAUUGGGAGCGUGGUGUAGAUCUUGCGGCUGGAUUGUCGGCUGAGGAGCCGAUGGCUGUUGACAAGUAGGAUCGACAUGUCGUAGCGCAUCUGCUGCCUUAUCGUACAAUACCAUUGGCACCGCAGUUCUGAGGGGAUCCGGAAUGCCUACCCCUCUGCUGAUUUCCGGAGCAUUUUGUUGAUAUUGCGGGACUUUCGGCCGAGAAGCUGAUGGAAAUGAUGUCUGCACCGGAGAUUUUGGGAUGUAAGCUCUUGGAGGCACUCCGUAACCAGUGGAUGGAUCCAGAUUGGCAGGUAUGCCUGCCAUUUCCAACUGCGCCGCUAUAACCUAGGGGCAAUGUAGUGUUGUACCUCCUGUUCUGCAUCUGCAUCGGCUGAGGAGCCGACUGGAACAUGCUAGGUGCCGCCGAGAAGCCUCUGACCGGUGCGCUGAUAGGAGGGGCGUAAGUUGGCCCGUGAUACCCCUGUGCCACACCAUUGGCCAUGGAGCUGAUGACGGCGUUGUACACUAUGUGAGUCAUCACCAUGGACUGAUCAAUCAUAGCUUGAUAGACAGACUGUUGGAUCAUCUCGGACAUCUUCCCCAAGUCUUCGGGAGUCGGGAGAGCGGUUUUCCUGACGGGUUCCCCGCUCCUGAUCCGACGGUUUUCUUGAAUUCUUCCAUAGCCUUUGCCAUCUCAUCCCUAUGAUCAUCCUUGAGGUCUGCCUUGGUAACUUCAAUGAUGUUGUCUUCAAAGAUUUCAGCAGCCUUCCACAUGUCGAAUCUUCCUUUCAGUCCCACCGGGCAUGCCAAAAGUGUGUUGACGCAAAAAAUCGGACAGUGGCCCUGACUCUUGCAUCGCACACACGACCCGGGAGAAUCUGCUUAGCUCUUGUUCGGGUUAUCGCCCUGAUGCGGUUUCGCGCGGUGUGCCAGUCAAUCUGACCUGUUGAUUGACAAGGGAGAAAAGAUAUCCAAUUCCAGAGAUUCAAUCGGCUAACAUUCCGAUCUAUUCCACAAGAUGUAUCAGCGGAUUGGCUGAUUUAAUGUAAAGAUGACCGGCUAAGAAAUAGUCGAUGAUCAUGUGGCAAUUGUAAAAGAAACUACUGGAGUAACCUAAACAAUGCUACAGAGACAACACUUGGAACAGAUCUAAUCGGCUGUAUGAUAAUAAACAAAAUAUUGAUAUAGCCGACAGUUCAUGCUACAAGCUGGAUAACUAGUGAUAAAAACUAAGAUAACAGGGAAAACCUAUAAUUCUAGUAAAUAUCGAUAACUAGUGAAUAAAUCUAAAUGAAACAACAGCGAUGCGCCCGAAGUUAAAGCUUAGAUAUUACUCGAUACGUGGAACUUACAAAUUGGUCGGAGGUCGUGUUAAUGCAGUCCUACCAACUCGUACGAACUCGUGAAAAGAAAAAGGGUUUGGCGAAGUCGCCGACUUGAAAGUAAAGCUGCGUGAAAAAGUAGAUUUUGUAUUGAUGAUUGUUUGUUGUUCUACAAGCCUUACAAGGAACCUAUUUACACCCUGUUACAACUGAUUUCCUAACCGACUACGAUUUUAUCUCUUAUUCAAAAUAACAAAUAUUUACAUAUGGAUACAACUCGCAUCAGAGUCGAGCACCAAUCAAUCCUCUAUGGGCCAACUCUGUCUUUACUUUGUUACCGCCUUGGCCCAUUCAGGCCCAUAUCGGCCGAGCUGCUCUGGCUUCCAAUCGGCUAGUUUCCAUCGACUUCAUCGGCUAAUCGGUCGAAACACUGUAGCUUUAUCGGCCGAUUUCCCUAGCCACAGCCUCCUAUUUGACUGUGUCAGCCAUUCUUUUCUCUCCCUGACGCCGACCCUAACACGUGUAAAAGACCAGCGUCAACAGACUGGGUCCUACUUGCCAUCAUACUUGGUGAUCCCUGUCGGCUUGAACUUCUCAGGUAGUUUAGUCUUCAUUAUCCGUGUAGUGAAGGUGGGGAAGUGAUCAUAGUUGUUGGCUUAGCUGUCACGUUCGCGGUGAUGGUUGUUAUUGAUUACCUCUCUUUGGUCAUUGAAGAUUGAGGCUUCGCGAUCAGCUCUAUGGUGGCGAGGGCUCUUUGCUGAAUUAGUGCAGCUAGCCUGUUCUGCGUCUUUGCUUCGCCUUGGGGCCUCGCGUUCAUCUGUACUUUGCCUUUAGCUAUGUUGUCUCGACUGGUUGACUACUUCGUUACUAUUUCUUGGAGCCUCGUGAUUGCCACCGUGGACUGCAACGUCUCUGCUGCCGUCCUGAUGGGCCGAGUUGCGAGGGAUAGAUGGGAUUGGCGAUUCCUUGUCGAGUAGUUUGUAAGCUUGUUCUGCGAGUUGUGCUAUUAACUCGUUGCCCCUUUCGGCGAGUUGUGCUAUUAACUCGUUGUCUCUGUCAUGAGGUAUGAGAGUUGAUAUGAGAUUGAUUGAGGCAAUUGCUGCGAGUGGAGUGUUGUGCUCUCGAGCUUGCACUACAUCGAAUGCUCUUUUGAGGUUCACGAUGGGAAUGUUCGUGGCUAGUAGUCGGCGAUGAUCUGCUCGGGCAUCAUUGCGUGCUCUUCUUUGAUUUCUCUGUUCAGAGGUUUCAUCUUGUGGGGCGGAGCUGACAACUCAUCUUGUGAGACUUCGUCGAGUUGUCCAACCCAUCGAGGAGUUUUUUGGUGGCUGGCACCUGCGUCGUUGUUUGGUGAUGUGAUGACGAAGAAAUCUCCGUUAGGGUACUAGCUUCCAGAGCUUGAUGUUGCAAUCUCCGUAGUGCUUCCUUCUUCAUGGGUUUAAGUAAGCGGGAUACCCUCUUGAUACGGGAGGUUGUCUAUGUUAGCGACAAGGCGCGACUUGUAAUCUUGGGUAAGGAACGGUGGCUUCAUCUCAGGCUAAUAAACGAAACUUCCUUGUGGAGUCGAAGUAAUUACCAAGCCUUGAGCUGGGACUGAUAAAGGGAUCUCUUGGAGAGAGUCCGAGUCGUAGUCGCAGUCCUUAAAUGCCUCUAGUCUGGAUUGGCCUCGAGUAAGGAAUCCUUGGUGGACCGUGGUUGCAUUGCAGAGUCCGUGCGGGAAUCAACUUCGAGUUGAAGUCGAUUUGCGGGAUGACUUCUAUGUCAGCCUAUGCGGGCUAGUCCAAAUCAAGGUCGAGUCCGAGCCAUAGUCCAACUCAAUGUUGUUGACGUUGAAAUUUUGUAUUUUCCCGACGAGAUUCUCUGCUUCUUCAUGAAGAAAGUUUUCGUCGAGACACUUAUUUUUCUAGUUGCCGAUGAUGCAGCGUUGAAAGGAUCCAGCGCCGUCAGCGAUGCAAAGCUAGGAACCGAAGACUAGUGCCAUCGAUCUCACGCGUAGAAACUCGGUGACUUCUCCUACCUGGCGUGCCAGCUGUCGGUGUUUUAGACCGGCAACCCACCUAGGGAGUUCCCAAGGUGGUCUUUUGUGCGGUGGGUGUCGUCGAGAAUCAAGGAGUCGAUGGUGACGCAUGGAACACGAUUUAGACAGGUUCGGGCCGCUAGAUCGCGUAAUACCCUACGUCCUGUGUGUUGGUUGUAUUGAUCUUGUUCUUCGUUGUUUUGGAGGGGGUCCCUGCCCGCCCUUAUAUAGUCGCAAGAGCAGGGUUACAUGACGGAUUGUGUAUAAGAGUAAUAGUCGAGUACGUUACAUAGUCCUACUCUAACUCGGUAGAGUAGUUUCCUUUUGACCCGACUAGUCUUUGGGGAGUCCAUGAAGCCUACGCUGUAACAACUCUACCUUAAUUAGGUAUAGUUAAACUUAAGCAAGUCAUUAGUCACUAAGUAAAAGAGGUGAAAUGUUUACAAAAACUUGAGUCUUUAUAUACAAACUUAAAAAUUUGCCCAAAUAAGAGUUGUAAAACUUUUAAUUUCAAAUAACUUUUAUUAAUAACACUUGGCCGAUUCGGAGUAGGAGAAGGUCAAAAACGAGAUUCAAAUUAGGAGUAUAUCAAAACCCUACAAAUGACCUAAGUCCUGGAAUUCAUGUUUUUCCUCAAGUUUGCAACCAGUUAUCUCACGAUUUUAUGUCUAACCUCAAGUCAGACCUUAACUAGAAGUUGUAGUUCCUUGAGUGUGUUCCAACUUUGUUACACUGACCCAGGUCCAAAUCGUAACCGAACCUACUCAAAAACUUGGUCAAAAUCAUGUAAAAUAGUCAACUCAGCCUUUUUACAUGCCAGCGCUGUGUGGAAAACAUCCAGAGCGCGCAUCUUGCCGAGCCUGUUCCUCCAAAAAUCUGAUCUUAAAUCAAGAAAAGUCCUUAAUAGAAGUUGGAGUCCUAAGACCGAAGAACUUUUCCUUCAAUUACACUUUGGCCUGAUUCAAAUGGGAAGCUACUCAAAAUCUUAGCCAAAGUUGGCCCAAAUGCUGAAAAAACAGCAAAACCAACAUCUGCCUAAGUCCCCGGAGGCCGGCGUUCCGCUGAACUUUGCAACUCCAUAGUUUCAAAUUCGUCUCAUUUUCAAGCAAACUCCUUUCAUAAAGUUUGAAGCCAGAUGUUAGGUCUCCAAGUUUUACUUUUGGAGUUUCACGAGUUCUUUUGAAAAGUUUGGAGAAAAAGGCCCCAAAACCGGCCCUGUUUGACUGCCCUGAGGAGCACCCCGCCCCGCGCGCGCCCACACGCUUGCCCGUGCGCCACCCACCGCGUGGCCGCCGUCCACCGGCGAGCUCGCCGUCGCCCAACCGGCCGCCGUGACAAGACUGCUCCCGUGCCCGGCUGCCCAGUAGGCGAGCGCCCUUAUCCCACCCCUAGCAUCAUGCAUCUCUUCGCUCCGUCCCGAGCAAGCUCCGCUCGCCGGAGGACGCCACGCCGCCACCUUGGACCAGCCAAGCUCCGACCGCCUAUUGCCGCCCGGACAGCGACCGCACGCGCGCCUCACUCCGCCAACCCCUGGUCGCGGCAAACCCGUGCUUGCACGACUCGUUUUUCCCAAGGCCAAUGACCGGGAGAUCCUAUCCCGCGGUCUCCACGCCUCGGCCAAUGGAGCCACCUCCAAUGGAGCUCCGGCCCGCAGCCCACCGAGCCUCCCCUGAUCCUAUCCACCCGUGCCUGAAGCUCUGCCUCACUCCCCGCACCUCCGUGGCCCUACAUAAGGACUUAUGGCGCCGCCUACGCCGCCCUCCGCCACUUCCAGCGCCGCCACUCCCAUAUUUUCCAGUGCUGCUGCACAGGUCUCCCGUGGAGCCCCUACCACCGCGCUGCCCCGCACCUCACUGACACCACCGCUCGCUCCGCCGCACCACCACGCACGUCUCUAGUGACUUGUUGCCCUCCCAGAGCCCCGCUGUCGCUGGAACUUCACCGGGACCCCGCCGCUGAAGCUGCUUCCAUCCCCAAGCCAUUCCGCCGCCGCCGAGCCUGGUCCGCCGCCCUAACCGCCGCCAAUCGACCCUAGGUGAGCCCGCGCUCCUCCCCGGUCACUUGUUGCCCUAGCCUGAGCCUCACCUCGCCGGAAUCGGGCGAAGAUCGCCGCCGACCGCCGCAAGGACCUGCUUGUGUCGUUUACCUUCUUACAAGGGCCUUAGCGCAAGAACUAGGGAUCCCUGCGUAAUUAAACCGUAGACCCGAGGGCUAGUUUGUAGGUUCUUUUCGGUUUAUUGUUUUAAAUUGGCAGAAAAUAGGAUAAAACUUUGUAAAUGCACCAUAAAUCGUAGAAAAAUCAGAAAAAUGCCAAACCACAUUUGUUGAACUUAGUGAACUGUCUAGUUUCAUGCAAAAAUAAUCUUGUCCAUGUUAGUGUUGGAAAUAAUACCUUAUAGUUUUAUUUCUUGCUUAGGACUUUUAAAAUCAUAGUAAAUCGAAGAAAAAUGCUAAAAAGGUAAAUCCAACUCUCUGGUGUAUAUUUCAGUGAGUAGAAGCUCAGAAAAAUACUUAGGGCCCUGGAGUAGAAGUCUACUUAAAAUCACUGUUUUAACCUUAUAUUUGAAAUCUAGGGUUAAAUCUUCCUUUUUUCAUAAGUUUUAAUCCAGAGCUGAGAAAAAUGUGAAACCACUUGGAGUAGCUUAGUUUCAAAGUGUAGUUUGUAGGAAAAAUAUGGAACCAGGUCAGAAACAGAAAGAAACCCACCUUCCUUUAUAGAGAAAGAUAAAUAGGAGGAAAAUAUAGGAAAUAGAUGUCCUUCUCUAAAAAUCAUGAAAAUUUCACCCAAGUCUCAAUUACACGCCUUCCAUCUACUGUUAAUUUUUCACCCUCAGAAUCACUGCAGGUUUUGAGAUAAAAAUAUUUCAGUGCAUGCUACCCUUGGUGGUAAAAUACUUUUAAUUCUUAUUGUGGUAAUCCAAUGGAUCCAUAAUUUUAACAGCAACUCAUUGAUGACAUAAGUAAGGAUCUGUAAUUUUCUCAUUGCCUUAUGAUGUUGUUUGCUUGUGGAACCAAAUUUUUGAUAAGAAAUCGGUUUAAGGGAAUAAAGAAAUAUAAGUCCUAAUGCACCUAAUGGGUAAUUUUUGGAAGAGCUACAAAAAAACAUUCAGAAGUAAAUAACUCUCCAAAUGAACCCCGAACAACCCUAACAACGACCCCACCUUCCUUAUGCAACUCUACGUUGUAAGAAUCAUAUAUAUGUACACAAUCGCCAUCAAAGUCAACCUUGAGUUUAAACCACAACCCACCUUACUUUAUGAAGUUAAUGAAAGUUAGAACCUUGUUUAGGUGAAUGUGGCCGAAAUGCAACUUUCUUUCCAGUAAUAAGUCAUGCCUUGCAUCAUUCGUACAAAAGCAUGGAAAACUCUAAACUCUUUGCAUAUGCAUGUCGUAUAGAAGCCAAUAUCGCCGAUGGAACCUAGGAGCUCCACCCUACGCUGGAAGAGGAACCCGCCGCAGAGCUACAUCACGCGGAAGUUGAGCCCGAGCUAGAUCAAGACCCCGAAGAACCACUAACUUUUCCUGAAGGCAAGCCCCGGUGCAUGCUUCCCUGUUUUAAAUUGAUGCAAAUAUGUUGAUGCUUAUGAUUGUGCAGUUACGUUGUAGGAAUUGAUUGAAACCGUAAAUGCAUGAACUUAGUACCUUGAUUUGAAAACUAGUUGCUAAGAUUGAGUAGGUGCUGUGCUAAAUAGGACUCGGUAAAAGUCGAGUGAUUGCCUGUCACUCACGAGUUAUAGGAGUUGUGUGAUUACUCUUUCUACAACUAUAAGGAUGACGGACAAGACCGGGAAUGGUUCCGAUGUGGUGGUUUGCCCCGUCUGUCUAGCAAUGAACUUGCUAAGGUCGAAACGUGUCGGUGUUCGUGAUCAAGUGUUUGAAAGUACUAAUCUCAUACCUAGUAUGGGAUAGGGAAGCCUAGUACCUGACUGAACUGGGGCGUGUCAUACCCCCCUGCUGUCCUUGGAACAACGUUCCCAUGGUGCAUCAUGUGGGUGCAAGUAUGGUCACAGUACGGUAGAGGCCGGGACUAUGGAGCAUUGCAUGCCAAGUUUGAACCUGACACGUGCCUAAGGGAUCGACGGGGACGGCUGACAAAUGAAGCGACCCUUCGUGGUGCGCGGAUGUCGUGAGAUUAGGUUCGCCAUGCAUGGUUAAUAAAUUCGAAUCGAUUCAUCUGCCUCUUACAGUUUGGGACUACUUGAUCGCUAUUUUGCACUGAGUAAAGAUAGAACUCUAGGAUGUUAAACUUGAUGGUUGAUCUCUAAUUGUUUGGAAACAAUGCUUGCUUAGUAUAAGUUGCUAAUUUAGACUGGUUAAUGAACUUAGAACUUGAGCUAAAAUAUUGAAAGUAAGGACCAACUGUAGACGCUUUUGGCAAAAUAAACCCACAGCCAAAAAGUCUUGCAUGUCUAGGAGUUGGUAAAUUAGCUAUCACCUGUCGGGUCAGUCUUGCUGAGUAUUAGUUGCUCAGCCUUGUUGGUGGCUUAACUUUUCAGGUAAUGUCGAUAGUGUGGCUGUUGGCACCACUUGGCCUACCCAGCUCCCUCCGGGUUGGACAGUCGAGUGGGAUCCCUCCUUGGACAGCGAGGGCAGGGAUCAUUGAUGUCAUGAUCGGCUUCGUCAUGAUAUCGUGUAUCGACGUUUAGUUUCCGCUUGUUUUACUUAUUCAUUGUUUAUCACCUUGCAUUGUUUGAAUUUCAAAAACUCUGAUGUAAUAAAUUGUUGAACUAUGUUAAUGUAAUGGGAAUGUUGUAAUCUCUGUGCCCACUCACCUUCGUGUGAGCAAUGCUUCUCGAUCCUGAGUAAGUGGUUUAUUGGAUGAAAUCCGACGGUCGACCAAGUUGACUUGCUUAAAGUGCAUGAUCGCGUGUUAGGCGACUUAAGUGCAUUUUAGUCAGGUUAAUUUGGACAGUUCCGCCACAUACGCGCCCUACAGGGUAGUCUUCAUGUCCGAGUAGGUUUCGGGUACGUUCCUUUGAGUGGAUCCGUACAAGUCUUCUGGUGAGCCCGAGGGUGCCCAGUCGACAGCUAUGUCACUUAGGUCUUGUACUCUCAAAAUGCAUAUCUAGCUCCCUAAACUUGGGCUCGGGUGUUGUUUAGGUCCAUAUACUCUCAGAAUGCAUAUUUACCCUCCUAAACUUUGCUUUGGUACCAUCUAGGUCCAUAUACUCUCUAAAAUUUUGUCAUCUCAAUUAAAUUGAUAAAAACUUAUUUUUAUAUAGAUAUAAUUUAAUUUUAAUCAAAUAAAGUGAAUUUUAGCUCAACGUGUGGAGAAUACUGAUGAGCUAAAUCGAGAAAGAUUGAAAGACGUGAUCUAUUAUUCUUGGAAGAAUAACUCAUAGUUGCACUUGCUAAACUAAAAUAAGGGGUUUAUAAAGAUAAAUGACGAAUAUUGGGAGAAACUAAAGGGGCAAUAAAAUAAAGUGAGGAAAUGUACCAAUGAAAGUAACGAAUGAAAGUAACGACUUGCUUGAAAGUAUAAAAUUUGAUUUUAUCAUAUUUUAUUAGUGGGAUGACACUGCAUUUCAAGAGUUCAGGGACCUAUAUGACACCCGAAGUCAAGUUUAGGGAGUAAGAUCUACAUUUUAAGAGUAUAGGGACCAAAUGACACCUGAUCCUAAGUUUAGGGAGCCAGAUAUGCAUUUUAAGAGUACGGGGACCUAAGUGACACAAAUGAACAAGUUUAAGGACCGGCCAUGCACUUCACUCUUUUUUUGAAGAUAGUUGAUGUCACAAAUCCAAAAUUUACAGAUUAUUGCUCAUUCUAAUUUCAAGCUUCAGCAUUCUUUUGUUUUAUUAUCUUGAGAAGACUAGAGUUCAUGUAAAUUAAUUCAAAUUACUUUUUUCUAUAAAACACGUACCAAAGUUACAUAAUUAUAUAGUAUAUCUUAGAUAUAUUAGACAUAUGAUUUUUCUUUAAAUUUUAGGGGCCCAUUUUACUUUUCACUCUCAGGCCUCAAAUUCCUGGAGACGGCCCUACUUUGGUGACAUGUUGAUUUCUUCUCCAUUUUUAUAAUAUUUUGUCUUAUGCGGAUAUAAAUAAACCCAUUUCAUUCCUUGGACCAAAUAAAAAUAUAAGAAAUAAGAUGAUGGAUCACCUUAUUCCUUAAACCAAGCCAAACACUACAUGAGUGAUUACUCAUGCAUGAAGGCUUCAGCCUGGAUACUCUACUAAACAAAAAUAAAUUUACUAUUAGGCUGCACAAUGGUUCACAUAUUAAAUAUUACAUUGAUAAAGUAUCUUAUGCAAGCCGGGAUAGGUACAAGGCCCAAUAGGACAAACUGCUUCAUAUGGACAUGGACUCAGUAGUACUCCCUUCAUGUCCAUCAUUGUUAGCCAGAUUUUUUUGGUUAGCCAAAAAAGUCUUCAAAAUAAGGUUUGAUUUUUUUUUUUGCAAUGUGUUGUUAUCGGCUACUGAAUAUGAAUCUUUGAUCGAAGAACUCCCUCCCUCCUUCUGCGUGUGUGUGUGUGGAAGAUCGAAGAACUUUCUCAAUCUCAAAUCAAUACGCUGGGGAGUUCUGAAAACAAGAGGACAAGUGUGACCUAUUCGGCCAAAAUCGGCAGCCCAGCAAAACGGGUGGUACCCUCAGCUAUUGGGUUGGGUGGGAUUGGAUUGUACUGUGAUUUUGACCUUGAGGAAUUUUUUUUAUUUUUAUAUUUCUAUUUUCUGAUUUGCAAAAAUAAACGCCCCAUUCAAAAAGUUGCAAAUAUAGAUAUAUAUUUAUAAUUUUUUGAAUAGAGUAUUUAUUUUUGCAAAAUCAAAAAAUAAAAAAAUAAAAAAAUCCUUGACCUUGACGUGACGGGCUUGCUAAUUUUGCAGUGUGUUGUCCAUUAUCUGGGCCGUGGCCCGGUUCAUGAAUGGAUUUUUUUUUCAUAAAAAAAAAAGACUCUGCUCCAGUUUCUAUAAAAAAGUGUUUCUUCUACGAGGAGUUCUUCAUUCGAUUCCUGGAAAAUCAUUCCCCCUUGCGAGCAAUUCAGCGUGGAAAGGAUAGGUGAAAAGCUUUCAGUUCAAGUCAAAAUCUUGCAUUUAGCUAGGCAGCGUAAUGAAUUAUAAGCCGAGACAGUGACAUUCAACCGUCAGCACAGCUCAUGAAUAAAAAUCUAAAAUGUGGUAAUCUAACAGCUUUCCUAGCUGUUUCACAAUAUAUUUCAAUGCAAUAAUAGGUUAGCUCGAGAUGCUUAGGCUGAAAUCUAGAAAUAUUCACCUAGUUGAAAACUCAGUUUUCGAGACAUAUGAUAGUUCUUGUUUUCUGAGUGAGUGUUAGAGCUCUUGAUUUAAUUUUUAUAGACGAAAAUGAUAAAUCACUUUGUUUUGCCACUAUUCCACCUAAAUCCAUAUCACGUUGCUCAAUUGGUUAGCAUAACGUGCCUACUCACCGGUGGCGGAUCUAGAAUUUUACCACAAGGUAUGCCAAAAAAAAUCGGUAAACCAUAUGCACUAAAUAUCAUGAUAAGUCUUAAAUUCAAAGAUUAAGUUAGAAACAAUAACAAGUUACAAUAUAAAUAGUUCAAAUGAAAUAUAAAUAGUUCAAAAUAUAGCAUAAAAAAACUUACAAUAUUCCUUGUCUGUUUUGUUUACCCGCUGCUUUUUGAAUGAUAUGAAUGUCUUGAUUAUAUCAUCUUCGUUCACUUGGAAGAAAAUAUCCCGCUCAAUGAAUGUGACUAGACAAUCGUCCAAAAACACUAUCACCUAGCUUAUUCCUUGACUUUGUUUUCACUAUAACCAAUUGUUGGCGCUAAAAAUCGGUCGAUCAUCCUCAGCGUCGAACACACGACCCGGGAGAAUCUGCUUAACUCCUGUUCGGGUUAUCGCCCUGGAGCGGUUCGCGCGGCGUGCCAUUCAAUCUGACAUGUUGAUUGACAAGGAAAUAAAACUAUUAAAUUCCAGGGGCUCCGAUCGGUUAGAGUUCCGAUCUGUCUUUAAAAACGUAUCAGCGAAUCGGCCGAUUGACUGUAGAGGUAACCAGCUAUAAAACAGCCGAUACCGUGUAGCGAUUGUAAAGAAAAGCUACUAGAGCGAACCAAACAACGCUAGAAAAACAACACUUGGGACAAAUCUAAUCGGCUGUAUGAUAACAAAGAAUGAAAGCAAUAAAAGCCGACAGUUCGUAUCUCAAGCUGGAUAACUGGUGAUAAAAACUAAAAUAACAUGUAAAACCUAUGAUUCUAGUUGAUAUCGAUAACUGGUGAAUAAAUCUAAACAAAACAACAGCGAUGCGCCCGAAGUUAAAGCUUAGAUAUUACUCGGUAAGCGGAACUUAUAGAAUUAGCCGGAGAUCGUGUCGAUGCAGUCCUGCCUACCCGUACGAACUCGUGAAAAAGUAUUUUUGGCGAAGUCGCCGACUUGAAAGUAAAGUACGAGGAAAAAGUAGAUUGGUUGUAUUGAUUGAUGUCUUGUUUUUACAAACCUCUAGAGGUGGCUAUUUAUAGCCUGUUACAACUGAUUUCCUAACCAACUAGGAUCUAUCUCUAAUUUUAAAUGAUAACAAAUAUUUACAAACACAACUCGUAUCGGAGUUGGUUAUCAUAUCUCACGGGCCAAUCUCCUUCUUUAGCUAAUCUUUUCUCCGGCCCACCUUAGGCCCAUACUGGCCAAGCUGCUCUAGCUCCCAAUCGGCCAACCCUUAUCAACCCCUUUGUCAAUCGGCUGAAAUACUGUAGCUUCAAUCAGCCGAUUCCCAAUUGUAGCUUUUAGCUCGCCGCAUCAGCCCAUCUUUCUCCUUCUUUGAUGUCGAUUCAAAACACGUGUCAAAAUCCAGCGUCAACACAUGCCCCCCAGUUUUGGAGUAAAACGCAACUUUUGCUUCAAAAUUCUUCUUAAUUUUGACUCUUUCUCCGAGGCAAGCACGGCAAAAGUUCCUUUCUGUUCCGCAGUCUCCUCUCUGAUGAUUAUAAUCUUUUCGAAUUGGGCGCCUGAAGCAACCGCUCCUCCGAAAUUUGUGUAGACAGCGCGGUAAAAAUCCCACCUUUACCCUUCUCUCGAACCGUCUUUAAAUACACGCAUCCCCCACCGCUUCUUCUCCACGAGCUCAGAAAUUCUUCUUUCCCCGGUGAAUCAUCUUCCGUCACAUUCCGGCGCCCUUUCAUCUACCAGCCGCAUUCCCCCAGCGAUCCUUCUUCCAUCCUCCAACCACCCCGCUUCAUUUUCUCCAAUGGCGGCUCCAUCGGCAACCAUGAGCUUCAUUCCAGAGGUAAAUAUCUAAAGCUUUACCCUUUACUUUUCACUGCUCAUGCACCUUUUAGAUCUAUCCUCAGUUUCCCUUUUCAUCUUCCUUAGGAGGUCAGGCAGCGAAUCACCAUCCCUAUCUCAGACGCACCUGGUCUCAUCAGCCUUGGCCCCAUGGGGAACCCCGAUCCAACCGAUUUUAUCAAUUUGGAAACCCACAGAGUCCCCUUCAAGCAAUCACCCAUGGAUUUGGAUCAGUGGACGAGUGCAUUUAGAUCUUGGCCGAACGAGACCCCUGGCUGGAAGGAGUGGUUCCAAAGGAUGUCCAACUCCAAGCGGGUUCUCUGGGAUGAACUGAAAAUCUAUUUGUCCUUGUCGCAGAUGGAGAAGAAUGAGCCCUUGGUUAUGGCGGCCUCUUAUUUCUGGUCCAAUGCUCUCAACACGUUCCUUUUCGAACAUGGGCCCAUGACCCCCACUUUGGCCGAUGUACUGAUGCUGACCGGCCUCGAUAUUUCUUCCCCCAAUUCACCCUUCAACUUCUUGGUCAAACCAACUCAUCGCCUGGAACAAAGGGAAUCGGCCCUUCUUCCAACACACAAGCUUUGGCUGAGGCCUUGGCAAGAGGAUCUACUGUCCCUCUAGGAAAACACCUACUGGGAUCGGCUUACCAUAUGAUGCACCAAAUCACCGUCAAACUAUCAUCUGGAGAGCCGAUCGGGAAUCCUGAUGGUCCUUGGUAGUUUAUCACUCUCUGGCUCAAUUUAUAUAUGAGCAAGAUCUUCCGAGAACAAGUUGAGACCAAAUCAUUCCCCAACAUUGAAUUGGAAGAAAACCCAUCAGAACGACGACGAUGCACUUCCUUUGGCGAGGCAGCAUCGGCCUUCUCUGGCAGUAAAUUCACUCCCGCCAAAACAGCUGAGUGUUUCAGAUGCUUCUAUACUAGUUUCAGCGAAGAAGCCACGAGGUGGUACCCAUCCUGUCUGUUUCAACUCAACCACCAGUUCCUUUGAUAAUGAGCUUAUAGACAUACUAAUCAAGCCUGGAAUCCUGCCAGCAAACUUCUUUUCAGGGAAGGACUCUCCAACCUAUGAAUUUUAUAAUCCAUCAGUAGCAGCGCGGCAACUCGGCCUCAAACAGUUGCCGAUUGGGAUUUAUUUUGCUGGCCGCGUGAAGUUUCGGGACGAGCUCACCAAAGGACUUGAAUACAAUCGGCUGUGCAACUUGACACCGGACUCCAGUACCAUUGACUUAACCAACUGGGUGGUAGCUCCUUUUGCUAUUCAGCAAUUAAAAUUAUGGUGGGGUGAAUGGAAGCAACACCUCUUCUACGUAUCUCCCGCAACAUAUUGCAACGAUCUGGAUCCUGACAACAUCGACCCAAAUGCAGCGGUACCAAACUUUCUGGCCGAUUUGACAUUGUACCCUUCGUGCUACAGGAUUACCACUGAUCCCUCCCUUUCUUGCAGUCUGGAAGUCAACUCUCCCCAACGCGCAGCCGUAGCGGCAGGCCGAUAGAGAAUCGCCAUCCAUAUACAUGUUUUCCAAUCAUCGGCUUUCAGGCCCCGUCCAUCGAAGACAUCACCACCGGCCGAUUGAAACAGAAACUAAAGAUAUCUUCUUCAAAGAAGACAAGCCGCCGGGUGCGCGCCCGUAUAGAACCAGCCGAUCAAUCGGCGGAGGCACCAGCUGAGUCUCUAGCCACAUCAACUCUGCCGAUUGCCCAAGAGGUUGACCCCAAGGCUGUUACAGAAGCCGGAUCGGUAGCUGCAUCCUUAUUGGUGAAAGCUAUACAGGUAACCCUGUCUGCCUCACAUUUCUUCAAGCAUUUCAUCGGUAUUAAUUUUCAUUUUGCUAGGCUACACAAAUUCCUCUAGAGCAAAUCCUGCAACAAUCGGUCGCUCCUCAGGCAGAAACCGCCCCUUCAUCAACCCCGUCAGCUGAGGUAAUGAAUAUACAUCUUAUUCAAACCUCUCGGUCCUUGACCGAAACUGACCGAUUUUUUGAUGCAGGUCAUCCCGAGCACACUAAUCAUACCUUACCAGCCGCCAUCGGCCGGACGAUCCGCAGAGGUAAAAUAACCAGCAUCAAGUCCUAGAUUUAAUUACUCCUUUAUACUUACAGAGUUCUUCUUAUCUGUUAUCCUUCAAGAAGCUGGUCCAAGCACAACACCAAUCAUCGUCGAAUCUUCUUCUUCUGAUGAGCCAACCGCGUCGAUUCCCGAAACAAGGGUAGCGACCCUACCAACGCAAAUGGAAGAAAUCCGCUUUAAACAAGUAAGAGCCUCUAGUAUAUAUUUCAACUGAUUUCCACUGUUAUCGAUUAACCCGCUCUUUUGUCAUAGGAGCAAGAUAUGCCCAAUAACAGCCUCUUUUCGUUCGUGGUCACUGUCUCUGAAGAAGAAGAGGUAGCCUCUCGAUAGGUGGCCCUGGGCUCAAUUCCCGAUGAAGUGCGUGCAAAGCUCCAGAGCAUCCGAGUCCUUCUUCAGGAUGACCUUGGCCGAUUGGUGGAAGACGCUUCGCCGAUUCGGCAAAUCUUCAGCGAAGUAAGAGGCCGAGUCCCUCUUGCACCUGCAGCAUACAUCAAAUCAAUGCGGAUCCCGGUGUUUAGAGCCCUGCGGCGCAUGGCCGACCGUGCCAAGCUAGCAAAGGUACGCGAAGAAGAGAACUCUUACAAGCAUCAAGCUCAAGAGGUGCAUCACUGAAUCGGCAUCCUUGAAAAUUCGCGCCCAGACAUCGUCAGCGCUAUAGAUCGUCUUAAACGGCGUAGGGCAGAACUUGCCAAGGAGAUGGAGCAGGUCACGAAGGACAUUGCCACUGAAGAGUAGAGACUCCACGACCUCCCGUCCGUUAUUGCCAACUUGAAAUAGGAGAGGAAAAACCUUGCCCAUGAGGCCAUCCGACUUCACCGCAGUAUGCCGGAGAUUCCUGGAUCGGUCGACGAUGAUCAAAGGACUUUAGAUUCGGCCGAUCAGAUCCGUCAGUGGGCGAUCGCGGUCAUCGAUUCCCUUCUUGGGUGAAUGUAUCAGACAUUGAACGUUUCCGUGUAAACAUUUAAUGCUCCUUUCGCCGCUUGUUGUGUGAAUAUGAAUUUGAACACUUCCUCUUCGUAGCUUUUAGCCCAACGGUUAUUUGCUUUGAAUGGAUGCCUUUGCUAACCGUUGCCCCUUACCUUUUUCCUUCCUAUAAAUACGAGGUCUCUCUGCUCCUCCCAGGGGCACUCACAUCAUCUCAUCCACCCUUCUAUAUUCUCCUCGACCGUUUGCAAAUCUUCAACCAGGCGCAAAAAAUGUCCUCUUCCUCCUCCGUCAAUCAGGUAUGAAAUCCUUUUCACGCUCUUCGAUCAAUUCUUCUUGACGACUGACCGCCUAUGGUCUUUUCAGCCGACUCGGCUCAGCCCUGAUCUGGAGCGGGUUAUCGAGAUCAUGCACUCUGAGGAACCACUAACGCAGGCAGACAGAGAUCUGAUUGCAGCCCAUUGCGAGGAACUUAAGGAUCAUCUUCCAGCCCAUGUCAAGAGAAUUGUGGAUCACAUUGAAGCCAACAGCAUCAUGAAACAACCUCCACCAUCAAUCGAGAGGAGUCAUCAGCUACCUCGCCAGGUGGCCUUUGAAGACACCAUGGAGAUUUUGGAGGAAAAGAGCACCCGUCUCUUAAUAGAACUAGAUCGGGUCCAAAGAGAAAUUAAUAAGAACAAAGCUCAGCUGAAAUGUGAUUAAUGAAUGUAUUGGUACUUUUGGUCUAAGGGCGACUUGUACCGUGUCGGCCAUGUAUCCCAUCGUUGAACUGAAUAAUAAAUCGGCCAAACUGGUCAAAGGUUUCGCCCUUAAGGCGAUGUCUCCUUGCAUCGGAUAUAUGAGCAUGAGUCAAUAGGAAUCGGCUGCAAUGACUCGACACGCCAUAUCAUCGGCUACGCGUCCACCCAUAUGCUAGGAUAGUAUCUCUUCAAAUACCUUCCCUUUAGAGCUCUUGUAAACUCCUCUCCUUCGAUGGUCUCUAAUAUGUACGCAUUUCCCGGAGCACAACAGCUGAUUCUGUACGGCCCUUCUCAAGUAGGCGACCAUUUAUCGAAUUUGGGAUCUUUAGAUCCUAUCGGCAGCACUAGCUUCCAUACCAAGUCUCCUUGGGAGAACUGCUUGACCUUGACCUUCUUGUCAUACCACCUGGCCACUCUUUUCUUAUUUUCUUCAAUACUGAUCAAGGCCCUCAAUCGCUGACCCACCAAAUCGUCGAGCUCCCCCUUCAUGAGGAGGGAAUAAUCAUCGGCUAUCAACUGAUCUUGAAGCGAUGUGCGUCUGGACCCCGUCCUUAAUUCCCAAGGCAAUACUGCCUCAUGACCGUAUACCAAUUGAUAAGAAGAUAUUUUAGUAGCUCCAUGGCAAGCCAUCCUGUAGGCCCAUAAAGAUUCAGUCAAGGAUGCGUGCCACCUCUUGGGCUGCUCCUCUAUCUUCCUCUUGAUCAACUUGAUUAUCCCCUUGUUGGAUGAUUCGGCCUGACCAUUAGCUUGAGCAUAAUACGGAGAAGAAUUCAACAAUUUAAUUCCCAUAUCGGCGGUGAAUUCUUCAAACUCCCCCAAAGUGAACAUUGUCCCUUGAUCGGUCGUGAUGGUUUGAGGGAUACCAAACCGAUAAAUAAUGUGGUCUCUCACAAAAUCGAUCAUAGCAGCCGAUGUCACGGUUUUCAGGGGAACUGCCUCCACCCACUUUGUAAAGUAGUCAGUGGCUACUAAUAUAAACUUGUGUCCCUUGCUUGAUGGAGGAUAAAUCUGUCCGAUGAGGUCUAUUCCCCAACCCCUAAACGUCCAUGGCUUAAUUAUUGGGUUCAUAGCCGAGGCCGGUGCACGUUGCACAUUGCCGAAUUUCUGACAAUCCUGGCACUCCUUAUAAUACUUAAAGCAGUCUUCGAGUAUCGUGGGCCAGUAAUAACCAUUAUUCCUAAUCAUCCACUUCAUUUUGUGAGCCGAUUGAUGAGCCCCACAUACGCCUUUGUGAAUCUCUCCCAUCAGAACAUUUGCUUCAUCUAUCCCAAGGCAUUUAGGUAGUACUCCAUCAAUCGUCCGGUAAAACAAAUCGUCUUCAAGCAACACAUAUUUUGUGGCCUGAACACGCACUCGCCGAUCCACUUUCUUGGAUGUAUCCUUUAAGUAAUCGGCGAUUUCCUUUCUCCAGUCGUCAGCUGCAAGCUCCAGAGAUAUAACCCCCUGAAUCGGCCGAUACCCGGAGGCAUGUUGAGCGAGCCUAUUAGCUUCCUUGUUAUAACUUCUGAGAAUGUGCUCAAUAAUCGUAGACUUUAACUCCUUCAAUAAUUGGAGGCAAUCUUCAUAGUAAAUCCUUAAGAUAUCAUCUUUGCAUUCAGACUUCCUAGUUAAUUGAUCGACAAUGAGCAUGGAAUCCCCAAAAAUCUCCACUACAUCGGCCUUGAUUUCUCUCAAUAGUUGGAUACCCUUUAGGAUAGCCCGGUAUUCUGCCUGAUUAUUGGUGGCGAACGCCUCUAUCGGCAGAGAGAAAUCAUAACUUAUCCCCCGAGGUGAUAUGAGGAUGAUGCCGAUUCCUGAUCCAGCCCCACAUGAGGAACCAUCAAAGUACAGUGUCCAUGGAGCUGGCUCAACGACAGCAAUUUCCGAUCCACAAUGCUGGGCCAUGAAAUCGGCCAUUACUUGGCCCUUGACAGCUUUGGCCGAUUCGUACUUCAGGUCAAACUCCGAUAGAGCUAGAAUCCACUUUCCAAUCCUUCCUUUCAGAAUUGGUAAUGACAACAUGUAUUUGACUACGUCAUCUUUGCACACAACUAUGUAUUCUGCUGAUAACAGGUAGUGCCUGAUUUUAGUACACGAAAAAUAUAGACAAAGACAGAGCCAUUCUACUGGGGGAUAUCUAGUCUCAGCGUCCAGGAGUCUUCUACUGACAUAAUAAAUUACUCUUUCUUUUCCUUCAAAUUCUUGUACCAGCACUAACCCAAUAGCUUGUUCAUCGGCCGACAAGUAUAGUUUGAAUGGCUUGUCAGCCUGCGGCGGAACCAACACCGGCAGCGAGACCAGGUACUGCUUGAUGUCCUCCAAUGCCUUCUGUUGUUCCUCUCUCCACAUGAAUUCUUGGUCGGGUUUUAAUUUCAACAAAGGAGUGAAGGCUUGAAUACGUCCGGACAAGUUGGAUAUGAACCUCCGGAUAAAGUUAACUUUGCCGAUUAGGGACUGUAGCUCGGGUUUGUUCUGCGGGGCUACAACUUUAUUGAUGGCAGCUAUAAUCUUCCGGUUGAUUUCUAUCCCGCGCUCGUGGACCAUGAAUCCUAGAAAUUGUCCAGCCGAAACACCGAAGGCACAUUUGCUUAGGUUCAUUUUCAACCCAUGCUUCCCUGUGCACAUCAAUACCUCUCGCAAAUCGGCCAGAUGCUCCUGAUGCCCCCUUGACUUGAUCACGACGUCAUCGAUGUAAAUCUCCACUAGGACACCAAUAAGCUUGUGGAAAAUAUAAUUCAUAGCCCGUUGAUAUGUAGCUCCGGCAUUUUUUAAACCGAAGGUCAUCACUACCCACUAGAACAAACUGAGGUGGCCUGGGCAUCUGAAAGCUGUCUUUGAAAUGUCUUCUUCGGCCAUUAAUAUCUGAUUAUAACCAAAAUUACCAUCCAUAAAGUUAAUGACUUUGUGUCCCGCGGCGGCGUCUAUCAAAACAUCAGCUGUCGGCAUUAGAUACCCAUCCAUCGGUGUAGCCUCAUUAAGAUUCCUGAAGUCAAUGCACACACGCAAUUUCCCAUUUUUCUUGUAUACGGGCACAAUAUUGGAAAUCCACUCGGCAUAACGGCACUGCCGAAUAAAUCCUGCUUCAAUCAAUCUUGCAAUAUCGGCCUUUAUAUCAGGUAGAAUUUUAGGGUGGCAUCGUCGUGCAGGCUGCUGAUAUGGCCGAUACCCUAGUUUUAUAGGCAACCGGUGUUCAAUAAUGGACUGGUCCAGACCCGGUCUCAUGGUAUUCUCAAGCAAAACAAUCUUUAAAUUAUUUUAACAAACUUGUCAAUUCACGCUUAUACUCGGGGUCUAGACUAGCACUAAUAUACGUCGGCCUUGGCUUGCUGCCGUCUUCUAAGUCCACCAUCUCCAAUGAAUUGGCCGAUGUAAAUAUGUGCCCAAGCUUCCCGUCUUCUCGGACGAACUGAUCCAUUUAGUCUGAUUCUUCAGAGCUGACUGUUUGGAUCGGCUGUAGACCAAAAUCGGACACCUUUAGGAAAUUGGUGUCCCAAGUCCUGCCAGACAUGCAUCUGACGUGUUCGCAGCUACAUUGUUGCGCGUCGGCCGCGGCAACACUGUAGGCAGAAUCAGCGGUGACUAUCUCGAUGUUGUCGCCAAUCCACUGGAUGAGGCACUGGUGCAUUGUAGAUGGGACGCAGCAGUUCGUGUGUAUCCAAUCUCACCCGAGCAACAUGUUGUAGGACCCUUUGCCAUUAAUAACAAAGAAAGUAGUGGGUAGGGUCUUACUGCCGAUGGUGAGAUCGACGCAGAGUGCUCCUCGGGUCGGGGACACGUUGCCUUCGAAAUCCUUGAGCAUUAUGUCCAUCUUGGUCAGAUCCUCAUCACCUUUGCCCAGUUUCCAGAACAUAGCAUACGACAUGAUGUUGACUGCAGCACCUCCGUCCACCAGUAGUUUAGUGACCGGCCGUCCGUUGACGUAUCCUUUGAGGAACAGAGCCUUGAGAUGCUGGCCUUUUUUAUCAUCAGGUUUCUCAAAAGUGGCUGUCAUUGGCUCCAAAGCCAAUGGUGCCAUUUGUUCCUCUAUUUCUAUUGCGUCGUCCUGAUCGGUGGGAGCCAUGAACUCCAUCGGCAAGAUGAACACCAUGCUGACGUCAGCUGCCGACCCAUGAUUGUCGUCUUCUUCGCCAGUUUUUCUUCUGGGGUGCCAAACUCGAGACCUGCCCUCCUUCUUAUCUAUCAUCUGCCUCUGUUCUUCUUCCUGUUGUUCCCAUUGGCGCAAACGCUGGACUCUUCGUUUCUAGGAUUUAGUCAAACCGUCUGGACACCAUCUGGGGUUCAAUGGUUUACCCAGCGAUUUUGCACGCUCCAAGUCUGCCUCUCGUCCUAGGGGGUUUUCAUCCGAGACUUUGGCAUCGGCCAUCUUUUCCAGCCGAUCAUCUGUGCUGGGCCUGCCCGCCAGUCGAUCAUGCUGGUCAAGUCUACCCCCCAGCCGAUCACGUACUGAAACGCGCCGAUCUUCUUGUUCGCACCUGUAUCUGCUAAUCGGCUCUAGUCCUCGAUCCCUGGAGCGUGACCUCUUGAACGGGUGACCGCUGCGAUACUGACCAUUGCACUCGGGGCAAUUAUUGGCUGACAGUAACCUAAGGUUGUUUUCCCAGUAGUGGAUGAAGAACGAGCACCGCCAGUGAUCUUCGUGUCGGCGUAUCAUCUCCUCACGGCGUCUCAAACUUUCUUGUUGCCGCUGAUACUUACUGAGUAAGUCUUGGGAGGUGACAGGCCUACGUGACCUCUCCGAUUUUUUUCCCUCGUCUUCGAUUCGUCCUUUUCCUUUGACAUCUUUGACCGUGCCACUUCUCCUGGCCGAUUCUGACGUUAGCACCUUGGUUUUGAGCGCGUUUCUUCCUGCAUCGACAUGUUAGCGGGGAAAGGAUGCUGAUCGAUCUUCAUCGGCUUUACUGGCUUUGUCGGAACUUCGAACUUGAGUCUCCCUUGUUCAAUGGCCGAUUGUAUCUGCUGUUAGAAAAUCUUGCACUCGUUCGUGUCGUGGGAUGUGGCAUUGUGCCAUUUGCAAUAUUUCAUCUUUUUCAGCUGCUCGGCCGAUGGAAUCGUGUGGUAGGGCGAAAGCUUGAUCUGCCCUUCUUGGAGAAGCAAAUCGAAAAUUUUGUCAUCCUUUGAUGUGUCAAAGCCGAAUGCUUCUGGUUCUUUCUUCCCAAACGGGCACGAUAUCAGCUUUUUUCCUUUUACCCACUCUGCUAGACCGAUUUCCGCCUCUUCCUCCGUUUCGGACCCCUCUAGGUAUGCCACCUUCUUCUAAAAAUUCCUUCAUUGGUUGAAAGGGCGCACCUCUUGGGCAGACAAACGGUGGACGAUCUGACUUAAGCUUUCGAACUCCUGGGAGGCGUACUUCUCUUUGAUUUGUGGUAGGAGACCCUGGAAGGCGAUAUCGGCCAGCUGAGCGUCAGUCAGGACCAGGGUGUAGCACUUGUUCUUGAUCUCUCUGAACCUUUGUACGUAACUGGUCGAUUUGUCGCUCCUCUGUUUGAGGUUGGUCAGAUCUGAGAGCUUCAUCUCGUGGACUCCCGCGUAGAAGUACUUAUGGAACUGCUUCUCCAAAUCGGCCCAAGUUACGAUAGAAUUGGGCGGCAGCGUAGUGAACCACUGCAAGGCCGAUCUGGAUAGGGAUGACGAGAAUAAUCGUACACGCAGAGCAUCUUGCGUGGCGGCUUCCCUGCACUGGAUAAUAAAUCUAUUCAUGUGCUCUACCAUUGACAUGUCAUCUAGUCCCGAGAAUUUGGUGAAAUCGGGAACCUUAUACCUAUGGCGAAACGGCAAUAGGUCAUAGGCAGGUGGGUAUGGUGUCUUGUACGUGUAGGUUUGUACCUUUGAUUUCAACCCAAACUGAUCUUGAAUUACUACUGCUAUCCUUGCGGUCCAAUCCACCUGCUGCUGAUGUAUGAUCGGUUGAGGAAUCGGUACAUGCUGCUGGACCAGCAGUGCCACGGCUAGGUGAUGGAUCAGAGUGUGCUGCAGAUUUUGCGGUUGGAAAAUCGGCUGAGUAGCCGAUGGUUGAAGGCGUAGGGAAUCUACCACUCCAUCGUAUAGUAUCAUCGGCGUUGCACCCCUGAGCGUUUCUGCAAUGUCUGCCCCCUGCCAAUUUCUAGCGUGGCCGGCUGAUAUUGUGGGACCGUCGGCCGGAUGGCCGAUUGAAUGAUGCCUGGACUGGAGAGUUCCCGUAACUGGUUGACGGAUCCAGCCUGACCGUCGUUGCUGGUGUUCCCCACGGCACCGAGUUUGAGGGCAGCGAUUGCACGGAAGAAAUUUGAGCAGGUUGGGACGACGCUUGCGAUUGGUAGCAUGGCGCACCGUUGUAUCCUAGGGGUAUUGAAGCAUUGUACCCUCCAUGUUGCAUCGGUAUCGGUUGAGGAGCCGAGUGAGACGCGUUUGGUAUCGCUGAGAAGCCUCUGAUUGGAGCUAUGAUGGGUGGGGCGUAAGCUGGUCCCUGAUACCCCUGAGCUACUCCGCUGACCAAGGAACUGAUGACGGCAUUGUAUACCGUGUUGGUCAUUACUGUGGACUGGUCGAUCAUUGCCUGGUAAAUAGACUGUUGAAUCAUGUCAGACAUCUUCCCCAAGUCGAUGGUGAUGUGGCAGGGAGUUGGAAGAGGAGCUUUCUAGACGGUCUCCCCGCUUCUGGUACGACUAAAGGAUUGCAAGCACGUCUUCCUGUAUUCUUCUAGAUAUCUCGCCACUUCUUCCUUCUGGUUGUCCUUGAGAUUUGCUUCAGUAAUUUCCAUGACGUUGUCUUCGGAGACCUCGGCAGCCUUCGACAUGUUGGAUGUUGUUUGGUCCCACCAGGCAUGCCAAAAGUGUGUUGGCGCUAAACAUCGGCCGAUGAUCCUCAGUGUCGGACACACGACCCGGGAGAAUCUGCUUAACUCCUGUUCGUGUUAUCGCCCUGGUGCGGUUCGCGCGGCGUGCCAGUUAAUCUGACCUAUUGAUUGACAAGGAAAUAAAAAUAUAAAUUCCAGGGGCUCCGAUCGGCUAGAGUUCUGAUCUGUCUAUAAAAGCGUGUCGGCAAAUCGGCCGAUUCACUAUAGAGGUAACCAGCUAUAAAACAGCUGAUACCAUGUACCGAUUGUAAAGAACAGCUACUAGAGUGAACCAAACAAUGCUAGAAAAACAACACUUGGGACAGAUCUAAUUAGUUGUAUGAUAACAAAGAACGAAAGCAAUAAAAGCCGACAGUUCGUAUCUCAAGCUGGAUAACUGGUGAUAAAAACUAAAAUAACAGGUAAAACCUAUGAUUCUAGUUGAUAUUGAUAACUGGUGAAUAAAUCUAAACGAAACAACAGUGAUGCGCCCGAAGUUAAAGCUUAGAUAUUACUCGGUAAGCGGAACUUACAGAAUCAGCCGGAGAUCGUGUCGAUGCAGCCCUGCCAACCCGUACGAGCUCGUGAAAGAAAAAGUAUUUUUGGCGAAGUCGUCGACUUGAAAGUAAAGUACAAGGAAAAAGUAGAUUGGUUGUAUUGAUUGAUGUCUUGUUUUUACAAACCUCUAGAGGUGGCUAUUUAUAGCUUGUUACAACUGAUUUCCUAACCGACUAGAAUCUAUCUCUAAUUUUAAAUGAUAACAAAUAUUUACAAACACAACUCGUAUCGGAGUUGGUUAUCAUAUCUCAUGGGCCAAUCUCUUUCUUUAGCUAAUCUUUUCUCCGGCCCACCUUAGGCCCAUACUGGCCAAGCAGCUCUAGCUUCCAAUCGGCCAACCCUUAUCAACCCAUUUUGUCAAUCGGCCAAAACACUGUAGCUUCGAUCGGCCGAUUCCCAACUGUAGCUUUUAGCUUGCCGCAUCAGCCCGUCUUUCUCCUUCUUUGACGUCGAUUCAAAACACGUGUCAAAAUCCGACGUCAACACCAAUGUAGAAAAUACCCUUUCAACACUCGUUGUUGCCACUGAUAAAAGCAAUAUCAAUUGGAGAAGGAAGUAAACCAUAACAUACAUUUUGUGCCUCCGUGUUUAAACAAGCUUAACUGAGAGAUCAAGGAUGUUGUUUAGACCCUUGAGGCUAUCAUCUCGUCGCAUGUCAUCAAUAUAAUUAUCAAGCUGCAACUCAAGUUUUAGCAAAUCAUUGUUGGAGAAGUCCUUAGGAUAAAAUUCAGCCAAUCUACUUACCUUCUGUGCAUCAAAUGAAGCAAAUAAAUUGGAAGGACUGAAGGCUGACAUACAAGAAAGUAGAUCCAUAUUGAUCUCAUCAAACCGAUUAUCAAGCUCUUGACUAAUUUGAUCAAUGACACCAAUAUAUACUUCUCUUCUAAAAUGUUCAUCAUUUGUUUGGUUUUGGGCACGGGCGUACCUUGCUGGUUUUCCAUACGGCACAUAAUCACCAUCCAUAGCAUGAACUUCAACAUCAUGUUUAAUGCAAAAAGAAGUGACCCUCUCAAGGAAGUGGUCCCAACCAUCAGACCUCAACUAUUGCCUUUUGUUCUUUGCCACAUUAAUAAGGGAGAUUGCAUUAAGAAUAUCUUGAUCCCUUCUCUACAAACACUCAGAUAACUCUUUUGUGUAUCCAAGAAUAACAUACAUUAAGUGCACAAAGAAAACAAACUCAAAGGUUUCAAAUGCUCCAAGCACAAAAUGUAUCUUUGUCCAAUCAUCCUUAUGUGAAAUAUCAUCACCAAGAUCAAUGAGCACAUCAUGGAUUGAGGAAUACAUAGUAAUGAUGUUGUAUAUAGUUUUGUAAUGAGAUCCCCAUCGAGUUCAACCAGGCCUAUGCAAACUCAUCUCUUGAUUUAAUCCACUCCCUAAGUCAAGCUCACCACACUCAAGUGCUUUCUUGAUAUUCUCAAGCCUAGCAUUUCAAAGAAUACCAUGACGCUUGCAAGAAACUCCAAUAAUAUUCAAUAAGAUAGAUACUUGACAAAAAAAGCUCUUAGAACCAGUAUUUCUCUUGGCAACAGCAACAAGAACUAGUUGGAGUUGAUGUGCAAAGCAAUGAAUAUAAUACACAGAAGGUGAUUCUUGCAUGAUCAAUAUUUUUAGCCCUUUAAUAUCUCCUUUCAUAUUGCUGGCCCCAUCAUAACCUUGACCUCUAAUUUGAGUCAUAGUCAAUCCAUGACUAACAAGUAAACCCUCAAUAGCUUCCUUAAGUGACAAAGAAGUAGUAUCAUCUACAUGAACAACUCCAAUAAAGUGUUCACAAGGCCUUCCAAGUUUAUCAACAUAACGCAAGCAAAGAGCUAGUUGUUCUUUAUGUGAUAUGUCAUUGUACUCAUCAGCUAAAAUUGCUUAGAGCUCAUCACCAAGUUCUUCAAUUUUUUUCUUUCUAGUUUCUAUGGCACAACAAUGAAUAAUUUGCUUUUGUAUCUUUGGACUAGUUAAGGUGUAAUUACCUGGAGCAUUAUUCAAGACAUACUUGUUCACUUCAUCACUAUUUCCUGCAAGAAACUUUAAAAGUUCAAUGAAAUUUCCUCUGUUGCUAGACUCUUCAUUUUCAUCAUGUCCACGAAAUGUCAAUCCUUGAUGCAAAAGAAACUUGAUACAUCUAAGUGAAUAUGUCAACCUUUUUUCUUAUAAAUACGAAGAUCCUCAUCAGUCCACUUCUCAAUGUGAUAAUCAAUUGUUACCUUGGGAUUCAUAAAACCAAUGUAUCUCUCCUGAGCUGCAUUGUGUUCCAUAGAACCACUAUGUUUGAGAAGUGCUUUGUUCCUAUAUUCCAAUUAUUCCAUCCAUCAACAAUAAAUGUAUUUGACCUAGUACCCUUCUUGAACAAGUAGCAUAUAAAGCAAAAUGCAAAAUCCUUCUUGAUACUAUAUUCAAGCCACUCAUGAUUAUACAUCCAUACAAAAUUGAAUUGGCGAUCCCUAACUCCAAUUUUUCUUGAUGGAAAAUCAUGCGUAAAAGGUUUGAAUGGGCCAAUAUAUGCUCUUCGAAUUGCAUCUUGAUCAUUAACAUGAUAACUUUCAAUGGGCUGCCUUUCACCUAGAUUAUGAGGAAGGCGAUUGAUGUCAUAAACCGGCGGCUGUGAUGCGGGGGGUUGCAAUGACGGAGGACAUCCAUACAAAAUUGAAUUGGCGAUCCCUAACUCCAAUUUUUCUUGAUGGAAAAUCAUGCGUAAAAGGUUUGAAUGGGCCAAUAUAUGCUCUUCAAAUUGCAUCUUGAUCAUUAAUAUGAUAACUUUCAAUGGGCUGCCUUUCACCUAGAUUAUGAGGAAGGCGAUUGAUGUCAUAAACCAGCGGCUGUGAUGCGGGUGGUUGCAAUGGCAGAGGCGAGGGCACAUGAUCCACGAUUUUUCAACUACCACUCCAUCUUCCUCUUGAUUCUGUUCUUCCACAAAAGUUUCAACUGGAUAUGGGGUAGUGUUUGAAGCAGCAGCUGCUGCUACCUUCUUUGCUACGUGUUUUUGAAAAAGAGAUGCAAUAUCUCCGCCUCUCUUCAUAAUCCAACCAUUCUGAGAAAAACAAUGUCUAUGUAAUGUAAGUACGACAACUAACUAGACACUAUAGCAAAACAAACAUGCAAUGAUAGAAUCAUAUUUUAAACUUUCGAGUAGAAAACUUACAAAUCACAGCCUCACAAGAUAUGAAUUUAAAAAUAUUGAUGGAUUGAUGGUCUUUUCAAUAAACUCACGAAUUGAAAUAAAAAAAUCACUCAAACAUAAAUAAAUAAAAAUAUUUAAGAACAUAAGUUUUUUCAAAUAAGAAAAAAAUAGAAGAUAGAUUAAUCUUAAACCUCCGUCGCCCGUCGAAACUCUAGGACCAAUAAACAAAGUGAUGGAGCUUGUCUGAUACGUAGCUUCUUGAUUGAUUCGUGGAUCUUGUACCACCUGCAGGCCUGCAUACGGCAAACCUCUGAUGGCCUCCUGUGGUGGACUGUUAGCUGAUUCGUGGGUGGAGACUUACUAAUUGAUUGAAGCCAAUACCAGAUGUUGCGUGCCUGUGUCUCCACAAUACCACAACUAUCUGAUGUGAGAUGAAUCUGCGCUCCGUCUCCGUGGUGGCGUGGCCUGAGUGCCUGACACUUGAUUGAAGCCGUGCGCGUGGGUGGGCCCGGUGGGGUAUCGUCGACUCGUCGAGGCGGAGGCAAGUUAUGGCGUGUAGCCAAAUCAUUGGGCGUAUACUAGGUAAACUGAUUGUUGUUUUUUAUAAAUAAAAUAUAUAUUAUGUUUCACUUAUAGCUGGGCCCACAGGGUAUACCCACCCCUGCCACUCGCAUUCACGUAUUUUUAUCAGAUUAUUCAUUUAGUCGUAUGAGAAGUGCACAUCAACAACAAAGAUGUUCUUAGCGAUCUCAUAUAUCUGUUCCUAUCUCUAGAAGGUGUUUAUAGUGUUAUGGUAUUCGUAUGGAUGUUUAUAGGGUUGAGUAUAUGUGCAUGAUGUCUUUCAAAUUGUUAAAAAGGAAAAAUUAAAAUAAGCUUUUGUAUAAUUACUCUCUGGCCGUUUGUUUUGUCGAAUUGAAUCUCAUUCUAGCAAUUGGAUUCAAUAGGAAUUAAAUUACAUAGAAUCAGAUUCAUUUCAAUUUUCUUGUUUGGAUGUACAAAGAAACUAAUUCUUAGAAUUAGAUUCCAAAUAUUGUUUUGAACAGCUUCGAGCUGAUGACGGGCAAGGUCCCGUUCGAGGACAACCACCUGCAGGGCGACAAGAUGAGCAAGAACAUCCACGCCGGCGAGCGGCCACUAUUCCUGUUCCAAACACCCAAGUACCUAGUCUCCCUGACGAAGCGGUGCUAGCACGCCGACCUGGACCAGCGCCUACCGUUCGCCUCCGUCUGCCGCGCGCUCCAGUAUGUGAAGCGGUUCCUGGUUAUGAACCCAGACCAGCAACAGGGCCAGACCGACGCGCCGCCCGCCGACUACCUCGACAUUAAGGCGCAGCUGCUGAGGAGGAUCCCGGCGUGGCAGCGCGGUGAGGGCACCGCCGCUGCCGCGCGCGUCGCGGACGUGCCGUUCCAGAUGUUCCCGUACAGGGCGGUGGAGAGGAAGAAGGCCGCCGGCGCGCACGCCGGGGGCAAGGAUAGGGCCUCGGACUCCAGCAGCGAGGGGAACUCUCUGUGCGGCGAGGAGAAUGGGGCCAGGGCGGCCAUGCCGGACAACGUGCGCUCGCGGAAGAGGGGAUGCCGGAGGAGGUUGCGUCGGAGGGGGCGGCGGAGGGGGUGCCAGAGGAGGGGGUGCCGGAGGAGGGGCCGUGGCGUGGGAAGCGGCGGCACGAGGGGAAGGAGUCGGGGGAGUUAGGGUCGGGUGAGAAAACGAUUUCCUGUUUUUAGGAUUGGAAUAUGUGGUAGGCAGCGCUAGAAUCCUGAGGAAUCACUAUUUCCAAUUUCGAGGAUCCAAACAUGCUGGGUUUGGAAAUCAAUUCCAAUUCCAUCUAAUUCUAACAAAACAAACGGGACCUCUGAGUUUUUAGUCCAAUUCAUAGCAAGACACGGAAAAGAAAGAAGGAUGAAAAAUUAGCUCACCUAAACAAAAACCCACCCAGAACCCCUAAUUUUAAUGGAAAAGAAAAUAUGGGGAAAAAAAUAAAAACAACCACACUACUUACAGGAGUUCUUCCAGAUCCAGCCCUUGGCUCGCAGUACACCAGACCAGACCAGAUCUCAACGUGCCCCCUCUCAGAUCCCAAUUCCCAAAUGCCCUCGCAGUCGUAGCUACACCCCGACCGGCCGACCCCGCGCGCUCGCUCGGAUCCAUGGGCGGGCUCAGGGCAGCGUCGCCGUCGGGGGCGGGUGCCGGAGCCGACGCGGAGGCGGGAUCGGGCCCCGGGGCUCCGUGCGUGGCGAUGGCGUGCGUGCUGGCGUCCGAGGUCGCCACGGUGCUCGCCGUCAUGCGCCGCAACGUCCGCUGGGCGGGCGUCCGCUACGGUGGCGGCGACGGCGGCGCGGGCGACGAAGAGCACCUCGACCACCCGCUUGUCGCGGGGCUCAAGGCCCUCCGCCGCCGCGCAGCCGCGUGGGGCCACGGCCGCUGGGCGGGCGUCGAGCCGCUCCUCUACCUCCGCCCCUUCCUCGACGUCGUCCGCUCCGACGAGACCGGAGCGCCCAUCACGGGUGCUGCGCUCUCGUCCCUGCACAAGAUCCUUACCCUCGACCUCGUUGGGCCCGGCGCGCCGGGCGUCGCCGAGGCCAUGGGCGCCGUCGUCGACGCUGUCACAGCCUGCCGCUUCGAGGUCACCGACCCGGCGUCCGAGGAAGCCGUCCUGGCGCGAGUCCUGCAGGUGCUGCUCGCCUGCGUGCGCAGCCGCGCGGCGCCGGCGCUGGCCAACCGCCACGUCUGCGCGGUCGUUAGUACCUGCUUCCGCGUCGUGCAGCAGGCUGGGACCAAGGGGGAGCUGCUGCAGCGUGUCUCCCGCCAGACAAUGCAGGAGGUUAUCCGUUCUGUUUUCUCCCGUCUGCAGGAGAUUGAUGUCACUGUGGUUUCCGAUGAGCAGGUACGAUUCGAGCAUUGUUAUGGUGAUUAUUAUGUUUGCUGUGCUCAUGAGCAUGCAAAAUGUUGCCAUACCAUUCCUCCCUCUGCUUAAUAACUCUACUUACUAUGCUUAUGACACUGGUCCUAACUCUGAAGUAUAAACAUGUGAAAUGAUCCUAGGAUUAUUUUAUCUUCUUAGUUUCAACUAAUCGUUUUCAUCCUAGCAUUAUGAUCACCUUGCACAUGCUGACAGUCUGACACUAAGAUCAACUCUUACUUGCCUUUGCUAAUCACCUGUAACUGUAAGAUACUCGUCAUGCUAGUUUGGAAACAAGCUUUUGUUAGUAGGAACUUGGAAGCUUCUUAUGUUCCUACACCACAUGAAGUGUAUUAAUGUACUGAUAACGUUUGUUCUGCAGUUAACUGGUUGCAAGAACCAGGGUUUGGGUGCUGAGGAGAUGGAGAAUGGGAAGAGUGACUUCGUGUGCUUGAACAGCUCGGGUGAUGAGGUGGGGGAUGGAUCUGGAGUUGUGCAAGACAAAGCCAUGUUGGAGCCGUUUGGAGUUCCUUGUAUGGUGGAGAUAUUGCAAUUCUUGUGCUCCCUCUUGAACAUAGCAGAAGACAUUGAUGUGAACCCAAAGAUGAAUCCAAUUGACUUCGAUGAGGACGUACCACUCUUUGCUCUGGGGUUGAUUAAUUCAGCUAUUGAGUUGUCAGCUUCAUCUAUACACAGACACCAAAAGGUGAUGGCUUUUGUACAGGAUGAAUUGUUCCGCAAUCUAAUGCAUUUUGGCUUGUCAAUGAGCCCCUUGAUCCUGUCGACAGUAUGCAGCAUUGUUUUCACUCUCUUUUACCAUCUGCGCCAUGAACUUAAGCUGCAAAUAGAGGCUUUCUUCUCAUGUGUGAUCCUAAGAUUAGCACAGAGUAGAUAUGGUGCAAGUUAUCAGCAGCAAGAAGUUGCCCUGGAGGCUCUAGUGGAUUUUUGCCGGCAGAAAGAGUUUAUGGCUGAGAUGUAUGCGAACAUGGACUGUGAUUUGCAGUGCUCCAAUAUUUUUGAAGAGCUAGCUAACCUUCUGUCUAAGAGUGCAUUUCCUGUGAACAGUCCUUUGUCGGCCUUAAAUGUGCUUGCUUUGGAUGGUUUGGUUGCUGUCAUUCAGGCAAUGGCAGAGCGGAGUAAUAGUGCACCUCAACAUCAUGAGCAAACAGUGCCAGAAAUAAGUGAAUAUUUUCCUUUCUGGCAGUUGAAGUGUGAGAGUGGUAAUGACCCUGAUCAGUGGGUUAAAUUUGUUCACCAGCAAAAAAGCAUCAAGAGAAAGCUAAUGGUUGGUGUUGAACAUUUCAAUAGGGAUAAAAAGAAGGGUUUUGAAUACCUGCAAGGUGUUCAUCUUUUGCCUGAAAAACUUGAUCCACACAAUGUUGCUCUGUUCUUUCGGUACACACCUGGGUUGGACAAGAAUCUUCUUGGGGACUACCUGGGUAAUCAUGAUGAUUUCUCCAUUCGGGUCCUUCAUGAAUUUGCUAGAACCUUUGACUUCAAGGAGAUGAAUUUGGAUGCUGCCCUAAGACUCUUCUUGGAAACCUUCCGGCUGCCUGGUGAGUCACAGAAGAUACAGAGAAUUCUUGAGGCCUUUUCUGAGCGAUACUAUGAACAGUCACCCCAAAUGUUUGUCAAUAGAGAUUCAGCUCUUGUGUUAUCAUAUUCUGUAAUCAUGCUCAAUACCGAUCAACAUAAUGUGAGGGUUAAGAAGAAGAUGACGGAGGAAGACUUUAUUAGAAACAAUCGCCGCAUAAAUGGAGGGAAUGAUCUUCCAAGGGAGUUCUUGUCGGAGCUUUAUUAUUCUAUUUGCCGUAAUGAAAUCCGAACCAUUCCUGAGCAAGGAGCUGGUUGUUCUGAGAUGUCUUUCAGUCGUUGGGUUGAUCUGAUGUGGAGGUCAAAGAGAACAUCAAUGUAUAUUGCUUGUGACUCCUACCCUUUUCUUGAUCAUGACAUGUUCUCUGUCAUGGCAGGACCGGCAGUUGCUGCUAUUUCUGUAGUCUUUGACAAUGUUGAGCAUGAGGAAGUUCUUACAGGAUGCAUUGAUGGUUUUCUAUCGGUGGCGAAAUUGGCUGCAUUCUAUCAUCACAAUGAUGUGCUGAAUGAUCUCGUUGUGGCACUAUGUAAGUUCACCACUUUGUUGAGCUCUUCCUACAUUGACGAUCCUGUAACAGCUUUUGGGGAGGAUACCAAGGCUAGAAUGGCAACAGAAGCUGUUUUCACUAUAGCAACUACUUAUGGUGACCACAUACGCAGUGGGUGGAGGAACAUAGUCGAUUGCAUUUUAAGAUUGCAUAAGAUAGGCCUUCUUCCUGGUCGCCUCACUGGUGAUACAACUGAUGAUCAGGAAGCCACUUCUGAUUCGUUGCCCAGCAAGCUUGCUUCUUCAUCUGCUCCUCCUCAAGUUUUGCCAAUUACCACUCCUUGGAAAAGUUAUGGACUGAUGGGGAGGUUCAGCCAACUACUGUACUUAGAUGCUGAAGAACCAAGGUCCCAACCAACUGAGGAGCAACUUGCUGCUCAGAGGAAUGCUUCGGAGACUGUGAAGAAGUGCCAAAUAGGUACCAUCUUUACUGAGAGCAAAUUCUUACAAGCUGAUUCGCUCUCAAAUCUGGCAAGAGCUCUCAUUCAGGCAGCAGGCCGACCUCAGAAGAUCACCAGCUCACUUGAUGAUGAAGGCAUAGCUGUCUUCUGCUUAGAGCUUCUAAUUACUGUCACAUUAAACAACAGAGAUAGGAUUGUUCUUUUGUGGCAGGAUGUUUAUGAGCACAUAACCCAUAUCGUCCAGUCCACAGUGAUGCCCUGCAAUCUAGUAGAGAAGGCUGUUUUUGGUCUCCUGCACAUCUGUCAGAGGUUGCUUCCUUAUAAGGCAAACCUGGUAGAUGAUUUACUAAGGUCAUUGCAGCUGAUUUUGAAACUUGAUGCCCGUGUGGCUGAUGCGUACUGUGAGAACAUUACCUUGGAAGUAACACGUCUUGUCAAGGCGAAUGCGACCCAUAUUAAGUCCCAGAUGGGCUGGCGAACUAUUAUUUCCUUACUCUGCAUCACUGCACGCCAUCCUGAUGCUUCUGAUGCAGGGUUUGAAGCUCUGGUUUUUAUCAUGUCAGAGGGAGCACACCUCUCACCUGCCAACUUCAUCCUCUCAGUGGAGGCGUCAAGGCAGUUUGCAGAAUCUCGGCUUGGGUCCGCAGAAAGAUCUAUCCAUGCUUUAAACCUAAUGGCAGAUUCAGUGAACUGCCUUACGCGGUGGUCACGAGAGGUUAGAGAAGCUGGUGGAGAUGCAGACAGGAUAUUGGAAGGAAUUGCUGAGAUGUGGCUGCGGCUAGUGCAGGGUCUACGAAAGGUGUGCGGGGAUCAAAGGGAAGAAGUGAGGAACCAUGCGUUGUUAUCAUUGCACAGAUGUUUAGUAGUUGAUGGAAUAUUGGUUUCAUCUUCAACAUGGUUGAUGGCAUUUGAUAUUAUUUUCCAGUUGCUUGAUGAGCUGUUGGAGAUUGCGCAGAGUUACUCGCCAAAGGAUUUCAGAAACAUGGAGGUGUCGCUCUUGCAUGCUGUAAAACUGCUAUGCAAGGUGUUUUUACAGUCACUUAAAGACCUCUCAGCACAGGGCAGUUUUGGUAAGCUGUGGUUGGAAGUCCUUGACAUGAUAGAGAAGUUCAUGAAAGUGAAAGUGAGAGGGAGGAGGACUGAGAAGCUACAAGAGGCUAUCCCAGAGCUACUUAAGAACAUACUGAUGGUGAUGAAAGCUAGUGGGAUCCUGUCAAAAACGAGCACCAGUGAAAACAGUUUGUCGGAAGCAACGUGGCUGCAAGUUAACAAGAUUGCGCCCUCACUUCGAUCAGAAAUUUUUCCUGACAAUGAGGGUGACAGCACAACUCAAGGUGAAGAAAACAAAUUGGAUACUCCAGCGCAAUCUAACCAAAGCGCUAAUCAAUAGGGCAUUACAGAUUCUCUCAUACAAUCAAGUUAGUUGAGCUGCAGCUGGGUCUUUCAAGGGAGGAUUACCUUUCAAUUUUUUGUUCCAAAGUUAUACACAAAUGCAUGGCAGUGCUGUCAGUGGACAUUAGGGAGAGUAAGCUGGUAUAUUGUAAUUUUCUUAGUUAUAUAUAUUAUUUUGUUACUGACAAGGUUGCUUUUGGGCUUUAUUGUUGCAACUCCAAAGUUGUAUGACAUGUAUAUCGUUGCACUGAUGAUAUGUGUUAGCCUUGGGGAAUCCAUGCUUUUGGCUGUAAUUGUUUCGAUCACUGCACCUGCGUACUGUGGAAGAUUGCUUAUAGCAGUAGAUCUGAGGGUUUUUCCUUGCUAUCAUCUGAUGUUCCAAAAGUUUCAAUAUUGAUGUGCUUUUUAGUUAUUUCAUGCAAGUAAUUAUGCUGGUCCAUAUGAAUCUAUUGACCUGUGAAUGUGAAAAGGCUGAGAGCAUCCAAGGCUUCAUUACUCCUACUUUAUUCUUUUGUUCUUUUCCUUAUGUACCUCCUGCAUUCCUUGUUUCAUCUCUAAUCGUAUUUAUUUUUAAUAUGGUCAAAUAGGCAUGCUGCACUGCUGUUGAAAUAUGCAAGCAUGUUAUUAUUUUUUCUUUAAUGAAAUUCUACUUAUUUGCAGAUUGAAAUUUCAGAGUGGUUAGUCGGAACAAACAUAUUUGGUUUGCAAACUGAAGGAUAUAUCAGACCUUUUAGGAUUCAAUUUCCGGAAACUGGAAUAGUCUGUAUUGAAUUUGUGGGAAGUUUUGCAGAUAGGAAAUGUGGUUUAAUUUAUUCAAGACGCAAAAUUCAUACUUCCGUAAGUGAAUUAUAAGCAUUUGUUUUGGUUCCUCAUGGUUCUGCAGAUUCAAGCUUGUUUACAUUCUUUGGAGUAUUAGAAUCCUGCCUUGACCCUGAAACAUGAGAAAUGUGCAUGAUCUAAUUGCAAGGCUUUCUUUACAUAUUCACCCAAAGCGUUAAUUUGACACAAUUUCAUGAAAACUUGCAGAUAUGCAGAUAACACAGAUAACUAAGAUUGCUGAACAACCAAAAGUGCUUAUCUUCUUUCCUUAAAUGAGAAUAAGAGGAACCAAAGGGGUUUUCUUAAAAAAAGAGAGGAACCACUGUGAUAAAUCAUUCUGGAUUACUUAUUUAUUGCAGUCUGCUGAUAUGUGUUAUUAGGCAUCCUUAGCACUUCAAGAAACGUUAACUCAAAUGACAUUUGUUUCAACAACCCUAAGCCUACAGUUUUUACUAUUUAUCCUAGAAAUGCAGCUGUUGGUAGAGUUUUUAUUAGUUCAUUAUUUGAAGGGCGAAAAUUAUUCUUUGGUUUACUGUGGUUGAGUUGUGGGCGCAAUUUUUCGUGUCUAUGAAUUGAAUGGCCAGAUACAUAUUUGUUGUAAUUUGUAGGUAACAUAGAGUUUCUUAUCUAGAAUAGCUUUUGUUAGACCAUACAUAAGCUAGUGAAGUAAGCAAACUUUUGUUGGCCAAGGAUGCAUCAAGGUACAUAUGUUACACAGACUUGCAAUUGAAUUUGAUAUUUAACACCCAAAUUCAAUCAUGCCCUGCUUUCCUAUUAGGAAACUGAAAGAUGCACAUAUGUCUCUGUUCUUCACAAAAGGUUAUUCAGAGAAGAAUUAUAGUGAUGCUAAUUUUUCUGUUGGACUAGCAACUCAUGCGCCCAGAGAUUCUGACAAUGAAGUAUCAGAACCUGUGGUUAUUUAAUUCAUUUUUUCAACUAGAUCCUUGCACUGUUAGUAAUAUUACAUUUCACACGGUAAUGUACAUUGGUACAUUACACUUAUAAUACAACUACUACCAUAUACAGACUAGCGCAUUAAGCUCAGCCUGAUUGUAAUGUACAUCUAUGCAGUUCUAUAAAGUUGCCUUUGUUGCUUUCUGGAUUGCCAUUUUAGUUCUUUGUAAGCUGGCUGCCUACAAUACUGUUUGUAAGUAUAGUUUCAUGGAUUGCUGGUCAAUUAGGGUACCCUUUUAGGUAAAGACAGGCAGUUUAUAGUAGCAUCUAGAUCAUACUGUGCCCAACCCAUGCACCAAUCAGUAUAUUAGCUGCUCCCUCAAAACAUAGACUACGACCGUGUUCCUAACUGCAUACCCUUUCUGGGUUGAAGCAGCUGGCUGUGAUGAUUGGGUAAUCAUUUGCACAUUUAGCGUUUGUGCUCUUCAGGUGCAAGCGACUGGUGCUGUGGUGCAGGCAUUCACCCUUUGGGUUGGGGUCACCAUUUGCACAUUUAGCGUUUGUUUUGGGUUGGGGUAAUCAUUUGCACAUUUAGCGUUUGUGCUCUACAGGGUCUGUCUUAUUGGUACCAGGGCAGCAGAGAUGUUUUUUUUUUCAGGCUGAGUUGCAUGCCAGGCUGUAUAGAACUAUAGAUUAUAGAGGCCUGUGAUGGUCUCCCAUUAGUGAUUUCCGGCGUGUUCCCAAAACAUGAUGAACGGAGCAAGCAUGGUAUGUUACAGCUCAGGAGUUGGCGGCGGUUGUAUAUGAGAAGUUCAUGUUUGCAGUCUCGGUAACACAAAAGAGCCCUGCUAGAGAAAUAUGUAUCCUUCAAAGUGAACUGAAUCAACGCAAUCUCUGACCUCUGGGAAGCACCAAUCUGGCAUCUUUCCAUCUACAUGGAAUGUGCUACUCCGCCCUCCCUGCCCUGCCGCCGGAUUGAAAAAAAUGUGCUGCCUGUUCACCCAACCAGGGAUGCAAGUGGGUAGUGAAUUCUGGGUCAGCUAGUUUAGUUCAUUUCUCCCCCCUUAAUUAUGUGCCAUGCCAUUUUGGUCCAUUUUAGCAAGUUUUGGGUCGACCCAAACCCAAUGAUGACCCAAAAUAAGUGGGACUUGCAUCCGCAUGCCAUUUUGGUUCAUCCGUGAUGACGUAACAGAAUUGGUGAAGUGUGGCCAAAAUCCGCAUGUCAACUAUGCAGUCUGGUUCUGAUGUAUCUUGGCGUGGCGCACGGCACAUGCCCUGUCCCGCGGUGGGAAUAAUUUGGGAUGCCACGUUCGAUUUGAGUGGCAGUUCAGUUCGGACUCUACUAUAUUUGUAUAAAACUGCGUGGUGAACUCAUGAACCUAUGCCCGUGUAGUAAAAUUAAGUGCGUGUGCCUGAACUGCUAACUCAAAAUUGGUGCUCUGCUUACACUAACUUCUUUCUUGCCUUGAUGGCAGAUGGUCUUGGUUGUUUUCCUCGCAUUACUUUCCAGGAGUUCCGUGAAGCUACUUGCAGUAUGAGAUAGGGUCACAUCGCGGUUCUUAUACUAAAAUAUGAGCUGGGAACGGGAUGCAACGAAGUGCAUGCUGAAGAAAGGACAGGAGCCAUGUGAGGUUUGUGUAAUCGCGAGGCUAUUGCCUCAUCAUUAGAUUGACUUUAUGUACGUCUUGCACUCACCCACCUUUUCGUUGACUGCUGGCCGUGGCCGGCCGGCCGGCCACAUCUUUGGCUGCGUUUGUCAGCCGAGUCCCCGGGUGACUCGGGCCGCCGUUUGUUUCGCUUGCGCACGCACGCACGGACGCUUGCUGUUAUAGGCUAGCCGCCGCGUACGCUACACGUGAGCGACGCCGGCCGCGGCUGCGGACAACGGUAUCCUCCUCCGCGCCGCCACGCUAGCUACCAGGCUGCACGCGACAUCAUGAGCACAACAGUUCUUGCCAUGGUGUAGGAUCGUGUGGGGAUUGCACGGCACUUAGCUUGUUUUAGUCAGAUCUAUUUGCAAUUAACCUGGAACAUCUCCUAGAAUUAGAAAAGCCCGAAGAAAUGAUACUACAAAAAUCGACGAGUGAACUCGAUGAGAUGCAGGUAUUUGCUCUCGUGAUAAGGUAAAUGUGAUCCACCAAUCGUAGAAUUCAUGGUCACCCGAUCAAUUCAGUAGCAGCCGUGGGCUGUAACCACCGAAACAGUUCUUAAUAGUAGCCACUAGCUUAAGAAAGUCAGGGUCAGACGUAUAAGACGUCGAUGAGAAGUCUGACGCGCAGCCUUGUUUUCCUACAGUUUCACAGCGUCCUCUCAGUUCACACUACAUCUGUAAGUUCGUUGCACGUAACUACCGUAGCAUGUAUGGCUAGCACAAUCGUAAAGGAACAAUAAUACGGCUAUGAUGAUUGCUUCCCAUGAUCCAAAGGUUGAAUAACGUCCAGGCCGUUUCAUCGACCUGCCGGCCGUCCGAUUUUUAGUUGCUUGUGCCCGAUUUUCCCUUUUCCUAGGCUUGUCAUAACUAGGAUGGUGAUAUAUGUCGAACUACUGUCGAAAUUAGAUGCAACUAUACAAAUUUGUUUGUGUUUCGAGAGAAAAAAAAACAGGGUUAUUCUGCUAUCAUAGAAUCGUAGUUUCGUUUACCUAAAGAAAUGUUCCGGACUCAGCACCGUAAGAUGCAUAUAGUCCUAAGAUGGUCCACUGCCAAUCAUCGUCGUCAGGGCUUGGUGUACGGUCCGAGCGUACGUCCAUGACAAGCCACAUAACCGCCAAGACGUGAUCGCAUUUCGUAACGGCAGGCAGCGCGGUCGCGAGCCGCGUACUCCAUUUCGCCUGGUGGCCAUGUGACCUUGCACCUCCAACACGGCACGCCCCCGUCGUGCUCGACGAGCCAUAGCUGGCGACUCUUGAUGCCGAUUCGCUCAACCCGGCUUGCACCCUUGCCUAUAAAUGCACCGGCGAUGUCGUCUCCCUAUCGAUCAACACAACACACAAGUACACAACACAUAUACGAACACUAAUCCCGGGGAUCUCUGGUAAGCUGGUACUAGGAUCGAGCUGAGAUGGCCGCCGCCGUGAUCAUCUCCUCCGCCAAGGUGGCUGCUGCACUCGUCGCAGUGUUCGCCGUGCUUGCCACGUACGCCGAAGCUGGCGGCUGGCUCCCGGCCAAGGCCACCUGGUACGGCGCGCCCAACGGCGCCGGUCCCGACGACAACGGUAUGCACGAGCAGAGCGUGGCCGCGCCCCGGCCGUCGCGAACACGAUGCGUGUUGGCGUGCUAUCUUUCGCCGUCCCAACAAUGCUGUGUGUGUGACUCUCUGUGUGUGGCUGACGUAUCGUUUCUGCAGGUGGCGCGUGCGGGUUCAAGCACACCAACCAGUACCCGUACAUGUCCAUGACGUCGUGCGGGAACGAGCCCCUGUUCAAGGACGGCAAGGGCUGUGGCGCAUGCUACCAGGUACUGUAUUUCGUCCUGCAUGCGAGAAUCAGUCAAUCUAAACAGUACUAGUAAUUAACUGCAGCUGCAGGAGUUUAUCUGAUCAGUUGAUCUGAUCGGUCAACCGUAGCAGUAAUAAUAAGUUAAUAACUGUUUUUAUAUAGUUUCCUCGAUAUUCACGACAUUUGUUGAGUGCCAUGUCGUACGUUGAACUCGGGAGGUCAAACUAACCCCUGGCACGUCUUCUCACGCCCUGUCCUCCAAUUGAAAAAAAAAACAGAUACGGUGCCUGAACAGCACCCACGACGCCUGCUCCGGCAGGGCGAAGCGUGUGAUCAUCACGGACAUGAACUACUACCCGGUGUCCAAGUACCACUUCGACCUGAGCGGCACGGCGUUCGGCGCCAUGGCCAAGACGGGGCUCAACGACAAGCUCCGGCACGCCGGCAUUCUCGAGAUCCAGUUCCGGAGGGUGCCCUGCAACUACAAGGGCCUGAACGUCAACUUCCGCGUCCAGGUGGGCUCCAACCCCAACUACUUCGCCGUGCUGGUGCAGUACGCCGGCAAGGACGGCGCCGUGGUGCAGGUGGACCUCAUGGAGACCGACAGCACCACGGGCAAGCCGACGGGGGUGUGGACGCCGAUGCGCGUGUCGUGGGGCGCCGUCUGGAGGCUGGACACCGACCGCCCCACGCAGGCGCCCUUCUCGCUGCGCAUCCGCAGCGACUCCGGCAAGACGCUGGUGGCCAGCAACGUCAUCCCGGCAGACUGGAAGCCCAUGACCGACUACCCCUCCAACGUGCAGUUCCCUUAAAACGGCAUGCUGCUGCAAUCGUCUCAGAUCAUUGUUUAUUCGUCAAAAAAUACCGAUUCAUUGUUUGGUGUUGUCGUUGUACGUACGUGUCUUGAGAUGCGUGGGAAAUAUGGAGGAGGCAACGUGAUCUCCCGCCCACGAUCUCAAGUUUUGAAAUACCAUGCUAUGUAAUGUAAUACAGUACUACGUAUCAAGUUGUCAGUUCAAGAAAAUAUAUUCAAGUUUGUUCACAUGUGCGUGUGCGUGCAUUCAGCGCAUUCGUACCUGUUGUUACUGGCCGCUAUCGUCGGCCUGUUGCCGCGCGGCCGGCCCGUACUGAGCUGCGCUUCCCGUCCGUGGUCUCCGGCCUUGCGUCUGGUUUGCUCCGUGGGCCGUGGCGGCAAGCGGCCGGCAUGGUCUUGCGCACGAACGGCGCCGCGGGCUGCUUGCCGAGGUACGCUACGCUCCAUGUGAGCAACGCCGCGGCUACCGGACUACGGGCGGCGGCAUCCUCUGCUUGCCAUGUUGUGACCAGGUUGCAUGCAGCACAAGCAGAGCAAUUGUGGCCAUAAUCAUAAGACUGAGAGAAGUGUGUAGGACGUCUCCAGCACUGACACUUCAGGGGUCUUUCGAGAAAAAAAAAGAAGUAAUCAUACUUCAGCUAGAUAUAAGAAAUCUACAUUGGAUUUUUUUUCCCUUAUGUGGCGAAGAGAAUAGACAAGGGGAGAUGAAAAGCAAGAUAACAUCUUUCUAAAUAAGCAAGUCUGUUCAAAGAGAAUUUUCAUAUUGAUAUUUCAAAGGGGGAGAAUUUCAUCAAGAGUGAGAGCGUGCGAUUGAUGAUUGAAAUAACCCUUCAAUGCAUUGUUUUAUUUUUUAUAGGCAAUUUUAUUUUUGUUGUUUUACAGGCAACAUAAGCAAGAAAGUAUUGCAUUGGAAAUGGUGCACAUGUAGUUUCAUCUAAAUAAUAGCAUCUUGUGUUGACAUGGCAUCCUAUUUAAUGAAAUGAAAAACCCAUUGAAAUUGGCCUAACAGACAUAAUGGCCUAACAGACAUAAGUAUUACAAGUUACUCCAUAGAUUUGGGGCCAUGACUAUUCAAAAUUGCUUAUCUUUGCGUGCACACUGUCUCUCAUUUGUUCAUAUUCUAACACUAAUAUAAACUAUUUAUAAUCUUAUGUCCAAUAGUGGUAUACUUUAGCUACCAAUUACUCUAGCUUGUUUUCCCAUUCAUAGUCUGCAUGGUGAUACACAUAAUGCAUGUAUACCUUGAGUUAGUUUUUUUUUUCUAUAUUAACAAUAGCAGCAAUGAGGAAUUGGACCUUUUUGGCAGGGCUCCAGAUCCUGAUUCUCUGGUGGAGUGAUUCUCUAGUGUGAAAUAGUUUGGCAAGCUAGCUGAGAAGUGAUUCCUGAGAAAGAAGAUUGUGCUGUAAUUGUCCAUAGUACCCCUGUCUGCUUGAAUUAACGUUUGCUAGACAUUUAUGUGAUACAUUUAAGUUAAUUUAUAGUGAUCGUAUAACUGUGAUUACAAAUUCACCAUAAAGUAUGUAAAGUCCAUAUGUUAGUUAAUAAAUAGUUAACAUUUGCACAUUGAACGGUACAAGCAUCAUUUCAUUUCUACGACCAAACUCAUUGGUCCAAUAUAUUACAACCAAAAUACCUAAGACUCAAAAUAAUCCCAUACAUGGAAGACAUUAUCCCCUAGAUAGAGCAAUCGCCCUCGCAAUGUCGUUUGGUCCAAUGAAUUACAACCAAAAUACCUAAGACUCAAAAUAAUCCCAUACAUGGAAGACAUUAUCCCCUAGAUAGAGUAAUCGCCCUCGCAAUGUCGUUUGGUCCAAUAUAUUACAACCAAAAUACCUAAGACUCAAAAUAAUCCCAUACAUGGAAGACAUUAUCCCCUAGAUAGAGUAAUCUCCCUCGCAAUGUCAUCACGAAAUCUAUCCAUGUUUGUAUCAUUGGGUUGAGAGGUAGAUGCAUCUGAUGCAUUUGGAGAAGGGACAUGUUCCUUGUAUCUUGUUGGUAUGGUGGGCAUAUAAUCUGGUCCCGAUCACACCUACGAAAAUGCUUGUCAAGUGCAUGAUUUUCACGGAUAAAUUUAUGGAGACACAAGGUAGCCGCAACAAUCAUCUUUUGUUUGAUCAUUGGAUAGCUAGUCAUCUUGAGAAGAACUCUCCAUUUCAUCUUCCAUACACCAAAUGUGCGCUCGACAACAUUUUGAAUACUCAAAUGCAAAUGGUUAAAUACCUCUUGCUCACCACUAGGAGUUGGACCAUUUCUCUAUUCUGGAACAUGAUAUCUUUGCCCUUUAUAUGGAGCCAAGUAUCCGGGUCUAUUUGGGUACUCCGCAUCGACAACAUAGUAUUUCCCUAACAUAUAGUAGAGCAAAGUGAGUAAAGUUUAGACUUUCAACAGAAUACAAUACAUGAUAGGAGACAAAUAUUACCUUGAGGUGGAUGUAGAAAGAUAUCUUCAUCAGCUUGAAGUGCAUGGUAGAGCACACUAGUGUCAUGCAUAGAGCCUGGCUGACCAAUAGAUGCAUAUAUGAAAUUCAUGUCACAAUCAACCACCGCCAUCACAUUUUUUGUUGCUUUACCAGAUCUCCCUAGAUAUCUGAGAAAAUCUUUAGGAGGUGGUGUCGGUGUUUUAUAUUCGGCUACCUACCAAGGGUAUCCCGAGGUAGUAGAUUGGUUGGUGGGGGAUCGUCGGACCUGGAACUCGAAGGUAAAAGUGAUGACACAAGACACGGAUUUAUACAGGUUCGAGCUGCCAGAGUAGAGUAAUACCCUACGUCCUAUUUGGGAUGUUGUAUAUUGCACCCUGCACUUGGGUGUUGUUUGGUGUUGAGGAUUUGGUCCUCUGUUGUGGUUCUAUGAGGUCUUCAUCUACUGAUCUAGGGACCCCUGCCCUCCUUUAUAUACUCUAGGGGGCGGGAUUACUAGUCGGUUAUAAGGAGGAGUCAUAGCAGGAUUACAUGGUAUGAGUUUUAGUAGGAUUACUGUCCGUCUUCUUCCUUCCUUGCGGGUACCGGGGAUCUAUCCCCGAUAGGUGGUGUUGCACAAAUAUGAGUCCCGUCAAUGGCUCCAAUGUAAUCUUUGAAGUGUGGCCACAUCCUUUGAUCAUUCCUAAUCCUACUGUGCACAUCUCAAAAGUUUGGAUCUUUAGGUCUUAUGUAAUAUUUUGACAUUCCAACCAAACAGUUCAACACCUCAAAAAGUUUCCUACUAAUUGUCUCUCCAGAAUGCUUGAACUUAUUUUGGACAGCAGUGUUUGACCAACAAUGACCACAUGUGAGAAGAAAUAUAGCAAUAGACUCCAUAGAGCUCAUAUGAAUAGAGGAAGUUAAUCCAUAAGCAUCACCAAUAGAUCAUGCGAUUGGUAAAAGAGAGAUGCAUCCAUUCUUAUCAUGGUAAGUAGAAUAAUAAUUGUUGACAAAACAUGCAGUCAGAGAGAUGUUCAUUUGAUAUUGUCUCAGAAGUUCCAUAACCCUCAUAUUAAACAAAUCAUCUUCUUUAGUUCACUGCCAUCCCUCUCAGUUUCAGAAGAAGAGGACAUCUGUAUAGUAACAAAUACAAAUAACUCAGCAAGCAAACAUUUAUUAAAUACAAAUAGUUCUACAAGCAUAUACCACUAAAAGAUAGUUCUACAAGCACAUACCGAACAAUUCUACAAAUAGUACCAAGCAUUCAGUAACAAAUACAAAUAGUUCUACAAGCACAUACCAAACAAUAGAACUGGUACUGCAGAUAGUUUUAAAUUUAUUGAAAAAGAUACAAGUGUACAUGCACCAUGCAUGUACACAAAGCAUUAUUCCUCUACUUAGACCAAGCAUUCAUCAUCCAAUCAUGCUUCAUUGACAACCAUUGAAAGCGAUCUUCCGGUGUGUCUAUUGUCAUGAACAUCUCUCUCUCAGAUUUCUUGGUGAAUAUUUGAGUUGCUAUAAAGUGUUCUCUUGUACCAGGAACUGCACCACAUACCUUCACCAAGUGCAUCACAACCUUUAUGGAACAGACAGAGGACUCCUCUGUUUUAGCCAGGACAAUAGACUCACAAGAUGCUGUUGUCUUCUCAUUCAAUUCUACAAUUCUAGCCAUUUAUUCUUGCAUCCAAUGUCCUCCAGCACUUUUUGGUUUUUUUCCCUUCUCUUUUUCAGUCAAACGGCGUCUCUUUGAUGCUUUGCCACUAGUAGGUGUACCAUCUUCAGCAUCACUAUCAUCAUCUUUGUCGAGAUCAACAUCUUUGUCAUUAUCAUCAUCCUGCUGUCCAUUGUUACCUUGGGAAGGUGGAUCACCACUUGAUGGAGCCCAAUAAUCAUCACCAGUGUUUUUAAGAUCUUCAAACAUGAUGGAUAAUUGUUCUUCAUGUUCAAGUGGUUGGUCCUUAAACUUGGUAGUACCUUUGAAUUGCUACAAUCAUAGAGCCAAAUGUCAGCCAUAGAUGCAUAUCACAAUCUACAUUGAUACAAAACAAGUGGGGCACAACUUUACCUUGUUCAUCUUCUUCUACCACCAAUCUGGAGCAUCAAAGAUUUUUUUUUAUCCCAACCUGACCCUGUCUCCUUCUACAGUUGUUUCCAAUUGUUGUACGCUUUCCUCAACUUGUCCCAUUUGUUUUUGAACUGCAGCUUGGUAUAAGAUAGUCCAAUCUUUUCUUUAAAUAGGGAAAUCAUAUUGGCCUAUCCUUUCAUGUUCAAAUGGGUUCCAUAUCGAUUCUUUGCCUGAACUCUCUCAGCAAAUAACUGACAAACUAUCCUAAGGUUCUCAUCACACCAGUCCGCACUAUCACCCAUGUUGCUGUUCAAAAAUUUCACCAUGAAUCUCCAAACAAUAUAGCUUAACACAGUUAUCACAAGCAUCAUCCAUUUUUCCAUUCUAUUGUCCACCAAGCAAAAGCACAAACAUAUGAGGGAGAAAUGGAUAGACAUUACCUUGCCGGAAUGGAGGAGAACCGCCAGAAGGAGGGGUGUGUUGCAGGCCUGGAGAGGGGUCUGGCGCUAACUACUACUCCUUGCGGACGUGGAGCUUGCCCCUGCGGACGGAGAGGCGUGGGGCUGCAGCUCGCCCCUGCAGACAGGGGGUGCGGGGCCGUGCCGGACAUGGAGGCACGGGGCAGAGAUGGAUGGGGUUGAGCAGGGUGGCGGCGGGGAGGACCUAAACCCUAGUCUCCCAUGGCUAGGAGCGCCGAGGGUGGGUGGAGGUGGAGGAGUUAGGGGCGUUGGGCGAAAGAACGGGUGCGGGAGGAGGAGCGAUAUAUAUGAGUGGCAUUGAUGGGUAAAUACUAUUGAACUUGAAGCCUGGGUUCGUAUUCGGGAGGGUGGGGAGCGGAUGAGGAUUGGUGGGGAGUAGGUUUUUCUAGCUCUGACCUUGCAGUACAAAAAUGAGGGAGCGAUUCACCUGAUUUCACAUGAGGAGCUGGUCGAGUUUUUCCCGUUUGGCAGAGCUCCUCCGAUUCUCGUGUGAAUCAGGAGCCAGGAGCGGUGCCAAAGAGGCCCAUAGAAGUAUUCCCCGCGGUUACAAAAUGCUAGACGUUUACUUUUUUCCUAAAUAAAAAUCCCUCUAACUUCAACCAUGCUUAUUGAAAAAAAUAGCAAUGUCUACAAUAUCAAUGCAGUCUUGUUAAAUUCAUCCUGAAUUAUGUUUUGGUAAUAAAUUUAUUUAACAUUUUAGAUGUUAAUAUAUUUUCUAUAAACCUGGUCAAAGCUAGAUGUUAAUAUAAUUUGAAAUUGAGGUAGAUACUUUAGAUGUAAAUUUAUAGGGCCAUUUUAGGUUAUUUUUAUAAUGAUAUAGAUGGGUACUCUAGCUUAAAAUCAAGGGGUUACUUUAGAUUAUUUAAACAUAUAGGGGUUAGUUAAAUUUUUUUAAAUAGUUGAGGCGUGUAAUUUAGAUAUAAAUUUAUGGGUUACUUUAAACUUUUUUUUUAAUAAUAGCAUACGUGGGUAAGAUCUCAAAAACUAAAUAGCUUUUAUUGUUAAAAAAUACCUAGUAAAUACUUGCUAAGGAUUUAGGACAAAAAUUAGAAGGUGUUCCUUAAGAGCGUGUUAAAUCUAAAAGCCUUCCUAAUUUUGGCCUCAUGUCAUACGUUACCACACUCCAGAGUGCAAUUCUUUGUACUCACUGUUCUUUUGUCCCCCUGCUAUCCCCUCUAGACCUCAGGAUGGUGUGGCAAUGUGAAGUUCGUCGAAGAUUGCAGCUUCAAUUCAGCAUGUAAAGAUAGAGACCAUUCUGCUGAAGAUGAUAAUAAAUAUCUAUUUAUUCUUAUUUCAGACCUAUGGGUGUUCUAAUAAAGUUUGAUGAUUAUAUAAUAAAUUGGCUUAAUUCUCUAGUGAAGUUGUCAUAUGUAUGAGUAAACUGGUCCUAACAUACAUAUUAUUUGCAUUCGAUUUUAUCCUUAAAAUCAGGUGUGGCAACAAUGGAUGAACACACCACUAAGGUACUAUGUGGCAUGUGUUAGAUGCUAAAACUUAAACAUAUUUGAACUAUUUUGAACCUGCGAUACAACUUGUCGGUCCAAUGAACCGAGCACAUGAGCGGUUCGAUUGCCGAUUGGGUCCUAAUAUCUAUGGUGUUUUUUGGGUUCAUCAAUCGCAGGCCAUUAGCGUUUCCAUUGAUUUUCUAACAAAAAUAAAGAAUGAUGACUUUAUUGAUUUGCAGGCCAUCGGCAUUUUCAUCAAGUCCACGGCGCAACGCUGAAAUCCUGGAAGUUGACAAGAUGCAAAUCUUGGUUCUGUAGUGGCAAGUUAGUUGAUUAAGUGUAGAAAUCAUUGUGGCUUGAUCAAUUUAAGUGCGCUUUAAGGCAAAGGAAAGCUUGACGAUCUUGGAUGAUUUGAAAAAUACUGCAGAAAAAUAAUUAUAUCGAGUGCUUUGGAUCUCUAAAAUUCUUAUGAACUUUCUGUAAAAUUGGUUAUUUCAUAGGAUAGUUCAUAAAAAAUAUAGGAUUUUAAACAUGAGGUCUCUCUCACCUCAUAAGAAUAAUUGCUUUGUGUCUAUCUCUAAUCCCGGUGUUUUGUACGUUUUCCAUCCAAACGGGUUCCUCUGGGUUUUUUUUGUCCCAUAAUCCCAUUCCUUGCACCUGCAUUCCGAUAGAAAUCCAGCAAUUUCUUUUGCUAUGUUUUGCAUGUCCCAUGCCACAAAGAGGGCCGAAUAGGUUCAUACCUGAGGACUAGUAUCUAAGCAGCACCCAAAAGUCAGCUCAGAGUUGUGCCUUGCAUGAUCUAAAGCUUAAAAAGGCUUUUCCAUCGUAUUGCAGCAGCUGUAUGUUGUAACUACCGUAUCACAUUCUUAAAGGGAGAGCCAUACGCGAGGGAGCAUAUGCAUCACCAGAGUAUCCGAACGGGAUAUUUGUUAUUCUCUUUUUAAAGUCAAAACAAGUUUAGGUCGGUAACUUCGUACGUGGUGGCACAUCGUCUCUGUGUUUUUUUCCCCCUGAAAUACAUCGUCUCUAUUAGUUGCAUACAUGUUGGAUGGACACAAUGAAUAACACGGCACCACGUCGGGUGCGAGGGUGCUAGACUAUCGGCAUGCUGAAUUUCUCAUCCUUUUUCCAAUAAGCUACCCUUCCUGCCUAUAAAUUCCACGGCAAUGUCGUCUCCGACAAAAUCGAGCCGAAAGCAGUAGGGUCAAGCUGAGAUCGAUCGAUGGCCGCCGUGAUGAUCUCCUUCAAGGCUAUUGCACUGGUUGCAGCACUCCUCUCCGUGGUGGCCACGUACAGCGCUCACGCCGAACCGAACUACAACGAGACCACCGCCCGCAGAGAAUUGUACUACUCCGUCGGCUCCACCCCCAGCACCACCUGGCGGCCUGCCAGGGCCACCUGGUACGGCCGGCACAACGGCGCCGGCCCUGACAACAACGGUAUGUGCUCGUGGUAAUGCUGCCGUGUUCGUAUCAUCUACGUGCUCUUGUGCUGAUCGAUACGAUACGAUACGAUCUGCAGGUGGCGGGUGUGGGUACAGCAACACGAACCUGUACCCGUUCAAUUCCAUGACGACCUGCGGCAACCAGCCCCUGUUCUUGGACGGCAAGGGCUGCGGCGCAUGCUACCAGGUGCGAGCAUUAACCUAGCAAUGGACCGCACCCCCGAUCAUUUCGUCAAUUUGCUUGUUGGUCAAAUGCGAUAGGUAGCAGUGGCACAUGUAUGAUGUAUCGAUCUCUUCACGUUCUGUUUUCUCUGCCUACUUCAGAUAAAGUGCACCAGUAAGAACAACCCUGCCUGCUCCGGCGAGCCCAAGCAGGUGAUCAUCACCGACGUAAACUACGACACCAAGAUCGCCCCCUACCACUUCGACCUCAGCGGCACGGCGUUCGGCGCCAUGGCCAAGCCCGGCUAUAACGACAAGCUCCGCAAGGCCGGAAUCAUCGACAUGGAGUUCAGGAGGUCAGUGUAGUGUACUAGUGUGUACCAUUUAGAGUAGCACAUUUCUGACGAUCGUCGUGAGUUGGUUAAUAAUCGUUCUUUGUAACCUGAAGAUGUGAUCUCAUAUAUAUGCGGCGUGCCCACGCAGGGUGCCCUGCAACUACAAGGGCCUGCCGGUGAGGUUCCACGUGAUGGGCGGCUGCAACCCGUUCUACUUCGCGGUGAUCGUGUACUACGCCGGCAGUGACGGCGCCGUGGUGCAGGUGGACCUCAAGGAGGCCAACUCCAACACGUGGAGGCCGCUCUACGAGUCGUGGGGCGCCGUUUGGAGGAUCGACCCCGGCCACCCGCUGAAGGCGCCCCUCUCGCUGCGCGUGCGCAGCGACUCCGGCAAGAUUCUGGUGGCCAACAACGUCAUCCCGCUCAACUGGAGGGGCAACGCCGACUACCGCACCAUCGCCCAGUUCCGCUGAACGCUCGCUGGCAAUGGAUGAUCGCUCAUAUAAUCAUCUCGGUCCGGUUCGUAUUAAGUUGUUAUCGCUAUCUUAUGAUUGCAAAUUGGAAAUAGCUUUUGUUUGUUAUUACAGUCUUUUUGCGAGGUUUCAAAAUUGUUAGUCGUACUUUGCGACUUGGAGAAGUCUUGAUACUUUCUGUCGUUGUGUGCAUUGAGAUCAAUGAGAUGCAUAUAUACGUGGAAUAUAUAGGAGGCAAUGUUAUCCAUUGCUCCGCUAUCACAAGUGUUUACGCGUACCACGCACAGUGUGUAACCGAAUCAUGUUGGUAAAUUUGUACGCGGUGCACCGUGCUCUAUCUUACUCGCAUGUGCGUCGUAUAUGAGAAGCAAGCAGUUACAAGUACUACUGGGAGGAUCGGAGCUGCCUCGAUCCUGACUAAUCAGGUGUUUCAGAUUAUUUUAGUAUAUGCCGAUCUGAAUCUUGAACUUGCAAUUCACUGUCGCUUUUCAGAGCACUACUGCGCGCUUAAACUGCAGUAUAUAGCUCCAGCAUGUUGCUCAACGUGGAAAAACACGAAGGUUUACUAUCCCAAGUUUUUUAUUUUUUUUAAAUCAAGAUACACUUGCAUUUCUCAUAUUCAUCAUCAAAAUUGUGAACUAAAAUGAUCUAAGUACAUUACUCGUUGACAUAAACUGUAACGGUGAAGAAUAAUCAAAUACCAAUUAUACCGGGGCAUGAAAAUCUAAGGCUGCAUUUAGAUGUCAAUAUUGGAGACCUUGGCAUUGAAUUGGUUUCAAUACCAAAUCGGUCAUGAUGUUACAUUGGGCUACAAUUCGAAUUCCAUUGUUUGGAUGACUUUGCAUUGCCUUUUGGAAUCCAUGGAAGCAUCCCAAUUCAUUUCCUGUUUGGAUGUGCAAAAAUGAUGAAAUUGAAAUUUAGUCGACACCCCUUCUCCACCGCACAAUCCUCUACCCAGCCAAGUCCGUCGCGCCUCCCAUUCUUCGCCAGCGAGUCAAGGAGCUCUUGUAACCGCACAUGGAGAGGAGAAGAGCGGCACAUGGCUUGAAGAGACAGAGGGGUCAUGCAUGGGAUAGAGGUGGGAGAUGGAGCCGCGCUACGGAGCUCCUCCUUUUUCCGCUGCUGUGCUCGAGCUUCCCACCCUGGAGCUCCUCCCUUCUGUGCUCGAGCUCCCCAUCGUCCGUGAUGGUGGAGGGAGGUAGGAGAGGGGCAGCGUGGCCCAUCGGGGGAGGGAGGAGGGAGGGCGGCGCAGCCCAUCGGCAGAGGGAGACACAGGAGGAUGGGCAGCCCGCUGAAGAAGGGAGGUAGGAGAGUGUUGGCGCUCGUUAUCUACACACUUUAAGUGCCAUUUAAGUGGUGUUUUAUAUAUAUUUUUAUACUAACCCACCACUUGGCACCUGAAAUAACCCCAUUUUUGCAUAUGCAUUGUAUUUUGGAGGACAUUCUAUUUUUGCAGGAAAUUAGACCUAAAAGUAUAUUUUUGGAUAAAGUCCCAAACGAUCAACAAACCUAUCAAAGAUGAAGGCAAGCAGGCUCAGAAAGAGCCCAGGCCGAUCGGCCUGGUGGAGCCCAAGCCGAUCGGCCAGGGGUCUUCUAGCCUCCUCCGACACUCAUCUUUAGCAAGCACUCCUCCAAGAUUACUUAAGGGCUAAGUUUGUGAAGAUAUGGCAAGGAUCACUUCAGGAUCAAAGAGGAAUCAAAGAGGAUCAAGUGAAGAUUUGGAAAGUUAUUGAAGAUCAAUCUUUUUUCCCGGGCUAUCGACGAGCUAAGUCUACAUGCAUAAAAAGAUAAGGUUCCUAAACAUCAGGGGAGACUUCGCGAUGAAGGUGGGCACGAGACAAUGAAAGGUAGGCCCAGGCCGAUCGGCCUGGACCCCUAGGCCGAUCAGCCUGGGUUGUUCCUUCGCCCGAUUACCUUCCAAUUUCUGCCACGCGCUCUCCAGACUAUAAAUACUUUGAAAAUUCCCCGAGCCCCAGCAUCCAUCCAUCAGAACUUGAUGAAACCAAAGGCAUACACCAAAGGAAGCUGAGAGCCGCUGCAAGUCUUUAGAGUUGUCUAGGAGAUGGCUUAUACCGACUCUAGCCGCCAUGGCCUCCCUGCGCGGUUGUGCCAUUGAGUUCAGGAGAGCCAGUAGUAGAUCUUCGAUGGUAUGUACUCAGAGGUGAUGAUCUAAAUACAUCUAUUUGUUGAUGCUGGAUUUUAGCCAAAAAUCCCAUAAAAUUCAGAGUACGAGACAGUCGGAAUCACAUGCGACGAUGAGAAGCUAGUGUGCAUGCAGAGCCAUGUAUGCAAAAGUGACUUCAUCGGAUUGAGAGGUGAUUAGAACAAAGAAGGCAAGGAUGGUGUCAAGAAGGAAGGCCAGCACGUGCAUGCAAGCAUGAUUAAAAUAACUAGAAGCUCAGAUAUAUUCAUGUGAUGCAAAAUAUUUCCUAAUUGCAUUGGCCGAAACAGAUUCAAGGAGCAAGCUUCAUGAGCAGGAACUCUACAUAAGGAAAAUUAGAGUCUAUGUAUCUUAAUAUUUCCUUUUAUUUAGAUAUUUAGUGUUAGGCAAGUUUGUGUAAGGCUCAACCAGGAGUCAUUAGUCCGGGUAUAAAUAUGUACCCUGGCCAUUGUAAUAAUAAUCAUCAAUCAAUCAAUCAACCUUUCGGCACCACGCCGUCAAAACCCUGGAAGUAGGAGUAGAGUAGUUUCGACGAGUUCCUUUCUACGCACACGGCUACAUCGGCUUUGAUCUUAGGCGAGCUUGUAAGUACCGUCACCUGAUCAUCACAACCUCUAUCAAAACUUUCUAAGUUAAGUCUUGUAUUCUGAUAUUCAGUUGUGUGGCUAGUUAUCGAGUUAUCUUAGAUUACAAGGAGAACUUUCUAGGUUUUGUCCAAUAUUCAGUUGGGUCUUCUACUUACAAUGACAUCAGUUGCCUAGCUGGGUUCUUCUUUUGAAUCUCCCAUAUCCUUAUCAUCCAUUCCUUUCUACCCGAGUAAAUGGUGGACAUCAAGAAGGAAACUAAAGGCAACACCAACAUCCACAAAGCAGAUGCUAUCAUUACCACCACCGUGUGGAUGGAAGCAAGAUGAAGAAAAGAAGACCCUACUCUAGUUACUUGCCACCUUGUUGCUUGCUAUUCUUCCACCUUACUCCGAUGACGACUCCAACAACCAAGAAAGAUGAAGAUUACAGACUCUACACUGCUCAACAACAGAGGCUGAAUGUCUACCAACCUCGGCAACAAUAAUCUUGUUUACCUCAUUCCUUAUUUCUUCUCUCUUCGAAUCUUGGGACGAGAUUCCUUUUAAGGGGGGUAGUUUUGUCACACCCUAAAUUGUUUGAAUUUUAGGAUGUGAUUAGAAAGAAUAAUUAAACAAUGAUUUUCUCAUAAUUUCAAAAAUUUUCCUAACAUUUAUUUUCUUAACAGGUAAUUUAGUAUAGGAAAAACAAUUGGUUGUUUUUCUAAAUUAAAUAAAGUGGCUAUGUGUGUUGCAUUCAUGCUAUUGCAUCUUGGUGUCUCUUGAGUGCAAAAGGUUUUAAAAUGCAUUCAGACAACGAUUAGGUUCUUUUGAGAAUUUUCCAGAUUUUCUUGGAAUUCAUUCUCAUUUUCUUAGAGCUAAAUCCAAUAUUUGGAAUGCUCUAAAUCUUUUUUAACGAGCUCCAUGUAUUUUAUUUGGAUUCCUCGUAUCCCAAAUCCUCUCCAGGAAUUUUCUUGAAUUUUUCAAAGUGUUUGGAGUAUUUUUCAUGAUUUAAUUACGAUUUUAGGAUUUUCUUGAAUUGUUUUUGAAUCCGAAAUUAGAAAAAGGAGGAAAAUAAAAUUGGAUUCCAACUGGCUUAUAAAUACUUUCCGGUGAUAUCCUUGACGUCCUUUUUACAUAGCCGCAAAUCUCACCUCGUUUCGACAACCCUAACUCCCGCAUUUCGAUGCUAAACAUCUGCAUCUCCUAAACUCCGGCGAACUUUUCGGCAAGAACUCCAGCGAGAAAAUCCGGCGAGCUAGUAAGUAUUUGGCUGAAGGUGAGCAUAACAUCACGUUCGUCUCGUGGAGCUCGUUCCAUUUUGCCAUUCAUAUGUGAGAUCGAGCUUCGUUUCCGGUGAGUCCCUCUUCUUUCUCUCUCCCUCCAUCUUUUUGUUCAACCAUGGCCAUGGCCAUGGCCUCCUCCCGAGCUCCCUAUGCACCCGCCCCUGCCUGCCCUGAUGCCACGUGGUGCCCCUGCCCCUGGCCCGUGCCUGCACAUGCCAGUUGCCUUGCGCCCCUUGCCGCGCCCGUCCCGCCACCUCUGCUCGCCCCUGCUGCAGCGCAGCCGCCGCCGCUUGCAGUGCAACCCGCGCCGCCCGGGCACGCACGCCCGUGCCACGUCACCCCCGCCGCCGCGUCGCGCCACCGCCCUGUGCUGCCAAGCUCCACACGCACCCCUUGGCCAGCGCACCGAAGCCCAUCUACCGGCCGUACGCACGGCUUGAACCAGAUUGAUCGAACGGGAGGUUGAAGAUGAGAUGCCCGUUUUGCAUUUGGGCCCUUGGAGAAAUAGGAAAUCCUGAUUGAAAAGUUUGAGUCUUGCUAUUUUUGCGAAAAGGUCCUCAGAAAAGUUAGAUUCUCUUGAUCGAGUUCAGUUUUUGUUUCUUGCGCGUUAGCCCUCGGUUUCUCGCAGUUAUGCCCCUGGAAGUUUCUAAUCCUCACCAGCAAGUCCCUAGAGCUUAGUUAAGCCAUAUCUUUUGCGUUUUAGCUUCGUUUUGAGUGUUUCUUUUGCUUACACGUUCGUCUUAAUGUGUAGAUUAGUUUUGUAUAGCUUUUUAGUACUGUUUGUGAUGAUUGUUGUACUAUUUUUAAUUUAAUUCAUUUGUUUGCUUGUAUGUGCGUGCUCUGGAUGUUUGCUUUGGAUGAUUGUCACGAGUAGAAGAAAUGUGGUUCUAGAGUUUGGAGAACAAGAGCUGAAGAUAAUCUGAGCACCUAUACUUUAGAGAAAAGCAAGUGUGUCCUUAUGCUUUUGUCCCACUAACUAUAUUCAAUAACUUUUGCAUUACUUUGCAUUUAAUAUUGAUGGGUCCUAUUAGGUUUAUCCUAGUCUUUAUGAUCAUUCCUUGUCAAUCUAGGUUUAUCUUUCUGUUGGGUAGCUAUUGUAACGACUCAGGAUCAUCAGUCGAGCUAAUCUUAAGACAAGUUCCCAAAUCUGCAGUUUUAACUAGCCCCGACCCCUGAAACCGAACCAAAACCGCUGGUUCUCUCUAAGUCCAAAAGCUAGUGUUCCUCCAAACUUUGGAGCUGUGGAAGAGCCAGAGUCUGGAAGUUGGACCCACAACCAGAUCCCACGGAUCUCUCGGGUCAAGCGCGCCAGAGCAAGCGUGCGCCCUGCGUCAGAAUCUCUCCGCCGCAUGGCUUAACCUCCCCGAGGAGCCCCGCCUCACCCAGUCGCCGGCCACGACUAGACGGAUCAGCGUGCCUCCUUCCCAAUCGCGCGCAGAAGCGCCCUGCAGACUCUCUGCUUCGCCUUGUCUCGCUCGCAACCUCGCCGGCCGUGCCAGGCGCCCUGUCGCUAUUGCGACUAGAGAUUGGCCGCUGCUGCGCCAGACCGCCUCGCCUCCCGCGCUCAUCAUCUCACCCGGAUCCCCGGCCGCGCGCGCCCCUAUACGAUGCCGUUUUUGCCAACCACGGAUCCAGCAGUGACAGCUCCUUUUCCCGCCUCGCCAGUAGCGUGCCCCGGCAAAGCCGUUGGUCUGCGCCUGCUAGCGUCACCGCUCGCCCUGUCACCUCGCAUGCAGCGCUCUCGCCUGCAGCGCUCUCGCCUGCAGUGCUCCUUCCUUCCUUCCUGUCACAUGCUAGCCGAGUCACCACCCCCAAUCCGCCGCUUGAUGCGACCAGACCCGCGCUCGCCACCACCAAUCCUUUUCUCCAGCAAAACCACGCCUGCAUAAGCCUUGUCUCCAGUGCCCAAUGGCCGAAGACGCUAUCUUCGAAGCUCUGUUCCGCUGCCCAUCGCCGCUCAAUAGCCGCCAUGGCAGCGCACUCCAUCUUUUUCUUCUCGAUCUUCGUGCUGCUCCAACUCUCUCUCUUUCACACAGCUAUAAAAAGGAGUACCAGAGCCCUACCGGAGUUCCCUUCGCCAUCGUUGCCUUGCCACAUCUUCCUCUGUUUCGUGCUCAAGCGCUGCCACCUAAGUUCUUGAGGAACUCUCCUCUCCGCUCAACACCCGCCUUUCCCAACCCACCGGCCGCUUGUCUCCUCCGCACGGUGCUAGAGAUUACUUGUGUCAACAAGAAGCACCACCACCGUCGGAGCACCGCCGGACAUCGCCGCCGCCCAAGCCUUAGCACCUUUCAUCGCUCCGCCUGAGCCUGUUCUUUCCGACCCCAAGACUUCACCAGUAGGCCUAAAGGUAAACUGCUGACCCCCUUCCCGGUUUGCCCAACCCCUUUUUCCGUCUCACCCGACCCUGUCUGGUUCGCCCGGCCCCUUUUUCUAUCUCGCCCGACCCUGUCUCGUUCGCCCGACCCCUUUUUCCAUCUCGCCCGACCCUGUCUGUUUCGCCGACCCUUAUCCGCCUCGCCCGAGGGCUCGGUUGUAUCUUUUUCUUUGACCCAAACGUAUCUGUGUAAAAUUCGGGGACUUCUCUGUGAUAAGUUUGAGGACCCCAGUACAGUAUUCCUUAGGUCAGAGGGUCAGAUCAUAAGUUUCUCCCAAUCCGACCCUUUGUCUUGUUCUCUAUCAACUGAAGCUUGAACCUCCACACUUUUUCCGUAGCUUGCUACAAGUUUCUGGGCUAAAGCUUGCAAGUGUUGUUAAAAUAACCGUCUAAGUGUUAACUCCUGCAUUGUAUUCGUGUAGAACUAAAUCUCGCCGACGGUACAUACGAGCUGCAUCCGGUGCCAGAAGACGAAGCAGUAGCUGAGCCGCCAACCGCAGGAGCUGAAGCAGAACCCUUAGAGGACCCGUUCGCCUCCACCCCGCUCGAAGGCAAGCCCCAGAGCAUGAACCCAACUUUCUAAACUUACACAUGCCUUCCUUCAUUUGUAUGUGCAUUUACGUAAUAGGAGUUGUUUGAAACCAUAGAUGCAUGACUUAGUUUCCCUUGAUCUAAACACUAGUCUGAUGAGUCCGAGUAGUUGCAUUGCUUAAUAGGACUCGGUAAAAGUCGAGUGAUUUCCUGUCACUCGCGAGUUAUAGGAGUUGGUUAUUCUCCUUCUGGUUACAACUAUAAGGACGAUGGACGGGGCAGGGCCUGGUGAACUCUUUUGGUGGUCGGUGGAUCGCCUGUCUGUCUAUAUGAAAUUGCUUAAGGUCGGAAAGUGAUGGUGUUCGUGAUAAAGUGUUUGAAAGUACUAAUCUCAUACCUAGUAUGGGAUGGGGAAUCCUAGUACCUAAUUGAACUAGGGCGUGGCUUAUACCCCUGCUGUCCCUGGAACGAGGUUCCCAUGGUGCAUCAUGUGGGUGCAAGUGCGGUCACAGUACGACGAGAGGUUGGGACUGUGGAGCAUUGCAUGCCAAGGGAAGUUUGGACCUGACAUGUGCCUGGGAAUUGAUGGGGACGGCCGACACAGGAAGCGACCCUUUGUGGUAUGCGAAUGUCAUGAGAUUAGGUUCACCAUGCAUGGUUAAGAAACUCGAAUCGAUUCGUCUGCCUCUCACAGUUUGAGACUGCUUGAUCUCUAUGCUACACUGAGUAAAGAUGGAACAUGAUGAUGAUAUGAACUCGAUGCUUGUUCUAUACAUUGUUGUUGGAAACUGUGGUUGUUUAGCAUAAGUUGCCAAUGUAGACUGGUUAAUGAACUUAGAAUCUGGGCUAAAAUAUUGAAAGUAAGGACCCACUGUAGUCGAUUUUGGCAAAACAAACCCCUCAGCCAAAGAGCCUUGCAUGUCUAGAUGUUGGUGGAGUAGUUUCCCACUAGCCGGUUAAGUCUUGUUGAGCUUAGAAGCUCAGCCUUGUUUGUGGCUCUCUUUUCAGGUGAAGUUGCAGCUUCUGAGUUUGCUGCUGUUGGCACUUGGCCACCCCAGCUUCCUCCUAGGUGGACGGUCAAGUGGGAUCCCUCCUCAGACGGUGAGGAAAGGGAUCACUGAUGUCCUGAUCGGCCUCAUUAGGGACAUCCGACUCCGGCGCUAGCUUCCGCUAUUUUAUCUUUCCGCUGCUUUUGAAUCUUGUAAAACUAUGAAUUUCGAACCAAUGUUGAAAUAAAUCGUCGAACUUGUUUAACUUGGUUGAUCUGUUGUAUUCUCUGGAACCACUCACCUUCGUGUGGGUUAUGCUAACUCGGUCCUGUUAAGUGGUUAAAUCGGAUGAAAUCCGACGGCACUUCGAGUUAACUUGACUAAGGCAUGAGUGUCGCGUGUCAAGUGGCUUAACCGUGCUUUAAUUAAGUUAAUCCGAGGUGGUUCCGCCACAGCUAUGCUUAGCUGCUAUACUUGGGUUAUGGUUGUUUAAUAAACUUAAUAAUUAAACUUAUUUUAUUUAUGCUAUACCUUUCAUUAAUACAAGAUCACCAUGCAUAAUUGGAACAUGGAGAACCACCCAGGAAAACAGUGCAACCACAAGGCUAUAUGGCUCUGGCUUGGCUAAUUAAUUAGAAACACUAGUUUGGGGUGGCCUUACCGAAAGGGCAAGAGGGGUUGCAUCGUUGAGGUAUAGCCCGGUCCUCUUGAGUGGUAUGCUUGGCUAAGGUACUGCACUCACUAGGGAGGGUUAUGCUCUGAUUUGACUUAAAACCUUAGCGGGCUACUUUUUAUUAGGGAAUCUUUGUAAAGGCCUCGUAGUGGAUCCCAAGCCACUCACCUUGGAAGUGUUUAAGAGGCUAGCUACCUCGGGCAACAUGGGAAACACGACUUAUGGGUAAAGAUGUACAACCUUUGUAGAGUGUCUAAAAUUGAUCGAUCAGUCGUGCUCACGGUCAAGAGCAGCUUGGACCCUCGCAUGAUUAAUCUAUCGGAAGUUGAAUUGAAUUAUUGUUAUUUAUUGAUAUUAUCUUUAUUUAUGUUUAUGUUAAUUGUGGGUUGGUGAAAAUGCUAAAUGCAGUCAACCAGUCAGCCUUUCCUUGUUUAAGCCUUGCAUUCAUAUUUUCUCACUUGCUGAGUACGACAUGUGCUCACCCUUGCUAUAACCAAUGUUGCUCAAAAGAAAAAGCUGCUAUGAAGUUGUUACGAAGAUGGUGCUGAGUUCUAGGCAUACGCCACCCCCAUUCGAUUCCAUGUGAAGUUUGGAGUCUCCGUUUCUAGGAUUAAGUGUAUAUCUCUAAUAGACUCUUUUUCUUUACAUGAUACUGUUACUUCUAUUUACUUGUGAUGUCACUAUAUGUAUGAAACUAGAUCCUGGCAUACAUAUAGGUAGCACUUGGUUUUGUUUUAAAAUUGGGUGUGACAUAUACUUACCCCCUUCCAACUAAAACCUAAGCAGCUCACCAAGAUCUAAAACUUGCAGAUGGCACCCAUAAGAUCUGCAAGGAUUCAAGAGCGUUAAGAGCCAGAACAACAUGAUGAAUCUCAGAAUGAGAGUGUCCAUGAAAGGUCGGCACUUAGAAGACAUAGAAAUCCUCACCCUAACCUAGAAGAUGAGGAACAACUUGGGGUAGAAGCCAUGGAUAACUCAGAAGGAGAAAAAGAAGUCCACAACCCACCUCCACCACCUGAGAAUGAUCUAGUAGCCAUCAUGGCAAAUCAAACCUGCCUGAUGGAGCAAUAGCUCAAGGAGUAGUACACAAUCAAAACCCCAGACAAGGCAAUGGUUAUGGACAGCCCAGGAAAAUCAUAGAAUUCCUCUAAACCAACCCACCCACUUUUGACAGCUCUGAUGAGCCAUUAGAAGCUGAUGAUUGGUUAAAGACCAUCACCAAGAAGCUGGAUGCAGUUCAUGCAGAAGAAGGGACAGAAUAAUGUUAGCAACACAUCAGUUGCAAGGAUUGGCAAGUGAUUGGUGGGAUAAUUACUGAAUGGUAGGAAAUGAUGCUGAGAUAAUCACCUGGGAAGAAUUUCAGGAUGAAUUCAGAAGAUAUCAUAUCCCUAAGGGAGCUAUGGACAGAAAGGAAUAUGAGUUUAGGGCCCUUAAGCAAGGAGCCAUGACAAUUCCCCAAUACCAUCGGAAGUUCAUGAAAUUAGCUCGAUGCCCCUGAUGAUGUUAACAUAGAUAAGAAGAAGAAGAGCCGCUUUAAGGAAGGGCUAAAUAACCUAUACCGCUAGCAAAUUACCCCACAUAUCUAUCAAGACUUCAACACCCUAAUCAACCAAACUAUCCUAGCUGAAACUGCCCGUGAUGAAGAAGAUGGAAAGCAUAGGUAUAUGGCCUGCCACACCCAGCAGCAAGGAAGAACCCCCAGAACAUAAAACUUUGCCACCCAAAGCAACCUAUUUACCCUAAAUAAUCCCAUAAAAAGCCAGCCACUCCGCAACAUUACACCACAACUCGCAACACCUGCUCGCAGCCAAGCAAUUACACAACCCCCAAAAAGCAACGCUAGUGCCUCUGCCAUGAGUGAUAAAACUUGCUUUCAUUGCCACGAACCAGGACACUUCAUAGCCAACUGCCCUUAAAAGCCAAAGGAGUUGCACCAGCAGCUUCCGUCGGAAGCUCCCGUCCUGCUGCCUCAGGAGUUGGCUGUAAUGGCCACAAGCCUUCGGCCAGCAGCAAAGUAAGCCCAUCCAAUCCUACACCCAAGAACACCUAAACCACCUGAACACCGAAGAAGCCCAAGCCGCGCCAGAUGUUGUGCUUGGUAAGUUCCCAAUCGACUCCACCCCAGCAACUAUAUUGCUUGAUUCUGGAGCAUCGCAUACCUUCAUAUCCACAAAAUUUGUUAAAGAAAACUAGUUACCCACCAUCCAUCUAGGAAAACCCAUCCUAGCAAAAACUCUUGGAGCCAAAAUUCCUUUCCAACUUCAAAGUCUAGAGGUUAAAAUCAUUUUAAGUGGGGUAGAAUUUACCACCAACCCAAUAGUACUAAACUCUGGAGGAAUAGAUUUGAUACUUGGUAUGGACUGGUUGAAGAAGCAUAAGAGACAGGUUGACUGUGGAAAAGGAAAGAUCACUUUGACCAACACAGAUGGGCAAGUUGUAGAAUGCCAAACUCAGUUCAGGCACAUAGCCCCCAUGAUAUGUGCCAUGGAAGUCACCACCUUGGAUCAAGUGCCUGUAGUAAGGGAAUACCUAGAUGUGUUUCUGGAGGAAUUACCAGGGCCACCACCAGAUAGAGAUGUAGAAUUCAUUAUUGACCUUAUCCCUAGAACAACACCUAUAGCAAAAAGGCCCUAUAGAAUGGCAGUAAAUGAGUUAGCAGAAUUAAAGAAGCGGCUUAAGGAGUUAUUAGCAAAGGAAUUCAUUAGACCAAGCUCAUCACCUUAGGGAUCACAUGUGUUAUUUGUCAAGAAGAAAGAUGGAACCCCAAGAAUGUGCAUAGAUUAUAGAUCUCUGAAUGAUGUGACCAUCAAGAAUAAGUACCCACUGCCUAGAAUAGAUGACCUGUUUGAUCAGUUGAAGGAGCAUAGUAUUUCUCCAAGAUAGACUUAAGGUUUGGAUAGUAUCAGUUGAAGGUCCGGUGGGAUGAUAAACCCAAGACAGCAUUUGUAACAAGAUACGGAAAAUAUGAGUAUAAGGUUAUGCCCUUUGGAUUGACCAAUGCCCUAGCAUAUUUUAUGAACCUAAUGAACAAGGUGUUCAUGAAGGAAUUGGAUAAGUUCAUAGUAUUCAUAGAUGACAUCUUGAUCUACUUCAAGAUGGCUGAAGAACAUGAAAGAUACCUAAGACUGGUGCUAGAAAGAUUAAGAGCCCAUAGAUUAUACACCAAAUUCAGUAAUUGUGAAUUUUGGCUAGAGCAAGUUGCAUUCUUAGGACAUGUCAUCACCCAAGCAGGAGUAGCAGUGGACCUAGCUAAAGUUGAAGCAGUACUAAAUUGGCAACAACCGUGGAACAUAAUAGAGGUUAGAAGUUUUCUUGGAUUAGCUGGUUAUUACCAAAGAUUCAUUGAAGGAUUUUCAAAGGUAGCUAAGCCCAUGACAGAAUUGACCAAGAAUGGAAAAGUGUUUAAGUGGAUACCGGCAUGUGAGGAAAGUUUCCAUCAGCUUAAGAAGAAAAUGACUUCAGCCCCCAGUAUUGGCCCUCCUAGACAUUCAUCAAGACUUCGUGAUUUAUUGUAAUGCUUCACGAAGAGGUCUGGGUAGUGUGCUCAUGCUUCUAGGCAGUUAAGAACUCACGAAGCCAAUUAUCCAACCCAUGACCUGGAGUUAUCCUCAGUUGUUCAUGCUCUAAAUAUUUGGAGACACUAUUUAAUUGGAAACAAUUGUGAAGUUUAUACCGACCAUAAGAGCCUGAAGUACAUAUUCACUCAGAAAGAUCUGAAUCUUAGGCAAAGAAGAUGGUUGGAGCUGAUCAAGGAUUAUAAUUUGGAACUAAGAUAUCACCCGAGCAAAGACAAUAUAGUUGCAGAUGCGCUAAGCAGAAAGACAAUAUAUAUUGGAAGAGUAGAGGAAUUGAGAAAGGAAAUGCAAGCUAUGCACUUGCAUAUUGUAAUAUUCCAAAAAAUUUGUAAUAUUUAUUUGAGUGAAAUUUGCAAAAAUUUAAAACUUUUUUAUUUAUAUUGUGUUCUUGUUUGCAAAUGACAGUCAAUUCCCUUCUCAUCCCCAAAAUUCCAUUUUUAAAAACUUGUGUGGAUUGAGUUGGAUCUUUUUGGAUUUUAUUUGGACCUCAUGUUUGAGUGUUUGUUUGAAUUUUGAAUCUAAUUCAAAAUUCAAAAUAAAACUAAAUCUAAACCUAUAUCUAAAAAUAAACAAACCUAAUCUAACCUAACCACGCCGACCGCAGCCCACCAGCCUGGCCCACUAACUUCCCCGCCUUGCUCACCUCGCCUUCGACCUAGCCCACACGUGCUGGCACCGCUGCCGCCCUGCUCCAGCCCAGCUUGGCUGCUGCCUAGCCCAGCAGGCCACCAACCCGCCAACUAGCCAACCAGCCCAGCCCGCUCUCCCUCUCUUUCUCUCGCUACCGCCUGAGCCCACCCAUCAGCCCACCGCUCCUGUGCUUCUUCAACUCCCAUCUGUACCCCUCACGCGCACCUCGCUGUCCACGCUGGAGCGCACUACCUCGCUCGCCCGCGCACCCAUGACCUUGCCUGCGCCCACCGCUUUUGCGCUGGCGGACUCAUAUGGCCGCCACGCCGCCCGCGCUAUGCGCCGCCGCAUCGUGGCCGCCCACGCCGCCGGCGCCGCGCCUCCAAAUCCUAGCACGCAGCCGCGCCCUUCCUCCGGAACCCUAGCCACCUCUCCGCUAUAAAUAGGAUCCCCUGGCCCCCUUCCUCACCAUCCAAAGCAACCAAGGCUCCUUCUCAUCAUCGCCACCCAAGGAGGGAGAAAGGAAGGAGGAGAGGAAAGAAGGAGGAGGAAGGGAAGGCGGAGGAGAAGAAGAAGAGAAGGAGAAGAAGGGGAGCCACCCGAGGAAGGAACCGGAGUCACUGUCGUUCGCCAUCAGCGCUGCGCACCCCUUCAACCUCUCCCCACUUUGAGCACCACGACCUUUCCCUUUCCCAUAUCGUGCUGCCUGACCUUCGAGCCGCUACCUGCCGUCAUUUGUAAGAGUCCCGCCUCGUCUCGCUGUGGGCCACUGCAGGCCUGGGCUACCGGGACCUCGCACGCUGUAGCGGCUGUGCCGCGGCCAGGGGGCAACCUCGGGACCAUCCGCGCACUCGCACUGCGCCGCGCUACGCGCCGUCGGGCGCGAGGCCGGGGCCAAGCGCUGGCCGGUUGCCGCAUGCACGCGCCGCGCGCCACGCACGGGCAGCGCCGUAGCGCGACGUCAUGGGUGCGGUCACCACCACUUAGGCCCCACGACGUCGCGCCGCGCUGCGCCGCCGCGGGCCACGUAGAUAAAGCGCGUCAUGUAGCUGCCACUUGGCCCUGGCGUGUCCAAAGGCCCGAGCCCACAUGUGGGGCCUACUAACAGUCUAACAGGUGACCCGUGGGGCCCACUGACCGGUGGGACCCAGUUGACCGUUGACUAGUUAACGCUGAUGUCAACAUGAUGUCAGCGGACACAUGGCACAAACGUGUGCUGCCACAUGGCCCAAUCAGAUGUGUCACUUUAAAUGUUUUAUGGAAUUAUUUAAAUGAUUAAAUAAAUCUUUUAAUCUUUAAAAAUUCAUAACUAAUUUAUUUUAAUUCGGAAAAAUAUGAAACCAGUUGCAUUAAAUUUGUAAAAUUGAGCCCAUGCUAUUUGUAUCUAGUUUGGUGUUAUUUGGAUAUUCUAAAUUUGGAUUUCUUGGAGUUUUUACCUACAUGUAAUGUUGUGUAAUUUACUUUACGUUGUAUCUCAUUCUGUUCAGACCCGAGCUACGACCCGAAAGACCUUCAAGACCCUGACUACACCGAGAAAGAUCCCAACGACUAUGGACAAGGUGUCAUGUCACUCUCAAUCAUAUAGAUCCUAUGCAUGCUUAGUUGCUAGCGCUUUAUUUAUGAUGCAUGAUGAUGAUGGAUUGCAUAGCCAAUAUUUUUAGCCAUGCCUUGAUAAUUGUUUAUCCUAUUUUCCUUUUUUACCUAUUUUUGUGGACUAGCUACUGGCACCUAGCUAGUCCACCGCUCAUAUAUCCAUAUACAUACUUUUGAGUUAUGGAAGGGAAUAUGCCAUGGUUUUCGUGAUGGGAUUCCUUGAACACUCUCGCGGUGUUUUGGGUGAGUGUGACUCCUUGAUGUGUUCUUAGCGGGAGCGAGCCAUGCUUGGUACUGAGGAGUGCCUUGCCGGGAGAGAGCUUUCUGGACUCUCUCUAUACCCUGUACCUGUGCUGGGUACCUUGUUUGUUACUGAGGAGCAGGUGGUGUACUUGUACGUUGCAGGUGCUUCGGCACAUACUUGUUAGUAGAGUGCUCACUCUCAGCCGCUUAAGGACCGAGUCAUUUUACCACCAGUCACAGCAGCUAUUAUACGCACUUAUGCUCGCUUACGUUAUGGGUGGGGUUUGGUCUGAGACUAGUGGUGGAUAGUGCUCUGCCUGUAGGCAGAUUGGAGGAUCAUGUAAGGAGUUCAAGGUGAUGGCUUGCUCUGACCAGACUGCACCCCAGUGUGGGUAGGUUUCAUAGCUUCGAGGUCCUCACUGGUGAUGGCGUGCCCUACAGGUGAGGAUGGUUCUAGACUCGAGGAAAUAGGAGAGAGCUAUCCACCUACUAGGGCUCUGGAUGUUAGGUGGGAUUUGGACGGAUUGCUACCGUUCAGGCUCGAUCCAUGCGGGUACAGUUGUACAAUCUCUAUAAAGUGUAUAAAGCUAUAGCUGUAGUCCGUGUCCACUGGUUAUGGACAGUGCUGUUGACUACCGCUACUUCUGACUAGCCUUUUCCUAUUCUUCUACCUUGAGAUAGGAUGGCGUUUGCUGUUGAGAUGUGAGGGUAGGGAGCUCUCACAUCGCCUAGUGUGUUUGGGUGCUGGACCCUUGGGUGAAGGAUCCAAUGAUUUGUGCCGACUUCCUUGUUUGAGGUGUUGACCUCGGAGUUGAUGUUGCUUUACUACUUCCUUGAUUGUUGCUGUUGUUGCUGCUGCAUAAACCUACACAACCAUAUAUAGGUUUUACUCAUGCAUAUAGUAUAAUUCCCCCGUUUCCUUAGCUUGCUUCUUUUGGGAGUUGACAUGGCCUACCCACUUCUCGGGUAGAUGGUGGCUUUUCAAGGUCGGAGCCCGACUAUGACUACAACAACGAUGGAUGGGAAGACUAGGGAUGGUUCUUCGCUAGAGUCGUCUCUGGAGAUGGAGUUUGCCAUAGCUUUUGUUUCCGCUACGUAGAUGUUUUACCUUUCUUGAUUCCGUCCUGAUGGACUUGUACCGGCAUGUGCCGAAGAGAUGUACUCGCUACUCAUGUUAUUUAUGAUAUUUGUACUCUGUUGUUGCUUUAUAUUUCUGUGUUGGUAUGGAUUUGUACUAACUGAGACAGGAAUUCGCACUUGAUAGCCUUCCUAGGACUAUCACCGAGAUGCGUAUGCUUGAAUUCUCAAAAAUGGGAAUUCAGGUCCGUUUCAUAUAUGAUACCCCUUGGAUACCUCACCAACAUACACAUUCAACCUAUGCUUGAGCCCCAGGUCCAAGAAGCCCAGAAACAAAGUAAGGAGAUAAUGCUACUCCAAGAUUCCAUAGGAUUAGGAAAAGGACCUGAGUUUAGAAUUGACAAGAAUGGGACCUUGUAUUUCCGGAAUCAAAUUUGUGUGCCACCACAAAAUGAUUUACGGAAGACCAUCCUAGAAGAAGCCCACAACUCAGCCUAUUCCAUACACCCCAGCUCCACUAAAAUGUAUCAAGACUUGAAGGAAUCAUAUUGGUGGCCAGGGAUGAAAAGGUACAUAGAAGAAUUUGUAGCUAAUUGCCACCUAUGCAAGAGUAUCAAAGCAGAGCAUCAGAGGCCAGCUGGAUUAUUGCAACCUUUGCCAAUUCCCGAGUGGAAAUGGGAAGAAAUCAGCAUGGAUUUCAUAGUACGUCUACCUAAAACUUCAAAAGGAAAUGAUUCCAUAUGGGUCAUUGUUGACCGAUUGACCAAAGUAGCUCAUCUCAUCCCAGUUAAUGCCAAUUAUGGAGGUGAUAAACUAGCAUGGUAAUACAUAGAUAAUAUCCUCAGGUUACAAGGAAUACCCAAAAGGAUUGUGUCAGACAGAAGCCCACGGUUCACCUCAAAAUUUUGGAAAAGCUUGCAUAAAAGCUUAGGGUCAACCUUGGACUAUAGCUCUGCCUACCACCCUCAAAUAGACGGCCAAACAGAAAGAGUUAAUCAAUUGUUGGAGGACAUGAUUAGAGCCUAUGUUCUGACUUAUGGAAAGAACUGGGAAGAUAGUUUGGCUUUUGCCGAGUUCUCCUACAACAAUAGUUAUCAGGCUAGCCUGCACAUGGUACCCUUUGAAGCACUAUAUGGCAAGAAGUGUACGACCCCUUUGAUGUGGUCAGAAGUUGAAGAAAAGUCACUGUUUGGACCAGCUAUUAUCAAGGACGCAAAGGAAAAGACAAGACAAGUGAGGGAGAACCUGAAGGUAGCCCAGAGUUGGCAAAAAAGUUAUGCUAACACCCGAAGAAGGGAAUUGGAAUUUGAGGCAGAUGAUCAUGUAUACUUGAAGGUAGCACCAAUCAGAGGCACUAGAAGAUUUCAGAUCCAUGGCAAGCUGGCAUCACGGUAUAUUGGGCCUUAUAGGAUAAUCAAAAGGAUAGGAAAGGUAGCCAAUCUUUUGGAUCUGCCAGAUGAAUUAAGAGAUGUACACCCAGUAUUCCAUGUGUCUCAACUCAAGAAAUGCCUAAGAAUACCAGAAGAACAGACCCCUUGGAAGUAAUGGAUCUACAACCCAACCUACAGUACCAAGAAAGACCAAUACGCAUCUUGGAUACAGCGGUACGACACACAAGAAGGACUGCAGCAAGGUUCUGUACAAUACAACGGAGCAAUCACACAGAAGCAGAAGCCACCUGGGAAAGAGAAGAAAACCUUAGGAAAGAAUUCCGCUACCUAUUCGAAAGCCCAGUCAAAUCUCAAGGAUGAUAUUCAUUUUAAGUGAGGUAGGUCUGUAACAUCCCAAUUUUACAUGCAUUUAAAAAAUAUGGACCCCAAAAAUUUUGUAUCAUAAAAUUCAUAUAGCAAAUCAAACCUUAGUACCUUGCAUUUGGAAUUAUGCAUCAAAAUAAAAUUUUCAUGACCGCAUGAGCAUAUGUUUGAGCUAACCACCUAACCCUAUCCCCCAAAUAUUCCAUCUUUCUAGUACCUCCAAACCCACACACCAAACCCAACUCAAAUUUGAAACCCAUUUCAAAUUUGAACUUCAAACCAAACUCAAACAAAUAGAAAAGCACCACAAACUAAAUCUGGGCCAACAACUAUGUUCUCAGCCCAAACUCCACAACCAGCCCGGCCUGCCUCUGUCUCCUCACGCACGCGGCCUAGUAGGCCGGCCCAGCUCUCCGACCUAGCCCACCAAGCGUGAGACGUCAGCCUGACGUCACCAUCUUACUCCCUAGUUCUUCCCCCUUCCCCCUCUCCGUCCGCGACACCACCGCCGCUGCCUGCCACCACGUCGCCUCCACCCACUCCCACUGUUCCCUGAUGAGUGCGCCGCCAUCGCCCGUACUCCCACCAUCGCCUGCACCUGUCAGAGAUCCCCCUCCGGCUCAAGAACCCGGCCACCCCUAUCCACUCACCCGCGCUCCAGAGGCCACCGGCAAGCUCAUGCUGAUCUCCUCCACCCCCACCUGAUACACCCUCCCCCCCGGCAGGCGCACCACAUGUGCUAGCACCAGGCGCACCCACGACCGCACUCUCCCCCUGCCAACACUCCCUCCUUGACCCUAUUCCUCUCCCGUUAGACGUGCCACACGCCACCGUGCCAUUGACGGCCGGCCGGCCUGGUACAGGACCACCUCGGCCUGCCCGAGCUCCCGAGCCCCGGCCCUCCGCCGAGCUAUAAAUAGCCCCUCCCUCCACUCCUUAUUUUCUCACACCUACCCUUUCCCUCUCCAUCCCACACUGGCUCGCCGGAGUAAGACCAUGCUGCAUCGCCCCCACCCACCGCCGUGCUCUAUCCCCUAGAACCAGGCCGGGUCGAAGUCAGGGUCACCUCGCAGCAUCAGCCCCCUUCCCGGUGUUGUAGUGCUGCGCUACCGGCCGCUCUUCGCCAGCCACACCCUGUUGCCCGCUCGCCGCUGGCUGGUCCUGGCUGCUGCACCGCCCACUGGAAACACCCAGGUAGGGCUGUUAUGCUGCCUAAAUGCUUAUUUGAGCUUCACACUCUCUCCAGCCCCUCUCUCGUUCUUUCCCCGCGCCGCCACAUAAUGUUGGCAAGCUCUAGGCUCGCUGCUGAUCGCCACCCAUCGUCCACACCACCCUCCACUGGUUCGCUGUGCCCUGCACCAUCACCACAACCACCUCUUGCCCUACCCCGAGCUCUCCUCUACCCAGCGCAGCUCACUCCGGCAAGGGGCUCUGCCCCGGACGGCGCCGCCUCGGCCUCCACUCCCUGCACCUUGCUCUCAUAGACCAAAGACACCAACCCCCCUCUCGAUCCACACACACAAACACACACCACGGGCGCACCACGUGGCCCGCCGCAUGGACCACGUUAGCUGCCACGUAGGCCCAUGCGCCGUAUCACCCUCUACCCCGCCUGUCAGCCCCUCUCCACUCUCCCCUUUGCUUUGCUACGGCCACUAGAGCAAAUGCACACCAACACUUGCAAACCUUAGCUAAAAAUUCCCAAAAAUCACCAAAAAUACUAGAGUCCAUUUCAAACCUAACCAUACCUUAUUUGUCCAAAUAUCACAUCCAUAACCCCUAUAAUUAAAUCCUCCUUCUCCUCAAUUAAUGAAAAACCCUAUAUUUCAUGUGGCUAAAAUAGGAAAAACAUCCCAAAUUAAUCCUAGAAAAUUCGAGGAAAUUCUCUAAGCCCUCUAAACCUCAAUUCUACUCUUUUAACCUAUGUUUGGUGUAUUGCUUUGAUUGCUUGCUUGAUUACUUAUGAAUAACUAUGAUUAUGUAGAAAUGACGACACCAAUAAUGCGUUCAACGACCCAGAUUACGAAGAAGAAACUCUGAACGACCCGGACUACGAGGAAGGCAAGUCCCACAGAUCAUCAUCAUAUUUUGAUCCCAAGUACUUAUAAAUAAAAUAAAUCUAGAUAAUACUGGAUCACCUACUUUCCUUUAUUUCUUUUCAUAGCUAAUCCUAAUAAUUUGGAGCCCUCCUUGAUAUCAUGAACCCAAUAUAUAUUAGGUCCUACCAUGAUACACAAAUCCUAAGGAAGAGUGAGAGUACCUUUAAAAGUAGCAUAAGAGCAACUAAAGUGAGUCUAGCAACCAGUUAAGGUUGGACCCGCGAGUAACAGGGUAGCCUCAUCAGAGGAUCCAAUCCUAAAAAGCCUACUCUGGUCAUACGAGGACCGGCUCAUGGGAAAGUCUUUCUAGUGGACAGUUUAGCCGCACGUGCCAAAAAGGUACAGCCUUCCUGAGUGCCUAAACAUGUGAGGCCUUGAUUCACACCCCACCAACUAUACCUAAUAAAUUGUCCCAAGGGGCCACGAUGGGCAACAGAUAGACUGGAGCAGGACCUUCGCAGAGUCCCAGGUAUGGUCAGCAUGGGUCACGACUUGAGGUCUGGAGGACCUGUUGACAUUGUAUGUCAAGUUAUGAUGCAUCUUUCCCUGGGAUUGAGUCCACGAGUGGACAUAGUGUGACCCCUGUUUAGACCCUAGCCGUGUCUGUGGACGGAGUUAGGGAAUGUUGUCUAGGAAUAGACACGGGUAGGUAUGGGUUUCGUAGGUCAGUACCGCCUCCGUACAAGGUAUGGAUUGAUCGAACGUGCAGGUAAAGUGUACACCUUUGCGCAGAGUUAUAAAACUAUUCGAAUAGCCGACGCUCUCGGUCAAGAUCUCAUAGAGUUAAAGCUCCUAUUGAUUAGUCAUAACCCGCUCUAUGAAAAGAGUGAGGUCCAGGCUCAUCCUAAGAUGUGUCUAGAAAUGAGGCAAAAGUCGGCUCAGGUAAUCCCUGACGGAUCCUGAUGCUCUUAAAACUUCAGGACUAGUAGGGAGGUAGAUUCCCCUCCAGGACCAACAACUUAUAAAUACCUGCAUUCCAUUCUCUUUCAAUUUACAACUGUAUACACUAUGCAUAUUGUUAGCCUUCAGGUAUAUUUCAAACUAGCAGCUAUUCCUUGAGAACCUACAUGAAAUAAUACAGCAAAUGUGGGAUUUGCUGAGUACCCAUUGUAUGGUGCACACCCUUGCUUCCUCUUCCUUUUUUUCUUCAGAGGAAGAGGUUGUUGGUGAGGAAGAUGAGAACCUUGAGGAUCUGCCCUAGGAGCCAAGCCACCUGUAGGCUUGGGACUGCUACGUAGGACUCUGCUGACGCUCAUUAUUGACACACUUUUAGUGCCAUUGAAGUGGUGUUUCCAUACAUAUUCUUAUACUAAUCUGCCACUUGGCACCUGAAAUAACCCCAUUUUUGCAUAUGCAUUGUAUUUUGGAGGACAUUCUAUUUUUGCAGGAAAUUGGACCUAAAAGUAUAUUUUUGGAUAAAGCUCCAAAUGAGCACCUGUCAAAGACGAAGGCCAGCAGGCUCAGAAAGAGCCCAGGCCGAUCGGCUUGGUGAAGACCAAGAUGAUCGGCCAAGGGUCUUCUGGCCUCCUCCGAUGCUCAUUUUUGGCAAGCACUCCUCCAAGAUUACUUCAGGGCUAUGUUUGUGAAGAUAUGGCAAGGAUCACUUUAGGAUCAAAGAUGAAUCAAAGAGGAUCAAGCGGAGAUUUGGAAAGUUAUCAAAGAUCAAUCUCAUUCCGAAGCUAUCGACGUGCCAGGCCCACAUGCAUACAAAAAUAAGCUUCCAGAACAUCAGAGGAGACUUGACGACGAAGUUGGGCAUGAGGGGAUAAAAGGAAGGGCCAGGCCAAUCGGCCUAGGGCUUUCCUUGCUCCUCUCACCUUCAGCCACGAGCUCUCCAGACUGUAAAUACUCUGAUAUUUCAUCGAGCACGGAGAUCCAUCCACCAGAACUUGACAAAUAGAGGGACACACACUAGAGGGAGUUGGGGGCCACUACAAGUCUUCAAGGUUGUCUAGAAGAUGGCUUAGGCUAGACCCUAGCCGCCAUGGUCAUCCCCGUGCGGUGAAGCCAUGGUGGAGUUCUGGAGCCGAGCCUUGUGAUCAUCAAGGCUUAUGUACACACGAUGGUGAUAUCAAUCUAAUCUUGUGCUUACUUUGAUCUACUAUGAUGCAUUAUUAUUCUCAUAUGUUUAGCUAGCAUAUGUUCUUAGUAGGAAUAGAUGUAAUUGUGGUGAUUAGCCUAUGUCUUGUUGAUACAUCUUAGUAGUGCGUAGGAAGUCAGUUUGAUUACCUUCGUGUGGUGACAACAUGUGGGAACGGAAAGCCCGGACGAUUGCGUAAUGUUGAGUAGGAUCGAUGGCGAGUAUUGUGAGAGUUUUUUGAGGUAAAGCUUUGGGAAAUCGGAGGUUUCAACACACUCCUCGUAGUGGCAACCACAAGAAAGUAGGCCGCUUGCGAGUCGUCUUUCUGAGUGAUGACUCUUUAUCAAGGUGUUGCAUAGAUUGGUUACCACUUUGGCUGGAACUACAACAAGAAGAUAAUAGGCUCAUGCUACCUUCGGUUAUGUUACCUCAUAUAUAUGGAUGUGAUCUUUUUACCCUGUCUAUAAUACUUCUCACGAUUGGGUUUACCUUUAUAUGCAAUUCGUGCUUCAUGAUACGAUUAGAUCCGUUUAGCUAGAUAGAGAACCCUAGUUAAUUCGCUGCCAAUCCACGGAUUGAUAAACCUUGGAUGGAGUACUCUAAGGGAAAAGCUACGAUGAUCCGUGCGCUUGCGGUUCACAACUUGGCAUAUUAAAUACCGUCAACAAGCUUUUCUGGGGCCGUUGCCGAGGAUCGGCAACUCGAACCCUGGGGCGAUCUAUCUAAUUUUUCGGACUAACCCUAAUUUUUCUAUUGUAUAUAUCUUAUUUUUCCUGUUUGUGUCCUUGAAAGCAGGUAAAUACUAGACGCUAGAUAAUCAAACAUGGACUUCAUCAAAGUCUCAAUUCACUCUGAUAAGGUGAUAACAACAUCAAGCCCAACUCUUUAGCAGUAGGUGCUAACUUUGUUAGUAGCCAAGCAUCUGCUAUCGAGUCCAUACCAAUGAAGACAAUACAAAUGCUUAUAAGCAAAGUAUGCCACAUGUCAAUUAAUUUUUAAGACUAAUACUUUUUGGAGAUUUGUUUGUUCAAGUAACAGGUGUUGGAAGCAACCAUGUCAAGCAAAGAGGAAAAAAUUGGAGGACCUCUCUGCACAGAAGGAGAUGAUUUGGAGUUGAUCAAGACUGGAGGCUCAAGAGCUUCUCCUGUGUGGAUGCUCAAGAGCUUCUAAUUGAGUGAUGCAAUCAAGGAAGAAAACUGCUUAGAUCGUCGACAAAAAUCAUAGGAAUCUCCUCUGAUCCCGGCACCUUGGCUAAAGCAAGAAUUAUGGAGAAGGUGCAUCAUUGCCACCAUGCUACUUGCUGGUGCAGCAAUGGUGAUGACCUUGAAGCCAAAGGAUGUAUGACAUAAUGCCCAACGACCACAGGAUCAAGAUCAUCAACAUCUCCAAAUCAAUUCACGAGAAGCUACUGUUGUCAUUAAGAUUUUUUCUCGACCUCAGAAAAAAAUAAUAGAAUAUUUUUAGAUAUUCAGAAGCCCCAUGAAGUCUAUGUUCCAACAAAUCCAGAAUCAAGGUAAUCGGAGAUUCCUACCAGCAGUUAUGGCCAAAUCAUCAAACAUCGCACGUUCUGAAAUCAGUUUUGGACAGUACGCAGAGCUGAAAUAAAAUGAGCAUAACUCUCUCAAUUGAACUCCAUUUUAGAUGAAUGACCACUCGUUAGAAAGGUAAUUUCAAAAAAAAUUAAUAGAUCUAUAUUUCGGUAUAUGUUCUAUUCUGGACGCAGGGGAAAAUCCACGAAGAAGAGGCAGCAGCAAGCCUAUGAGAACAAGACGGAGGAGAUGAGGAUGACAACAAUGAAGAGGAGCUUGGACAAUGCUUUUAUCAAGCGUACAUGAUCAAAUUCAGAAGAUUAGAACAAAAUAAAAAUCUCUGGAGCAUUGGCACAUGAAGACACAAGCAGGCUACAUCCAAUACAAAGAGGUGUUAGAAGCAAACCCUGAAGGAUUACAAAGAUGACAUCAAGUUGCAUGGGCACUUUGGAUUCACACGCAAAGAACCAUGGCUUCGCAUGAACAUGAUCAAGGUAAGAAGUCUAGCUAUAUGACUAUAACUAAAGCGCUUUGCGGGAAGCAACCCAUCUUUUUAUUUUCUUUAUUAAGAUGACGGUCUAUAUUAUGCUUUUUAAUUGAAACCAUCAAGUAACAUUGUACCAUUGCUCUAACAAAUUCUGCAACCACAUGUUGUAUGCUUUAAAAAAUAUUGAGGCAGCACUUUGUUAUUUGAUCUUGGAAAACUUGUAGACCCUUUUUGCGUGCUUUUAGUGUUUAAAGUAUUUUUCUUUGUGUAUUUUUAGAGACAAAUAUGAAGCAUGGCACCACCCCUUUGAUUCUAAACUUGUGGCUAGUUAAUUUAGGCUAACUUUUAUUUUGUUUUAGACCACCUCCAUAUCAUGUCAUAUCAUUUCAUUUAUCCACCUCAUGUUGCAUUGCAUUUUCAUGUUAUUUUUAUCAAAAUCCUUUUCCACCUAAGCCUUCCUAUCAGCCCAGCUGAAAACCAGAGCCAACAUAGGUUGGAUUAACUUGUAUUGAUCAGCUUGCUGUUCAGAUCGAUCUAAGUUAUUUUUGCCUCUGUUCUAACUACACCCUUACCCAGAGCCAUCCUAAAACCAUAGGUUUUUGCAUUUCAUCCAAAAAAAUAGGCCCUUCCUUUUCUUUUUAUUUUACAAGACCCCCUUAGUUACAAUUUCUAUGCUUGAUUUCUCUCUUCAAAAUUCUUGUUUCAAGCCAAAAAUAUAGGAUACAUAUAAACCUACCCUUAGCCUUGUUAGUUUGAUUGUUGGGGAUUUUCGAUGAAUGAUUUUCUUGUUGACAUUGCUUGACUUCUUAUGAAGUGGCUAGCCAUACUUUGUCAUUCAACUAACUGCGGAACAACAUCGAUAGUCUUUUCAAACUUGCUAGCCUUUGUUUUUCCUAACCCUUUUGAAUGUGCAUUUGCAUUUAUUCCAUCAUUCAUGUGUUAGCUUGACUUUCUCCUAAAAACUUUUAUGAUGAAUGCUUUCAUAUAUAUGUUAAUGCUUCGAGGGCAUUUUUCCCUUGCAAUCUUGUGUAAACAUGGUGUUUAGACUUGGUUGCAGACCAUCAUCAUUCGGUUUAAUAAACCUUGCUAGCUUUUUAUUUUGCAUUGGUUGGUUUAUAAGUUUUGCAAUGCGCUCUAUUUUUCUUAUGCUGAAAGGAGUUAUUGAUCUUUGGAUAAGCAUGGUGUUUGACCAUGAUUAACAAUUUUUUUAUGGCUAUGGAGGAUUUCAGCAACCUAGUUGUAAGCAUGUUGCUUAGAACUUGGUGCAAACAUUGUCUUUGUUUAUGUUCCUACCUAUCAUUUGCAUUCACACUUGCACUCACGUACACUCAUUAGAUUUUUUUUAUUUUACUGGAUUAGCUAUGCUACAAGUUAAAGUCUUAAGGAAGUUGUUGGUUUGUUGGCGAUUGCUUCUACUCCCGACAGUUACCCCAAGAGUAGUAUGUGCACUUGAAUUGUUUUGCAGGCAUGGUGAAGCAUUUUCAUGAAAGGAAAAGAGAAGAAAUUGAAGGACAAUAAAGGCAACAAAAGUGAAGAAGCAUAAAGAUAAGCUCCGGACACGUAGCACAAGGAUUUCAAUGAUCAUAAAAUGCUUCAUCUUCUUCUUCCAUGACUAGCACAAUGCUAAGCGUGGGGGAGGACUUGGCGGAUGAAGAAUACAAGGAUCACGGUCACUAGAAGAUGCUUAUUUUUCUUCUUCCAUGCUAAGCACAAUGCUUAAGCAUGGGGGAGGCUGCCCUACACUUCAUUACAAGCAUCGAAAGGAUGGUAAAUUCUUCCUCAACCUUCUCUUUGUCCAUCUCUUAAUGCCUGUGUAUAUAAGCUCGAUGCAACCUUUGUAUAUCUCUCCCUAUAAUAAUAUGGCUACUAGGAGUACAACCUAGUUUUUGUUACCUUUAAAUCUUGAUCACCAUCACCUUGUGCUCACCACAAUGUUAAUAAUUUUGGUAUAAUUUUUCUUAUGGACAAAUGAUCAAGGUUGCCGCUUUGUUUUACUUACACAAUGUUGUAUAUGACUUGACUAAUUGCACUCUAUUCAAUGAACCUAAAUUGAUUAAAUACCGACUCUUUUAAUUGUGGAGGUUAAAUGACUAAAUUCUAGACCCACAAGCUAUAUGUUGCUCUUUGAUUUAAGUUUUCUAAUGACCUGAUACCUUAAUUUAUUUUUAUUUAAAAUUAAUUCAUAUGCUAUCUACAUUAGUGAAUCUCUUGCAAAAUUCUACCUACCAGAGCCUAUAUACAUGCAUGAUAUUUCAUGAUGAAACCUUUAGAUUGCAAACUUAUAUUUUGAUGGAAAUCCCUAGUCAGUUCGCUGCCGAUCCACGGAUUGAUAAACCUUGGAUGAAAUACUCUAAGGGAAAAGCUACAAUGAUCCGUGCGCUUGCGGUUCAAAACUUGGCAUGUCAACUACUGUCAACAGGGAGCACGACGCGUGCCCGCCGAUGGAGGGAGGAAGAGGAAGGUGGCACAACAUGUCGGUGGAUGGAGGCAAGGGAGGACGGGCGGUCUACUGACGAAGGAAGGUAGGCGAGCAUGACGCGUGCCCGCUGGUAGAGGGCAGGAGAGGAGGGUGUCUUGUCCUAUUGGUGGAGGGAGACAUGGAAGGACGAACGAAGCGCGCCCGCCAGCGGAGGAAGGAAGAGGAGGGUGGCGCAACCCACCGGUGAAGGAAGGUAGGGGAGGACGGCGUGCGCCCACUAGCGGAGGGAGAGAGAGGAUGGCGACGCCUAGCCAUCGGAGGGAGCGAGAGGGCGCGAGAGAGACAGAGAGAUGCGAGGGACGAGGGGAAGACAAUUCAGUGAAUAUAGAGCGGGUUGGCUCGGUAUUGAGGGUAUUGAGGAUGUGGGAGUUAGAGUGACAUGAAUACCGAUUGGUAUUGGCGUUGAAUUCCAAUUCUGGAUUGUAGUGCAUCCAAACAGUCGACAUUUGAAUCUACCAAUGCCAAUUCCGAAUUCUGAGGUUGAAUAUCUACAUCCAAACAUAGUGUAAGAGUAAAUUGUGGGGGUAGUCCAACCUUCCGUCGCGAUUACAUAUCAUCGUUUGAAGAAAUUCCUUCUAAGCCAGAGGCAUUAUUUCAACCCCAAAAAAUUUCAACCUGCACGGAUAUAGAAUACACCAUACACGGGAGGUAAGAUGAUAAUCGUGCUACUCGGGAGGUGAGAGUGUGAUUGGACUGACAACGUGCAUUCGGCCCAAGGCACCCGGAUACGGUACAUACCAAAUUUGGCCCAUGUUUUUUGUUUCUCAUUUUAUUUUUUCCAUCCUUUUUCUUCUCUUUUGUUCAUUUCUGACGCGUUCUUAUUGUUUUCGACAAAACUAAAUUUUCCUAUUUUCUUGGUUUUUUUGUAAUUAUACCUUUUCUUUAUGCUUUUUCAUUUCCAUUUAUUACUUUUUUAUUUCUUCUUUUCUUUUAUUUUUAGUAAUACUAACUUUUCUAUUUUAUACCAACUUUCUUACCAUGUAUUGAUAUUUUAUUUGUAUUUUAAAAUAACUUAUUCGUAAUAUCGACGUAUUUGUUCUUCAUAUAAAACCACUUUUGCAGACUAAUUUGUUUGUUAUGUUAAUUUUUUUGUUUGAUUUAUAGAUUAAAUUGUUUCACUUGUAAGAAUAACUCAUUCGUGAUGUGGACAUAUUUGUUCUUUAUGUAAACCAAUUUUUUCAUGUGUGGAGCCAUUUUGUUUACUUUUAUAGACUAAUUUGUUCGUUAUGUUGCUUUUCUAGAAUAAAUUGUUUGUCUGCGCGAAUAAUAUGUUUUCAAUGUGUACAUGUUUGUUUUUCAUGUCAAACAAUUUAUUCAUGUGUAGAGUAAUUUUAUCUACUUAAAAUAUUUUCAUAUCAUGAAUAAACAGUGCAUAAAUAAUUUGUGGAAAACCAACAAUUAGGUCAAGUUGUGAUAAAUAGUGCGUUGGCAGCAAAUAAGUACACCUGCGGGCUGCUGCCCAAUAUGAACUAAUGAACCUAUUGGAGGAGCAGUAUGCGGCCCGCUUGUGUGCUUCUCAUGCUAUGCAAUCCGCUUGAAAUGCUCAUAUGCUCGCAGCCCGCUAGUGCCCUUCUCCUGCUCGUGGCAUGGUCCUAACCCCCCUCUCCCCGCUGUGUGUGACCCGCUCAAGCUUUAGGUAAUGGGUUUCCAUAUAACUUCAUUUGCUAAAUUCAAAAAAUUUGGAAAUGAAGUGAGUAAAAAUCCAAAACACAAAUUCCUCUUUUCUAUUUUGCAUAUGGAUUACCCGAGACUCGAACCUGGAACUAGUCGAAUGUUAGUGCUUGUAAUGAUGAGUUUAUACAUGAGAUUCAGUUAAGGAGUUAUGUGGAUGUAAAGGUUGCAUGGUUUGAUCACUAUGAGUCCAACACACAAUCUCCUUUGUGUUUGAGAAUUUCAUAGAGUAGCUUGAAUUAGGGGUGCAAUAGGUGCACCUCAGUGUAUCUCCUCUUUAUUUCAAUUUUUCAAAAGAACUAAAGAGGGUCAGUGGAUACCCUUAGGAUCACUAAUUCUCACCUCUAGGUUGGGUAUGAAAUGACUGAGAAUUUGAAGAUAUACUAAUUCUUACAUGGGAAACAACUUUGAAAUGGGUUGAGAAUAAUUGCGAGUGAUAGAGACAUAAAUGUGAUGGUGUACUUUGAUCAUGAUGACAACAUUGCAAGCUUGAACUAGGAUGAUAUUGUAGCCAACCUAAUUGUACAUUUGCCCAAUAUUGUAAACCACACAAGGUGGACAAUGUGCUAAAGAAAGUUAAUGAGAAACUUUCUAAGUUUUACUCUAAUCUAGAAAGUAGCAGUAGAGGCCAGUUGUUGGUGAGAUUCAACAAGAGUUUCAGCGGAUGAAGAAAAUGGUAAUGGCUAGGGAUGGUAGCUUUUAUAAUUUAGACUUUGUGGCCCUGAUUAUGAAUUAGUGGAUGAAAAUAGUGACUAUUUGAAGAUUAUGUUGAUCAAUAUAUAGUUGAUGAUGGCAUAGUUAAUGGAUAGAAGAUAGCAAAGGGCAAGAAGGCUAAAGGUAGUCAACUGAAUAGAAGUGUAGUGGUAAUACGACCUUUACACUGGUGAUGAAGGCUUGGAUCUUCUAGAAUCUGAUGAUGAAGUAGUUUGAUAUUUUAGUCAUUCUGGCUAGAGGACCUAAACAAUCCAUAAAAUUGGGAUGGUAUUUCCUUCGAUUGAGGUCUAAAGAAAAUUAAAAAAUCCUAAAUACAAUGUGAAGAGAAUGGGUUUAGAGAAAAAUGCCAAGAGAUCGUAGGAUAAGGAUUAAUGCCAUCAUGCUCUAGGCUCCAUGAAAUUUGUAUGCUUAAAUGGAUGGCAGGGGUUAAGUUUUUGCAAUAAAUACAUGCCUUGGUGAGCACAAUUGUUAGAAGGAAUGGGUGCUCCAAAGGUGUAUUUCAAAGUGGCUAGCUGAAAAGUACAUUGAGACAUUUAUGACUGAUGGAAUCAGUCCAUGUCUGUAUCUAUGUGGUGUGCUCAUGUUCUGAUUAUUUGAUUAUCACAUUCCAAAUUUCUAUCUGGCAACUGAUAAGUUAGUAGUUGAUAACUAAAUUUAGUAUUGGACUUAAGCAUGCUUUUUCUGAACACCAUGGAUUCUUAACUAACUCGACUUUGGAUCCAUGGCAUCAAUCUGAAUUGGGGGGGAGGGGGGUAGUAUAGAGCACGAGGAUGAGAAGAUGGGAAUGAUUCAGGAUGAGACAGAGGAACAAGAUUAUAGGGAUACAUAGGGAACAAAUUUUUUAAGAGGGCAAGGAAAAAAUGCAAAUCCCAAACCUCAAUCAGGCUCCACGGCACAUAGCUCAUGUAGGAUCCGAUGUGGCAGUCCACCUAGGAUCCGAUGUGGCAGUCCACCCGUUUGGACCUCUAGUGAUCCACUUAGGUAGUUUAUGUGACUCAAUCAAUGCACUUUACUCAAACCACGAUAAUAGCUCAUAGAACCAUAGAAAUCAUCUCAUAAACUAUUAAAGGAAAAAUGGGAAAGCUUCUUGUGUCGCAAACUAUAGCAAAAAUAAGGGAAAAUGCAAACCACCUAUUUGUUGGAAACAUAAAAACCUCUAUAAAAAAUAUAGUUAGAAGUUUUCAAAAAAUGAAAUGAUGCACAUCCUAGUGCAUCCAUGUAUGUACUUUUUUAGAAAAGUGCAGUUGCAAAGUCGUUAUGUAAAAAUUAAUACAAAAACAAAAAGUUUUAGGACAUCUGCAACAAAAGAUAAUUUUGUCUUCUAAUGCACGUGUACUUGAAAUUUAUCAUUUAGGAUAAAUUUUAUAGAUUAGUUUUCAUCUCAACUUUUGUGACAAAGUAUGUAACACCCUGUCCUCCAAAGCUGCACCACCCAACCCUUCCGAGGGGUGGGCACGAGUACACAUAGCACCCUGCUUACACUUUCAUCCUCGCUUCGUGUAAAAGGGUUAACCUGAAGAUACUAUGGUCAGAGGAUAAAGACUUAUAAUAAAUUGGCUCCACCCUUACUCAACUAGCAAGAUGGUACUAAACAUGCGCACCUGUGCUCAUGGACCACUACUGGGCCAACCAAAUUGGGCCGACCAAAUUGGGUCGGGUGUCACAUGCACCCCCUCAAAGGACCCAACAUCCUCACUGGUCCAACUCACCCACACUUGGGCAAAUGUCCAGAAACGUUCCCUCUUAGUGCACGACCGUACGUCCAGUGCCGGCGCCAUAUGCCACGCCAUGUGUCCCAUCCAGAGUCCACACGUGCAUGGGCCAUAUGCCCGUACACUAACCCGUACAUGCAACCGCGAGGGUCUAUGAAUGCACUAUGGAUGUGUAUCGUUUUAAAUUUUUUAAAAAACUUCUAAGUAUAUCUCUUAGGGGUUUCACGUGUUCCCCAAAAAGAUGGUUUGUUACUGAAUAUUUCCUAGAAACUAGUGGGGUUGGCCCGGUUGCGCAGAUAGUAUAAAAAUCCAUAGUGGGUAAUAUCGUUCUGGUUUUAUCACCAAUUUAUAUUUUUACCUUACUGUCACUUUUCUUUCUAUCACCACUAUGCCUGCUCCAUGAUAUAUCUUUUUCAUUUGUUUGAGUUCUACCGCCUAACCAUACCACGUUGUUUUAUUUCAUAAAGGCUUUGUUCUCCAUGCAUCAAUUCUCAUUUUCUAUGCUAUUCCUAUCACAUAGUUUUUCUCUAUCACCUCCCUAAUGUUGUGAUCUUGAGUUACACGUUUCAAACCAUGUGCAACAACAACAUUUUCACUUCCAUGUCUGGCUCUAUGCCAGAGUUUUUGGUUCCACCAUCACCAAUCUAUUUUUCUUACAGACCCAGACAGGUUAAUUAUCGGUCUAAAUAUUAACAGAGAAGAGAAAUAUAGAAAAAUAGAACAAACCAAUCUUUGUCUUCGUCGAUGUUAGUGGUCCUGUUGAAGAGAAGACAAUAAGGGCGAAAGAGAGAUGGAAAAUAUAAAAACCGCUAUCUAUAUACAUUAUAUUUAUAAGGGUUGGUGAGAGAAAUGCACUAAGCAUUGAUUGUGUGGUAGCUAAAUUUGUCUGCAUGAUAUUAAAUAGCAUGGUUUUAUCUAAGGGAUACCAUUUUGUUUGUGGGACGAACACUAGAGCAGGGGUAAAGACUAUUAUGCUCAAUUUUGCACAUCUUUUAAAAAAUUAUCCGUGCAUAGAUUAAAAUGUAAUCUAUCCUCAAAUUCCUCAUACGUGUAGUUCUUUCAAACUUUCCAUAGAGAUUUUGUAAAAUGAAGGUGAGGGUAUGGUGAUCUUUCCUUCCUCCUAUAGCGUACUAUAGAAAACCACGGUUUUGCAAUGUCCUCUGGCCAAUUUCUAACAAUACGGUGUACUAUAGGCAAUACCGAGUUUUUUUAGUGUACUUGACACAAAUAUAACCAAAUCAAACUGUGAUUUCAAACAUGGACGCUACAUAUGAGUGCGUGUCAUUGGUGUACGUAUGCACGGCCCUCUCUAAAUAUACACAAAAAAGGUCACAAAUAUAAUCUUAGGCGCAUUGCAAUACCCUCUCAAACUUGAAGUUUAAGCUCAAUCUCGUGCUGUCGUGCAUCAGUGCAUGCUGUGUACAAUUAAGAGGGAUGCAAUGCACUUCCUAACUCCAACUGGUCCUUCAAGAUUGGAUCAGAUGCACGAUAGAAUUCACACGUGGUUCACCGUUCACCAAUACACCCUUGUGCAUCUGAUAAUUUAAUUUCCUCUGAAAAAUUACACUAGUUGAAUUCACAAACUCAAAUAAAGUAGGGUCUAGAGAACCUAGCUGAAACUAGUUUAGUUUUUCAGCUAGUGUCAUAUCUAGCUGCAUAGGAAAACUGACUGCUACUGCAUAGUUUAAAGAAGCUCGGUUUACUUUUCUUGGCAUCCGUCAGAAGCCAAAGUCAGAACAGUCGUGUUUCCCAUGCCUAGAACGAUAAUUAAAUUCAGUGUUGGGCUGUUGGCUUACCCAUCAUGUUCACAUUAGAGGAUACUAGUCAGUAAGUUGUAACUACCAUAAUACCACUUUUAUCAAUGAUGUGCACAAGUGUACUGUAUAGAAUAGCAGAGUCCCACUGGUUUUUCCCCUUCAGAAAUGAGACAGAGUUCAGACUUCAGACUGGCCGGUGGCUGACUGGCUGCAUAAUGCUUUCGUCUAAAAACUAGUUGGUGGGUGGACAUACCUGUCAGCUGCAUAAACGCUGCAUCGGAUCAACAAAUUCAGUUUAAAAAUAACAACAGAUGCACACAUAAUAAUAGCUUUGCAAUGAUGCGAAGAUUAUCCACGUAUUGUACGUGACAGGCCUGCGGUUCUGUACUGGCUCCCGGCCGGUUGCGCCACAUAUCCUAUCCUGCUUAUAAUGGAAUCUAUCCAUCCUCCCCAUCCAACUUCGAAGAGCUGUGCGUAUGGUGCACUUCGAUCUGAACGAGAUUAUUUGCGCGAAUUAUUUGCAGGUAACAUGCCCAUAACUGCCAUGAUGUGAUUGUAUAAUGGUAUGCGCCCGCGAACCGACACCUUCCUUUCCUCCAUGAUUCGCGCGGUGGCCAUGUGACGCGACGGACCUCGCGAGCUCCUCUACUCCAACGCGGGCCAGGCACGUCGGGUGCAGCGAGCGACCAUCGACGACGCCGCGGCCGGCCGGCCGAUUGGUAGUUCGAUCGCCCCGCGCCCGCGCCGCCCCGCCCCCCUCUCCCCCCCCCCCCCCCCCCCCCCCCCCCCCCCCCCCCCCCGACUUUCCUGUCCUGCCCUGCCUAUAAAUACCCGCGGCAAUGUCCUCCACCUCACACCAUCGAAACACAAACCAGACAGCAGGUGCCAGUGCCAAGCAGCAGCUAGCUAGUAGUUCCAUUCGGUCCUAGCUAGUGCAGGCAUGGCCGCUGGGCUCUCCUUCAAGGCCGUGGCGCUUGCCGCGCUCCUCUCCGUGCUCGUCGCCUAUGGCGCUCGCGCUCAGCAGCAGCCGAGCAACGCCACGGAGUCCCAGGACAGGUCCUUGCUGUCCUACAGCGGUGGCUGGCUCCCGGCCAAGGCCACCUGGUACGGCGCGCCCACCGGCGCCGGCCCCGACGACAACGGUAUGGACCAAGAUACCUCUCCGCGUGUCUCAUCAGCAUUUGUUGUCCGGUCCUGGGCAAUGUGGCAUUGUGGCUCAUCCUGUGCCGUGUCUUGGUGCUGAAUCUUUGCCAGGCGGUGCGUGCGGGUUCAAGCACACCAACCAGUACCCCUUCUCGUCCAUGACUUCCUGCGGCAACGAGCCCAUCUUCAAGGACGGCAAGGGCUGCGGCUCAUGCUACCAGGUGCGUUGCGUACUGAUCCGGUUUCGCCAUGGCGCCGAUCGCCAUGCACGAUUAUAGCAGUUGGUGCCCGGUCAUUUUAUUUGGUUGGUCAAAUAAAGAUGCCAGUUAGCGUCCGCAGCGCCACAGGUUGCUCAUCUUUAUGAUGGGCAGCUAGCUAGGCUAGGACUAGGAGUACGUGCACCCGUUGACCUUGUGCUUGGCUUCCUCCAGAUUCGAUGCCUCAAGAGCAACCACCCUGCCUGCUCCGGCGCGCCGCAGACGGUGGUCAUCACCGACAUGAAUUACUACCCGGUGGCCAAGUACCACUUCGACCUCAGCGGGACGGCGUUCGGCGCCAUGGCCAACCCAGGCCUCAACGACAAGCUCCGCCACGCCGGGAUCAUCGACAUGCAGUUCAGGAGGGUGCCGUGCAACUUCCCGGGCCUGACCAUCAACUUCGUCGUCCAACACGGCUCGAACCCCAUGUACCUGGCGGUGCUCGUCGAGUUCGAGGACAAGGACGGCGACGUGGUGCAGGUGGACAUCAUGCAGCACAACUCCGGCUACUGGGAGCCGAUGCACGAGUCCUGGGGAUCCAUCUGGAGGAUCGACCCCAACCGCCCGCUCCAGGGCCCUUACUCGCUGCGCAUCACCAACGAGUCCGGCAGGCAACUCGUCGCCAAGAACGUCAUCCCGGCCAACUACAUCCCCGACACCAACUACCGCUCCUACGUCCAGUACUAACUGCUCGCGUCGAUCGAUCAGAUAGCCGCAUGAUGAGCUCCAUCAUCGGCUUAAGUGUUCUCGCUUAGUGGUGGCCGGCCGUUGUUGGCAAUUGCGCUGAGGAUUUUUCACCUCAGUUCCAUUGUUGGUGUGUGUGUGUGUGUGUCCUGAAGAUUUGUGGGAAAUUAGAGGAGGCAAGCAUCAAUGUGCUCUCCCGCCCACUGUCACUCUACCAUUACCGGUGUGUAACCAGCAAAAUAUGGUCAUAAUUUAUACGUGUGCUGCUAUUUAACUAGCAUGCUGUCUGAAAAGCAGGACUCCCUGCCUUUUGAGCAUUUCAGCUUAUUCACUACUCCUGUACUCCGGAAAUUACUAGUUUCGCUGCACUUGCAGCCUAAAUUUUCCAUCCUCUUCGUUUCAAAAAAAAAAUACAUCUUCUGUAUACCAAUUUUCAUGUACGAUCAAACCCUGAACUUUGAGAACCUCAAUGUAGGAGUAUCACUAAAGCAGUACUGUUAUGUGGUUCUCACUUCUCACGAAUUACGAUGUCAGGGCCUCCAUGGCUCAUAAAUGGAUUGACUUUCUACCCAGAUGAUUCUGGUCUGUAUUCUAGUACAGGCUGGUCUGUAGCUGACUCGGAAAUGCACCUCUUUUCUUCAUAGUACGGCCACCCACCAGAGAUUCAGAGGACUGUUAACGAUAAGCCUUUUUCUAUCCGAUAUUGUUCCAGCAGAUUUGUCGGUUGAGAAAAGCUCAUGAAAGUUCUCAAUCCAACUCCAAUCUAUCACAAAGCAAACAGCACUGCUCUCUACUCUACUACUCCUACAUUACGGUGGUAAGUUCGCUGGUGAUGGGAAAGCAAAUCAUUCUGCAGAUCUUCCAACAAAAGUCCCUUUCCCGCCAAAGCUCUUGCGCAACCGAUUCCAUAACCGUCAAUCCUCGAAGUAAUCAUGGACGGGUCUUACUUUCACGUGGGACCCGCCAAAGAAAUCGUUGCCAAAAGAAAUUAUCGCAAGGCCCCAUUGGAUUCGCGCCGUGAUUACAGGCGCUAAACCCCAAGGUAAUUAACAUGGCUGACUUGCAAUUAAUAGAAGCUUCGGCGAGCCAGACGACUUCCUUCGCCUGUGUCAGUAAAUGUUACUAGUAAACACGAUCACGUGAUGUUGCUCAAGAAAAAAUGCCGAUGGAAUUGUGAACUGAUUAUGGCGAUGAUCGAGGAUGGAUCUGUGAUAAAAGGGAAAAUUUCGGGACACGUUGCCGCCGCUUGAUGAGCCAUGAUUGUCGUAGUAUACGCAUGGAUGAACACACUGCUACCCUCACCAGUCACCAGUGCUUGCUUUAUCUCUGAAACAAACUGACAGCAAUAUCUAUUUUAAUGCAUUUUCAAUGGUGAUAGAAGGAUAGUAUUGUAAAAUAUUUUUGCACCCAUAUUGUUUUAUGGAAAGAUUAUUGGUUGUUCAAAAGAAAUAUAUUCAUAGUGAAAGCUUAAAUGUUUAACUAUUGCCUGACACGCUUUUUUUUAUCUGAAUAAAUACAAUUUUUAGAGAACGAAGCACAGGGAUGUACUUCACGUCCCCUGAACUCCUCUCGAUGAGGUCAUACUUUUAUUGAAUGUUUGAGUUCUCCAUCACCUGAAAAAGAAAAACAUGUUGCAAUCCAGGAGUACCAAUCAAGUUGCACUCUAUUGAACCAUUUCCAUCUCCAUUUUUCUUUUACGGAUAAACUUGAGAUACGCGUAUCUCGCCUACCAGCCAUAUAGCCAGCACUCGAGCCCCCACCAUUUUAUCCCUUCUUGUCGGAGCAGCGAUAUAGACGAAGAAGAAGCCCCCCGGAACGCGACGCGACGAGCUCUCGCGUCGGGACAACUUGACUUGGGGGCGCGCGGCCACGGGGCCGCAUGUGCGGGGCGAAAGGCCGGACGCCGACGGCGCGGUCGCCCGCGCCGCGCGCAUGUGAGGUGCGGGGCCACCGCGAGAGCAACCCGCGGAAACCCGUCCUCAGCCCUGCGCUCAGCGGAUCCUGGGGACCCGCCCUCAGCCCUGCGCCGAUGCGCACACUUGCUGGCCGGCCGCGGCCCCGCCGGCUAGCUAGCGAACUGAGCUCUCAGCUGCCCGCUUGUCUCUCCCGGCGGGCGGCCGGCGUCGCCACGUCCGGGCAAGUGGUUGCGCCCGCGGCGGGUGUUUGUGCCGCGCACGCACGGGCUUCUGUGCUCUCCCGGGGUGUGUCCGCAUGUUACUCGGGAGACUAGCAACAGUCUUGCACGUACGUACGUCGUGUGUGAUUUGACGCUUUUUCAGUGGCUCCCCGUGCGUAUGCGUACGCAGAAUUAUCGGGCACCAGCAGCUUGGAUAUGAUGUGCUGUGGUCAUGCAUGGCCGUAAUUGGCUAGUACUAGUAAGCAGUAACGAAACUUGUAUGGCACUCCAGGAUAUCAUGGCGGAUGAUGAUGGUACACGAUACGAGUUGAUAGGAUCAAGUUGCGCACGUACGCUCAAUAAUGAUGGCACUCCGAGACCCAAAAUCGGGGCCUGUUUUCAGGUGCUGGGUGCGUGCUGCCAAGCUAACUUCCUUCGCUACUUGGCAGACGGAAUGUUUGAACAACCAAAGUUAAAAAAAGAAUGCAGGCCCGGUCGGCCGCAUUAGGAUCGAUCAAAAUAACCGAAACCAGCGUACGUCCAAAACGGGAUUCCAGAUAUCGGCAUUCCUUCUGCCCCACGGAGCUAGUAGAAAACAAGGCCGAAUGGGCGACUGGCCGGGAUGCCAUGCGCCACGUCACGCCUGCGUCCAUGGCUCCUUGCAAGCUAGCUCCGACUCUGAGUUGCCCAUCACGGCAUCACAUGCGUGGCAGCUGAACUUGUGGGAGUGCAGUGAUGAGGAGGCCGGCCGGGCCAGCGAGGUUCAACAGAUGAUGCCGUCGCUUACAAGCUUAAGCAAGCAUCCAUGCAUGCUCGCGGGCAGCCGGGCACACAAGUUCACGUGGCAGGUUUUUUGCAUCGUGGUCAGGGGGAGAAGCACACAAACCGGGGGCUGUGCGUGGACUGCGGCGGCGGCGAACGCCGUGGCGUGCUCGGCUAUCACGGAGCCCGUGAUCGCCCCGGGUUAUUAGGGGGUGGCGAUGUGAUGUGAUGCGCUCGCUGAUCGUGGCUGGUCAGGAAAUUCGUUACCAGCUCACAUGGGUCUGCUAGCUGCUGAUUGCUGAAGAAGAAUCGAGAUGUCAUUAACGCAAUAUGUCACCCACCUAUACUGUUAUGUGAAGUCUGCAUCAGGUGGGCAGCUCGUGCGUUUUCGGCGAUCCCGUGCUAAGGCAAACGCUUUUUAUUUGGUCAGGGCUAGCUAGCUAGCUGAUGGAGGAGAUGGCGGACGUGUCCGUGGCCAACCUCCACGUCGUUGCAAGAACGGAGUCUCUCGGACCCUGACAGAAAAUCCUACACUAAGCUGCACGGGGACCAGUAUACACUGCAACAGCUACUACCUGACGAUACGGUACCCUAGACCCCUGGAGUACGUGGAUGGUACGAGUAUAUCAGACGGCCAAGGUAGCGGCGAAUGCAACAGUUCGUUGUCCGACUCCGUUUUCGGCACCACUUUAAUGGGCUUUGGCGGCACCACUCAACCAUCAGCAGCAGAAGAGGCCGCGCGCGCGCAUUCAAGGGGAUGAAAGCGGCCACGGACCGGCCGGCUCCCCAUGUGCGCCUGCGCUCUCCUACGCCCCCCACCCGUCGCGCUCACCUACGUCUCCCCUGCCCCGUCCGUCGUCCUUGCCCCAUCCAACCGAUGGAUCCACGUCGUUCUCGCGCCCGCGGACGCGAGCCUCCCGCGGUGCCGGUGCGUGCCCGCUGACGGCGCGCCUCCGGGUCGCGGCCGGUGGCGCGUCCAGUCCGAGCUCGGUGGGCUGGCGGGUGGUGCGGGGCAGGAUAGAUAGAUGGGACCCGACCGAGAGACCAGACGACGAAACGAGACAGGACGGGGCCGUGCUGCAGCCUGCAGGUGCGCCCUGUUUUUUUUUCCUUUUUUUGUCCACGGCGAACCGAUCGAACCGCCCGCACGGGACGGAGCCGCACCCGCACGGCGCGCAACAGGGAGGGAGGGAGAGGGAGACAAGCGGAGGAGGAAGCGACUGGAGGCGGUGGGACCACUAACUACCGGCCCGACGGCCCGACCGGCCGGCCGGCCGUUGAAGCAUGGUUGGUCCGGGAUACAACGACCGGCUAACGGUCGGGGGGAGGAGCCUUGAUGAGCCUUUGUCGUCGGUGUUUUGCUUUCUCGGGGGUCCGUUGGUUCUUCUGCCCGCGCGCUUUUAAUGAUGACUUGUCUCGCCAUGUGAGCGAGCCGGCUGGUACGUGGCCUGUCGCUACCGUCGGCAGGGACGUGCCAUGCGUGCAUCACAUACGCCCGUGUUUGGUUCUCCAAGGACAGCUCUCGGGGCCGGGCCGGCUCCCACUGAGUCCCAUUCCCAUCACGAUGCAACAGGUGUACAGCCGCAUGGGCGUAUAUGAGAUGGCAUGUCGUUGAAUCAAACCCGAAAUCUGAUUGCCAAUCCUCCUGCCAGUAGAUCUAGGUGCAACUGCUCACAGCCGAAGUUUCUGGCACGGAAGAAGUGUUCAUAAAGUAGGACAUAUGGCUAUGUUUAUAAGGUUGAGUGUAAACUGUACAUCUAAACUGUUUUCUUUUUGAUGUAUUGAAGUUCAACGAAGCCACUGUUACCAAAAAGAAAAAACAGAGAGACAGAAGGGCUAGCAGCCUUCUCGUAAGUCACUGGUGAGCUUAGCCCAAUCCGACUUCUUCUAGAGUACAAAAUAGAGCUUUGAUUUGGGCCAAGCUGUUCUGAGAUGGAACGAUUACUUUAGGCCCACGCGAUAUAUCUAAAACACACACACUUUGCUCAUACAGUACAGCCUGUUGUGGCCGCCGCAAAUACACGCACGUUCCCAACAAAACGAUUUUUUUUAUUUUUAUAUAUAUUUUUUUCGAUUUUGUAGAAAUAUAUAGUCGAAUGGAAAAAUUGCAAAUCUAAGCUAUUGCCGCCGGCCCAGGGCGGCCGCCGCCUUAGCCGACGAUAAGGCCCUCCCGCCAACCGUCAGCAGCCGUCGUAACUGCGGCGCGCGAGUCGAGGCGUCACCGCCACCCCAGGCGGCGGUAAGACCCUUGGUAAGGCCCUUCCGCCGCCAGGGCCGGCGACAGUCGCCCCCUUUAUGACCCGCCCGCGCCCCUCCCCUCCUCCGCACUAGUGCGCGCCAGUAGCGAGCCAGAGAAGGAAGAGGGAAGAGAAAGAGGAAAGGAGGGAAGGAAAAAAAAAAGAAAGAGAGGAGAGGAGGAGGAGGGAAGAAGAAAAAAAGAACGGAGGAGGAGGGGGAAGAGGGAAGGAAUUUCUUCCGUCUUUCUCAGGUAAAUUUUUUUUUUAAUCUCGUAGUUUAGUAUACUAUAGUAUAGUUUAGUUUAGUUUAGGUUAGAUCUAGAUUUAGAAAUAUUAGUGGAUCUGAGAUUUAGAAAUAUUAGUAGAUCUAGAUUUAGAAGUAAUAGUGGAUCUAGAUCUAAACUUAGAACUUUUAGCUGUUUUUAGAUAGGAAAAUGUAGCUUAGUUAGUAUAACUGAUUUAGCUUAUACAGUAAAAUAGAGUCAGCAUUAUUAGAUUUAUUUGUUAUGGUAAAAGACUAGAAUAAAUGUAGUUAGUAAAUUUUGAUUUUUUGUUAGGUAUUUGAAUAUAAUUUUUUGGUAACAAUAUUAGAUUUGUUUGUUCUGGUAAAUCACUAUGAUAAAUGUAGUUAGUAAAUUAUGAUUUUUUGAUUAGGUAUUACAAUAUAGUUUUUCGGUAACAUUAUUAGAUUUAUUUGUUGUGGUGCAUGGCUAUGAUAAAGUUAGUUAGUAAGCUUAGUUUAGUGUUACAUAGUUGUUUGUUUAUUCAAUUGAGGUCGUUAUUGUAGUUAACUUAUGUAUAGUGGUGAGAAUAAUUUGGACUGCCCGUUUCAUGUAUGUUGCCAAGCAUGUCGGAUAGUGUCAAUAUUCAAGUGUACUAUGGGCUGAGGGAGGUUAGAUAUGGUCCAGAAGGGGUAGAUUUGAGUGGAUUCCCCUGUUUCACCAAGUGUGUUCCAAGAGCAAGAGAAAGAACUUGGGGGGCAUAUGCAAGUGGCUCUGUAGGGACUUAGGUGUUGAUAGAGAUCAAGCGGAUGUGUGUGUGAGGGUUGCAAUGCAAAGAUGGCCGGACAUAAACUUUUGGGAGUUAGUUUCGCUUGAAGGAACUUCGAGAUAUCGGGUUUACAUAGAUGGUUUUACGAGAAGAGGUUUACCAAUCAUAUGGUAUGUCCAAUUUUUCAUGAAGGGUGGACCUAGCACUCAUAUUGAAGAAUAAGUCAGAGGUGAUGAAGUUGAAGCGGAAGAAGAUGUGCAGAGUAGUGCGGGUGGAAACGAAGAAUUUGAUUACAAAGAAUAAGAACGUGAAGAUGCAGAACAUGAUGUAGCAUCUCGGGAACCAAAUGGAGAAGCUGAUGAGGGCGAAGAAAUUCCUGAGUUAGUAGAGCAGAUGGAGAUGGAAGAAGGGGAGGCCAAUGGUGCCGUGGAGGAGGACUCGUCGGAUGAGGAAGAUGAUUAUCUUGUACCGCGAAAUUGGUCAAAUUACGACCAUUCUGCCCUACAGGUCAAUGUUGGGGAAAAUAUUCCUUGGGAGUACAAGGAGAAUGAGGUAUGCGUGGGGGCUGUGUACCAAAGUGGGGAUGAAGUGAAGGUGGCUAUUAAGAGAUGGUCCACUUUGUGUUUGCAGUGUUAGUUCAGGGUGGAAAAGAGUAGCCCGAAAGUGUAUGAUGUCCGGUGUGUGCGAAAUGAUUGCCCAUUCAGGGUGCAUGCAUACAAGGGCAAAUGGAAGGAUUACUAGGAGGUGACUAAAGUGGUUAAGCACCAAUCCUUGCUGGUUGAAUUGGAAGGAACACACCGCAACCUCACUGUUGAAUUUGUUGCUCAAUACAUGUACCCUCAGAUAGUGGAGAAUCCAAGCUUCGAGCCUAAGUCCAUUAUCUGUGCCAUAGAGGAGAAGUUCAAGUACAAGAUCAGUUACAACAAAGCUUACCGUGCUAAGCAGAAGGCGCAUGAGAUGGAGUGGGGUACGUUCGAAGCAUCCUACGACAACCUCCCUGCCUUGUUGCACACCAUUUGCCAGAGAAAUCCUGAAAGCUUCUACGACUUGAAAUCAUAUCCAGUUCUUUAGUUUCCAGAAAAACAGGUCCUACAAUGGUCAUUCCUCACGUUGGGUCCUUGCAUUUAGGCUUUCCGGCUUUGUCGACCAGUCAUUUGCAUUGAUGGCACAUUUCUGACUGGAAGGUACAAAGGGACAAUAUUGACAGCUAUUGGGACUGAUGCCGACAAUCAGGUGUUGCCGCUUGCGAUCGCUUUUGUGGAGGAGUCUGGAGAUAGCUGGUACUGGUUCCUCGAGAGGGUGAAGAACAUGAUUGUGUUGGACGUCGAGGGAGUCUGUCUCAUUCAUGAUCAGCAUAAAGGCAUUAUACAAGCAAUCGACGACCUACAGAAUGGAAGUCAAGAGCGUUUCAGGGCGCUGAUAUGGCCGGACUUGAAGAGUAGGUGGUGCAUGAGGCAUAUGGAUGUGAACUUUCACAGCCAAUUCAAGAAUAAGACCCUUAUGAAAUUGUUCAAGCGCCUGUGCAGCCAGAAUCAGAAGAGGAAGUUCAACCUGCUGUGGAAGAAACUUGAGGACGUCACAAAGAAGCAAUGCGAGGAACUAGCGAAGAGGGCGAUCAAUAGUGAGGCCGACCAACCUGUGUCUCUGGAGGACGUCGGGCUCGACGGGCCAAACGUUAGGCGAAGAUGGGGAAGAUCCAUCAAGUCCUUCUCAUAGUGGAUUGAGAAUGAACCGAAGGAAAAGUGGGCAUUACUCUUUGAUGAAGAAGGUGUACGGUGGGGUAUAAUGACGACAAACCUAGCUGAGGUUUACAACUGGGUCCUGCACGGUCUUCGGGGCCUACCCCUUGUUGGUAUUGUUGAAUUUUACCUUUACCGCACCAUGAAGUAUUUUAGGGAAAGGUACCAAUUGGUUGAUAACUCAAUGCGCGACAACCACAUAAUAUUUGGGUACAAGAUGACAGAGUACAUGGAGGAAGUAAUUAAGAAAGCUCAUUUGCAUCGUGUGAAAGAAGUAGGAGCCGUGGAACGCCGGUUUGAAGUUGUUUUGCAGGGACAAAGUUCGAAUGGACGGGAGGCGCGAGAGACACACACAUGAGUGCAUCAUCAGCAAUAAAGGUUGUGUUUGCUCUUACCACAAACCAAGGUUGCUUCACAGGCCUUGUACCCAUGUCAUUGCUGCAUGCUUUGAGGCGGGGGCCUCCAACCUCGUCGUUUCGUGCCGCACUAUUUCCUCAAAGAAACCAUAUGGCAAACUUGGAGGAAUGAGGUUUAUGGAUAUCGUUUGCUGGGAGACUUUGUCAACAAUCCUGGGAAUGCCGCCCGCUACAUUCCUGAUCCUAAUCCAGAAAUGUGCCAAGGAGUGGGGCGACAUGGGAACAGGCGUAUCCAUAAUGACAUGGAUCAAUCUGAAGCUGGUCCUGAUGUCCGUCUAUGCUCCAAGUGCCACGAAGCCGGUCACACCUACAAGAACUGCCCGGCAACGACGUAUCGAAGUGCUAGCACCCAAGCUGCAUUUAAGAACUAGUAAUGUAAUGUACUGUCUUCCUUGAGUUGUGUUAUUGUAACUUGAGCUGUCGUCCUUAGGUAGUGUAAUAUAAUGUUUAUUUGGUGGUGUGGAAAAGGACAUCAAGUAUUGUAAUAUUUAUCGUGGACCCUUCUAUUUGUAAUGACUCGUAUGUGCCGUAGAGUUAUGAUGUUUAUUUGCAAUGUAACGUAAUGCCAUGUUAUAUUUUCUUUACGUGUUCAGUGCUUAUUUCUUUCAAUACUUGUGUUGCAGGUAUGGCGUCGCACCUAGGUCCACAGGGGGACCAGACCCCUGAGUUGCUCGACCCUACCUUGGAUGAUCAGCACAGGUCGUUCCACUCGGCCGUAGUAGGUACCAACCUAGACAUGUUUCGGGCUCGUAUCCCGCUUGCGACCAUGCCGAUCAACCGACGUUGGAUCCUAAGAUAGAAAUAAUUAGUAAUACUUGUGUGUUAAGUUCAACGAUUAAUUUGUGUAAACUAAUUAAUUUUUUCCAUGGUACAGGUUGAGUGCGGCAGGCCUUCUCCCUGUGGCUAGGCUUGUGGAGGGCGACAUGGUCGACCGUUCAGCGCGACGUGGCCGCGAGAGACCCACACGGUUCCAGUUCGACAUGUCACUGAUAGCAGCUUUGCUGGACCAGUGGCGGCCGGAGACGCACACCUUCCACCUCCCGGUCGAUGAGUUGACCCCCACACUAGAGGACGUCUCGAUGCUACUGGGCCUUCCUUGUGCAGGGGCUGUCGUAGCCGCGAUGGACGUCCCCCCUGCCUGGUGCGAGGAGCUACUGGGUCGCUUUGCGGACGUUCCCCGCGUAAACGAUGCCCCGCAGUACAGCACUUUCAGCAGCUCCCACAGCCCGACGAAGGCUUGGCUCCAACAGUUCAGUGUGAGUAGUUAAUUAGCAGCAAGUACAAAUAAUUUUUGGCCAUUUUUGUUAUUGCUAACAGAAGUCCAAAAUUGUUUUGCAGGCUGAGUACAUGAGAAAGGACGCAGAUGACGCCACAGUAGCGCAUCACUUGGAGGCGUACCUGUUGUGGCUCUUCGGCUGGACCCUCUUCUGCACGUAGUAGGGGAACUCGGUGCCUAAGCACCUUCUUCCUUUCGCGAGGCCCAUUGCGGAGGCCCCACUCAACGAGGUUCCACAGUAUAGCUGGGGUUCAGCUGUGCUGGCGGCCACGUACAGGGGUCUUUGCAUGGGCUGCGUGAAGGUGACGCAGACGGAGCCUAUCUUCCUUGGCUGCCCGCUGCUGCUUCAGCUUUGGGCCUACGAGCGGUUCCCGAUAGGACAACCUUGUGUGGACAUAUCCCUCUACCCUACGGGUUUCGACGAGGACGUCAUCGACAGACCCACGAUGGGGUCGUUGUGGUGCCUGAGGAGGGUACGGUUCUUGUACUACUUUUUUUCGAUUCAUAUUACACUUUGGAAUUUUCAAGGUCCUAACUGAGAAAUUGUGAUUACAUUUCUUGCAGGUGGUUUGGACGGGAGUGCAGACAAAGAAGUCGUACCCGAACUUCGUCGGUAUGUUCGACGCUCUGGUCGACACCGACAUGAGGUGGAGACCCUACAACUUCGAGGACGUGGAGGCUCGUGCCCCGCAUGGCCUGUCUUUGCAAUGCCAUCGGGACAUGGCGUACUGGAUGACGAGGAGGCUAGUAGUCUACGACAUCGACGUCGAGGACUACGCGGUUCACCGUGUGAUGAGGCAAUUCGGCGUGUAUCAGGACUCCCCACUUUCGACUACGUCAGCCGUUCUGGCUUUCGUUCACAGGUACAAUCCAGCAUUUUCCUUCUCCUUGCAUUAAGAAUUUUUCAUUUAUGUAACUCGUGUAAGGAUGGUUCCAUUAGGGCUAGCCAUCAGGGUAGUGGUGGUGGUGGGCCUGGAGUCCUAUGGGCUCCGAGGAUGGUUCACUGGGUCGCCCUGUGGGCGACCGCACUAGACGAAGUGUUCCAGGAGGCCUGGCCACACGACGCUGAUGCUUUUGCAGCGUACCUUCGCUGGUUCUUACCAAGGACCAGGACGUGGGUCCAGCAUGUUCCGGCCGAGCCACCGACGGAGACCGCUCCAGUCAUGCAGGCGUACCCUCGUGCGAGAGACGUCAACUACGACCGCGCGGUAAGCUACUGUAAUUUUUGUUGUUACUAAACUUGCAUCAUUUGGUGUGACUAACUUCAAAUUUUUUCGCUCCCCAACAGAUCAACAUUAUUGGGGAUUUGGACAGGAAGCUGACGUACGGCAUCGAUAACUUCCACGUGAUGAAUUCCGUUAAGCAAACGUUCGCUACUUACAAGGGCCAAAGACGGCUGCAGGAGGUUCCUCGGUGCCGUUAGCUACCGUGGCGGGCACGGGGACGUCAUCCGUCCAUCACGACCUCUGUACCCCCCGUGUGCCCACUCCAGCUCCUACUCAGCAGGCUGGUAUGUCCACUCACCAGCCCGUUCGUCCGCCAGCAGCCAACACGUCCUACAUCAUACCACCACCACCACCACCGUCUUGGCACGCCACAGUAGGUCCGUCCACCGUUCCGCAGAUGCAAUCCGCAUGGUCCUCUUGUCCUUCUUCAGGUGCACCAGAGAUACGACCAGUAGGUGCGUGAUGCAUACAUUUUUUAUACUCCAUUUUAAGAACGCAAUGAAACUAACAAAACCGUUUCCUUUGUGAUUAUAACAAGCUACGCAGACCAGGGAUGGCUUUCGGAGGACUCCCACGACGAGGCAACGAGGUCCAGCGCCCAUGCUUGGUUCAAUGACCUUUUCAGAGUGGACCCCGACCUGCUCGGUCUCUCCCAACUGGUAGACGCCCUGGGUCCUACAUAGGGUGUGACCCAGUACCUCGGGACACCACAGGGUCCUACACAGGGCGCAACCCAGUACCUCGCAACACCUCCUGCGGAGGGAGUGGGAGGACGGCCGACUCGCGACGUUCACCCGCCGGAGCCGUGGACGUACGACCGGCAACAGACCAGAGCAGCGCAGCAGGCAGCGAGGCAUAGUCGUGGCGCCGGGGAGCCUCGUUUCAAGCGAGGACGCAUUUAGUGCGUAGGGCGAUUUCUUAUUUUUUAUCUUUUGUAGGAUUAUGAUGUGUACGAUUAUCUUUAUAUGAGAGGACUGCUCUAUCUAGAUAAGUUAAAUGCUUUUCAUUGUUCGUGUGCGUUCACUAUACAAGUCUAAACAUUUCCCAAUUAAGAAUUAAAAGCACACAAUUAAAAUAAUCAAUCACUACGAAUGAAAAUCGUGCGGCGAAUAACGGAGUACAUGACCUAAGCACAACACAAUGAAAGGUCCAACAACACACAAUAUUAUCCAUGAAUAAACCAUGGACACACAACGAAAGGUCCAACCGCACACAACGGAGUACUAGCCAAUAACAGAGCCUACUGAGUACAACGAGGCCACUUUCCCUUCCUCAGGGCAUCGGGGUUCUCCUCCAUCGCUGCUUUCGCUCGGCGUGCACGCUCAAGCUUCCUCUCCCUCUCCUCCCUCUCCGCAGCAAGACGCCUCAUUUCCUCCUCUUUCUUGUGCUCCUUCUCUGCAGCCUCCUCUCUAAGCCUCUUCUCCAUCCUCUCCUUGUUCUCUGCCACCCAACGCAACAUGUACUGCAUCUCCUCCUUGUCCUCAGGUUGAUCUCAGUGUCAAUCCACUGCUCAAAAUCACAGAGCGGUGGAGGGGUUUGCAACAAAUGUAAUUAUUACAAAACAAAAAAAUCAUGCAAAAUGUCAUAUGACACAAAAUAAUUAUUGCACAACAUCAAUUCCUUACCAUCUUGUUAAUGUGGCGCUGACGAAGUGUAGGCUCAAACGCAAAAUAGGAACACAUCCAAUACCUCUGCCUAUACGUGUCCUCUUCAUCGGUCUUGGCUACCUUGCAAGGAUCGCCGCAGAAGCACAUGGGCACUCGAACACCACUAGUCAAAGGUAAAGGAUCGAAGGCAUUUCCGGUCAACCGAACACCACCCCACCUUUACCAUUUUCGUUGUAAGAACCGGAAGCAACUAAGAUUAAAUCAUACGACUACCAGUUAACAUAAUAACGUGCACUGAGAUUACCUUGCUUUUCCAGCUUUUCCACGCCUUGGCAUCCUACGCUUGUAUAAUAAAAAUAUUAAAAUUUCAUGAAACUAUAAUAGUAAAUACUUCUAGAUCUAAAUACUAAACUAUGAACUGAAAACCGAAUCUACUAUACUAACUAAACUACAUUUUUAACAUCUAAAAGCACACAACCUAUCUGUAGAUCUAAAUACUAAACUACGAACUAAAUACCGAAUCUACUGUACAAACUAAGCUAGAUUUUUAGCAUCUAAAAGCACAAGAUAUUUUUAGAUUUACUAUACUACAAUAAUGAAAAACUUACCUGAUGACUAGGAGGUUUCUUCCCCUUCUUUCCUCUCUUUCUUUCUUCCUUCCCUUCCUUCUCUCCCUUCUCUCCCUCUUUGGUUCUCCUCUCAAUAACAACAGGUCUGGAUCAAGAGAGUUGGGUGGCCUAAGGCCUAGCUGCGGGCGGGUUAUGUAGGGGGAACCCCCGCCAGCCCAGGUGACGGCAAGGGUCCUUACCGCUGGCCCAGGCGGCAGUAAGGACCAUUACCGCCCGUGCGCUGGUUGUACCGUGAUGGUGCAGGGGGCCGGGUCCUUACCGCCGGCCCAGGUGGCGGUAGGGAGUUAUCACCGGCCCAGCCGGCGGUAAUGACAUGGGCCGACGGGGUCGGCGCCUUACCGCCGGCUGAGGCGGCGGUAAGGCCCUUCUGCCGCCUAGCCCGGCGGCAAUAGCCUAGAUUUGCAAUUUUUCCAUCCGACUAUAUAUUUUUGCAAAAUCGAAAAAAAAUAUAAAAAUAAAAAAAUUCCAACAAAACACACACGCGCGCGCAUUCGGAGAUGCUGAUGAUUGAUGAUUGUUCAGGCCUAGUAGUAGAGCUCGUGUAACGGUGUAAGAAUCAACCAACAAGGUCAUAGAGAUGGGCCUGUAUUAUCAACGUAUCUUUUGUUGGUUUCCAUCAAAAGAAGUUUGAAAAGGGUUGCUAAAACUAGUCAUGCAAACACUAUUCAAUGGCCGAGCCCCUAUCCAUAUGCAUUGCAACAUGACAAGGUUUUAAAGCGUUAUUAUUUCAAACGUGAGCAUCACGACACCCAUGCCUGGGGAUACAAGUUCAAAUCCACAGACCAAAAGAGUUCUCACAUCUACUGCAUGCUACCUGACCUCCCACGAAUAGGGAUAGAGUUUUAAACGAUAGACAAUCAAACGAUAGACAACCACAUGUUGCUGCUUAAGUUUUCGAUUAAUCACCGUGUGCAGAUCAAAACGCACGCUCCAAAUCACCCAGGCAAAGGGCCAGCAUCACCAGCUUGUGGCAAGAGUUAUCCAGGCACCCAUUGGAUUGACAGGUGAUCCAUCAGAAAGGACCAAUCGUCCAUGAGAGCUUCCCUGGCCUUGAACCAAUGUCUUUAAUUCGUGACACCCAAAGCUCGAAUUGCUCCACGUAUUUUAUUGGGCACAGAAUUGCCCAACCCUGCAUGCCACUUGCAGCAUGUUUGGUGAAGAGCACGUUUGAAGAAAGUACACACGAAUGGGAAACAAAACUCUCUUAGGGCUUAUAUUUCUCAAAAAAUGUGAACCCUUGUACAGUAGGGGUGCCUCCCCUUUUAUAGGAAGGCCAACCGACUUUUACCUACCGAAUUUACCCAUACUGAACCACUACAUCCUAGGAAUAUGCUGUACAUUUUAGUAAAGAAAGAGUUCUAAUCCAACUUGUACACCCCAAACGGAUCACGCUAUUCACGCUAUCAAGGUCAUAUUCGCAACGGGAUCCCAAUCCUCCGCACCUUCUCUUGAGCAACUUGGAUUGGCCGCCGGAUUCUUCCUCGAGGGAGUUCACGGGUCCUUCGCGCUUCCCAACUUGGUCUUCCAUAGCGAAGGUGCCCCGAACCUCCGCACCUGCCUGCGAAAAUGCCCUGAACCUUCGCGCCUUCUUCCUUGAUCUUACGAAGCGAAGGUGCCCCGGAUCUUCGCAUCUUACUUUGCUCCGUCCAAACAUCGUUUCCUGCAAUCAUGCUUAAGUAAAACGCUGCUUACCUUCGCUAGGGGUUCAGCGAGGGUGGCAUGCGAGGGUGACAUUUGAUAUCCUUGAUCCAGAUCCUCAACAGUAGCCCGUCGUGGGCGAGGUCCUACUCCAGCGGGCCGAACCCUCGAAAAAUCAUUUGAUCUUGAUCAAGGAUAAAAAACGUCUCCUUCACGUGCUGGAGCGGAGAUCACCACAAAGGUUGUUGAAUUGACACUUUUGCCCCUACUUUUUUACCGUUGAGCACGGUUAUCAAAACGGCUCCUUUUCAUGCCUAUAAAUAGAGAGGGGGUUGCGGUGACUUUUUCGCAUUCUCAUUUGUUUGGAGACCUUCACUGCUUACAUUUGCAGUGCUUUGAGAUUCAUGCUUUCCGUGCCACUGCUUGUUCAGCUGUUGCGAAGGUGCAUGUGCUACUUCUUUUUCUUUCUCCCGUAAGUUUCGCUGAGUCUCUUUUCAUUAACAUUUUUCCACUCUUUUCUUCAUUCUAGAAUUCAUCGUGGCUCGCACGAAACAAAAUGCUAGACUCAUGAGCUCCCAGGAGUUAGCCGCUGCUGGGCUGGGAGAUGCUGUGCAUGAUGCGAAUGUGUCUGAUGACGAUUUGGGUGGUUCUCGAUGAAUUCACAAGGGUGAUGAUGCGUCUGGCACAAAAUAUUUUGAGAGCAAAUCUAGAAAUAUUGGUGAUGAAGAAGAAGACGAGGAGGGGGAAGAGGAGGAUCUUGAGAAUGUUGAAGCUAAUGUGAUGAGCUUAUCCCCGAAUGUCCCAAGAUUUGCUUCUUUGGUCACUCGUUGGUGACCCAACGAGGCAUUGACUUUUAUGUGGAGAAAUGUUAUUUUGCCGAUGGUGAUUGCAGACCUUCGGACGAAGAAGAAAUUAUUGUUCCGAAACCCAAUGGGACCAUAGUAUUUCGUGACUUCUUUGUUGCUGGACUGAGAUUUCCUUUUGAAAAUGUCGUUGUUGAUAUUCUCAAUGCCUUCAAGGUUCAGCGGCACCAACUAACACCUAAUUUCAUUCCUCACCUUCUGAAGUAUAUUUGGAGUUGCCGCUUGUUUGGUGGUGAGUCGAGGCAGACUCUUUUUGCUGCCAUUUUGAAUUGCAUCAUCAAAAGAAGCACAUUUUGGUUGGCGAGGAGGAGAUGGAAACUCAAUAUGGGUGUUGUACUUUUCGAACAUGUCAAAUCAGCGCUGGUUUAAUUCAUGUUGCCUUAAUCCUUGCUCAGAAAAACAUGUGGGCUGAUAAGUGGGACUCAUAUUGGUUCUAUGUGACGAUUCCCGUUGUUACUGGACAAGAUAGCGAGGGCAAACCCAUUGUCGAGUACCCACUUGCAAGCAAGAUUGAGGACAUAGAUGCAGAUUAUUGUCCUCCUUUUUCAAAGAAAAGCUGAAAUUCUUCAGUUAGCAAUACUUACUAUAUUGGCAGCCAGAUCAUUACUGCACGAGAUGCAGUUGAAGAAUUCUUGGCUGCUGAAAUUUGGCCUUCGCGACACAGAUGGUGUCCCAAGAGUUUUUAUGAGAAAAAUAUUCCUGGUAUGAUAGUUGCUGUUAAGUUUCCUAAAUUUGGAGUGAAAAAACCUAAGGGGAUGACUGAUCAACAAAUUGUUGAUGAGAUUGAACGGAGAGUUGUUGCUUUGAUUGGUAAUUAUUUGCAUAAAGAACAUGAACAAGCUCAAAAAACUUUGAGGAACAAAGGUAGGAUCAAUCGCGUCUUUGAUGAAAUGGGCAUUACGUGCGGUCCUAGUGCUCGUCCUAGCAUCGCCAGCAAGAAGAUGGUUGCGGUCGGAAAUAUUGGCUCUGAAAUUCCUGAGGUUAAAGCAAAAAUCACAAGGAAGAAAAAAUCAUCCAAGAAUCUAUCUGAUGCUUCUAAGCAACCAAGCUCAAAAACCGGCGGCUCCUCCACUGUUUCGAGAUCUGCGAAGGUAAUGGCGGUGCUGACAAAAAGGAAGCGUGAAGUCGAUGCUGUUGGCAAAUAAUGCAAGGUUGUGCCCAAACUAUCAGUUGUUGCUGAGGAGUCUCCCUCAUCUAAACUUGUUGGAUCGUCUAGUGCUAAAGUUGGUGAACAAGAAACUUUACAGACGGAAUUUGAAUGCCAACAAUGCCAGGACAAAAGAAUACUACCAACACAUGGAGGAGAACAAUUUUUCUCUUGACAUUGAGAUGCUCGGAGCUUCUACCAAUGUCCAUGCUAGUAUGGUAGAUGUUUUGGAUGACAAUGACAGUUUGAUCUACUUGGACGAAGAUGUUGCCGACGUGGACUAAGGCAUUGUUGUUUCUAAACUUUCUUUGAUGCCCGAGUCAGGUAUGGCUAAGCCUGUUGUUGAUUCUUUGGAGAACUUUCCAUUUCCAUUAUCUUCGAUCAUUGGAGGCCGUACAAGUGAAAAUGAUGGAUUGUCUCCCCUGCGAGAAAAAAAUUGAGAAGUAGCUGUUGUAUCAAAGGAGUUUCCCUCUGUGACCUUUGAAGAAGACUUUCUUUCCCCAAAGUUCAUGAAAUUCCUCCGUCCGCUAAAGGAAGAGAUGUCUUGUCUCCCUAUAAAGGUGAUUUUGGUUCUUGAAGUAUUUCUUGCUUUUGGUACUGAUUUACUUUAUUUCAUAUUUUUAUAGUUUUGUUGUCUUGUAAUGUUUGCAGAUGGUGACGCAACUGCUCAGACUCUACUUUUAGUGAGUCACCUUAGCUCUGACGAGCUGAAAUUGAUUAGGAUGUCAGAGCGUUUGAGGGAAGCUUGGAAGAUCAGCCUACUUUCAAGGGAGUUCCCGAGGUGGAUCCUGGUGAGACUAACAAUGACAUUCCACCUUACUAGUAUUUCGAUCCUAAAGGUUAAAAUUUUUUAAUGCAGAGCAUUAUUAACUCGGGUCCUUGUUGAUUUUAUACAGACAUGAGUUUGUGCUGUUGCUUGUAGAAUUUGAAGCCAGCAUUCAAGGCUUCAGUGGUCUUGAACUCUGCACUUUGAUGACCACCUAUGCAAUGAAAGGUGUUAUUGCUGGAAAACUUGGUUGCCAGAAGGUCUUUGAUAAGAUGGAAGACUUUCGCAUUGAAAAAGAUGACCUUAAAGCGGAGAACCAGAAAUUGAAGGAUCAGAUUUCUCAGAUGGAAAGUAACAAUAAAGAUCUUUCUGCUGAGGUUAAGAGCUUAGCGAAUUGAAACCAACAGCAAGAAGAAGCUUUGAUAAAUCUUCGCGCGGCUAUUGAGAAAGAUGUCGAAUGCUAUCAACAAGUUUGCAAGGAACUUGAGACAACCAAGACGACCGCAACUGCGCGUUGGCGAAAGACUUGGUUGCUAAGCAGAAGAUUAUCUCUGAGUUAAGGCAAGUUAACCUUUCUCAAGAGAAAAUUCUUGAAGAACGUGAAUCUAAUAUUUGGCAGCGAGGUCUACAUCUUAAUCGCCAAUAUCAAGAUGGGCUAAAUCAAUUUGCCGCUGAGCCCCAACCAUUCCCUAGUACUGGAGACACUAACAAAUUCUUUCAAUGGCUCGAGGAUGAAUUGAAGUUCUUGCCUGGUAUCUUGUCCAAGGUUGGUGAUUACGGUGCGGCUACGAGCGUUGAAACAUUGCUCCAUUUGAUGGAAUGCGAGGGCUGUGAUCAUUUCAAGAAACUUGGCUCUCGUAGUUACGAAUUUCUAACUCAUUCGGAUAUUCCAUCCCCUAGCCAAAAUGUUGGUGUUGUAUCAAAGAUAUUUUUUAAGGAGUACUGGAUGAAGAGCGGCCGCGAGGGUGCUCGCAAAAAGGCUGUUGACCGUCUUGCGCAAGUAUUUUCUAUCCUUAUUCUAGCUUUUGUAAACUUGAAAAUGAUUGAAAUACCUUUUAAUGCUAUGCAAUUACUUCCUCACAGUUCUAUCUUGGUCAGGCAAAGUAGACAAUGGAGACUUGCAAGCUUCAAACUCUUCACGGGGAAUCAGCUACGCAAGGCCCGCACGCUGCUCCGCACCAAUGGCUAGUUCCAGAGCCCUGCCAUCAACCAGUUGUUGCGGAGGUGGCUCCAUCGUCUUUUGCUGCUUCUGAUUUUGCAGAACCGUUAGCGUCGCAUGCUGCCAGUGCAUCUCAUGAUUCUCUGGCCCAAGGAACACUGCCACAUGAAAUUCAGCCUCAAGAGCCGCCCUCAAUUGGGGAGGAACUGAAGGUGUAAAGUUUGGAACUGAUUGAAAAAUUGAUUGUUAGAUGAAAACAAAAAUGUAACUUAUUUUGUUGUAAAUAUCCACUGUGGCGCAGGUUCCAUGUGAUGGAACUGUGUGUGAUGUAACUCCUGAAACAUUCUGCCAAGAACGCUUGUACGUUAGCGGCCAUUCUUGGACGGUUUAUCAUGCUAAGUAUCCGGCCAAGUCCUUUGAAGAUUUCUAGCAUUUUGUUGUUCCUAUUAUCCAUCACGUAGUUAUGCACUUCGUAAUUUACUCAAUUGUAUUGGAGGCACUCGGAUUAGUCAAUCCCAAGCUGCGAUCUAGAAUCUUGCACUGUGGAAGUCAAGAUCGAAAACGAAUGCUCUAAGGAUAACGAAUACUAUUUUGUGUAUAACGCUUGUGAUCCUUACACAUCCCCUGUCCGCAUAGGUUGUGUAAUUGAACUUCCUUUUGAAUUGUAAGCUUUCGAUUUUCUUCCAAUCUCAAUCACUUUUGGAAUAAGUUUUUGGUAAAAAAAUGUCUCCCCCCUCCCCCUUCCAAGAAGUGAUUGAGAUGCAGUGGAAAAUCCUCCUUUGUAAGUGUUAAUGUUUGAACAAUAGCCUGAGAUGGAUUUUAGCUGAAAGCCCUCGCAGAUCUAUUUUUUGGGUGUCGAAUUUGGCAACCUUUAAGUUAAUUUCGACAUUAAUUUUCUCUAUUUAUUUGCUUUCAACCUUUUAAGAUGUCUUUCUUUAACACUUUCGCUGGGUGUUUUAGAAAAGUAAUUUCAUUGCGCUUCGGUGCUUCUUUGCCACCUUACGCGAAAAUUCUUUCCCUAAACAGGAAAACAAAACCAUCAUUUCUUGGCUUUUUCUUUAACACCUUAUGCGAAGGUGCAUUCUUAUCUUUUCCUCUUUUUAGAAUAUUGAUAAGUUUACAAUGCGUCUCAGACGCAUUCUUUUUCGCCUUGUGCGAAGGUGUUUUCUUAUCUUUUUCUCUUAUUGAAAGAUGAUAAGACUUGUGUCACAGACGCAUUCUUUUAACACCUUGUGCAAAUGUGUUUUCUUAUCUCUUUCUCUUAAAGAAAGAUGAUAAGACUUGCGUCACAGGCACAUUCUUUUAACACCUUGUGCGAAGGUGUUUUCUUAUCUCUUUCUCUUAUAGAAACAUGAUAAGACUUGUGUCACAGUUGUAUUCUUUUAAAACCUUAUGCGAAGGUGUUUUCUUAUCUCUUUCUCUUAUAGAAAGAUGAUAUGCGAAGGUGUUUUCUUAUCUCUUUCUCUUAUAGAAACAUGAUAAGACUUGCGUCACAGGUGUAUUCUUUUAACACCUUGUGCGAAGGUGUUUUCUUAUCCCUUUCUAUUAUAGAAAGAUGAUAAGACUUGCAUCACAGGCGCAUUCUUCUAACACCUUGUGCAAAGGUGUUUCCUUAUCUCUUUCUCUUAUAGAAAGAUGAUAAGAUUUGCAUCACAGGCGCAUUUUUGACACCUUAUGCAAAGGUGUUCUCAAGCAUAGAAGUAAAUUUAUCGCGUCACAGGCGCGUUCUUGAACACAAUUUCAAGGGGAAUUUCUUUACUUCAUAAUGUAGAUGAUUACAUCGGAAUCGCCUCAUUAAAAACCUCACCUCCAAUGUGGACCCCCUAGUGAGGAAAAGAGUACGACCCAUUUUUUUUAAAUGUAAAUUUGCAAGAAUGUAAAAAGGAAUCCGAUUGCGUUUAUAACUCAAUGCUACCGGCCCUGCACUUACACUUUGAGGUGAAGUAAAUUGCAAGAAAGUAAAUCUAUGCUACUUUUAGGAUUCGAUUGUGCUUAUAACUCCACGCAACUGAUCCUGAACUUUUCUUAUGCUCAAGGAUAAAACCUGCGGAGGUUGUCCACAUUCCACGAAUGCGGCAGCUCCUCCCCCUCUUCAUCGACAAACGAUAAGCCCGUGGCUUGACGCUGCUCAUGACCAGAUAUGCUCCUUCCCAAGCUACUUGCAGUUUGCCUAUUGUUUCUGCAUUCUUUUUUCUCUUAAGGAUGAAAUCUACCACUUUGAUGUCUUUUUUGACAACCUUUUUGUCUCUCCACUUUCUCGUUUGUUCUUGAUAUUUUGUUAAGUUCUCAGCUGCCUCAAGCCUACCAAUCUCAACAAUAUCCUUGUUCAUUGCUUCAUUUUCCUCGUUUUGUUCAGCUAUUACCCUCACACUCUGGUGUGCUAUUUCUUCAAGACACAUUGCCUCAGCCCCAUACAACAAUCUAAAGGGGGUGAAUUUAGUGGUUUUGAAUUUAGUUGUAUUGUGCGACCAAACUACCCUUGGCAAUUCUUCUGCCCAUUUUCCCUUUUUCUGAUCGAACAGGCAUUUUUUUAUGGCAGUGAAGAUUUCACCGUUUGCUCUUUCUACGGCCCCAUUAGACUGCGCAUGGUAUACUGAUGUGAAAUUCAAUUUUGUUCCAAUCAUUACACAAUAUUGUCUGAACUCAUAGCAAUCAAACUGCUUGCCAUUAUCGACAGUAAAUUCCCUUGGGACUCCGAACUUGCAUAUGAUUUACUGCCAAAAGAAUUUUCUCAUGGUUCCGGAUGUGAUUGUUGUUAAAGGCAUUGCCUCAAUCCAUUUGGUAAAAUAUUCAACAGCCACAGCUGCAUAUUUGUUAUUUCCUUGAGCUGUUCGCAAUGAACCCACUAUAUCCAUUCCCCAUCUCUAUAGCGGCCAGGUGGGAGCAAUUAACUGCGAAGGUAAUCCCGGUACUCGUUGAUGUUUGGCUGCGAAUUGGCAUGCCUUGCAUGUUCUGACAAUCUGCUCAGCGUCUAUGAUUACCAUUGGAAAAUAGAAUCUCUGCCUAAAAAGCUUUCCAACUAAUGCUUUGACCCCGAUAUGAGAUCCGCAAUACCCACAGUGGACUUCUCUCGGCAGCUCAAUUCCUUCUUCCUGUGAGAUGCAUUUUAGCAGUGGUGCACUCACUCCUAACUUGUACAAGUUUUCUCCUUUCAUAAUGUAACCUCUUACCCUUUGCUUCAUGCACUUGAGCUCGUGUUCCUCUACUGGCUCAUAGUUGUUGCGGAGGUAGGCUAUGAUUGAGGAUCGCCAGUCCUCACUGUUGAUUGCAUUUACUAGACUCAUGGGCUGCUUGUCUCGCUUAACUAAGGGAGUGGUAAUGACUUCAAAGAAUACAUCGGGCGGUAACUGCUCGUUUCUGGAGGCUUUCUUUGCUAAAUCAUCAGCCUCGCCAUUUCCUUUUCUUGGUAAAUGCUCAACUGUGAAACCCCUAAAAUGCCUUUCCAUUCUCCUAACCUCCGCUAAGUAUUUUAUUAGUUCUAGCUCUCUGGCCUCACAUUCUUUUUUUGAUUUGCUCUUUGAUUACUUUUGCGUCCGACUUCACCAAGAAAUUCCUUGCCCCCAACGCUUUGACUUUGCGUAGCCCAAGCAAUAGUGCCUCAUACUCUCUAGUGUUGUUUGUGCACUUAUCUGCUGGAUCUGAGUAUUGUAGUAUUGCAGUGUAUCUAAUUUUCGCUCCUGAUGGUGACGUUAUGAUUGCAGUGAUUCCAGCCCCUUUGCGACCCUAGGCACCAUCGCAGGUGAUCUCCCAGACUGGAAUGACCUCUUCACCUUCGCAACAAUGAUUUGGAGCGGUCCAAUCAGCCAUGAAGUCUGCCAGCACUUGUGAUUUUAUGGCCCCUCUUUUCUCAAAAUCUAUGACAUGCUUGGACAAUUCAGUUGCCCACUUUGCAAUUCUACUAGAAGCUUUUCUAUUUGCAAAUAAAUCAUUGAGCGGCUGAUCUGAUAGUACAGUUACCUUAUGGGCCUCAAAAUAAUGCCUCAAUUUUCUUGAUGCCAUAAUUACUGCGUAGGCAAUCUAUUCCAGCUCUGAAUACAUUAACUUGGAGCCUGAUAAUGCCUUCGACACAUAAUACACAGGCAGUUGCUUCUUGAUACCCUCACUCUCAACUUCCCGUACUAAUGCGGCACUUUCUGCUGAUUGAGAGGCAACAAUAUACAUCAAGAGAGGUUUCCCAGGCUGCAGAGGUGACAAUAUAGCCAUUUUCUCCAAAUAGUCUUUUAGUUCUACAAAUGCUUUGCUCUGCUCAGGACCUCAUUCUAACUUUCCAUCCCCCCUUAGCACCUUGAAGAAAGGCAAGCUUCUUUCAGUUGAUUUUGAAAUAAAUCUGUUCAACGUUGCGAUUCUUCCAAUGAGAUUUUGGACAUCCUUUCGGGACUUAGGCUCUUCCAUGAUUCUGAUUGCCUUUAUUUUGUCCGAGUUUGCUUCUACUCCCUUGGUGGACACAAGGCAGCCCAACACUUUUCCUUUCUAAAUUCCGAAAACACAUUUUUUCGGAUUCAACUUCAAGUUUACUUCGCGGAGCCUAGUGAAGGUCUCUACGAGAUCUUGGAUAUGAUCCUCUCUUUGAACACUUUUCACAAUGAUGUCAUUGACGUAUGCUAGUAUGUUUCUAUCAAUCUGAGGUUUGAACACUUCACGGUCAUACAAGUGAAAGUUAGCCCAACAUUUUUGAGCCCCUCUGGCAUUCGAACGAAACAAUAUGUUCCAAACGGGGUGAUGAAGCUAGUUUUCUCUUCGUCUUCCUUUCUCAUCCACACCUGUUGAUACCCUGAGAAACAAUCGAGGAGGGACAUGAUUGCUACCCUUGCUGCUCCGUCAAUCACUUUGUCAACUCUAGGUAAAGGAUAAUUAUCUUUGGGGUAGGCCUUAUUUAGAUAAGUGAAAUCUAUGCACAUUCUCCUCUUUCCAUUAUUUUUCUUGAUAGGAACAGUGUUGGAUAGCCAUUGAGGAUACUCAACCUCUCUAAUGACCUUCGCAUCGAGCAAUCUCUGGACUUCAGAUUUAACUGCUGCUACCUUGUCAUCUGACAUCUUUCUCAACUUCUACCUCUUUGGUCUUAUUGCCUUUUCGAUGCUUAGCUUGUAUUCAAUAAUAUAUCUGUUGACCCUAGCUAGGUCAUUUCCUGACCAUGCAAAUACAUCUUUAUUCUUGCGAAGAAAUUCGACCAAUUUCUUUUCCUCCUCAGGAUCAAGAUCGGUCCCAAUGAUUACUUCCUUGCCAAAAACCAUGUCAUCCAAUAACACCCUUUUGGUGUUACAAUUUUUCUCGAUGUUUACUUUCUCUUUGUCUUGUUUGGGCUCCUUGAUAACCUUAUUUACUUGAUUCUCUACCUCAAGUGCAUUUACAUUUCUUUGACCCGGAGUUCUCCCCCUUUCUAAGUUUCUUCCAUCACCUUGAUCUCCAAAGAUGGUGAUAACACCAUUCAAUGCAGGCAUCUUCAUACACAAAUAGGCCUCAUGAAUUGCAGCUUCAAAUUUGUUCCAAAAACCUCUACCAAAAAUUCCGAAAUAUGGAUAAUACAUUUCCAACACAUCAAAUCAUAUAUACUCUAUUCUUGCAUUUUGGACUGUCCCGAAUGAAACCAGUAAAGAAAUCUUUCCUAAUUCAUGGAUUACUUUUUCUCCAAAACCAUACAGUGGCGUGUGUGGGAGUUGCAACAGAUACCUGUUUAGCUCCAUCUUGUCGAAGGUGCUAGCGAACAUGAUGUCCGCGGAAGAGCCAUUGUCUACCAAGAUUUUUCCAAUUGCCCAAUUUGCAAUGUUUGCAUUGAUUACCAUGGUGUCGUUGUGAGGAUAGCUUUUCAACUGCAUGUCAUCCUCCUUGAAGGUGAUUGGGACAUGAGACCAUUUGGUUUUCUUCACUUUGCCUUCCACAAAUAUGUUGCCCACCACUCUAAAGUAAUUGCUUCUUUGUUUCUUACUUUCGAAUGCCAAGGCUGAUCCUCCGGAUAUUGGCAUAAUCAUCCCGAUUGUUGGCAAUGCAUCUGACUGCUUUGACUACCCUUCCACCUUCGUUGGCUACGGAGGUGCUGACGCUCCAGAAUAUGGUGGUGGUUGUGGGAUUAUGGGGUGUUCAUGUGGAGCUCUUCUUUCUACAUUCUGAGCUUUAAAAGUCUAAGAUUGCCAAAUUGGUUCGUGUUUGAAAGUGGGAGUUGGCUGAUAAUUGAAAGCUUGUGUAGGUUGGAACGAUGACACCAAAGUCAUCUACUUCCCCAUCUACAUGGAGGCAGUGCCACUCACAUGACUCGAAUCAUUGGAUAAAAACUCCAUCGACUCAUGGAAGGACCUCAAGGUAGCAUUCACCAACAACUAUGCAGGGGCAAUGCAGCGUCCUGGCAAUAGGAUCGAUUUGUCUCAAGUUAAACAACAAGAAGGCGAGACCCUGCGGAGCUACUUACAUCGCUUCUUUGAUAAGAAGACCACAAUCGUGGACAUCACGGAGCGCGACAUCAUAUACUGCUUCCAGAACGGCGUCCAUGACCACCGGAUGUUCCAGGACUUCGACAGAAGAUGCCUCACUGAUGUCAAAUCUCUCAAGAUCAUGGUACAGGCAUGGACAGAUAAAGAAGACAGGGAGAUCGAAAGUUUCAAAUCCAAUCGCAACAAAGGCUAGAAUAGCAACAAUCAGAACAAUGGCCAAUGCAACGACAAGAAUCGCAACGAUCGCCCCAACAAUGACAACCGAAAUAACUACUCGGGAGGCCACAACUGCAAGCGAAAGCUAGACAACGCUUUCGCAGCAAUUUCGCAGUCAUCCAACAAAGGUGGUGGCAAGAAUAAAGACAGACCUUUGUUCAACGAGCUCCUGAAGAAACAAUGCCCAUGGCAUCCAUACCACAAACACUCUAUGAUAGAAUGUUUUAGUCUACGCAGAGUCAUGAAGGUUCUGUCAGAGCCAUUCGACACCAAAGACAAGGGCAAGGGCAAGGAAGACAAAGAUGAUGGUGGCAAUGGUAAGUUCUAGAACCCAUCCAACACCAUCAAAGUCAUCUUCAGCGGAACCCCGAGUACUGCUACUAAGCGGUCCCAUAAGCUCGCUCUUCGAGAGAUAAUGUCCAUUGAACCUGCAACGCCAAUGUUUCUCAAAUGGUCCAAGGUGCCAAUUACCUUCUCUAGGAAGGACCAAUGGACUAGUUUCUCUAGACUUACUAAAGUACUCAUCGAUGGUGGUAGCGGUCUCAACAUACUAUUCACCAAGACAAUGAAGAAGAUGGGCCUCGACAGCACCAAUAUACUCACCCCAAUGAACUCUCCGUUUAUAUAGGAUCAUCCUGGGCAACGCAGUGGUACCCCUCGGACAGGUGGUUCUGCUAAUUAUCUUUGGGACCAAAGAACACUACUGGACAGAAUACAUCAGGUUCAAGAUAGCGGAUUUCGAAACAUCAUACCACACCAUCCUCAGAAGACCAGCAUUGGCCAAAUUGAUGGCCAUCCCGCACUACGUGUACUUGGUACUCAAGAUGCUGGGACCCAAGGGAGUACUCUCCCUGCGCGGAGACUUGAAGAGGUCGUACGACUGCGACACAGAAGCCAUUGAGCUAGCAGCAACUAUCCAAGUACAAAACUCGAUGAUGCAAGUCUUCACUGCAUCUAAGAAGUUGUCCCCAUCUAAACUCGAAAUCCUAGAAAAGAAGUCGAGGACAACCAAAAUCAAGCCGGCAAGUGAAGUAGACGUUAAAGCCAUUGACCUGGAGAUUGGUGAUAGCUCCAAGAUAGCCUUGAUUGGCACAAGGCUAGAUCCUAAAUUGGAAAGCGUGCUCGCCAGCUUCCUCCGGGCCAACCGAGACAUUUUCGCGACGAAACCAGCGGACAUGCCAGGACGCCCAGGGAGUUGAUCGAGCACUCACUCAACCUGAAUCCAAAAGCUACACCAAAAAGAUAACGCCUACAACGAUUUGCCCAGGACAAAAGGGAAGCCAUCAAGAAAGAGCUAGCCAAACUACUCACGGCGGGCUUCAUAAAAGAAGUCUAUCAUCCAAAGUGGCUCGCCAACCCCAUCCUGGUGCGAAAGAAAAAUAACAAUGAGUGGAGGAUGUGUGUCGACUACACAGAUCUCAACAAGCACUGUCCAAAGGAUCCUUUCGGGCACCAAUAGAAAGAAAAGAAAAAGGAAUGAAAAAGAAAAGAAGAAAAAGAAGAAAACAAAUAAAAUGCUCCUCAGUUCUUUGAGCCUCAUUAAAGUUCCCAGUACUCUCAAGAUUAAGGAUUGAUCCAUACUCAAUUUUUCAACCACGUGCAAUCCGAUAACGAUGACUUCAUUUGUGCCUCGAGAUCAUUCAUUUGUCACUUGCACAUGUCCACUUAUAUAAAUGUGUGUGUUUCAUCCCUCUCCUUCUCCACAUCUAUUUUUCAUGGUCUUUUUGACAAGUCUCAAUAAUCCUAAUAGAUUUCUCUCUUAAUUUAACAAUAUUUCAGAUAUAAUGUUUUGCUAGGAUUGUUUCUACCUACCAAGCUCCACAUAAGCCUUCCACUUUCAUAAAUGAGUAGAAUAGGUUGAAAAUAAUCUAGUACAGGCUUGAGUGACUUGAUGAGAUAAAUGUUUCCAUGAGCUGUUGCAAGAGAAUCUCACUUGUGUUAUAUUUGCAUCUUUUUGAAAAACUCUUCACGAUGAAAUAAGGUAAAGGUCUGAAGUUCACUUAAGUUCAAGAGCAUUGUAUUUAUUUUAUUGCGGUAUGUUCUUUAUUGCUAGUCUAUCCUCCAUGAUGAAAAUUAGCCGGUCACAACUUGAACUUAUGCUAAAUACUUGAGAGAGAAAUGUGUCUUGUUAUGUACAACUGAGUGCAGGGACGACAUCAAAAGGCAAUGUUGAUUUCCUGAUUAAGUAAGUAUCCUGGACUUACUCGACGACGAGCAAGGUUUAAGCAUGGGGGGAUUGUUGACGCUCGUUAUUGACACACUUUUAGUGUCAUUUAAUUGGUAUUUUCAUAUAUAUUCUUAGGCUAAUCUGCCACUUGACACCAAAAAUAACCCCAUUUUUGCAUAUGCAUUGUAUUUUGGAGGACAUUCUAUUUUUACAGAAAAUUGAACUAUAUUGGAGCAUAAUUGGACAAGGCCCUAGAUGAGCAACAAUCCAGAGAAACACGAAGGCUAAUGGGUCCAAAAAGGGCCUAGACCGAUCAGCCUAUAGAGGCUGAGGCCGAUCGGCCUAGGGUCCUCAGGGCUUCGAUCAUGCUCAUGUUCAGCGAGAAUUUCUCCAAGAAUACUUAGGGGCUAAGUUUCACAAGAUAUGAUAAGUUCACUUUAGGACCAAAGAUGGAAACAAACAGGACUUUGAAAAGAUAUCAAAAUCCAUCCUUAUCCCGAGGCUAUCAACGUGCAAUUCCCGCAUGCAAGUAAAAAUAAGUUUCCAUAUCAUCAAAGAAGACUUGACGACGAAGUAGGACGCGAGAGGCCACAAGGACCAUGCUGAUCAGCAUGGACCCCCCAGGCCAAUUGGCCUGAGGCUUUCCUUGCUCCUCUCGCCUUCCAAUUUUCACCACGCUCUCCCCGGACUAUAAGUACCCCAAAAAUUCACCGACCUCUGGCAUCCAUCCACGAGAACUCGAUGAAACGAAGGACAUCCACCAGAGGAAGCUGAGGGCUGCUGCAAGUCUUCGAAGUUGUCUAGAAAAUGGCUUAGGCCGACCCUAGCCACCAUGGCUUCCCUGCGCGAUUGUGUCAUUGUGGAGUUCAGGAGCUAGUUAUGAUCAUCAAUGGUAUGUAAUCGGUGGUGAUGAUCUGAAUACAUUUCUUAUAUGAGCAAUGUUUUUCAUGUCAUCCGAUCUAUUAGCGACUCGUAUUCUCCUUUUAUGCUUUCUUCUUAUCAUGAAUAUGUUUAUUCCUUAGUCUAAUUGGAGGUUAGACUUCAUAGAAUGCUUUAUGUAAUCAUGGUGAUUAGAUCUAGUAUGUUGACCCUUCAUGAUAUUUAGACAUGUUCACUUGUGUUUGUGCCCUUAAACUACCUGCCCUGAUAGAGAGGAUCGUGAUAGGAUCUGGCUUGUGUAAAGUGGGAUUUUUGGGAGGUUGAUCGGAGGUAGUAGUUUAAAGAUUGCUUUGGAUGAGAUGCAUAUUGUGCUUGCUUGUUAGCUAGAACUACAACUAGAAGACGAUAGGCUCUUACUACCCUUGGUGGUUUUUUAUCAUAUACAUAUCUAUGGAUGUGAUCUACCUAUUCUCAUGAUUUACUUUUACACCAAGGUUACCCUCUUCAUAUGCAAUAUAUGUUUCAUGUUAGGAUUAGAUCCGUUAGAUUAUAUGGAAAAUCCUAGUUAGUUCGUUGCCGAUCCACGGAUUGAUAAACAUUGGAUGGAAUACUUUGAGGGAAAAGUCACGAUGAUCCGUGCACUUGCGGUUCACAAACUGGCGUGCUAACUACCAUCAACAAUCCCAAUCCUCCACACCUUCGCUUGAGCAACUUAGGUUGGCCGCCGGAUUCUUCCUAGAGGGAGUUCACGGGACUUUCGCGCUUCCCAACUUAAUCUUCCAUAGCGAAGGUUCCCACGGGACCUUCACGCUUCCCAACUUAGCCUUCCAUAGUGAAGGUGCCUGGGACCUCCGCACCUACCUAUGAAAAUACUUUCAACCUUCGCGCCUUCUUCCUUAUCCUACGAAGCGAAGGUGCCCCGGACCUUCGCGUCUUCCUUUGUUCCGUCCAAACAUCGUUUUAUGCAAUCAUACUUAAGUAAAACGUUACUUACCAACCGAGGGUGACAUUUGAUAUCUCCGAUCCAAAUCUAAAACAGCAACAACAUGGAAGAACCGCUCUAGUUUCCAUUCUGAAAACAAAUUCGAGCUUUUGAAAGUCAUAUCAUAGUGCGUACCGAGUCCUGAACCAGUUGGUCCAAGAAGCAGCUAGGUUCACUUCAUUAUUUCGGGAGCCUGUGUCUUAGUAAGGAUUUCCAUUCGGCCCAGAGACAAUUUGUUGGGCGCUUGUGUGUAAAGUUGGCCAGUUGGGGCUGUUUCUAGGACGACGACAAGGCUGCCUGCUAAAAUUUUAAUACCAUCACCAGUCUUGAGUCUUGACUCUUGUGCGUCUUGAUCUCGAAGAACCAUGGCUGCGGAUGAACUAUGCAUUCGUUUAGGUCACUUCCUUUUGAACUCAAACUUUAGGUCUCAUUCGGAUUACCUGGACAUGAAGGUGUUAGUACUUGGUUACAGGAAGGCAAAGCUAUGGAAGACAUAGAAGGGGGAAAAACCUAAAAAAAAGACGAACGGUUGCCAGACCGCAGACUUCGUUUUUUUCUAAAAUUUGUGUAUAAGGUCAAUAUCAGUGCACAGUUACCAAGUUAGUUACCAAGAUAAAAAACUGUAAUUGUGACAGUUGAGUUUCAUGGGGAAAAACUCUAUGAAACUCCUCAUAAUAAUCUUGCCAAGUUAGCAAUUUUGCUAACAUGAUAAUAAAUUUAAUGCUCAUGAAACUUCCAUUAAGAUCAGCUUGGAUUAGCGGGCAUCAUGAAGUAGUUAGUACUUCGAUUUCGUUGCAGAAACACAAAGCUUUGGGAAAAGAAAAAUCCCGAAAAAAGAAAGUAAAAGGAUAUUGACGAGAAAUCCGAUUUGGUUGCAGAAACACAGAGCUUUUGGGAAAAAACAUCCCGAAGCAAUUAAAAAGAUACACUGACGAGAGUGGGAUUUGAACCCACGCCCUUUCGGACCAGAACCUUAAUCUGGCGCCUUAGACCAACUCGGCCAUCUCGUCUCUGUGAUUGACACUGAACACAAAUAGUAAUGAUUAGAGUAUAUUCUUGCCACAAUCACGUGUCCUACUUCGAAUCUGACGGAAUAACUAACCGAAAUUGUCUCAAACGAACAACAAAUUAUACAAAGGAGAGAGUAUGGGUCUACUUCUAGAGAGUAACACACCAAUCAUACAUUCACCAACGUGUUAUAUUAUAAGUAUACACAAGUGGACCUUGAUACAGAUCGAUCUACUAACCUGUCAUGCAUGCUGCGGCCCAAGUGAACCCAGCCCGACUGCUCGUUCCAACCUCCAACUAAGGGUCCCUUUGGAAUUCUUGCCGGACACUCGCCUCACCUUGCUGUAAGGCCGCUUGUAGCAAGCUUGCCUGGCUGGGCAAGGAUUUCCUUGCUCACGUAGGAGAGCCGAUUCCGCUCUCCUGCGUUGGUAGGUUAGCUUGCUCACCGAGAAGAACACAAGACAAGCACGAGAUGUCACGGAAUCCAGAUCUGCCGCUGUCGAAUCGAGUCCGGUGCCGUUGAAUCGAACUCACCGGCACCAAAUCAGACCUUGCCGCCACUAGUUGGAGUUGCCACAUCCAGCCUCGCGCCACCGAAUCGGGCCAGCGGCCGUCAAAUCGAACCUCGCGGCAGCCGAAUCGAACCCCGCCGUCGCCGAAUCGAACCCCGCUGCCGCCGAAUCGAGCUGCUCCACCGCUGAAUCGUGCUGCUCCACCACCGAUUUGGUGAGGCGAGGCGAGCGGCGGCAAGGGAUCCGAACGGACCCUGAGCCUGUUUCUCUACAGCUAAAAAAAUUAAAACUAGAAAAAACAUCGUAGGUAAAUCGCGUUACGCGCUUUGGGUCUGCCAUCGAUCGAUGCAACGCCGUCCAUAGCCCUCCGCCCCUCCGCGCACAAACCGCCUGCCGUUUGAUCCCCCGCAUCCCUCCGAGCCGUACUUCGCUCCGCCCGCCGCGCUCCCCCCUCCUUUCCGCCGUUCGUUCGCCUCCCGUUCACCCUCCUCACGAUCUCUUUCUCGAGCCGCCGACGGCGCCCGUGCCGCGCCGCCGCCGUCCCCCAUCCUCUCCGCGCCCCGACCCCUUUCUCGAGCAGCCGCCGCCGCCCGCCCUCCAUCGCCAUACCCGCGCCGCCGCCGUCCCCGGUCCUCUCCGUGCCCCAAUCGCCAUACCAGCGCUGGCACCACGAACGCCAGCACGCGGCCCAGCCUCGUCGCGGCCGCUCGCCAGCCGGCCUCCUCGGCUCAAGGAGACAUUCUCCGUGGACGUCGCGGCGGCUGAGGCGGCCCCGCUCGCCGUGCCCCUCGCCGCGCCCUUCGCCAUCGCGUCCUCGCGCCUCGACGCCGUCUCCAUCGUCGCCGUGCGCGUCGAGCUCCGCAGCGGCGCCGUCGGGUGGGGGAGGCACCCGUGCUGCCAUCCGUCGCCGACGAGGACCAGCCGGCCGCGCUCGCGGCCCGCGGCGUCGCUCGGCGCGCUGCUCGACGAGGUCGCCGGUGUCCUCCCUGGACACGCCUUUGCAUCGGUGAGGAAUCCGCACCUUCCCUCGCCCGGCUCGCGGGGUAGUAAAAUUUGCAUUCUGUUGCAGCUGGGUUGACAGGUGCUUGAUCUUGAGAUGAAGUGAAAAGUCUAGGAUGUUGUGGAAAUCUUAAAUUGUUGAACGUGGUGAUCCCGAUGUUGAUGGGGUGACUGCACUUUGAAGUAUAGGCUUUGAUGUAGAUGGGAAUUGCCUUUCAGGCGCUGAAUUACUGAAAGAUUUUGUUUCUUUCAGAGGAUCUAAUUUGUUGCCAUCCUUACGAGGUGAGUGGCAUGAAUUUUGCCAUCAUGUGAGAGGGAUGAAUGUGAGAUGGCCUUCAGAGGAAGCGUAACUGAAAACCAAGCUUGGUUAUAACCGUUAAUAUUUGCUCUGGAUGGUAACUGGCCUGGUGAAAUCAUCCUUGAAAACCCAUUUAACCUGAAAAAAAAAUGUUUGGUUAGUUAUAAGCUUAGAGCAGUUCAUUCAGAAUACAAGCCCCUAAACCAACCAGUUUUGUAUCCCAAAAAAAAAACCUACAUAAGCAUAAAGGUCCUUUCCAUGUGAAAAAUCAAUUAUUUUGUUUUGCUCAUGUAGAAAUGUACCAUUUAUAAAAAAAGACCGUUGAUGAAUAAAUGGAAAAACAGGCAUGGAUUAUUGUUUGUUUCUGAUAUUCAUAUGUGUACUCAAGUGUUCGGUUGUUGUUUACACAUCAAAUACAAGAUUUCCCAUUCCAUGUGUAUUUGAUUGUAAUUGUUUUCCAAUUAAGGCUAGAGCAGGAGUGGAGAUGGCACUGAUUGACGCGGUUGCUAACAGCAUUCACAUCCCUCUCGUGAUUAUUUGGAGGGGCAUCAGAUACUGUGACCACGGACAUAACGGUAUAUUUUUAUCCCAUCAUAGUCUGCACUAUGUCCAGAAAGUUAUAAAUACCUUCACCAAAUAACAUAUUCCAUAUUUCCCAACCUAGAUUCCAAUCGUGGCCCCAAAUGAAGCUGCUCAAUUGACUGCAAAAUAUCGAGGGCAAGGGUUUCAAACACUGAAGCUCAAGGUUGGGAAAAACUUGAACUCAAAUAUGGAAGUUCUGAAGGCUAUACGGUUUGUCCAUCCAGACUGCUCAUUUAUCUUGGAUGCGAAUGAGGGAUACACAGCUGAUCAAGCAAUUGAAGUUCUUGAUAGACUAAAUGGUUUGUACUCCUGCAAACUCUGUGCUACUAUAUCAAUUCACCUUUUAAUCUUGCCUCAAUAUGUUGAAUUUAUUAGCUGUUCAUGAUCUGUAUAUUCCAACCUUCUCCCAGUAGUUCUUCUAACUUAUUUUUGUUUCUAUUCUGUCACUGGUUUUAGAAAUGGGUGUGACCCCUGUACUCUUUGAGCAACCAGUUCACAGAGAUGAUUGGGAAGGUGUCCAUGAUGUUAGUAUUGUUGCCAUGGAGAAAUACAAAAGUCGCUGUUGCUGCUGAUGAAAGUUGUCGGAGUUUACUUGAUACUCAGAAAAUAAUACAUGGGAAUCUGCCCCAUGUUAUUAACAUCAAGCUAACAAAAUUAGGGGUUCUUGAGCCCUUGAAAUAAUCGACGCUGCAAGAAAAGCCAAUGUCACUUUGAUGAUUGGCGGUAUGGUUGAGACUAGAAUCGCUAUGGGUUUUGCUGGUCAUCUAGCUGCUGGGCUUGGUUGUUUCAGGUGCGUUUGUUGUGAAAGUAUGAAAUCAUUUUUAAACAUUGUGCUUAGGUUGCUCCAGCCAGCAAAUUGAAAGAAAUAUUACUUUGUUCAAGACCUUAUAUAUGUUGAAUCAGCUGCUAAAAUUGUUCUUGAAGCAUAUGGAUGCAGUUUUGUUGAUCUGUACACACCUCAUUUACUGUCGGAAGAUCCAGUGUAUGGCGGCUAUGAAGGUAGUCUUACUCUCUGCACAAAACUCUUUAUAUGUCUGCAGCUCCUUUUUAAAGAUAGUGGCUACUGGCGACUACAUUCAUGUCUACUUUUAUUAAAAAUGGGAAACUACGGUUGCAGGUCCAGUAAUGGUUUCAGGCCCACAAAGAUUCAGUAAUGCUUUCGUAUGAUGUGUCAUAUGUGUUCUUUCCUUGACUCAGCCUGCUGAACCCAAACCCUUCUGUAUCUCAAUUCUCAUUUGAGGAAACUACUUAUGUCGUGGAAAAUCUGUAUCUCAGUUGUCUUGAGGCUGCUAUGCUUGUUGGGAGAUUGAUCCUUUCAAGCUGCUGACCUUCAUAAAACAAAUUAAGUCUCAAACUGUAUCUCCAGUUUAUUGUUUAUACGACUCAUGCAAAUUCUCUCUCCAGCCUUUGAACCUCUGUCGUACAAGUUCACAAACGCCCGAGGCCAUGGUGGUUUCCUUCACUUGGACAACGAUGAAUCGGUAUAUCACAGUUAUCCCUGAUGCUUAGUUACCCUCUGGCUUCCUGUAGAAGUAUUGUGUUCUUCUCCUUGUUUCAUGUGGGAGCAUUGUAUUUUUUCCCCUGAACUGACAAUGUAGCUAGCUGAUUUGGGGGAAAACGAGGGAUCUUUCCCUUCCUCUCAUCUGUCACAUGAUGCUUGUGGGGAAUUUCCCUGCGUUUAAUUCCUACGUACAAAUCCUGCUAAAUUUUGGUCUCACCAUUCCAUAGUGGGUAUUAUUUUUUUUCAUGUGUGCCUAUACCUAUGUGCAACGUCAAGUUGUAGCUUCUUCUAUUUAUUUUUUGAACUUUCAGGUACCUUGAAAAUAUAUUAAGAUAUUGUGGUCGAUGCAUAUCUUUUUUGUUCCCCCCUUUUGUUGCACUCUUGUUAAAUAAGAUUUUUUUAUACUUACUGAUAUGCUUGAGAUCAAAUCAGAUUAUAAUAAUGAUGCUCAGAGUAGGGUUUGUCAUGAAAGAUGGCCACCAACCUCUUAAUAACAUCCCUGUCUUUUUGGGCAGACUCCUCACGGCACAUGGUAAACCUAUGCUAUUAAACUGCCUUCACCAGAUUACAAUGAACUGUGAACUUCAGAACUUUAAUUUUUGAUAAGUUGGAGUCGAUGCUUAAGACUUCAGAACUUUAUUUAAUAUAUGACAAUUUUAAUAGCAGUUUGAUUGUUUUACUCCUGAGUACCAACAGCUCUAAAUUUUUGUGCACUGCACCCUUAGUUUUUGAGUAAAUAAUACUGAUUGCUGAGGUUACAAUGCAUCUUUCUAUGUGGGACUAUAGUUUUGUCAAGUAAGGCUAUGUACACAUUGAUAAAUCUGCUUCAGAAUAAUAUGGCUGAUACAUUGCAAUCUCAUUAUCUGAACAAAAUUAGGUCUAUCUGUUAUUAGUAGAAGGCUUACUUGUUAAAAAGGACCUAAAUAGGUUUCUUUGUCUAUAUGAAUCUUCGGGGAAUUCUGCUUAUCUUCCAUGGAUAGAUGCUACUUCAUGUGUGUGUCAGCUUUUUGCUUGCCAAAGGAGCUUGUGACUUGCAACUACUACUUAUUCAAUGAUCUCUAAUAACUGAAUCAUUUUGUUCAGAUUCUAAUUAUCAGAUCUUUUCCUGAUCUCUUUAUGUUUUGAGGUGUUGGAUGAGAAAGGGUUAAUGGUGGUUGCUACCAUGCUACAAGAAAUCAGAGCUUGUCGUUAUGAGUGCUGUAGUUGAAGUGAGGUUAGUGUACGUUAAACCAUGAUGGGCCUAGGAGACUUCAUCAUUCUACACUCAAGAAGCAGAAAGGUGAUUGUUGCCCCCCACGACUUGUUGGAUGCAGGUUGGUUUGGUGUUUGCAUUCGGUUGGUGUUUGCAUUCGGAUCAGGUACGAUUCAUAAUGCUUUGAUCCGCGAUUCUUAGAAAAUGUUGUGUUUCAGGCAGCCAGUGUGUUGACGCAAAAAUCAGACGAUGACCUUCGCGUACUAACACACGUCUCUCGAUCCAAGGCGUGCCAGUCAAUUUGACUUGCUAAUUGACAAGGAUAAAGAAGAUGUUAAAUUUGAGAGCGAAUCGGCUGAUGUUCCGAUUAGCUCCAGGAGAUCGUAACGGCCGGGUAGCCGAUACAGAAAAAGGACGAUAGGUUAGGUUAGCCGAUGUAUGCAUAUUCAAUGCAAAGGAAUUGUUGAAACGCAACCUAAACAAUGCUACGUGAACAAUACUUGAAACAGAUCCGAUCGAAACCUAUUCCAAGCUGGAUAGUGGUGAUAGCAACAAGAUUUAUAUAAAUAAACUUGCAGAUCUAGUGAAUAUCGAUAACUUGAUGAAUAAAUCUAGACGAAACAACAGUGAUGCACUGGAAGUUAAAGUCUAGAAAUUACUCGUUAAAACGGAACUUACAGUCCAGCUGGAGAUCAAGAUGAUACAGCCCUGCUAGCUUGGAGAACUCGUGAAGAAAAAGAAAUCUUUGGCGAAGUCACCAACUUGAAAGUAAAUUACGAUUAAAAUAGAUUUGUUUGUUUGUGCGUACCUAUUUUUCAGACCUUACAGGGUUUCUAUUUAUAUCCUAAACUCAAGACUUCUAAUGGGUUUCUAUUUAUAUCCUAAACUCAAGACUUCUAGUCCUAAUUGAUUAGGACGCAAUACAAUAUCUGUCCUAAUUGAUUAUGACGCAAUACAAUAUUUGUAAGUAAAGAAACAAACUUUUCUAAAUAAAAUGACUCGUACAAGAGUCGGAAAUGAAUUUGACCUCCCUUGACCAACUCUACAUCCAUUGUCUCGCAAUAUCUUCGCCGAUCAAGACUCUUGCCUUUUAACGGUCGAACCCUAAUAUCUCCGAUCAGCUGGAAUCCUCUUGCUCGCAUCGGUUAGGUCUCCGUCACCCUUCAUCGGCUGACACCUUCCGUCCUCAUCGGUUGGGUCUACAUCACCUUUCAUCGGCUAAACCUUUGUGACUCUAUCGAUCGUUUUCACUAGCCGUUGCCAUUUUGUCAUGCAUCAACAUCUCUGCUUCCUUUUGACGUCAGUUUUGACACGUGUCAAAAAACGGUGUCAACAAUGUUAAUCGGUUGCUUGGGAUUCUUUUGCUAGCAAGUAGUAAGGUUGCAAUUUCGUCAUCACCUGCAGAUAGGCAUCGAGGUAUUUUCCGCAUCCAGGAGUGUGUGCACCGCGUUCGUGGGAGCGGUGGAGAAGAAAGGCCAUGAAGCGGCUCCCAGGACAAUGUCGUCGACGUCCACGGGGCCUUGUGCAGGUCAGCUUCUGCGGUUCUACCCAACCUUGGUCUAUGUGAGCUCUGGCUUUGCGAGCGCAUGGAGACACCCCCACGGCACAUGACCGGUUGGAGCAAUUGGCUGGUAGCUUGCCAUGAUGUGCACUUUCGAUCAGUUCAUGAUGGCCUCCAUGCGCGUGAAGGUAAUGUGCUCGUGGAAAUUCUCCUAGAGCAAUGUCUGGAUUAAGCCACGAAUGUCAUCAUAUUGUGUGAACUAUGCAAGCGUUUUCUGAAACAUUACAUGUGCGGUAGUACAGUUAAAUAUGAUAAUAGAAUGAUGCUCGUUUUAUGAUUUACAUGGAUGGAUUUCAAGAUGAAUUUAACAAUUGUACUGCAUUCUGGCUUUAUUUUGUCAUUUAUAAUGACCUGUUGGUUUGAAACUUGCUCAUGCAUGGCAACUGAUAUAUCUUCAUGAAUUAGCAUGGACCUAGAAAACCCAUGGAAAGAUACCGAGUACAGAAAAUUUCAUAUUUUGGGUGUUCAAAACAAGUUAUUUAAGAAAGCAAAAGGAUCCUUCUUUAAAUAAGGGCAUAUGAUUUAAAUAAGGGCAUAUGAUUUGUUGUAAAAAAUAUAGGUUUCAUGUCAUCCUUUGGUUUCAGACUUUCGGGCAUGCGAUAGAUUUGGUUUUGGGCUUGAAUGCUCUGGCGUAUAUAAUUUUAUUUAAUUCAUUAACUACGUUCUUGAUUAAUUUUUUUUAAUAUUUAGAUUUAUUUUCACAUUAUUAUUGUCUCGUCGAAUACUCCAUGUAUUUCUAUAUAUAUUGCCCGUAGCAAUGCAUGGGCACGAUCCCAUUAGAUGAUUAAAAUUUAAGUUUAACUUUAACUAAAGUUUAGACGUCUAAACUUUAGUUGGCUAAAAUUAGUCUUGUCUGGUUUGGAGCGGACCUAAUUUUUAGGUAAAAGUUCAUUCUAUCCUUAGAGGGUGUAGGGGAAAAAUAGCAAGAUUUCAGUGGGAGGGUAUUUUUUAUCUUUAUGACUAAAAUUAGCCCCCAUUAGCUGAGUUUGGAGGAUUAAUAAAUUAAAAUUUAGUUGGAGAGUUGGCUAAUUUUUAGCUCACCUUUAGUCCCAAACUUGUCCCACAGUUUGGAUCAUCAAAAGCUAAUUUUUAACCUGAUUAAGUUUGACCUUGGAUCCAAACCGAACCUAACCUAGUCAUGCGAGCUUAAAGCCAGCACUGUGUUAACUCUUGGUCCAUCCAUCUACAUAGGCGUGCCCGUUUUUUUUUUUGCAUAUUGCAAAAAUGCAAAGUAGCUUAGGUACGUAUCCUAAUUAAGUAUUUUCUUCCAGCAAGCUUACGUUGCACACUUGUAUAAUGUUAGAAAUAGGGAUAAUUGGUGAUCAAUUAGUGGUUAAUGGUGCUGCUAAUAAUGACAUAUUUCACUAUGCUAAUUUUAUGUUAAAAAUAUUCGUGCAUCCUAUAAACUCGGUCAAUUUAAGUUAAAGAAAUUUGGCUUAAAAUAAAACUAAAAUGUUCUAUACUUUAAAACCGAUGGAGUAUAAUUAAGCUUGCACGUUGUACGCCGUUGGCUUGACCUAGUGGAUGCAUGGUUGGCACGGCACGACCUAGUGGAUGCAUGGUUGGCACGGCACGUGCAUACGUAUAUAUGCUACAUGCAGAGGUGGAUCCAGGAUCUCUAGAUAUGGGGGCUCAUUUCCUCCUCCUUCCUUCCUCCUCUCCGGGGGUUCCAGCCCCCACACUAGAUCCGUCCCUAGCUACAUGCAAAUCUUUUGAAAUUAGAACAAACGAUUGAGUAAUCCACUAGCUCUAGAACCAAUUUGGCUUAAUGGUCCAUUACUCGAUGUGUCAUGUACAUCAUGGAGAUAAUAUACUCCAUCAUGGUACAUAGGGACAUAGCACGCCCCAUCCAUCUUAUUAUUUUCUCAUGAUGUUCUUUAUUCCUUCUUGCAUCUUCUUCUUCCUCUUUGACAACCUUAGCUUUGAUCACUCUUGUUAGCUUCACAAAGAUACUGACUUUGACACCCUUGUCUCAUGCCACCCUUGUGAAGACCUAGGUUAACAGCGGUGAGGGGGCCGCCACUCAAGUUUGAAAAAACAUAGCUAUUUUACAAUGUUCCACCGUAAAACCCAAAUAACUUAUAGUCUAAUUACUCUUACUGUUGACGUAUGUCUUUUUUUGGCGCACCCCUUGGACCUCUUCGCCGCUCCAGUAGCUCACGUGGGCUAUCAUAACAUGAUACUAUAUCUUGGUGACAUCAUGUGGUGCAGGAGCCUCCUGCUAUUUGAAUAGUGUUUUCAUGCAUAUUCUAUACUAACCCAUCACUUGGUACUUGAAAUAAUCCCAUUAUUACGUAUUGUGUUUUGGACCAUAUUGCAAAAUCACAGGAAAUACGAUAUAAAUAAAGGGUUUUUCUACAAGGUGUACUUGGGUCCGGACUUUGGAUAUUGAAAGGUCCAAAUCAUGAACAUUGAAUUGCAGGCCUGCAGAAGAAACUGAACUUGCACGGGCUAUAUCUUCCUCAUCCGAACUCCGAUUGGGGCGAAUUUACAAGAAAAAUUGCAUGGCUCAACGAGAUAUACAACUUUCGUAUGAAGCGCUCGGGCAUUAGAGGCCAAUAGGGGGUGGGCCGAUCGACCUCCCCUUUCACCUUUCACCAGGAGGAAGCUCGUGAUGUCCUUAGGGUUGUUUUCCAGAUACUUGGCCUCAAAGGCACCCUAACUGACGCCGCCAACUAUAAAUACCAAGACAUGCAACAAGGAGGAGGAUCCCGACGAGUCUAGACCUAGCCACCGCCGCCACAAGAUGAAAAACAGGGAUUAGAUCUAUCACCGCGACGACCAACGCCGACCAACGCCGACGGAGGGCGGGAGGCACGAAGAAUCCCUCAGGCCUAUCGACCUGAGGAGCCCUAAGCCAAUCGGCCCAGGGUGUUCUUACACUCCCUCGCCGCCAUCUUCGGUGACGACAUUCUCCAGAGUCUUCUUCCCCCCCUUUUUGCGUCAAUCUCUGUAAGAUGAUGGGGUAAAGCCUCCGUUCAUCCCUAGGAUUGUUUGGAUCCUUGAUAUGUAACUACUACAUGUACUUUAUGCUUAUCAAUUCUUCAUGGUCUAUAUCAUUGCAAUGCUUCAUUCAUAUGUGUUCUAAUCAGCCCAUAUUCUUAGUAGUGUGUGUGGUAAUCGUGGCGAUUAGCUUAACUAUGUGGACGCUUUGAUAUAGAUGUGUGAGCGAGAUUGUUGAGUACCCCUGUGUAGUGACGGUAUGCAGUAGGGAAAGAGCGGAGCAAGCAUAUAAUCGUUGUGAAGCUAGUGAAGGUAACACCCCUUUUGUAUUGUAGAUGUAUAUUCUUGUGAACCUAGAUCUUAGGAAGGGAACGCAUAUCUAUCUUUAUUUUCCAUCUUGUAUCACCCUUUGCUCUUUGUUAGUUUAGAUUAGUUUGUCUCUCUACACAACUCAUAGUCUUAUUUCGUUAGUAAAGUCACUAUAAAGUGAGAGCCAGCAUCCCACUUAUCCACGGAUUGAUAAACCUUGGAGGAUACUCUAAUGGAAAAGUUACAAUUGAUCCAUGCAUUUGUGGUUCACCAAUUGAUGCGUUAACUGCCAUCAACACCUUCCAAAAUGCAGCUAAGGAACAUAUUUUUUAAAGUUCAUGUACAAACAUUUUUCUUUACUAUUUUUUACAUCCAUUAACAUUUGUUGACAAUCAUCAACAUUUUUUAUAAAUUGUCACCAACAUUUCUUGGCGUUGACAAACAAUUUUUAUAUGUACCAACAUUUUUAUUCAAAUUUUUUGCAUUCACCAAUAUUUUUGGCUCAACAUUUUUUUGACAUUCACCCAUUUUUUUAUGAGAUAGUUCACCUAAAAUAAUGUUGACUUUUAAAAAUGCAACAAAAUAUAGUCAUACUGGAUCUCAUUGUAGUAUUAAUCCAGCAAAUAUCAUGGUUCAAAUAUAUUUUAAAUUGGAAAUAGACUUUAAAUUGGAUGCAUGGGUUAAGAGAAAAAUAAAUCAAAAUUUCAGAUUCAAAAGGAAUCCCUCCGGUCAUGCAUCCCGAGCAGCCAACUAGGCUCUGACGCGUGUCCUGCUCCCCUCCUCUAACCGGUUGUGCGUGGAGCAACAAUUGCAUGUGCGUUGAUCUCGUCCAUUCAUUUCGGUUUGCACGGAUCUCAAAUAUUGGAAGGUGGAUAACAAAUUUUCUUUUGCAAGAUAUAUAGGUUUGCUGGUGGUACAACCGGAUUAUCAAGGGAAUGGGAACAGAAGGCCCAAUGCAUGUUCAACUCGUGGGCCUAAGCCAUUAGCAAGCCCAAGCUUAAGGAUUCCACUCAUUCAUUGCUAGAGGCGACAAAAUUGCCUGAUGUCACCUGAAGCACAACUCGGCCUGCUCAAUAAACAGUAGCAGCAUGCAACCCAAAGAAGGGAGUAUGAACGUGGUAUGCAGUUGGACCAACCCAAAAUGUAUAACAUUCUUUGACUGAAAGUGGGAUUUUUUUUGGCUGAAAUGGCCAGUCAAAAUAACGUAACAUGAAGAAAACUAAUAUAACCAUUAAAAAUUUAUUCUACAAAGUGAACAAUAAGGUUGAACACAUGAAAAAAUACUUUCGCACUUAGAACAAAUUAGUCUUGCAUGUGACCAAUUUAGUCAACAAAACUACAAAAGUGAACAAAAUGACCCUGCAUGUGAGAGAAAAAAAUACAUGAAGAACAAACUCAUCAAUAUUACAAACAAAUUAUGUUUUCAGGCUAACAAAGUAUGUAUACAUGGUGGAAAUGACUAGUAUAAAAAAAGAAAAGAAAAAAUAAGAAGAAAGGAUAGUACUACAAAAAAUAAAAGGAGAAAGGAGGAAAGAAAACUAGUAUUACUGAAAUGAAAAUAAAAAAAUACAAAUUUUAAUAAGGAAGAAAAGGAAAAAUAUAAAAAAAAGCAAAUGCUUGAAACGGAAAAUGAAACAAAAGGAAGAAAAAAAUAAAGGUAGAAUAAAUAUGAACUAUACCAGUAUUAAAUGACUGCACGAUUAUUUUGAAGGGAAAAUAAAAAAUAAAUAAUGAAUAAUAAAAUAAAAAUAAACAAAAGAGAACUAUAGAAGAAAAAGCAAAAUAAAAAUAAAAAAAUACAAUAAGAUGCAGGAGGCGCCAGGCUUGCGCAGGCCACGGCAGUGUAUCCCCACGCGGCCGAAAACGUUAUUGGUCCGGCACCUCUUUUGCGGGCUAAAAACGUUAUUGGGCUGAAUUCCUUCAACCAUCGUGUGUGCGCGCGACAAGAGAUCUCCACGGGAUCUUUUCUUAAAAUUUCUUGAUCAGAACUACUACGAACGGAUCGGUACGAGUCGCAUAUGUUUCUAUGCGCAGUGUUGGUCUAUUGGCAGGACAUCCGUAGAAGGAACUCUAAUCGCCAUUGAUCUACUGUUACUGCGUUCCAAAAACAAUAGGGAUGAGUCUGCGAUGGGAAGUAAUACCUACCGGAUGCGCAGGGAAGCAAUUGCAUGGACGAUUCUGCCAACUAAUAAAUCCCGGGUGCUGAAACUGAUGGCCAGCUGAAUAAUAAUUACUCUAUCCGUUUCAAAUUGUAGGUUAUGUGUACGUACCUAGACAUACACUAUAUUUCGGUGCAUAUAAACAUCUAUACACUUAGAAAAGUCAAAAUGUACCUGCUAGCUGACGCCUCGUGCUGCUCUUUCUGGUGUGGUCGAUACAACCAAAAGGAAAGUAGCAGUGGCAGCAGUAGCAGCAGCAAAGCAAGACAAACAGCUGCAUCAUUUCUUGUUCGUCUAGGUUGGACCCAUCAGCCGAUCCCCGUCCAUGGCUGGAGCUAGCUAGCUUGCUUGCUCAUAUUGUAUAUUUCCAUGCCACUUCAGGAGACUUUCUUCGUUUUUUUUAAAAAAAAUAGAUAGACAUUUGCAGAACAUUUUUCAGUGUGGGAUGCACGCACUCGGUAUGCAUGCGCCGACAGGAGAAGGGCAAGGCGUUGCAGGUCCAUGUGAGCCACCCGCGUCGAUCCCCUGCUGCCUCAAGCAGCAAGCACCGAGGCAUAGUUGAGUGUGAUGCGAUGGACGGUUGCGCACACAGCUAUCACGGUUGCAGUCUUUGCCAGUUUUGCAAGUCUGUGUUUCCAAAAGAACGGAGCCUAGCUAGCCUUGGAGGCAUCAGGGGAUAGCCAAGACUUUUGGGGUUGUAUGCAACAGAACGCAUGGACUUUGUGGAGAGAAUCUCGCGGCGUUAAUACAUUCGGUUAAUCUUCGGUGGUCAAAUGCAAUGUACCUUCGAUUUGCCAAAAUACUCCACCCACGCAAUUAACUAGUUUGAUUGUGUGUUGCUUAACUUUUUCCACCAAAAAAAAGUCUAAUGUGUAAAAUCUUAACUCCUACAACCUGUAGCCUUAUGUGGAUGAAUCCAAGAAUUGCCAAGCCGUAUGCCCAAAUCCUAUUGAUCUCGUAUUAAAUCCGGCCAGUUAUGCAAAUGCAAUUUUCCAUUCUAUGGCCGUGACAUUCAUUCACGCGCGUGACAUUUUUCCUUGCAGCAGUUAUUUUCUGUUUAUUUUGUGGAUCUUCAGUUUUACAAAGUGCCUUGAACGCCCUUAAUUUUCUAACCCUGGCACUGUGCGUAUUUAAGUGCUGUGCUUAAGCAACUUUCUCACCUCCCCCCCGAUCCCACUUUUCAAUUCCUUCCUCUCUCGCUCUUGCUUGUGGAGAGGAUGCUUGUCACCUACUCCUUUUAAGUUCCCCACUCCCCCCUCUCACCUUCCGCCUCUUUUCCAUCAUAUUAUUGUUAUCCUUGAGGCCCAAAGCCAGCACAGAGCAAGCAAAGGGAGAAAGAAAGGGAGGGUGGGGGCCAAAGGAAGCAAGCAGAAGCAGCAGCUCACUCCUCGAGCAUUGCAGUUGCAGCGCUUGCUCUGUGCUGGUCUUGCUCAAUUGGUCUUCAGGCAGGAAUCCCUGCUUGCUCGGUGAUGGACAGGCACACCUGCAAGCUCUGCUUCCGGAGGUUCCACAAUGGCCGCGCGCUGGGCGGCCACAUGCGCUCCCAUGUCAUGGCUGCCGCGGUGACGGCAGCGUACUCGCCGCCGCCGCCACUGCCGCGGCCGCAGUCGCCGCCGCUCUCCCUGGCGUCCACCUCGUCGACCGAGAUGGACGACAAGCCGGCGCAGCACAAGCCGGUGGCGUCGUGCGGUUUACGCGACGGCGCCAAGAAAAGGUCCAGGAUCGGCGCCCCUGAAUUCUCCGGCGGUUGGGCGGCCGGCGGCGAUUCGUCGGUCGUGCAGGACGGCGAGAGCGACACGGAGUCACCCCCGCGGUUCGCCGUGAGCCGCCGCCGGUCGAAGCGGUCGCGCCGUCGCGCGCAGCCACCGGAGUCCACGCCGGAUCCCGAGCAACCGGCGAGCAGCGUCUCCGACGCGACGACCGAGGAGGACGUGGCCAUGUCGCUCGUGAUGCUGUCCCGGGAUUCGUGGACGCGGUCCAGAUCCGGGCCCAAGCACCACCGGGCCCAGGCGAGCUCGGAAGCCGAGCAGAACAACGACGACGACGCGGACGAGGCCGAGCACGGCCACGACGUCGCGCGCCCGCGCGGCAGGCACCAGUGCGGCGCGUGCAGGAAGGUGUUCCGUUCGUACCAGGCGCUGGGCGGCCACCGCGCCAGCGUCAAGAAAGGCAAGGGCGGGUGCGUGCCGGUGCCGUUGCCGUUGCCGCCGCCAACGCCUCCCACCGCGCCGCCGUCCAAGGCUCGGCGCGUCGAGACCUCCCCGGUGAUCCACCAGUGCCCGUUCUGCUUCCGCGUGUUCGAGUCCGGGCAGGCCCUGGGGGGCCACAAGCGCACGCACAUGCCGUACGCCGGCGCGCCGGCCCCUUCGACGCCAGCGAAAUGCGGCGACAGCUCGGGGUCCAUCGAUCUCAACGUGCCGGCCGCGGUGGACGACGACUUCGAGCUCUCCGCCGUGUACGACGCAGAGUUCGGCAGCAGCACCAGACAAUGAGCUCACCUGCUGAUGCUGAUGCUGAUCGAUACAUGCUACCAACGCCAUCUUCAGAUCGGAAGAUGUACUUGCACAAGCGCAGGAACUGCAGACUAGCUGCUGGCUGCUGCUGCAUGCUGGAAAGAGAUCGAGCACUCGAGGUUCGAUGUAAGGGCUUGGGAGUUGGAAUCCAUGCAAGAACCAGAUGGAGAACGACAGUUGAGCGUUUUAUUUUCUCUCUUAAUUCUCUCUGUUACUCUAUUGCGAUUGUUAGUGUAGCAGUUCGUGCCUAAUUAGAUGAACAGCAUAUUCAAUUCUUUUUGAUCUCUUGUACCUAAAUCAAAUUGACCCAUUUACUUCAAAUUUCUCAUUGAAAAGUGGGGGCAAAAGAAAAUUGCAUUCACCAUGUUCUUGACCUGUCCCAUUAAACUCUGCUUCAUUGAACCUCAUACUCACAGCACUAGCAGCAAGCCAGCAAAAGCAGUGGCAACAGAUGCAUGUACUAGCUAUAGUAACUUAUGCUCGCAAAACCACCAACGCUUUGGCUCCAAGAAUUUGGCUGUAGUACAUUGAAAUUUCACAUGCCGGAUCAAUCGUACUAAUUACUAGUAAGCCAUACCCCGGUGGUUUUAUAGCUAACUCCUCCCCGCUGUUCGUCGUUAGCCUUUCCAGCUGUUGGCCACACUGCCUCCCGCCUUGGCACGUACCAGAGCGCUGGUUCGUGCAUCACGCGACUCAUACCGCACCGUACCAUCUCGUUCAAAUGCUUAGUACUCUCGGUUGAGUACUCCCACCAUUCACCAAGUCAUGAGCUGUGUGUGUGCUUGUGCCACAGCAUCAGGCUCCACCAGAACAGUGCCAUGAGUACCUGAGCUUAGCUUGGCUUCUCUCCUAGUGCUAGUGCUAGUCCAGCUCGCUUUGCUUGCCUCAGACUCCGAUCAAUGCAGCAGUAGCAGCCUAGCAGGCAGCUGCUCGUGCUUGCUUCCCAGCCAAAAAGGCUCCCCUGCUCUUGCUCUGCUCGCGGCUCGCGCCAUUCGUUUCCACCGCCGCUACCGGCCGGUGCCCCGCUCGUGCUCGUGCAUGUGGGCUGUGGGGAAGGGCACCUGGUCCCCCGCCCCCGCAUGGCAGCGUCGGUGUGGGGGUGCGCUUGCUCUGCCGGUCUGCCCAGUUUGGUGGCUGGCUGUGGCUGUGGCCUGUGGGAGCGGGUUCCGCCUGCGCCCAACUGCCCGCCGUCGCUUCUUGUCCUGACUCCCCGCCUUGGCGGUUGCCUCCCGCGCAUUUCUGGUCCUGGGCCCUGGCGCCUAGCGACCCGGUCGGCUUCGUGCCUUCGUCUCGUCUCGUUCCCCCAUGGUCUCCCACUCUCCCCUCUCAUCUCUCGUCUCCGGCUGCCAUUUGCCCGAACUAGGCACGUCCGAGGUACGUAAAACACACUGCCGCUCGCUUUCAUUCGCACCACCAUUUCGCAAGCAUCUAAAGCAUAUACGCGCGUAUAUGUACCCGGUCUCUUGAAGGAGCGUGCUUGCACACUGUCCCUAUCUGUGUGUGUUGUGCCGACUGCCGAGUGCCGAGAGCCCAAGACUGCCGACACAGCGACACAGCACACUACUGGCAGGUAGGGCGUCCCUGACACGCGACGAUACUACCAUGUGGGGCGCAGUGGGGCGGACCCACCUGUCGGUGUCCGUUCGUAGGAACUAAUGAGAAUAUUCUACACAGCAGCGCGCAGCCGAUCUGCCAGGAGUCAGCGGUGGACGGGAGCCACAUUCCCGCGGGUCAGCGUCGCCGUCGUGUUGAGUUCAGUGGAGCGAUCACUGCUCGGUGUUUGGUGUACUAGUAGUGGCCAUCAGCGGCUGGUGGGGCGGUUAAGCCUGCGUAAUCCGCGGCUUGACUUGUACUAGUACGAACCUGCCUGAACCUGAAGGCCUCGACCUCAACAACAGGAGAGAUCUUGACUCGCGGCCUGACACGCGCGCUCGUGGCGCUAGGGCUACCACCAUGCCGUGCCAGGUCGGACCAACUAACUGCGACCCGUGCCGUGAGGUCCGGGGUUGGCCGACUCCACGACCGGGACCUGGUGCUGGCCGGCGGGGGCAUGCAAUCGGCUCUGCGCACCGUUGAUCAGGCAGUGCGACCCCCGUACUCGUCGGAUCCCCGUCACGGUCGGCCGGCAUCGAUCGUUGACGCGUACAUACCUGCUUCGUCGUCUCGUCGACACCUCCGGCGUGCCGGGUGGGGCCGGUGUCAAUGCCCUGGCCCCGUAUCUGACACACCGUGUACGCGCGCGUGGACGUAUGCUAUAGGUCGCUAGCUAGCUCGCCAGUGCCUUUGCGCCUACUCGCCUCGCCCGCCAGCAGCGUUGAAUCAAGCUCGGCUGCAGUGGCUCGGUGACGGUGAGACGUUCACGACAGUGAGAUCGAUGAGGGCGGCUAGUCGAACUGAUGACCGGGGCCGCAAACUGCCGGUCGUUGCGUGCGCAGCAUGCCAGUACACAGUACCCACCAUGUACGCAAUAAAAAUAAGAAAUCAUGCAUGUACCGAUAAAACAAGUGCUAGUGGCGCGCGGUCUGUUGAUGAUAUCUAGGCACGAAGCAGUGUCCGUGGAGGUAAUCAUUGAUUAGGCGUAGCUAACCGGUCAGUGUCUGUUUGACAUCUCAAUAACCUAACCUAGCAGCAAUUCGCCGCCAAAACCGAGUACAUGCUACCACCACCUCUCGCAUAACGGUGGGAGGAGCAUAUCGAUCUGCACGACGGCGAUCUGGAUCCGCGCCGGCGGUGCCUGUGGCCUGUGCCUGCCUGUGCGCGUCAACCGCCGUGCUCGCGACAGGAGAAGUAAAAGCCACGGCGAGAUGCGCGAUGCGUUGGGUCACGGGCUCACGAGCAGCUAGACUGGCAAACGUACAGCACAAUCAUACAGCGCGACGCGAGCGCGAGGAGCUACCUCCCGUGGUACGUACCAGCUACGGUAGCUUCAUAAAUUUCUGCAUCGAUUUUAAACGGCCAGCGAUGACUGUGCGAUCUAGAGCCAUCAGUGGUAACUGAGCGCCCGAGUCUGCUGCUCUGUUGGGAAAUGGUGGCAGAGCGCUGCCAAACCGGCCUGUAUCAGCAUAAAAGAAAAGGAGAACAGCAGAUUUUGCCUAGAUAAAAAAGGGAGAGAAUCUGGGUCAGCUCCUUUGAGUAAGCGAACGACUAUUUCGGUUCGGAGUUUCAGAGUUCAGACACGCUAUCAUUAUCAAGCGGCGAUGAUGUAUAUAUGACGUACCGCCAUGAUUCGCUGCUAGCAUGACAGGUCGUUACGGGAGACGAAGCUGAUGACAAGAUCAUGUGGAAUAAUGAUAAGCUCCAGGCCUCCUUUAACUGCUCAAUGGCCGGAAGACUGGUAGCUAGCUGCAUGUGUUGCCAUAGAUGAUGUUGCGAGAAAGUGGGCGCUUCCUUGCUGACUUCACAACGAGUACCGAGAGCAGAGAGAGCUCCAUUCGCGACGUGAAAGGAAAGUUCAGGAGCACCCACUGCUCGUGCGUAGCUCGCGUUGUCUCUGCUCUUCUUUUUCGUGCUGGUUGCUGCUUUGCUGGGGCAAAGGAAUUUGCCCAAGCCGAGGAUUAUAACAUACUGAUGGAACCAGACAAAAUCCCGCACUAGCAGACUAGCGGUUGACUAUGAAAUUCUGAACACAUCUGCCCGCACUAGUAGUGGGAAUAAUUGACAACGCGUCUGUCAAGUCAAGAUUCCGAGCCCGUCGCGCAUUGUUUACAUGAGAGAUUUCUCUAUGCAGAGGGCAGCAGCAAAAAGGCCGGAGGAAUGUACUAUUCCAUAUUCCACAGGCAGAAUCACUGAAUCAGGGUCAAGUGGAGUCUACAGGCAGAUGAAAUUCGGACUGGUUCCGAUGGUCGCAGAAGUUCGUAGGAACGCGAAGAAAUGAUCGCCAGUUCUUCCCGUGGCCGGUUCAGCUGCCGCCCCAACAUGGCCGUUGCGUUGCUGUGCUCAUCACGUCAGGUUAGCUAAGCUGGACACCACAAGAAAUAAAAACAGAGUCCUGCGUCGUCGUCUCCUCUGGGGGCGACUCGGGGCACCGCGCCGCCGCCGCCCAGCCCCCACCUCCACCGAGCCCUGUGCGGCCGCCGCCGCUAUCCCGGCCGGCAACGGCGGCCAGCAGGCCCGGGCGCAUGGGCGUGCAGCCGGUACGCCGGUAUAGGGCCCCCCAAUUUUCAGGGGCCCAAAAUAUUUCCUACGCAGCCACGCAGGACUGCAGCCCAGCAGGCACCCGGAAGCAAAACACCGUCUCCGCAAGGCCCUAACUCCACCGUCUCGCACGCCUCCACGUCUUGUCUCCCCUCCACGCGAUCACUUUUUUAUUUUCUCGUCCGUCCACGCUAGGGCAGCGACGAAGAACUGUGCCAGCGCCGGCGCCUGGCAGCCUGGGUGGCGAGACAGCGAGCAAUUGAGCGAACCACAAGCCAGCAAGCAAGGAGGCCGGCGACAGGCCUGAGCAGAGAGAGGGAAGGGCAACGGACGUCGUCAGGCAGCCAGCAGGAGCCCUCCGUGUAAGUUAUUUACCAAAUUUUUAUUCCUCAAUUCUGUUAAUGUACCCUUUAAUAAUUAUAAUAGUUAAAUGUUCUUUUCAUCUUUUGUAUGCAUGUUUAUUAAUUUAUCUAGACGUCUAGUGUUUCAAGAUCCAAGCCAUGUCUUUUGCAAAUCGAUUUAGAAAGUACUAGAUAUAUUUGUUGUAAGGAAUCACAAAUGCCCUCUAGUAAUCAAGAAACACCGCAAGAAUAAAACUGUUCAAGUAAAAAUUAUGCAAUGAAGAUUAAAUAGGUACGAUUCUUGAUACAUUCGAUUGCAAUUUAAUACAUUAUACCAUAUACGUCAUUUCUUGUUGUAUUUUGCCGGUCGCUCUUUAAAAUUUUGUACAGGACCUCAGUUUAUGCCGCCCCAGCCCUGUGGCCAGCUACGGGAGGCCGUCGCGUUCCCCUCCCCUCCUCUCCCUUCUCCUCUUUCCCCUUCCCUCUCUUCCUUCCCUCCUCCCCUCCUCACCAGCGUGCGGCGUGGCUAGCGGGGAUUCGGUGGUGGAGUGCCAGAUCUGCGCGUCGGCCGCUGGUCUCGCCCAGAUCUGGUGGUGUCCGCCGCAACUGGUCGGGCGGCGGCAACGUGGCUCGUUAACCUAGGCGCUCGCGGCCUUGGUCGUCAUCGCCGUGGUCCUCCUCGCGGCAACAGCGGUCGGCCUGUUCGCGCUCUUGUGACGUCAGUGGCGUGGGCAGAAGGUCGUCGCGAGUGGCUCGUCGUCCACGGCCGGCGGCGGCACCGAGGCCGUGGCGAAGGUGUCGUCGGCUCACAAGAGCGUGUCGUCAGUGUUAGCGAGGCUCGAGUACUCCAACACCUGGGACCCUCUCGCUGGCACGGGGGACGGUGCCACCGCGGGGCUCGGCUCCCCCUCCUCCUCGCAGGCGACGCCGGAUCCGGUCUUCCUUGGUCUGGAUCCGUGUGGGGGCCCGUCGCGUUGGCCCAUAGGGGUUUCGUCCGUCGGGGAGCCUGCCGCCACUCCAAGAAGCCCGAUCUGCGCCGCCGCGGGUGGCUGCUCGUCGGGGAGCCGGCCCCACGCCACUGCUCCCGCGGGGGACAUGACGUCGAGGGCCCGGCACGCGCCGCUAGGGCCUCAUCCAUGACGCUGGGCGGUGACCGCCGUCGCCAUUGCCGGGUCCGGUGUUGCCGAAUCGCCUCCCAUUGGCGCAGUCUGCCCUCCCGGGGCCCGCGUGCUGCCGCUACAUGUCGCUGCCGCUCCCUCCACUCCUCGUCGUCGCCUGUAAGAGGGCGACUGCGGGGAUUUCCAGCCGGGGCAGCGCGCGCUCCAAGGUCGCUUCUUUCUCUUCCUUCUCCUCCUCCUCCCUUCACCCCACCUCACCCUGGUCGUGUUCAGGUCGCUUUUCAAGGAUGGCCCGGGGGUGACCCGAUUGACGCCGGUGCCUCCCGCCCUGCCGCUAUGGGUCGCUCGCUCUUGGGUUGCUUGCUCUUCUGUUGAUGGUUGUCACUCGUGGGGCCAUGCCUCCUCCAGCCAUUUUCUUCGCUGGCAGGGAUGAGAGGAUGGGUCUUCGUCUUCCCCAUGGUGCUUCGGGUCGCCACCUCAUCGUCGAGUGUUGCUGGGAGGAGAGCGGGCUUCGGCUCCACUCCUCUCCCUCCUGGUCGUCUUUUGGUCAUCGCGGUCGCCCGUGGUCAUCUUUGAGUCAUCGUGAUGGCGGUCGUUGGUCUGCGGAUGUUCCCCAUCGUCAUUGUUGUGGACUGCUCGCUGCCAUUCCAUCGAUUUGGCUCUCAUUCAGGCCUUGGCGGUCUGCUGCGUGGAGUUGGUUCUGGGGGCUUUAGCGAAAGUUUUGCCCGGUUUUCGCCGGUGCCAACAACGAUUGCAUUCCUUAACGUAGCUCACCUCGAUGAGGACAUUGUUGCGGCCACCAAAUCCAUUUGGUUUUGCCAGGUGAAGACUUGGUCUAAUCCUCCGUGGACAGAUGGACGAUGGCGGCGUUGGUGUCGCUUCCCCCUUGGAGCAUCGUCUUGCAUGACAUUCUCGCUCUACGUGCGCUGACUCCGGGUUAUUAGGCAAUCGGUGCUGUGCAUGUGUUUAUGGUGGGUCAUGUUUAAUGUUGUGGUGGUGCGGUGGCUUCCUUUUUCUGUUGUUGUGUUUAUGUUCCAUGUCGCAGAUGGUGGUUCUUGUAUCUCUGCACAUUGGAGUUUCUCUUGAAGUUGCAUCGUUGUAACUAAACUCUAAGAAAAAUGUGCACGUCUAUUAGGUAAGCUAACGGCAUAAUUGCUGUAGCCCUAAUUGUGUAGGAAAAAAUGGUAACUAAAAUAUGGAUGAAUAAAUCAUGCACGUAUCAUAUUCAAAAUGUUCACAUGCCUAUUUCUUUAUAUUUCGUGUUAAAUAAAAGCCACAUCUAGAUGAUUGCAUGUCAAUCUAUACUUAUAUUAGCUCGCCAAAAAAAAGUUACAAAUCACUCGAGUAAAUUUGAUUUUUGCUUUUCGAUCGAUUUUUCUUACUUGCCUUCAGCAGGUGAAGCUGGGGCUGUUUGCCGGGUCCGCUAGUGCUGUCGGCCUGCGGCCCAUAACUCCACCUCAAAAAAAAAG